GUUGGAUGGAUUAUGCUUAAAAAACAAAAGGUUGCUUGGAUCAUUGAAGGUUCUUAAUUUAAGUUUCUGUAAACAACUUUGUAGUCUUGGUGACUUUGACCAAUUCCCAGCUUUGGAGAGGUUAAUAGUCAGAAAUUGCACUGGUUUGCUUGAGGUUAGUGAAUCAAUUGAGCAGUGUGUUGAACUUGCCCUCAUCGAUCUAAGCUACUGCAAGCAGCUUAAAAACCUUCCAAGAAUCAUAGGCAUGCUAAAGAAGGUUAAAACAAUGUUGCUAAAUGGUUGUAAUCUCGGUGAAUCUCAAACUGAUAAUACAAAUUUAAAUAUGGAUUCACUGGACAUGUGCAAUGCUAACAAAAACAUUAGCAUACGCACAAGAACCUCUUCCUCCGCCUUUGUGGGUGCAAUACCAAGCCGUUUGAAGUUGUUUUCAGUUUCUUUACCGAGGUCUUUAGUAAGGUUGUCCCUUGUAAAUAAUAAUUUGUCCACUGAAUCCUUUCCUAUGGAUUUCAGUAGUCUGUCCAUGUUAAAGGAAUUAUAUUUAGAUAGCAAUCCUAUCCAUUCCAUGCCCAAUUGUGUGAGAACCCUUCCUAAGCUUGAAAAACUUGGUAUACGAGACUGUAAUAAAUUGAAGUCAGUCGAACAUCCUCCACACACACUAAAAACAAUGAUGCUCUAUUCUUAUCCCGAUUCUUUAGAAAAAGUUGUAUUUGAUCCCAAAAUGUCUCCCCUCCAGUUAUUUCAUAGUUUAAAACAUUACACACCUGGGUCGUAUGAAAUUGAAGGCAUGGUGAAAAUCCAACCAAUGGUGGGUGUUGAGGAAAAGGUAUUACGUAGCUUGGGCUGGAUUAAUUUACUCCAUAACAAAAGGAAUGGGGGAAAUAAUCCUAGGGAAUCUCGAAUGCAGGUUUUGUCUGGUUAACUGUCUUUCUUUAUUUGACUACAUAAAAUACUAUAAUAUAAUCAUUUAAUUAAGAUGUUUGUAUUUGGCAGAUGUUAUAUGAAUUUGGAAUAUUCAGCACAAUAUAUGAGACAGAGGAGAUGCCGAGUUGGUUUAUGCAUAGAAGCCCAGGGCCAUCGAUAUCAUUUACGAUCCCAUCAUCAUCUCCAAACAACCUCCUUACAGGACUCAACUUCUGCUUUCUGCAGACAAGGAGAGUUUUGUAUGAGAGGCCUUCAAUUCUACUUCAUCAUUUCCCUGGUUCACCGAUGAUCACAGUUAGUAAUAUAACAAAGAACAGUAUGUGGAUAUACGAACAUUACAGGAUGCCAUUUGGUGUAGGGCGAGUGUGUAGGGUGGUGUUAAGUCAUUGGAUGUUUGGGAUGAAUGAGAUGGAGGUUGGUGACCAUGUUACUAUUACUGUUACGCUGCCAUAUGAUGAACAUGUAAAGGAGUGUGGGGUGAGUCUUGUGUAUGAGGAUGAUGGAGAGAAGAAGGAUGAAGAAGAAGAUGUGUUGGGUUAUUACAAGUCAUGGAAUCAUAUAAUUGGUGGAGAUCUCUCUCCUUUUCAAACAACAACAGGACAAUACAUCCUAAACGACAGGUGGUUUUUUACACAUGCCAUUGUAUUGUCUCCCUAUCAUCGUAAAUUCGUUCCAGACGGCCCCGACAUUCAAGGUAGAUGUGAUUUUUGUUAAAUAUAUUUUUAUUGUCAUGUCUUAUGUAUAAUGACCUACCUCACCCAUCACCCACUUUCUUUAAUUACAUGGAUAAUGACCCAUUUAUUUUAAUACAUAUGUCAUAACUUAAAUCUUUUAAACAACUGGAUCAUAUAUACUAUUGAUUUUAUUGACCCAUAAGAUAAGAUGUUGUUUUAUAAAAAUAUUAAAGAUAAAAGUUGUACUUUAAAUUUAUAAAUUGCAUUGAUUCGUGUAGUCUACAACAGGAGGUCCAAGAAGCCCAUCAAAUUAGUUGGGAUCAAGUCCAGUCCUUAUCACCCUUGUUUAGCUGCAGUUAAGAGUUUUAUUUUUCUUUUGUAUGUUAAUAGCAUUCUGUUAUGAGUGAAGCACCAUCUUUAGGACAGGGGGCAGCCUUUUUGGUUUGGUAUGGUGUGCUGGCAUCCAUUUUACCCUACCCUGAGGACUAUUUAAACUUUUCAUUUUCUAGAAAAUUGUAGUAGAAAAAGUUAUUGGAGAGACCCUUCCUCUUGAAAGAAUGGGAAAAAACCCUAAUAAAUCAUUUAUUAUCAGUUAAUUGUUUCUGGUUGUGAAUUUCCUGCUUAUUCUCUUUACUCUGUGUGGGGCUUAUCAGCACACUCAAUUGAUCAAGACUUUUGAUAAGUUGGAUCACAUAAAUAUACCUGGGCCCAAUACGACUACUUUGUCCGAAUGGAUUAUUUGUGAAUAAUGCUUAACACAUAACUUUUUAUCUGUUUUCAGAAUACAAGGAAGAUUAUUGGUUCAGAGCUUUAUCCUGAAGGAAGCCUGAUAUAAGUGGUCGCACACAUGAGGUAUACUUUUUGACACCCAAACCUUUUCUCUCUUCGCGUGAACAAAAGGCAUACACAACCGAAUAUUAGGAAUCAAAGUUCUCAAUUGGUUUAGGGUGUAACAAAAUAAGAGAAGUAAUUAUAACCUUUCAUUGAAUGCAUUAAAGUGGAAAUAUUAAAAUUUGGAAUCAUUGAAUACUACAAAUAUCUGUUCAUACCAUGUCUAAACACUAUGGGUCAAAAUCUAGGAUUGAAUUCUCACCACUCCCUGCCACGGUUUUGGGGAAUGGCAUCACCUGUCAUGACUCGUUUUUGUAUCUAGAGUCUCCUAGAAGGAGAGCGUGAAUUUGUAUAUAGAUCUAUACUGGAUUGACUAUCCUACACCUUGCUAUUCACUACAGUUGGACUUGCAAGUCUACGGGUGCCAAAUGUCAUUUCUUCCGAUGUCUUUCAUCGUCGUGUUAUUAGUUGAUAGUAUGGUGCAAUCAUAUCACAUUAUACCUUAAAUAACAAUUGGUUUAAGGUAGAUAGUACAACAGUAGUUACUAUAAUACAACACUACAGUACUAUUAUUAUUUCCCCAUUACAUUCAAAUUGUGAUCUUCUUACACAAGCGGUAAUGUAGAAAUUAUAUUUUUGGUUAAUGAUAGUCACACUUGGGAAAAUACACACUUUUACAAGAAACAAACAUACAGAACAUUUGAUGCCUUGGUAGAAGGCUAAGUUUAAUAGAAAAUAUAGGAUUUUCUAGGAGAUACAAACAUUUACUACAAACAAUUACAAACUUAUACAUCAAACACUUACAAACAUUUUCAUACAAACAAUGACACUAAAAUGCUUAUGAACUCACCAGCUUUAAAACUGAUAAACUCUUUUAAAAUUUGGAAUCAUUGAAUUCUCACCACUCCCUGUCACAGUGUAAUAUGCAACUAAGACCAAUUUAUAGAUUAAUAAUCUUCAGUAGAUGUUGUUCUUGGGUAGAUUCUAUGUUAAUAACAAACUAUUACACUUUGGAAAACAAUAUGAAAUUGAUCAAGCAUAUUGCUUGAUUUUAGGGAAUCUUAAUGAUAGAUUCAUUCUUAGGAUAGAAGCAAGCAACAUGUUGAGAAUGCUUAAAUUGCUUCAAGAGUUUGGAAGAGAUGUGUCUCUAGGAAUCAUUAAUAUUGUUGAAUCAAGAGAAUGUAACAGAAACUUUUACAAUUUUCUUACUUUUCCUUCUUAUGUAGGGUGAGGGGGAAUCUUCAAGGUCUCAUCCUUCAUUCACAUGAAAAGGGUUGAGAAAGCUAGAGAGGCUACAUGGCUGGCAUGAAUAGAAAAUAGAUGUAUUCGGCAACUGGGGGAAUCUUCAAGGUCAAUCAUAUGCAAGUCAAUGAGCUAUAUAUGUUACUUUUCCAGAAGAAUUAAGAUAAUAUAUACCAGCCUCUACUGCAAAAUUAAACACAUUUUGAAUUGUAUGUUAUUUCCCCAUGAUUCUUUUAAGCAUAGUUAUCAAAAUUAAACACUUCUUGAAUUGUGUGCUAUUUCCUUAUCAUAAUUGGAAUUGAAAAUUUUGUCUCAACUCUCAAUCAUUGCAUUAUCAACAAUGUCCAUCGUGUCUACGGACUCAAAAUCUCAAAUCCUUGAUAGGAUUCUAUACUUUGUUUGGGUACUAUGUAAAAUUAGCAUGCUACACCUUAAUAUACUAAGACUCUGAUUCAGAGUUGUGUGAGGUAACUAAGUAGGGAGUCCUUUGGCUCCGCAGUCGGGCUGGGACCCGGUAUUUCAGAUAAUUGGUGAACGAACUGAGACCAGGAGGUCUCGUUAGAUUUUGGAGAGCAGCCAUGUGGUAGCAUACUGCUUCAAGCAGUUCAGUGUUUCAGGCAGUUACGUGUUUUAGGCAGUUCAGUAUUUCAUGCGGUUCCGUGUUUCAGGCAGUUCAGUGUUCAGGCAGUAAGUGUUUUAGGCAAUUCAGUGUUUCAUAAAUUUCAAUGCUUCGGACAGUCAGUGUCUCAAGCGGUAAUGGUAACUGAGGAUCUCAUGUAUGGUAAGUGUAAUAGAUUGCUGAGUAAUGCUAAGUUACCCACCGCGGGGUUCAUCUAUAAUGAUUCAGUAUGAGUGGUCUAUUAAGGAUUCAGAUCAUCUAGAGACAGCAAAUUUCAGACAGAGUACAUGUAAUCUUGUUGCGAGGUAUUUGUUCACCUUAGGAAUUUAGGGCUUUACGAAGAUUGUCACGACUACCCUAGGAAGCCUAGGGUGUGCUCAGGAUAGUGACCAUGUUACUUGAGUGGUUCGGCGCAUAAGAGAUGGUAAGGAAUGAUUUCGAGGACAAAAUCUAAUUUAAGUGGGGGAGAGUUGUAACACCCUGUUUAUUUAUUAGAUAAAAAAUUAAUUAAUGAAUGAAUACUAGCCCUAAAAUAAAUAAUUAUAUUUCAAAAGUUGAUCUUGAGGAGCUAAUUGUCACCCUUUAAGAGAUUGGGGGUUAAAAGUGUAAGUUCCAGAUUAGUUUUUUAAGUAUUUAAGAAGGCAGGGGCUAAAUGGUAAGUAUUAUACUCGAUUUGUAAAGAAUUUUAAGGCUGAGGGUUAAAAAGGUAUAUUGGGGAUUUAUGUUGAAAGAAAAGGAGGGUGGAGGGGCUUAUCUUGCCAUUAUGGAAAACUUAUGUAUGGAGGCGGGUAUUUAAGGGUUCAAACCCUAAACCUAGUGCAAGAAACUACAUCUGCCAUCUCCUUUUUCAUUCUGGUAGCCGCUGCUACCAUUGGAGCCUCCUCAGCCACCAUUUGCGUCACCAAGCCCGACAACCCAGUCCCGCCUACUGUAUAUGAGGAUGAUGGAGAGAAGAAGGAAGAAGAAGAAGAUGCAUUGGGUUAUUACAAGUCAUGGAAUCACAUAAUUGGUGGAGAUCUCUCUCCUUUUCAGACAACUACAGGACAAUACAUCCUAAACAAUAUGCAGUUUUUUACACAUGCCAUUGAUUUGUCUCCCUACCAUCGUAAAUUCGUUCCAGACGGCCCCGACAUUCAAGGUAGAUGUGAUUUUUGUUAAAUAUAUUUUUAUUCUCGUGUUUUAUGUAUAAUGACCUACCUUACCCAUCACCCACUUUCUUUAAAUACAUGGAUAAUGACCCAUUUAUUUUAAUAGACGGAUCAUAACUUCAAUCUUUUAAACAAAUGGAUCAUAUAUAUUAUUGAUUUUAUUGACCCAUAAGAUCAGAUUUUGUUGUUAUAAAAAAAUAUAAAAGCUAAAAGUUGUAAUUUUAAUUUAUAAAAUGAAUAGACCCAAACAUUGAUUCAGAAACGGGGACAGUUCUGGUCCCAGGGGUACUUUGGGAAAACUUUCCUAAUUUAAAGUUUUGAGUUAGUUUAGGAUUCCAAUUAGGGUAUGGUUGUGUGACCUUUUUAAUUAAGUUUUUUUUCAGUCUUUUCAGUAAUAAAAUUUGGAGAACAAGUAAUUUUCCCAGAUUUCUUCCUCCCCUGUUUCGCUCAUGCUCUAUUUCUUUUCUGCACACAGCUGAAGUUUCCAUUCUGUCAUAAUCAAGUGAAUUGAUAUGGUGUGGUGGCAUCCAUUUUACCCCACCCUGAGGAGUAUUUAAACUUUUCAUUUUCUAGAAGGUUGUCAGCUAAGAAAAUUCUAGUAGCAAAAACUAUUUGAGAGGCCCUUCCUCUUGAAAGAAUGGGAAAACCCUAAUAAAUCAUUAAUUAUCAGUUACUUGUUUCCAGUUGUGAAUUUCCUGCUUAUUCUCUUUACUCUGUGUGGGGCUUAUUAGCACACUCAAUUGAUCACAUAAACAUUCAUGGACCUAAUAUGACUACUUUGUCCAAAUGGAUUAUUUGUGAAUAAUGACUAACACAUAACUUGUUAUCUGUUUUCAGUAGAAAAGGAAAGGUUUUGGUUGAGAGCUUUAUCCCUAAGGAAGCCUGACAUAAGUGGUCGUGCACAUAAGGUAUACUUUUUGACACCCAAACGUUUUCUCUCUUCGCGUGAACAAAAGGAAUACACAACCGAAUAUUAGGAAUCAAAGUUCUCAAUUUGUUUAGGGUGUAACAAAAUAGGAGGAGUUAUAACCUUUCACUGAAUGCAUUAAAGUGGAAAUAUUAAAAUUUGGAAUCAUAGAAUACUACAAAUAUCUGUUCAUACCAUGUCUAAACACUAUGGGUCAAAAUCUAGGAUUGAAUUCUCACCAUUCCCUGUACUUGUCUCAGUGUAAUAUGCAAGUAGGACCAAUUCAUAGAUUAAUCAUAUUCAGUAGACGUUCUUGGGUAAAUUCUAUGUUAAUAACAAACUAUUGCAUUUUGGAAAACAAGAUGAAAUUGUUUAAGCAUAUUGCUUGAUUUUAAGGAAUCUUAUUGAUAGAUUCAUUCUUAGGAUAGGAAUCAUUAUUCUGUUGAAUCAAGAAAAUGUAACAUAAACUUUAACAAUUUUCUUACUUUCCUUUUUAUGUAGGGUGAGGGGGAAUCUUCAAGGUCUCAUCCUUCAGAUGAAAAGGAUUGAGAAAGAGAGGCUACAUGGCUGGCAUGAAUAGAAAAUAGAUGGGUAGCCUGAUGCUAUUGCAAAUUCAUUAUAUCCUACUUUUCUAGAAGAAUUAAGAUAAUAUAUUCCAGCCUCUACUGCAAAAUUAAACACAUUUGUAUUUGUAUGUUAUUUCCCCAUGAUUCUUUUAAGCAUAGUUAUCAAAAUUAAACACUUCUCGAUUUGUGUGCUAUUUCCUGAUCAUUAUUUGAACUGAAAUCUUAGUCUCAGUUAUUGCCUUAUCAACAAUGUCCAUAUGAAAGAUGAGAAUUCUCGUAUCAUUUGUUUUCUUGUUUUGUUUAUUUAUUUAUUUAUUUAUUUUUUAUUUUAGAAGCAACACUUUUAGGUCGCCCCUUUUUCUACACAUCACGAUACAGAAUAGUAUCACAUAUUAAUUUAUAUAUCUUAUCUUUACUGUCCUCUAUAUCUUUUAUUGUUACUAUUUGUGGUUGCCAAAAGAAUAUCAUAUUCUCAUUUAUUUUCAUUUUCCAGCUCAUCUUGAUAUCAUAUCAAGUUAUCAGUAGUGUUUUUGCAACAAAGUUAGACUCCACAAUCUGGUCAUUUGAGGCUGAAAAUAAAUCAUCAACAUCAACUUAUCUGUGGUCUUUAUGCACCACUCUCAUUUCGUGUCUUUUUCCCAUGUCCUCAUUGUCCUUAACAACUUGAACAUCACAUAACCCCGUGCCUGAUUCCACCUCAUUUGAGCUUAAAAAAAACCUGUUCAUCUCCUUACCAACAUCUUGAUUACCAUUGAAGUCAUUUUAUUGGCCAUAAUUAUCAUUCACACUUGCAUUAGUAACCUUGCUUUCAGUAUCCAGAUUGGAGAUGAUUGGAGAUACAAGGAGUAGAGGCUUUAAUUAACUCUUUUGCUUUCAGUAUCUGAAUACAACAAAAUGGCACCAAAAACAAAAACUAAGAAGCAACACCCAAAUGAUGAGAGAAGAUGCAACAUGGCCAAAAAGCAAUUAGCCAAAACUAUAUCAUUGGAGACAAUAAACCACUUCAACUUGGCCAAAAAGCAACAUGAAGCAAUUGGAAGCAAUGAAAGAAUACACUAUUUGAAAACUCUAAAUUGGAGCGAGUCACCAAUUUAAACUAAUAAUAUCCACAUCAAGAGUAUAUGCAUAGCUCCUCCACAUGUUGACUUUUUUUUUUUUCUUAACUACAAAUCUAGCCACUUUUUUUCAUAAUUUAAUAAAAGCUUUGUUUUCUAUUUAUCAUUAUUUGUAUACACAUAGCAAGAAAAGCUUAUAACUCCAGUGGGUGCAAUCUUUGGGAUAAAGUAUUUACAUAUAAAAACAUUUUACACAUUAAUUUGAACCAAUCAUUAUAAAGUUAGAAAAAUCAUAUUACUAUAUAAAUUAAUAAAUGUUUGAAAAUCAUUAAUUAAUGAUUAUAACUACAAAGUAUUAAUAUUAUUUUAAUUUACUAACUGCGGUUACUACGAGUUAGUUUAUAAAGAAGCAAACCACUUAAAGAUACCUUUUUCACUAUUCAAAUACUAGAAAUCACUUGAUCCUCUUCUUAACAAACCAUUAUUAUAACCACAAAAAAGAAGAAAUAUGAACAACAAGGUCUAAGAUGAGAGAGAGUCAAUACUCAUAAUUUUCUCAGGCCAACCCCACUUCUUAAAAUUUGGACAAUUUUAUGCAUACAACUAGUCUAGGAAUGACAUUUAUUAUUAACAAAUUGAAAUGAAAUGAAAAUGAAAUUUAAAGAGUAAAAUGGAAUAAGAUGUGUGGUUUUCAAUUGGUACGAAGAGAGUAUUUGUAAUGAUAUAAAGGAGAAAAAAAAGGAAAAAAAAUGAAAAUGUAACUGUUAGAACGCGUUCCACAAACCUUUAACCUUCUUCUAACGGUAACCAAUGCGCUCAAAUCCAUCUCCUCGGCGGUACUGCCCGCCACCCGCCGGAGCCCACUUCCGAUACCCUCCACUCUAAUAAAUAUCAUUAUUAUCUUCCAAUUUUAAGUAUCAUGAUAAGUACUGUGUUGACUUUGGGUUGACAUAAGGAAUAACAAUUAUUUUCUCUAAAAUUCUCCUUGCGAAUCAUUAUUUUGUUGAAAUGUACCUUUUCUUUAUGAGCAUAAUUACUUUAUUGAAUUUAGCUUGCCUUGAUAAAUAUCUUUUAUUUUCGUGAAGUUUACAUUGUCUUAAUAAAUAUCAUUACCACUUUAAUAAUUAUCAUUUCUAAUUCCACAAUAAAUAUCAUUAAAUAGUUUUCUUUAAUAAUUAUUAGACAAAAUUACAAAAAUGGUCCCUGUGGUUUGCCAAAAGUCACGAAGUCAGUAUCUGUUAAUUUUUUUUUGAUGUAAAUGGUCCUUGUGGUUUGCAAAACUUGCAAAGAUGACCCUUUUUACUAACACCAUUAGUAUUCAGCCGUUAGGGACUAAAUCUGUAAGGGUAUUUUCGUCUUUUCAAGUAUAAAGGGACUGAAUUCGUGACAUUUAAUAAACCAUAGGGACCAUUUUUGUAAUUUGUCUUAAAAUAAUAUAAAUGAUAGAAAAUGAAGUGUACUAUAUUCGAACUUUGGACCUCCUACCUUUCUCCCUUAAUCAACCAAAGCUUUAACCAACUAGGCUAGAGCCGCACUUGAUUUAUAUUUUCGAAAACUAACUAAUAUUAUCUACAAAUCGUAAAUAAAUUAAUAAUAAAAUAUUAAAAAAAACAUAUUUUUACAAAAAAAAAAAAUUAAUAAAACAAAAUAUAUUUUUAGCGUAUUGUAAAAAAAAAAUACAAACAAUUAUUUGUUUUUUUACGUAUUUAAAAAAAUAAGUUUCCGUAUACUUUUAAAUACAUAAAAAAAUAACGUAAUAACAUAUUCUACAAAAACAUAAUCCUAAAAAACAUAAAAAAAAGUUUUUUGUAUAUAUUUAUUUUAUGUGAAGAUUCAGUUCCUAACGGCUGAAUACUAACGGUGAUAGUAAAAAGGGCCAUCUUUGUAAGUUUUGCAAACCACAAGGACCAUUUACAUCAAAAAAAUUAACAGGGAUUGAUUUUGUGACUUUUGGCAAACCAUAGGGACCAUUUUUGUAAUUAUGUCUAAUUAUUAUUAUUUAUAGAAAAGAAUUGAAAAAAAAAGCGACACCAUCAAGGCAUCGAAGGAAAACCCAACACCCUCGUUGACUCUCCUCUCUGGUCGUCUCCCUUCCUCGUUGACUUGCUGUUUCCCUGCCGACUUAACGCGGUUCGCUCUGUACUUUUCACUCUUCAUCGAUCUUUCUCAGCCGCGUCACUGUUGGUUCAUCCUUUAUCGCUGCUGUUUCAGUUCUCCUUGUCAUCCUGUAUGCUUCUUAAUUACAAGUUGUUAGACAAUUUCAUCUUAUGAAUCAUAAAUCACAUCAUAAUCAUUUCGUUAUUUCACUAACAGGUGAUUGAAUAUUGUCUAUUUCCAUUAUUUUUGUUUUAUUUUAUAUAUCAAUUAGGAUACUCCACACUCCUUCUAGCCCAAAGUCCAGUACGAUGAACAAAAUUUCCUGCACGUUGAGAAUUCUUUGAUCCUUUAAAAUUUCUUCCUCAAUUCCUCUAUAUUUUCUAAUUCGCAACACGAUUUUUAGAUUUGAUUCUUUUUGAAUGAUGUUUAUGAACAAGCUUCAAUAUUUGAUUGUCAUAAUGAGUGUUUUGCUUGUGUAUAGACUAAAGAGUGCAUUUAGCUUUGAAAUUUCUUCUAUUAUUGAGUUUGAAAUUGAACCCUUAGAAAGGGCAAAGUGGAAGGCGUGUUUUGCUGGCUUCAGAAACAUAUCAUUUGGAACAAGCCCAUAAAUAUUGUUAGUUGAAACACUUAAAAUAAGAUGUAUGCUGAUACUAGAUCCAGUUAUAUAUGAAUUUUAAAUUUGUGUAGAUUGUUGUGCUAAUUUUGGAGAUCCAUAAUUAAACAACCUUGUCAAGCAAGUGCUGUUUUUUUUUGUUUAAAACUUUACAUCUUUCAAUUGUUUGUUGAUAUCUAGUAAAAGCUUGAAAUUUCCUAUAUGCUUUGCAAUUUCCUUCAUGGGAGGUAAUAGUGGAUCUUGUAGUUAUUUCAAGAAUGGUAUUUUGGUGUAGAUUUGUUUGACGAUUACUCUACUGAAAUUCAUAUGGAUUUUACUUAGAUAAAUAAGGAUCUUUAUGUGGGCUAAUCAAAUUAAAACAGAGGCGUUGUAGUUUCAAUGCAUAAAUUGGUUUGUUAUUUUCUUGAAUCUAAACUUAGCCAGAAAAACAGGUUAAUUAAUUGGUAACAGCUUUUAAAAUAAAUUUCAUGGCAAUGUAAUGGUUAUUCUAUAUCCAUACUUUGUUUUUGUGGGAAAGAAUAUUCUAUAUAAAUACUUAGUUAGCUAUAUAUGUUUUGGCUAAAGGAUCCAAAAACCUGUCACAUAAUUAUUAUUGCCAUGAGAUUGCUGUUGUAGUGAUUUAACAGCGUCUCUUUGUAUUUCAAACACAGCAGCAACCGAUUAAUGCUUAUUCUUUUGUGUUCCUUUUCCAGUGUUUAUUUGAUGAGAUUGAAGUUGCAUAUUUUAAAUAUUAAUAAUUUGGAUUUUAUGUACAGGCUUUAUUUGAACCACAAGUUAAGAGCUUCUAGCUUAUUGAGAUACACAAAGGCUUAUCAACCCAUAACUCAUAAUGGUUAUUCUCUCUGAACUCCUCUCAGAAGGAUCUUCAUCUUCUUCAUCAAAUAGUGGUCAUAGUCCAACUGAUGGUCAAAGUUCAUCAACUGAUGGUUACAUGUACGAUGUAUUUUUAAGUUUUAGAGGUGUUGACACUCGUCAUAGUUUCACUGAUCACCUUCAUAAAGCCCUCAUUGAUGCCAAUAUCACUACGUUCUUGGAUGAUGAAGAGAUUGAAACAGGGGAAGAUCUGAAACCAGAACUAGAGACUGCAAUUAAGGCAUCUCGGGGUUCUAUCAUUGUGAUGUCUAAGAAUUACGCUUCUUCAACAUGGUGUCUGGAUGAAUUGGUGUUGAUCCUUGAGCAGCAUAUGACAUCUGAUCAUAUUAUUAUCCCCAUAUUUUAUCAUGUUGAGCCCACUCAUAUCGGGAAGCAACAAAGUAGCUUUGGAGAUGCAAUGGCUAAGCAUAAACAGACAAUGGAGGCAGAGACAAAUGCAAAUAAAAGAAGUGAAUGGGCUCAAAAGAUGGACCGAUGGAAUAAAGCCCUUAUAGAAGUAGCUAAUUUAAAAGGAAAAGACGUCAAUGGAAGGUAACUGUUUUCUUACCUAUAUUUCCAAAAUUCUUCAAUUUUGUUUGAUUAACACAUGAAUGUUAGUAUCAUCUUCUCCCAAUGCAUUUCAAUAAGUUUCUUUAACAUCACUAAAAAGACAUAUNUAUAUAUAUAUAUAUAUAUAAUGUAUUAGGAUAUAAAUUCCACACAUUUUUUUAUGCAUUUUGUGUUUCAUUAUAAGUUACUUCAUUUAGACAAACUGUUCCAAUUAUUUUGUAUGCUUUCUAUUAAGAAAACAAGAUUUGAAGGGUUUGCUAUGCAUCUACUAUUACUUAUACCAUACCACCUUAUAAUCAUAGUGUCUUUUAUGAUAAAUAACUUAUCUUACCUUUAAGCAGUAAAACAUUACUUAUAACUGGCACUUUUUUCAAAACACGCCACAAUGAUAGUUAUGAUGGUCUUGUGUAAAUGCAGUGAAGUUAGGUUGUCCAUUAGUGAAAUCUGGUAUUACAUUGGAACUUGUAUGGUUAGAACAUAGAAGUGUAAACACAAUAUCAUUUUAAUGUGAAGGACUUGAUUAAAAUUAAUAGCUAUGAUAUAAUUUUGAUUUUGGUUCUUUGGACAAAUUAAAUCUCCAAAUCCAGUUUGUUAGUUCUGUGGUUCAUAUAAAAUCUGAUUUCAGGCUAGAGACGGAAUUUAUUGAAGAAAUUGUGAAGGACAUCCAACGUAGGUUACAUGUACGCUUAAGGAGUGUCCGGCAACAACUUAUUGGGAUGGACUAUGAUAUUAAGUUCAUCACUUCAUGGUUGAAAGAUGGAUCCUCACAUACGGCAGACAUACUCACUAUUUAUGGUAUAGGAGGGAUUGGGAAGACAACUUUAGCCAAACAUGUCUAUGGGCUAUAUGCUCACAAAUUCCACAAAAGCAGCUGUAUUGAAGAUGUUAGUAGGGUAUGUGAUGGAAAGUUUAAUGGGUUGCUUGAUUUACAAGAAAAACUAAGCAGUGACAUUUCAAAAACAAGUUCCGUUAAAGUUCAUGAUGCUUCGGUAUACACCUCAAAGAUAGAGAAUGCAGUAGCACGUAAAAGGGUGUUUCUUGUUCUUGAUGAUAUUAGCACGCUUGAUCAGUUGGAUGCGUUACUUGGAAGCAAAGGUUUUCAUCCCGGAAGCAAAAUAAUUAUAACCACAAAGGAAAGACAUUUGAUAGAGAGGUGUGCACUAUUCAAAACAGACAUUAAACCAAAGCAUACAAAGCUCUUGCUUCAAGGCUUACAUGAGACCGAAUCAUGGAAACUUUUGUGUCUCCAUGCAUUCAAAUGCAACUAUCCCAAGACAGGUUAUGAAGGGGUGUUAUAUAAGCUUGUGAAGUAUUGUCAAGGACAUCCAUUGGCUCUUGUAGUAUUGGGAAAAUCUCUAUAUGAUCGAGAUGUAACUUAUUGGGAAGGGUGCAUAGAAGGGCUAAAGAAAGAAACAGAUUCUCAUGUGAAUAAUGUCUUGAGAAUGAGCUUUAACUCUUUGCCAUCCAAAAAUGAUAAGGACUUGUUUAAGUAUAUUGCUUGUUUUUUUGUUGGAAUAGAUAGAGAUGUUGCUGAAACAAUAUUAAAGGCAUGCAAUAUAAACAUAAGAUCUGGAAUCCCGAAUCUCCUCGACCGAUUCCUUCUUUCGAUUGGAUGGAAAAACAAAUUGAAGAUGCAUCAGUUGGUUCAAGAGAUGGGAAGGUUCGAAGUACGUCAAGAAUCACAUGACAAGCCAUGGAAGAGAAGUCUAUUAUGGUGUCAUGAGGAGUCAUUCAGAGUAUUAAAACAAAAAAAGGUAAGAGGUCAUAUGUGGUUUUAAAAGUAUGCAUGUUAAAAAUAUUGUGUAUGGUCUCAACUUUUUAUUUACAUUAUGUUUCUUCUUAGGGUAAGGGAAAUCUUGUUGGCCUUGCCCUUGACAUGCGCAUGCUUGAGAAAGAGAUGUUGGGUGCAUCAUAUAAGUUAAAAACAAAUGCAUUAAGUAAGAUGGAUAAUUUGAUGCUACUACAACUCAAUUAUGUUCACAUGAAUGGGUCUUAUGAGAACUUUCCACCGGAACUAAGAGGUUUGUGUAUGCAUGGGUUUCAUUUAAAGUAUAUACCUUCAGAACUACCUAUGGAGAAUCUUGUUGCUCUUGACAUGUCAUAUAGCAAUAUUGAAUCAUUUAUCGGUUGUUAUAGUAAUCCACAACGACUUGAGAAGAGGCAAAAGGUAACUUAUCUUCAUUUAUUAUUUUUCCAUGUUUAGUUGAAUUUCACUCCCAUUCUAACUUCUUUCCAUUUUUAUAGUUGGAUGGAUUAUGCUUAAAAAACAAAAGGUUGCUUGGAUCAUUGAAGGUUCUUAAUUUAAGUUCCUGUAAACAACUUUGUAGUCUUGGUGACUUUAACCAAUUCCCAGCUCUCGAGAGGUUAAUAGUUAGAAAUUGCACUCGUUUGCUUGAGGUUAGUGAAUCAAUUGAGCAGUGUGUUGAACUUGCCCUCAUCGAUCUAAGCUACUGCAAGCAGCUUAAAAACCUUCCAAGAAUCAUAGGCAUGCUAAAGAAAGUUAAAACAAUGUUGCUAGAUGGUUGUAAUCUGGGUGAAUCUCAAACUGAGGAUACAAAUUUAGAUAUGGAUUCACUGGACAUGUGCAAUGCUAACAAAAACAUUAGCAUAAGCACAAGAACCUCUUUCUCCACCUUUGUGGGUGCUAUACCAAGCCGUUUGAAGUUUUUUUCAAGUUCUUUGCCAAGAUCUCUAGUAAGGUUGUCCCUUGUAAAUAAUAAUUUGUCCACUGAAUCCUUUCCUAUGGAUUUUAGUAGUCUGUCCUUGUUAAAGGAAUUAUAUUUAGAUGGAAAUCCUAUCCAUUCCAUGCCCAAUUGUGUGAGAACCCUUCAUAGGGUUGAGAUACUUAGUAUGCUAAACUGUAAUAAAUUGAAGUUGGUCGAACAUCCUCCACACACACUAAAAAUCUUGCUCUAUUCUGAUCGCGAGUCUUUAGAAAAAGUUGUAUUUGAUCCCAAAAUGUCUCCCCUCAUGUUAUUUUAUUUUCCAAGAAGUUACACCCCUAGGUCGUAUGAAAUUGAAGGCAUGGUGAAAAUCCAGACAAUGGUGGGUGUUGAGGAAAAGGUAUUACGUAGCUUGGGCUGGAUUAAUUUACUCCAUAACAAAAGGAAUGUGGGAAAUAAUCCUACGGAAUCUGGAAUGCAGGUUUUGUCAAGUUAACUGUCUUUCUUUAUUUGACUACAUAAAAUACUAUAAUAUAAUCAUUUAAUUUAGAUGUUUGUAUUUGGCAGAUGUUAUAUGAAUUUGGAAUAUUCAGCACAACAUAUGACGCAGAGGAGAUGCCGAGUUGGUUUAUUCAUAGAAGCGCAGGGCCAUCGAUUUCAUUUACAAUCCCAUCAUCAUCUCCAAAUAAUCUCCUUAAAGGAAUCAACUUCUGCUUUCUGCAGACAAUGAGAGUUUUGUAUGAGUUGCCUGUAAGUCUACAUGAUCAUUUCCGCAUUACACCGAUGAUCACAGUUAGUAAUAUAACAAAGAACCGCAUGUGGAUAUACGAACCUCUCUGGGACAGAUACUUUGUAGAUAAAAAGUGUAGGGUGGUGUUAAGUCAUUGGAUGUUAGGGAUGAAUGAGAUGGAGCCUGGUGACCACAUUACUGUUACUGUUACAGAGCCAUCUUAUGAACUUACAAAGGAGUGUGGUGUGAGUCUUGUGUAUGAGGAUGAUGGAGAGAAGAAGGAUGAAGAAGAUGUGUUGGGUUAUUACAAGUCAUGGAAUCACAUAAUUGGUGGAGAUCUCUCUCCUUUUCAGACAACUACAGGACAAUUCAUCCUAAGAAACCAGCAGUUUGUUACAUGUGGCUUAUGUAUAAUGACCCAUUUAUUUUAACAGAUAACUUAAAUCUUUUAAACAACUGGAUCAUAUAUACUAUUGAUUUUAUUGACCCAUAAGAUAAGAUGUUGUUUUAUAAAAAUAUUAAAGAUAANUAUAUAUAUAUAUAUAUAUUAUUGAUUUUAUUGACCCAUAAGAUAAGAUUUUGUUUUUAUAGUAAAAAAUAAAAGUUGUACUUUUAAUUUAUAAAAUGAAUAGAUGCAAGCAUUGAUUCAGAAACGGGGACAGUUUUGGUCCCAGGGGUAUUUUGGGAAAACUUUCCUAAUUUAAAGUUUUGAGUUAGUUUAGGAUUCCAAUUAGUUUAGUAUAAAUAGGGUAUGGUUGUGUGACAUUUUUAAUUAAGUUUUUUUUCAGUAAUAAAAUAUGGAGAACAAGUAAUUUUCCCAGAUUUCUUCCUCCCCUGUUUCGCUCAUGCUCUGUUUCUUUUCUGCACACAGUUGAAGUUUCCAUUCUGUCAUAAUCAAGUGAAUUGAUUCUUGUGUUAAGUUCAUUUUCAAGAGAAUUAAGCGAAUUAAUUCCUUCAUCACUUUCCAUAAAUAGAUGGAUAAUGACCCAUUUAUUUUAAUACAUAUGUCAUAACUUAAAUCUUUUAAACAGGAUCAUAUAUACGAUUGAUUUUAUUGACCCAUAAGAUAAGAUUUUUGGUUUGGUAUGGUGUGGUGGCAUCCAUUAUACCCUACCCUGAGGAGUAUUUAAACUUUUCAUUUUCUAGAUGAUUGUCAGCUAAGAAAAUUCUAGUAGCAAAAAGUAUUUGAGAGGCCCUUCCUCUUGAAAGAAUGGGAAAACCCUAUUAUUUAUAUAAUUCAUUAUCAGUUAGUUGUUUCUGGUUGUGAAUUUCCUGCUUAUUCUCUUUACUCCGUGUGGGGCUUAUCAGCACACUCAAUUGAUUAAGUCUUUCGAUAUGUUGGAUCACAUAAAUAUAUAUGGACCCAAUACGUAUGACUACUUUGUCCAAGUAGGUUGUUUGUGAACAAUGAUUAACAUAUCACUUUUAAUCUAUUUUCAGUAUGAAAGGAAAAGUUUUGGUUCAGAGCUUUAUCCCUAAGGAAGCUUGACAUAAGUCGUCGCGCACAUGAGGUAUACUUUUUGACACCCAAACCUUUUCUCUCAUCGCGUAAACAAAAGGAAUACACAACCGAAUAUUAGGAAUCAAAGCUCUCAAUUCGUUUAGGGUGUAACAAAAUAAGGGAGUUAUAACCUUUCAUUGAAUGCAUUGAAGUGGAAAUAUUAAAAUUUGGAAUCAUUGAAUACUACAAAUAUCUGUUCAUACCAUGUCUAAACACUAAGGGUCAAAAUCUAGGAUUGAAUUCUCACCACUCUCUGUCACAGUGUAAUAUGCAAUUGAGACCAAUUCAUAGAUUAAUAAUUUUCAGUAGAUGUUGUUCUUGGGUAAAUUCUAUGUUAAUAACAAACUAUUACACUUUGGAAGACAAUAUGAAAUUGUGUAAGCAUAUUGCUUGAUUUUAAGGAAUCUUAUUGAUAGAUUCAUUCUUAGGAUAGAACCAAGCAACAUGUUGAGAAUGCUUAAAUUGCUUCAAGAAUUUGGAAGAGAUGUGUCACCAGGACUCAUUAAUUCUGUUGAAUCAAGAAAAUGUAACAUAAUAUAUACGCUUCCAAGUAACUAUCUGUUUUCAUAACAUUUUGUGUUGUAUCCUGUAUAAUAUAUAACUUUUAAAAUUUUCUUACUUUUCGUUUCUAUGUAGGGUGAGGGGGGAUCUUCAAGGUCUCAUCCUUCACAUGAAAAGGAUUGAGAAAGUGAGGCUACAUGACUGGCAUGAGUUGAAAAUAGAUGCAAUGGGAAAAUGGGUAGCCUGAUGCUAUUGCAAACUCAAUCGUCUAUGACCUACUUUUCCAGAAGUAUUAAGAUAAUAUAUACCAGCCUCUACUACAAAAUUGAACACAUUUGGAAUUGUAUGUUAUUUCCCCAUGAUUCUUUUAAGCAUAGGUAUCAAAAUUAAACACUUCUUGAAUUGUGUGCUAUUUCUUGAUCAUAAUUUGAGCUGAAAUCUUGACCAUUGCCUUAUCAACAAUGUCUAUCGUGUCUAUGGACUCAAAAGCUCAAAUCCUUGAUAGGAUUCUAUAAUUUAUUUGGAUACUAUGUAAAAUUCGCUUGCUUCACCUUAAUAUUUUAAGACUCCGAUUCUGAAAGAUGAGAAUUCUUGUAUCAUUUGUUUUUUUAAUUUUAGAAGCAACAAUUUUAAUUAGGUCGCCCCUUUUUCUCCACAUCACGAGACAGGAUAGUAAUAGUAUCACAUAUUAAUUUAUAUAUCUUAUCUUUACCGUCCUCUAUAUCUUUAUUGUUACUCUUCUUGUUGUCAAAAGAAUAUCAUAUUCUCAUUUAUUUUCAUUUUCCAUCUCAUCUUGAUAUUCUAUCAAGUUAUGAGUAGUGUUUUUGCAACAAAGUUAGACUCCAAAAUAUGGUCAUUUGAGGCUGAAAAUAGAUCAUCUACAUCAAGUCAUCACUUAUCAGUGGUCUUUUUGACCACUCUCCUUUAGUGUUUUUUUCAUGUCCCCAGUGUCCUUAUUAACAACUUGAAUAUCACAUAACCCCUAGCCUGAUUUCACCUCUAUAUGAGCUAAAACAAACCGGUUCAUCUCCUUACCAACAUCUUGAUUACCAUUGAAGCCAUUAGAGUUGGUCAUAAUUACCAUUCACACUUGCAUUAGUAACCUUGUUUUCGGUAUCCACAUUGGAGAUACAAGGAGUAGAGGCUUUAAUUACCUCAUUUGCAACAGCUAUAGUAUGCAACUCCAUCAUAAAAAUAAAUAAAUAAAUAAAUCAUGUUCCCAGUAAUGUAUUGAAACAAAUGAACUCAUAUUCGUUUCUUCAUGAUACUCAACACUUCUAUCGCUUCUGUUGACUAAGUAAGGUUCUUUUUAUUAGUCUUCAUGCACACUUUGCCUCCUAACCUCUAUUUUUUCGAUCUCUAACCACACAACCUGUCAUCUACCACUGAAUAAUGCAUCCCGAAACCUUUCUGAUUAACAACUGCCACAGCUCCUUCUCGUUCAUAGAGUUGGGGAAAUUAGAAAAAUGAAAAGUAUAACAAAAUAUGAUCCAUUGAUUUACACGAUCUACUAAACUUCCUUCCUUCUCUUAAUUGAUCGAUCUUUGUAGAAGAAAUUUGCCAUCCUCCCUCCUGGUUGCACUGUUUCUUACCUGAUUGAAAUCUUUUCAUAAAGAUUCCCCUGUUAUUGGAUUGAAGAAAGCUCACUCAUACUCCUAAUAACACCUAUCAAAUUCCCCUGAAGCAAUCUGGUAAGCCUCCUGAUGAAACAUGAAACUUCUGUAUAUAUAACUUCCUCUUUCCAACAGAAUUAGCCAUAGAAACACAGUAGUCCUACGUAUUGGGUACAGAAACGAUUGAAAUAAUAUUAAAACUGGAAUUNNNNNNNNNNNNNNNNNNNUAAUAGGAGACACUGAAAAUGGUGUGCUAUAAUAAACAAAUCAAUGAAACACGUUGCUAUUUCUUGCAUUUAAACCUUAAGAGUCAGUCAAAGAUGGUAUUCAUGAGCAUUCAAACCUUGAAAAUGAAUCAAAGCACGCAUAUAGGCACACAAGUCCCUGGUCUAUUGCAUAGAAUCUGUGAAAAGAAUUUAGCAUGCUCUUCAAAGUUAUUGAAACAAAGAAACAAACAAGACUAAAUUACAAAAAUCGUCUCUAUGUUAUAUUACUUUUUAUGCGUAUGGUCAAGUCGAUGGAUUUAAUGGACGGGCAACCAGGGACUAAAAGUGUGACCAAAUGUUGGUUUAGGGAUGGAAAAGGUAAAUGAUGAAACUAUCAGACCAUAUCGAUCGCAUUUUCAACUUAUUUUGUUAUUAGGACAUAAUACUUUGAAGAAUCUAUCCAAUUAUAAUAGUGAAACUUGCAUUGUAUCGGGAUGAUAUUGCUACAAUUAAUAGGUUUUCAAAGUAUAUUGCGGUAAUACGCAUGAAUGAAAUUAGGAUGCUAUUAGAAAACAGAUCAAAAUUUUGUUUCUUAGAUUUAGCCCUAAUUAGUAAAAUGAAAAACUUGAAUUGUUUGAGAUAUAAACAAGAUACAAAUUACACAUACUCGACAUUUUAAAAUGAACAGGUUACAACACAUUAAAUAACAAUGUGAUAUGCAUUUAUACCACUUAUCAAUUGGUGAGUCCUCAAAGACACAUUCUUUCUGAACAUCAAUGCUAUAACUAACUGUUACAUUUUUCAAAGUAAAAUGCCCUAAGAAAGAAACGGAAGUACCUUGCUAUCAUCAUAAAACCAAAGUCAUUUGAAGUUGCUAAAAGGUUUGGUAUGUAUAAAUAGUCCCGUGCUUCAUUAGAAGAAUUGGAACUUACCAGUGGAUUUACAAGAAGGAAUUGAGAUUAUAGAAAACAUUACAUAAAUAGUCCCAUGCAUCAUUGGAAGUCAUAUAUAGGUUAAAUCAUUAACUUUUUUCCUUGAUGAAAAUGGUCUUUGUGGUUUCAAUUCCUUACAUGGUUUGUUUCUAAUCCAUAUAAAAUGAUAUCUAUAUAUACCAUUUUAAUAGAUUUAUCUUUUUUUUUUUACUUAAUUUUAUUUUUUAAUAUGUUAACAUUGAGGGACCCACCAUACCAAACAGUUCACACACCUAUGUUCACCAGAAAGAUUACCAAAGUUAUAUUCAAGCUUAGAAAAUUACAAGAAAUUAAGGUUGUAUACAACAGUAAGAAUAAAAAAAAAAACUCCAACAAGAAAGAAACUAUCUCUUUUCUGAUCAUUUUGAGGUCUCUAAAAAUCUGAAAGCUGCAUAACUUUCAGAUUAUUGGGUUCAUCGGUAACAGAAUAUCUAAAAUUUGUUGUAGAAUAAUUUGUAUCACAAUAAAAGUGGUGCAUCAAGUUGCAGGUAUAAUUAUCUUAUUCCACUUACUAAAAGCAUGGAAAUGGAAUAUUUGGUUUAUAAAAAGAGUCCCAGAAGAAUAUACUAUAUAGCUCAGAUAAAAAUCUCCCCAAUCACCUGGAUAGACAAUACCAUAUGAACCAAUGUAAAAAACAGCAUAAGCAUUUCAUCAAAUACCUUGACUACGUGAUGUAAGAUGACCACAUUCGCCAAAAAAACACAAUGAAAGAAGGAAAAUUUUAGGAACAUAAUCAAGUAUAACAUUCUAAAGAUUGAGAACUGAAUUAAAAAAACAUCAUCAUAAUAAUAAUAAUGAAAUAAACCAAAACAAAGACAAUGUAACUUGAAAGAUUUAUAUAAAGCUCUGUUAUAUCUACUGACGGAAUAAGAAAUUGAGGAGGAGGAUGAUGGAAGUACAAGAUCUAACCAUGACAAAUGAACAAUGAGCGUUGGUUUGGAGAUGUUUCUGUCUAAUUUCCAAUACGGGUGAUUUUAAGAAGGCCUUCGAACACCUCACAUUAUUUCUUAUUCAAAUUUUGAUCCGGAAUGUCUAAUAAAGAUACCAUGGAAAGAUGAUCCGUUAGAAACAAUAAAUGUGGCUCUCGGAGCAGCGCGGUGGAGCAACUGAGCGCAAUAUGAAGCAUUGCCCUCGACCACUACCAGAAGUCAGGAAUUGAGUUUGAUUGUGCUUCUAGCCCUUGAACAUCGCUAUCUGAAAUUGGGAAUUGGGGACGAAUUUCAGGGAGAAAUUAGAAUUGAAGCAACGUCAGAAUGUGGGAUCGUGGAAAAAUAUACUUCACCUGUGUGAGAGCGAGGCGAGAGUGUUGCCGAUUCAACAAUGUUGUAACAUGAUAUUCAUUAUUUAGUAGGUUUGGUUCACGAUUAUUUUGGAUGGAAUUUGAAUUUGUUAAACAAAUUGAAAUUCAUUAAUUAGAUUUAGAAUUUGAAGGAAUUAAUCCAUGUUAUGUCUUUGGUUGGUAAAAAGUGAGAUGAAAUUUUAAUUUAUAAACAAAGGGUAAAAUGGAAUCUUUUUUCUCAUUGAACACCUUUAACAAAUAACAUAAAUCAUCCUUAACCAUUGAGGCCUAAAUUACCAAAUAGCCCUUAAAUUUAUAAAUGGAUACUCACAUAAAUGACUAUUAAGUAGGGGUGAGCAAAAACCGAACCAUCAAAACCAAAAGAAACCGCAAUUGACCAACCGAAACCAAUGCAAAAAACCUUUGGUGCGGAUUUAAUUUCUACAAAAACCGAAGUUAUCGGUGUGGUGCGGUUUUUAUCAAAAAACCGGUCCACCAAAACUGAACCGCACCAAAGACAUAUAAAUAAUAAAUUAUUAAUUUCUAUUAUAUACAUAAUUAUAUAUCACAUGUUAUUUGAAAAAGUAAUAAAUACUAAUGUAACUUUGACGAUAGGUUUAAUAAUUUAAUCAUAUUCGAGAGCAUUUAAAAGAAGUCUCAUUGUUCCCUUCUUCCUUUCCUGAUCUUGUGUUAGACGAAAUCAAUGUUUGUUUAAUUGUGUUUGUGGAACCAUAGAAAUGUGUUUAGGCGGAGGCCACUGUAAGUUUUUUUAACACGUUAAUGGUAUGACAUAAAUAGGUUUUACUAGAUUGUAUGACAUAAAUUGUUUUUUUUCCUACAAAACUUAAUUAAUAUGUUUAUUUAUCAAUGCUUUUGUAGUUUUGUAUAUAUAAAAAAGAACUUGUUUUACAAAAGGCUAUGACAUAAAAUCAUAAAUGAUUGUUUAAAAAAUACGUUGUUUAAAAAACAAAAAAAAAGUUGUCCAUAUGUUGGCUAUUUAGUUAAAAAUUGGCUAAAUUAGUUUCAAAAUAUGGCACCAGGCAAGAAUUAAGAAUUAUUGGACUUGCAUAGUUACAAAAAAACCUGACCCAUAACAGCAAAAACCGCACCAAUACGUAUACCAGAUUUAAAACUGAAACCGCACCAUUUAAACCGAAACCGCAUGAUAAAACCGCAAAACCGAACCAAUGAAAAACCGCACACGUUGGUUUUAGUUCUACAAAACCUCACCUUGCAUUUAGCGGUUCAGUAUUGCCCUAAAACCCCACCAAACCACACCAUACUCACCCUAGUAUUAGGAGCAAAGUUAUUAUCCUAAAAGAUUUGUACGACCAUUUUCUUGGCAGCACAUGACACAUGAAGUAUAUGAUAACUACAAAAGGGUCAAUGGCCUAGCGGUAUGGAGUGACCGUCUCAUAUGAGAGGUCAGGAGUUCAAGUCUCAGUGGAGACAUAGGUGGUUAUUUAGUAGUAGAUUAGUUAGUUUGCCGUUUCAAAUAAAAAAAGUAUAUGGUAACUUGAUGUGAAAAACGAAUUCUUUUAUGAGGAGGUUGAGUGAUAUACUUUAGAACAACCCCAAAGUUUUAUUUCACAUCUGUUUUUAGGAUAUGUUGAUAAGUUUGCAAGAUUUAUCUUUAUUUCAUACGAGAAGUUAUCUUUUAUUAUUAUUUAAGAUUAGUAUGUAACACCGGUCAAAAUUAGGUCAAAGAUAAUUCCCAUAAAUAUAAUUAACACACAUUAUAAUCAAUUUACUUUAAUAUUUAAUGAUAUUUUCAUUCAACACUACAAGUCUAAACGAUUCCAAAAAUAUAUAGAACGUCUAAAUCUGACUUCGCAUGAAGAAGUUAUGAUAAAUUCUAUCACUAUAGUAUUUGUAACAAGUGGAAUUUAAAAUAGACUUAGAAUUAGCUAUUGGAAUCUAGAAGAAAGUUGUAGUACUCGGAAAUACUAACGCGUGGAUAAAAGAACAUCAAAAAUGAAGUUCGUAUACAAAAGUUAUGACCUUCCGAAGAUGCAGUUGUCUAAGUGCAUGACACGUGGUAGAAACCCUAGCCGCCAUGGUUCACGACGUGAACAUUAAUUCCACGACGUGAAACGUGUCAGGGGCACUAAUCGGGGCUAGAAAACACGUGUUAAAGCUACGGGGUGACUCAUGGAUGUUCACGACGUGACCCUAGGCAUGUCACGACGUGAAUGUGCCAAAAUCAGCCUAUAAAUAGCGAUCAAGACCCUUUCAUUCCUUACACCUUCUACUUUUCUCUCCCUCAUUUUUCGUAGGUUGUUUCCCUUCUCGAGCCUGACAACGACGAGCCUUUGACCGUUUAGAUUCUAUAGAUCACGCUACUAGGGUGAGUUUCACGACCCCACUUUUUAAUAUUUUCGGGGAAAAACACAUGCUAAAUAUUGUAUAUAAGUUAAUAUUAUAUCUAUAUGAUAGUAUAUUCGUAUCAACAAAACUAGUUAUAUUAACUUGGAUAUAGUUGUUUUAAAUAUGAUAUUUUGAAAAUAUACAACUAUUAUCAACUUGUUAGCAUGUUACUGUACUNAUAUAUAUAUAUAUAUGUUAUGUGUGAUAUAGUUUCGGAGUUAUACUCGAAAGUUCUAUAUACAAAUUACUAAGUAUGUUUCUAUUGUUGGUUUUAUGUCAAGAUAAAACCUAGUUUUACCUCAAGUUAUAGCUGUUAUACUACCUAAAUAUUAUGAAAUUAGGAGUAAUGCUUAAAAGCAUUGUCUAGUAAGUUAGGGUUUUAGACACGAAUAUGCUGUUGUUGUUAGAGCUAUAGGAGUCGUUGAAGUCUACAUGAGCUAUUGUAUUCAUCAACUAAGAUUGGAAAUCUUAGGGAAAAUCCUCUGACCUGUAAACGUUAAUCCCGAGCGAGCGAGGAAGUCAUGUAUGAAUAAGAUACAGGUUGACAACCCCACUUGUGUUUGUUAGCUACAACCAAAUUUAAACGAGUGACGAACUGUCCUUUUAUUUGUUAAUUGUUCCCACGUUUAUGAAGCGUGUGGAACUUAUCUUAAGAUGCGAAACUUGUAGCAUCAAGCAGAGGUUUGAAACUAGGCAUACAGCCGCGGUUACGGACUUAUGGUAGCAUUAUGCAAUUGAGACCAAUUCAUAGAUUAAUAAUCUUCAAUAGAUGUUGUUUUUGGGUAAAUUCUAUGUUAAUAACAAAUUAUUGCAUUUUGGAAAACAAUAUGAAAUUGUUUAAGCAUAUUGCUUGAUUUUACGAAAUCUUAUUGAUCGAUUCAUUCUUUGGAUAGAACCAAGCAACAUGUUGAGAAUGCUUACAUUGCUUCAAGAAUUUGGGAGAGAUGUGUCACUAGGAAUCAUUAAUACUGUUGAAUCAAGAAAAUGUAACAUAAACUUUUACAAUUUUCUUAAUUUUCCUUGAUCUGUAGGGUGAGGCGGAAUCUUGAAGGUCUCAUCCUUCACAUGCAAAGGAUUGAGAAAGAGAGGCUACAUGGCUGGCAUGAAUAGAAAAUAGAUGCAUUCGGAAAAUGGUUAGCCUAAUGCUAUUGCAAACUUAUUAUAUCCUACUUUUCCAGAAGAAUUAAGAUAAUAUAUACCAGCUGCCUCUACUGCAAAAUUAAACACAUUUGGAAUCAUAUGCUAUUUCCCCAUGAUUCUUUUAAGCAUAGUUAUCAAAAUUAAAUACUUCUCGAAUUAUGUGCUAUUUUCCUGAUCAUAAUUUGAACUAAAAUCUUGGUCUCAGUUAUUACCUUAUCAACAAUGCAAUCGUGUCUAUGGACUCAAAAUCUUAAAUCCUUGAUAGGAUUUUAUAAUUUAUUUGGGUACUAUGUAAAAUUCGCGUGCUACACCUUAAUAAUAUUUUUAGACUCUGAUUCUGAAAGAUGAGAAUUCUCAUAUCAUUUGUUUUAUUAUUAUUAUUUUAGGAGCAACACUUUUAGGUCGCCUCUUUUUCUUCACAUCACAAGAUAGUAAAGUAAUAGUAUCAUAUAUUAAUUUAUAUAUCUUAUCUUUACUGUCCUCUAUAUUUUUAUUAUUACUAGUUGUUGUUGCCAAAAGAAUAUCAUAUUCUCAUUUAUUUUCAUUUUCCAGUUCAUCUUGAUAUCCUAUCAAGUCAUCAGUGGUGUUUUUGCAACAAAGUUAGACUCCAAAAUCUGGUCAUUUGAGGCUGAAAAUAAAUCAUCUACAUCAAGUUAUCAGUAUUCUUUUUGCACUGCUCUGAAAAAGCAAAGUAUGAAACUGUUGGACCAAAUUUAUAAAAAGAUAAAACACAGGGAUGAUUUUUGUAAUUUAGUCAACAAAUAAUUACUUGCAGAAGUAAAGGCAAAGUACCACUUCAUGAAGCCCUUUCUACACCAAAACACCUGCUUCAAAAACUAGCAAUGUACUUUCAUUAUUGUUGUUAUAGAAUUCUACUUCCAUUUCUUUCUAUUACAUCAAUGUAUUUUAUAUAUUUUUUUUCUUAUGAAAGCAUUAUACAUUGAAAUAUCUACCCAAUAAAAGCAUUGCAUUUUCAACUUAUUUUAUUAUUAGGGCACAAUACUUCAAAAACUAGCAAUGUACUUAACAACCAAUUUGGAUUGUCAUAUUGCAAUUCUCAAGCACACAUACAAACAAUCACGACUGUGUUGCUUGGAUAAUCCUUAGUCUACAUCUUAAGUCUUAAGAUAGAAAUGGCUUACAUCCUUUAAACCCUAAAAGCCAGUUUAUCACAAAUUAUCAAGCCAAAAUCAUUCAAUUGUGGUAAAAGUUAAUACAUGUUUCUGGUUAUUGAACUCAUUUGCUUCACACAUAUAAACUCUUGAUUGAUGGAAAUGCGUAUAUAAGUAAGGACUUUAAUUUACUCAAUAGCAAUCACGAUUCUCAACCAUCAUAUAGGAAAAUUGUUUUUUUUUUCAAACGCAGCUUUGGAUUUCGAAGAACAAAUAACAAUAAUGCUAGUAGUUGACUGAAUUUUACCGAGAGAAGUAUAUUUGUUAAUAGGUCACGCAUUUCGCAAUUCGUCAUUUAGAUGUUGAGCCUCGACUGACCUGGUUUUGUAGAAUAGCAAAUGACUUGAGAUUACGCAACUUCGGAUCCACUUCCUUAUAUUUCACAUCCGACUCGUCUCCCUUGGUUUCGUUGGGUGAAAGAAUUGUUACGAGAAGAAAUGGAAUUAGCCAAUUGAAUAGAAAGAAUUGAAAUUCAGGAGAAAAUUAGGUAAAUGGUCCCUUGCAUUACAAAAAGUCAUAAAUUAGUUAUUAAAUUAUUGUCAUUAACAUUUUUUGUGAUAAAAAUACACAAGUGAUCCUUGUGGUUGGUAGAAAAUACAAUUGGAAGUCUCUUUGAGGAAUUUUUAACAUCUUUUGGGCCUCCAUAAUGCUUCCCACUCAUUCUCAUUGACGCAGAACGAAAGCAAAAAUAAAGAAAAACUCAAAGUGUUUUAUUACUGGAAUUCCAAUUCUUCCCUUAAACAUAGAGGCUCAAACCCCUGAUUAGGUUUUGCAAUUAAAUAGUGGCAACACCAUGGCGAUAUAUGCCACAUUGUGACGCCAACUUAAUGCCACGAUAACUCUUGCCUUGGAUAUGUUGUGGGACUCCCUCACCACGUUGUGGCCAUAAGAGAUCCAACUUUCAAUUUAUCAAAAUUACAAAAAGGAGCAUUUCCGAAGAAGUUAUGAGUUGAUGAAAGCGUAGAGUUUGUCACACCCCCAAACCAGAACGGCGUAAACGUUCGGGGGCGGAGGACGUCAUGUUCAAUAUCAUAACAGUUCAUAGAAAGGAAAGUACACACCACCAUAUAUAAUAAGUUUGCAAGAUGUUUACAUAGUUGUAUUCAUUACAUGUUCAAAAUAAAGGUACAUAAACAUCAUUCAAAAUGAAGUAAUUAACGCCAGCGCGUUAAUCCCAAAAGUUGAUUCCCAACCUGCUUAGCGAUUUCCUGAGAAUACAAGUUAUUUCAAAGAAAAAGUGUCAACAAUUAAGUUGGUGAGUCCAUAAGUAGUUUAGAAAAAUUGGAUGCCAUUCCAAAAUGGGUGUAUGUUUUCCAGUAAACGUAGCGUUUCAAAAUGUAAAGAGUUAUGAUUUGUGGUGUUGGAAAUGAAUGCAUUAGCUCCAGAAAAUCCCAUAUUUUCCUUAAUAGUCGAAAUACGAUUUGUUGUGUUUUCCAAGAAAAACCCUUAUUUUCUUAUAAAAGUAUGAGAUGUAUAUAGUUGUUCAUGUUAUAAGUUGUAAAUGAUUGCACCGGGAAAAUCCCUUAUUUUCCUAUUAGUUGUUUGGUUUGUAUGCAGGAAAAACCCUUAUUUUCCUCACACAUAAUGCCAGUCUCUAAGACCGAAAAUUGCAAGAAACCGACGUUUCUCGUAAGUGUGUCAUAGUUUUAUAUAUAAUAAAACUACGCGAAGACCGAACCGGUUGGAUGAAGAAUAGUUUUAAUAACUACUCGCUCAUCAAAACUGAAUAUCAUAGUAAUUGUAUAUCCGAUGAGUUUCUAUAACCAUACUAAACAUAAUAUGCCUGUAACGACGUUCUUCAGGCGUCGCAGUGCUAUGACAACUGUCACCCCAAAAGACGGACUGUAGCUAACAGUCAGGGUGCGGGAUCAUGACUUCCCGUAUAGAUCUAUACACAUUUGACACGUUCUCGUCACGGGAGAUUCUGGUUAUAGACAGGACUUACUGCAGUACUUUCUAAUAAAGAAAAGUAACGUUUGAAGAUGUACGCGUCUCAUGGAUUCUCAAUUAAGUCUAUAUUAAAGUGAUAGUUUUGUAUGCAAAGUUUAUCUUUUUUUCAAAAUGUUUGAUAAAGCAAAAUCAUAAGUUUUUAGAAUGUAUAAAACGAUUUAACAAUGAAAGAUCAUUAUAUGCUUCGUAUAAGUCUAAUGCACACAAAGUAUGACAAGAGUUUUCCAUAAUAGUAAUGAGUUCCAAGUGGUUUAUUUGAUAAUAUAAGUGAAGUGAAACUUUAUAAAAUACACGAUAAUAACCGUAUGUUUACUUGUAUUCCCCCCCUAAAAGAGUGUAAAAGUAUUUAAAAAUGUAUUUAAAGUGUGUUAGAAAGGGGUAUGAACUCACUUGACAACUUGAAGAUGGCGAGAUGGAAAAACGGCAGAGUUUCGUCUCGGGAAAUGGAUUUUCCUCGGAAAUCUCGGGAUUCCUCGGGAGAAAAUCGACCUUCGGAUCUUGCACGAAGCGACCAGGGCUUCGGGGUAGUACGAGCACGGAAAACGAGGAAAAACGCAAGAGAAAUGAGAGAGAAUGAGCCCUUUCUUUGGAAACCUUCGUAUGCUAUUUAUAGAGAGGCUGGUCUGCCUCAGUACGCGGGGCGUACGCUAGUACGCGGGGCGUACGCUAGUACGCAGCGCGUACGCGUACGUCACGCAUGACCGAGGCCUCGACUGCCUCGGCUNUGGGUCGGAUGGGACGCCGGGUCGGAUGGGACGUCGGGUCGGACGGGUCGGACGGGUCGGCUUCCUCGGAUAUGGCGACGUGGACGAUCCGAGGCCAAUCCUCUCGGUUACGCGGGGCGUACAGGAGUACGCAGCGCGUACUUCGGAGAAGGACGCUGACUCCUCUUCGGAUAAUAUCCGAAUUUUGAAUAAAAAUUAUAUAUAAAUUAAUUAUCAAACUUCAAAAAUUCAUAUCUCCCUCAUACGAACUCCGUUUUUGGCGUUCUUUAUAUCCCCGCGAAGGUGAGACUACGAUCUACAACUUUCAUUUAGAUUCCGUUGGCAAAUUCCGAAAUUAUUUUUAUUAUUUAUUUAUUAAAGUGACGUGUUUAAGGAAUUUCUUUAAAAAUUCAUAACUUAUUCAUAUGAUGUCCGAUUUGAGCGUUCUUUUUAUGCAUGUUUGUAGUUUAACGAUAUCUAUCACUUUCAUUUAGACACCUAAGGUCAGAAAAUGUUUUAUUGAAACUUUGCGUUUUUACGUAACUUUGUAUUGCUGGUUUUUGUCGGAAAACUUAUAAUGAGCAUAACUUCUUCGUUAUAACUCGGAUUUUUGUGUUAUUUAUAUGUUUGGAAACCUUAAGAUGAUAACUACCACAUAGUGUACUCCAAAUAGAGUUUUUGAAUACUUCAUAUUCUAUUUCCUUUCUCAAGGAGGUUACAUGACUCGAUCUUUACUGACAUGAAAUAACGGGUUGUUACAGAGUUUCUCAUUGCCUUUUCAUCGAUAUAAGGAUUGUCGCACAUCGUACAAGUUGAGUACACCCCGCGUACUCAUCAGGAAUGGAUUCCGGUGUUUGGGCUUCGGUUUGGGCCAUCUUUUGUGUUUAGUUGCUUUAGGCCAUAUUGCGUGUGACAUCCCAAAAAUCUCGGCCAGAAAAGACCGAUUUUCAUUUAUGCUUUUAAAAUAAUUUCAGAGUAAAUCCUUUUGAUUUGAAAGAGUUGCGGAAUUUGUUCCCAAAAACAAAACGUGAUAAAAUAAUAUUUACCAAAGCAUUUCAUAAAAGAAAUGUAUUUUCAUUAUAUAAUCAAAACUCGGGAUGUCAUGUUCCGAUACAGACCAUAAAGCAUAAACGAUGACAUUACAAGUCAUUCAACAAAUAUAUACAUAUACAGACUUUUAAACAAAACAACUUGAUGGUUCAUCCAUCUUAUGCCCUUGCACCACUUCCUGUAAUACAAAUAAAACUGAGUGGGUCAGGCGUGGGAGCCUGGUGAGCAUAUAGGGUUUUCAACCCACAAUAAAUAAUUAUAUUUAAUUCCACCAAUCAACAAUAACCCAAUUACCCAUUCCCAUUAUUCUCACUUUACGUCCCUAAAACAACUAACACAAGGGACCCUAGUCUUAGAAUAUUUGAUCGGGGCAACAACACAUGCAUUCGGGGGUUUCCCGACAAUAUAUGUCAAACAAGGCAACCGUGAGGGGGAUGGAGUACAGCGAAUGAACACCCAAGUUCAUUAAGACCUACAGGUGGCGAACCUGCUAGCGUUCCACAGGACUUUCUAGAAAAGUCUGUGGUCGUCAUCUAAACUCCGUUAGAUGACUGAAUCAAAACAACAACGAGGCCUCUCAUCUGUUUAUUACACACCAACUAUCUACCCAUGUUCUACCCAACAUAUUAGUAGAUAAAAACAUACAUUUUUAUACAUAGUUUAAAAACCUGUAUAGCAUGCUUUAAUCAAUACAUAUUCCAAAACAACAGAUGAGACACAUACACAUAACACGUAUUUCAUUGAGAAUAAAUCAUAUCUAUGAGAUAGAAGAAAGUGAAUAUACAUUCUCGCAUAUAACAAGAAAAUGUACACAUAACACGUAUUUUAUAUUAAAUACUUAAUAAUUAUGCGUUAGAAGAAAGUAACCACACACUCACCUGAUCAGAAGAUGAUCGGACAGCACUACGGCUUGCAGAAGUAGUAAUCCUCAACAGAUCUGGAGGAUCUCAACAGAUCUGGAGGAUCUCGAGAAUCGCACUUCUUGGGAUCCCGGGAGCAUGAAACUUCCUUUUUAAUUUGGAUAUGAGGUUCGGGGUGUCGGGAUGGCUUCGGGGGUUUAUGCGCAGAGUUUCGGCACAAAGAGGAGAAGAAAUGAGCAAAAAUACCCGGAACCCUCGCAUCCUAUUUAUAGGAGGUUGAGGCCUCGUCGUACGCUGGGCGUACAGCCUUACGCGGGGCGUAAGCCGCCGAAUUCGUCACUGCAUGCAUCAUCCGAAGAACUCGAGUGCGAGGUGCAUCAUGCUUCGCGGUACACUGAUCAUUGAUUCCUUCGGAUAUACAUCCGAAUUAAAGAUUAAAUUUAAAUACUAAUUAUUUAAUAAACUUCGGAAAUUCAUAUCUUCUUCAUACGAACUCUGUUUUCGACGUUCUUUAUAUCCACGCUUAGGUGAGACUACAUUCUACAACUUUCGUUUAGACUUCGUCUGCUAAUUUUGAAUUUAUUUAUAUUAUUUAUUUUUAGUAGGCCCGGACAGGAAAACUUCGUUAUAAAUUCAUAAUUUCUUCGUUUGACGUCCGUUCUCGCCUAACUUUUUAUCGUUUUACUACAAUUAAUGAGAUCUCCGAUUCUCAUUUAGAUUGUUUCGGCUAAAAACCGCUCGGUCUCAAAUUGAGUAUUCGGGCUGCAUACCGCUAAGUCAAAACUUCGAAAAAUUAUAACUUCCUCAUACGAAGUCAGAUUUUGGCGUUCUUUUUAUGCACGCUCUCGGUUUAACGAACUCUACGACUUUCGUUUAGAUUACUAAGGCUAAAUAUCGCUCUAACGUAAAUUUCACUUUUUACGUCAUUCAGCGUUUGUCGGUUCUGUCGCGAAACUUCGACAGGUUAUAACUUCUUCGUUAUAACUCGGAUUUCGACAUUCCUUAUAUCUCCGGAAUCCUUGUUUCGAGCACUACAACCUUAUGUAAAGAUAUUGAGUUUAUUUUACACUUAAAUUUUGACGCUUAUUUUAUUCUUAAUUAAUCAAAUCACAUAAUUAAGCAAUUAAGCACAAAACACAUAAUACUCAAAUAAUUCAUCAUUAAUACUUCAAAAAGAGUUACAAGGGUUAACCUAGACUAUUAAAUCAAUGAAAAUGCCUAGCCUGGAAACGCAGGCGUUACAAUUCUCUCCCUCUUAGGAUGAUUCCAUCCCCGGAAUCACACAUCAACAAACAAAUGCGGAUAGCGACUCAACAUGUCACUCUCCGUUUCCCAGGUGAGAUUUGACCCAUUCGUAUGUUUCCAACGGACAAGCACUAAUUCGACCAUCUUGCAUCGAAGCUUCUUAGUCUUUCGGUCAACAAUUGCCUCAGGUUCUUCAAUUAACCUCUUGUUUUCAUCAAUUCUCAAUUCAGAAAUUGGAAUUAUAUCGGGAACUUCUCCCGUGAACUUCCUCAAAUAACACACAUGAAAAGUGUUGUGAAUUCCAUUCAGUUCUUCGGGUAAUUCGAGCUUGUAAGCUUGGUUCCCAAUCCUCUGAAGAACUUUAAACGGUCCAAUAAACCUUGGACUCAACUUUCCCCUUUUACCAAAUCUUAUAAGUCCCUUCCACGGCGAGACUUUAAGCAAAACCGAAUCUCCAACCUCAAAAGUCAUCGGUCUUCGCUUCUUGUCAGCAUAGCUCUUUUGAUGAUCUUGAGCUGCUAACAUCCUUUCCCUAAUCACUUUCAACUUCUCAGCAGUUUGAUGGACCGUCUCGGGACCCAUAAACUGUUUUUCCCUAGCCUCAAGCCAACAAGACGGCGUACGACACUUUUAUCCGUACAAAGCUUGAUAAAGUGCCAUCUUUAUGCUUGAGUGGAAACUAUUGUUGUAGGAAAAUUCUACCAAAGGUAAAUAUUCAUCCCAAUUACCUAGGAAUUCUAGGGUACAUGCUCUUAGCAUAUCUUCAAGUGUUUGUAUUGUUCUUUCACUCUGACCAUCAGUCUGCGGAUGGUAAGCUGUACUUAAACAUAACUUGGUACCCAUUUCCUUUUGUAGACUUUUCCAAAAUCUUGAGGUGAAACGGCUAUCACGAUCCGAUACAAUCGUUAACGGAACACCGUGAAGCCUCACAAUUUCCUUCACGUAAGAAUUCGCAAGCUUUUCCAUAGACCAUUUCUCCUUGGCCGCUAUGAAAUGCGCACUCUUAGUGAAUCGAUCAACGACCACCCAAAUCAUGUCGUGACCAUUCUUUGUUCUGGGCAGUUUAGUGACAAAAUCCAUAGCAAUGUCUUCCCACUUACCCAUAGGCACAGGCAAAGGUUCUAAACUCCCGUACGGUUUCUGAUGUUGUGUCUUGACUCUCGCACAAGUCACACACUCGGCCACAUACUUUGCAACAUCAAGCUUCAUCGUCGGCCACCAGUAGUAGGGUUUCAGGUCCCUAUACAUUUUAGUGCUACCCGGAUGAAUCGAGUACAUGGUCUUGUGAGCUUCUUCCAUCAGAAGAUCCCUAAUUCCUCCUGACUUAGGUACCCAAAUACGAUCUUGGAAUACCUUCAGUCCAUGACCGUUUGUACCAAACACCAACGUUUUACCCAAACGUUCCUCCUUCCGGUCAUUCUUCUCAGAAGCUUCCUCUUGAGCUCUCUUUAUACUCUCCACAAUUGUCGAGACAACUUCUAUUUUCAAUGCUCUUGGCCUUUUCCUUUCAACAUUGACUUUACGACUAAGACCAUCAGCAACAACAUUAGUUUUACCGGGAUGGUAAAGUAUCUCACAGUCGUAGUCCUUGAGUAACUCUAGCCAGUGUCAUUGCCUCAUAUUCAAUUCUUUCUGAUUAAAGAGAUAUUGGAGACUCUUAUGAUCAGUGAAAAGUUUGCACUUCAUGCCAUAGAGGUAAUGCCUCCAUAUUUUUAGAGCAAAAACUACCGCUGCCAACUCCAAAUCAUGAGUCGGGUAGUUCUUUUCAUGCUCUUUUAGCUGUCGAGAUGCAUACACGAUCACGUUAUCUCUUUGGGUCAAAAAACAACCCAAUCCAACUCCAGACGCAUCGCUAUAAAUAGCGAAGUCUUCAACUCCAUCGGGUAGAGAAAGAAUCGGUGCCUCGCAUAACUUCUUCUUUAGCUUCUCGAGUGCUUCUUUAUGCUUAUGACUCCAAGCAUAAGUAGCUCCUUUGUGGGUCAAAGCUGUCAAUGGACUAGCGAUCGAAGAAAAGCCUUGGAUAAACCUUCGGUAAUAUCCGGCUAAUCCUAAAAAGCUUCGGAUCUCCGUGGGACUUUUCGGUUGUUCCCACUUCAUUACAGCUUUAAUCUUUGCAGGAUCAACCAUUAUCCCUUCUUGGUUGAUCACUUGACCCAAGAAUUGGACUUCACGAAUCCAAAAUCACAUUUGGAGAACUUUGCAUACAACUUCUCCUGCUUCAAAACUUCUAACACUUCUUGCAAGUGUCUGCCAUGCUCCUUAUGGCUUUUCGAGUAAAUCAGAAUGUCAUUUAUGAACACUAUCACGGAUUUAUCAAGGAACGGAUUACAAACACUAUUCAUUAAAUCCAUGAAUGCUGCUGGAGCAUUGGUUAGUCCAAACAACAUAACCAAGAACUCAUAGUGUCCAUAUCGUGUUCUGAACGCAAUCUUCUCGAUAUCCUGCNAUCCUGACCUAAGAUCGAUCUUCGAGAAAUAGCUCGAACCUUGCAAUUGAUCAAACAGGUCAUCAAUCCUCGGCAACGGAUAUCUAUUCUUUAUUGUUGCCUUGUUCAGCUCUCUGUAAUCGAUGCACAUUCUCAUACUUCCAUCUUUCUUCUUUACGAAUAACACCGGAGCUCCCCAGGGCGAUGAACUAGGUCUAAUGAAACCUUUGUCCAAUAACUCCUGAAGUUGCAUCAUCAGCUCCUUCAUCUCCGUCGGUGCUAAUCGAUAAGGUGCUUUUGCUAUUGGCGUGGUUCCUGGUAACAAGUCAAUUCUGAACUCCACUUGUCUAUCAGGUGGUAAUCCAGGAAGAUCUUCGGGAAAUACUUCUGGAUAAUCACACACCACUGGAAUACUCUGCAUCACCUUCUUUUCCUUCUUAGCAUCAAUCACGAAUGCUAAAUAUGAUGUACAUCCCUUGGUCAAACACUUUCUGGCUUUCAUUAGGGAAAUGAUUCCAGAAUUUACUCAGCGUUUGUCCCGAAACACCAUAAACGAAUCUUUCCCAGGUGGGUUUACUUUAACUAUCUUCUUCUUGCAUAAAAUUUCGGCAUCAUUGGCGCUAAGCCAAUCCAUUCCCAGAACGACGUCGAAACCAUUAAGUUUGAUAGGAAAUAAUUCAUCGUGAAACUUAUUCCCAUUAAGGUCGAUUAAGAUGUUUUUCAUACGAUGGCUAACAGGUACAAACUUGCUACUAGCAACUUCGACUAAUAAAGCAUUAUCUAGUCUAUCAAUAGGCAAAGCUAUUUUUCUACCAAACUCAUGCGAAAUAAAGGAGUGGUUGGCUCCAAAAUCAAACAAAAUUUGAGCAGGUAAUUCGUUUACGAGAAAGGUACCUGAAGCGACAUCAACUUUAUCUUUAGCAGCCUCAAGUGUCAUUUGGAAGGCUCUCGCCUUCGGCUUUGGUGGAAUGUUGGGCUCAGCUGCCUCCUUCUUCUUCGGACAGUCUUUCAAAAUGUGCCCCUCUUCAUUGCAACCAAAACACAUCCUUUUGUUGGACGAACACUCAUUGGCAAAAUGCCCAAUUUUUCCACACUUGUAGCAGGUUACAUCCUCACUACACUUCCCAAAGUGCUUUUUCUUACACUUAUCACACCAUUUCGCUUCGCAUCCUUUUCCUCCAAACUUUUUCGAAUCAGAUUUCGAAAAAUUGCUUCUCUUACCGGAACCAGAUGUUCCCUCAAACUUUCUCUUCUCACCAACCUCAACCUUGUCGGUGGUUCUCCCCUUAAUCAUGUUCUCAACAGACUUGACAUCCCAAAUAGCUGCCUCUAGAGCAGGUGCCUAACAAACUGGCACUGCGUACUCCCAUGAGAGUCCCUUUGCAUACCGGUCAACCUUUGUUAACUCAUCUGGAACGAUGCGCAAAGCAAACUCCAUCUUAUCGGUAAAGUUAUUAGUGUAUUCAUCAACUGACAUGCUGCCUUUCGUUAAUGUUAGAAACUUGUUCAUCAACUGAGCCGAGCAGAACUUGCGCUUGAACUGCACCAAGAAUUCUGCCCGUGUCAAUUGCAGUGGCUCAUUAGGGCUUAAAGUCUUCCCUAGAGUGUUCCACCAACGAACGGAUCCACCUCGGAACUGACGUACUGCGAACGNCCCUCCCCCCCCACCCACAAGUCAUAAAGGCUAACUCCAUUUCGGAGAUCCAAUCCAUCACUCCGAUCGGGUCCUCCUUUCCAGUGAAGGUCGAUGGUUUGCAAGUCAGAAAGUCCUUGUACUUGCAUCUUAUUCCAUCAUUCCUUCCAUCAAGGUUGUUUUGCCUAACUAUCAGUGGGUUGGCUUGACCAGCAGACCCACUGAAGUUUCCACCUUCCGAGUGCCCUUCAUUAAAUUCAGGCUCUUCCACAUGAAUUUACAGUUCUUCACGAUUCUGUUGAAGCAACCACCUAGUUUCAUCCAUCUGACGAUCCAACAUUGUUUGAAUCAUCAUUUGCACACCAGCCAUGGUUAUUGGCUCAGGUGCUGCUGCUACGACAGGUAUUUGUUCAAUCACUGGUGGUUGAUUCCUGUUUUCAUCAGCAUUUCCAACUCCACUUCUUGUUCUCACCAUUUUGAUCUACACACCGAAUAAGGUGAAAUUAGAUCCUCAAUCACGAUAGAUAUUCAAAUCAUCCUUAUCACUCCGAAACGUUCACAUGCUAGUUCUAAUAUUGUAGACGUACGCUUAGAAUCCUACACACAUAAAGUUUCUAGAUCCGGUUGGCAACAGACCAUAGAUCCGAACAAAUAAUAUCAUAUAUGGCAACAUAUAACAUUUAGCACAUAAAAGCAUUUUAGGCAACUUUCCUAAAAUAAACUAGUGCUCGUGUCUAAAACAUAAUAGACACAUAUCUCAAAACUUCACUUAGCAUUUUAAGUUUAAGUCUCGAAAUCCUACAAAUUCCUAGUUCGCUUAAACUAAUGCUCUGAUACCAACUGUGACAUCCCAAAAAUCUCGGCCAGAAAAGACCGAUUUUCAUUUAUGCUUUUAAAAUAAUUUCAGAGUAAAUCCUUUUGAUUUGAAAGAGUUGCGGAAUUUGUUCCCAAAAACAAAACGUGAUAAAAUAAUAUUUACCAAAGCAUUUCAUAAAAGAAAUGUAUUUUCAUUAUAUAAUCAAAACUCGGGAUGUCAUGUUCCGAUACAGACCAUAAAGCAUAAACGAUAACAUUACAAGUCAUUCAACAAAUAUAUACAUAUACAGACUUUUAAACAAAACAACUUGAUGGUUCAUCCAUCUUAUGCCCUUGCACCACUUCCUGUAAUACAAAUAAAACUGAGUGGGUCAGGCGUGGGAGCCUGGUGAGCAUAUAGGGUUUUCAACCCACAAUAAAUAAUUAUAUUUAAUUCCACCAAUCAACAAUAACCCAAUUACCCAUUCCCAUUAUUCUCACUUUACGUCCCUAAAACAACUAACACAAGGGACCCUAGUCUUAGAAUAUUUGAUCGGGGCAACAACACAUGCAUUCGGGGGUUUCCCGACAAUAUAUGUCAAAUAAGGCAACCAUGAGGGGGAUGGAGUACAGCGAAUGAACACCCAAGUUCAUUAAGACCUACAGGUGGCGAACCUGCUAGCGUUCCACAGGACUUUCUAGAAAAGUCUGUGGUCGUCAUCUAAACUCCGUUAGAUGACUGAAUCAAAACAACAACGAGGCCUCUCAUCUGUUUAUUACACACCAACUAUCUACCCAUGUUCUACCCAACAUAUUAGUAGAUAAAAACAUACAUUUUUAUACAUAGUUUAAAAACCUGUAUAGCAUGCUUUAAUCAAUACAUAUUCCAAAACAACAGAUGAGACACAUACACAUAACACGUAUUUCAUUGAGAAUAAAUCAUAUCUAUGAGAUAGAAGAAAGUGAAUAUACAUUCACGCAUAUAACAAGAAAAUGUACACAUAACACGUAUUUUAUAUUAAAUACUUAAUAAUUAUGCGUUAGAAGAAAGUAACCACACACUCACCUGAUCAGAAGAUGAUCGGACAGCACUAUGGCUUGCAGAAGUAGUAAUCCUCAGCAGAUCUGGAGGAUCUCUACAAAAAUCGAAUUUGGAUAUGAAUCGCACUUCUCGGGAUCCCGGGAGCGUGAAACUUCCUUUUUAAUUUGGAUAUGAGGUUCGGGGUGUCGGGAUGGCUUCGGGGGUUUACGCGCAGAGUUUCGGCACAAAGAGGAGAAGAAAUGAGCAAAAAUACCCGGAACCCUCGCAUCCUAUUUAUAGGAGGUUGAGGCCUCGCCGUACGCUGGGCGUACAGCCUGACGCGGGGCGUAAGCCUCCGAAUUCAUCACUGCAUGCGUCAUCCGAAGAACUCGAGUGCGAGGUGCGUCAUGCUUCAUGGUACGCUGAUCAUUGAAUCCUUCGGAUAUACAUCCGAAUUAAAGAUUAAAUUUAAAUAUUAAUUAUUUAAUAAACUUCGGAAAUUCAUAUCUUCUUCAUACGAACUCUGUUUUUGACGUUCUUUAUAUCCACGCGUAGGUGACACUACGCUCUACAACUUUUGUUUAGACUUCGUCGGCUAAUUUUGAAUUUAUUUUUAUUAUUUAUUUUUAGUAGGCCCGGACAGGAAAACUUCGUUAUAAAUUCAUAACUUCUUCGUUUGACGUCCGUUCUCGCCUAACUUUUUAUCGUUUUACUACAAUUAAUGAGAUCUUCGAUUCUCAUUUAGAUUGUUUCGGCUAAAAACCGCUCGGUGUCGAGUAUUCGGGUUGCAUACCGCUAAGUCGAAAUUUCGAAAAAUCAUAACUUCCUCAUACGAAGUCAGUUUUUGGCGUUCUUUUUAUGCACGCUCUUGGUUUAACGAACUCUACAACUUUCGUUUAGAUCACUAAGGCUAAAUAUCGCUCUAACGUAAAUUUCACUUUUUACGUCAUUUAGCGUUUGUCGGUUCUGUGUCGCGAAACUUCGACAGGUCAUAACUUCUUUGUUAUAACUCGGAUUUCGGCAUUCCUUAUAUCUCCGAAACCCUUGUUUCGAGCACUACAACUUUAUGUAAAGAUAUUGAGUUUAUUUUACACUUAAAUUUUGACGCUUAUUUUAUUCUUAAUUAAUCAAAUCACAUAAUUAAGCAAUUAAGCACAAAACACAUAAUACUCAAAUAAUUCAUCAUUAAUACUUCAAAAAGAGUUACAAGGGUUAACCUAGAGUAUUACAUCAAUGAAAAUGCCUAGCCUGAAAACGUGGGCGUUACAUUGCGCCAUCAGAUUUUGAUCUAAUAUUUAUUUGUGGAGACCCACUAUGGGAUUUGGGCCCAAUUUGGAAAAUUAGGCAAUAUUUGGGCCUUGGGUGUUUAAUUGGAAUUUGGGCUUUUGGAUUGUUGAAUUGGGCCUUGGAUUUGGGCCAAGUUAUGAAGAGGCUAAAAAGGGCUUUUACCCUAGUUUGGACACUUUGUAUGUGUCAGAUUCGAUUCUUGAUAGAUGAUUAACUUGUGAUUGAUAGUGCGAAGAUUUUAGCGGGGGCCAACAGUCAGAGAUUUAUCUGCGGGAUUCAGAAGUGCAAGGUGAGUCUCCUCACUGUGAUAUUGGGUCGAAGGCACUGAUGCCAGUCUAUUGGUUUAUAUAUCAUCGGAAGACUAGGAGGUGACCCUUGGCACUUAUAUGUGUCACACCCCCAAACCUGAACGGCGGAAACAUUGGAGGCGGAGGACGUCAUGUGCAGUACCAUAACAAUUAAAUAGUAAAGAAAGUAUACACCACCAUAAUAUAUAUAUAUAUAUAUAUGUAUAUAUAUAUUUGAAAAGUUUACAUGAUUGUAUGUGUUACAUGUUUGAAAGUCAAAUACAAUAUGGUGUUCCAAAAUAUGUUACUAACGACAGAGCGUUAAUCCCCAAAAGUAGUUGCUAACUUGGUUUAGCGAUUCCCUGAGAAUACAAGUUAUUUCAAAGAAAAAGUGUCAACAAUUAAGUUGGUGAGUUCAUAAGUAGUUAUUUGUGUAAAUGUAUGACAUUCGAAAGUUCACGUUUGUUUUCUAGAAAACUCGAUAUUUUCUUAUGAAAUGAGUUAUGAAUCGUUGUUGUAUGAAAUGAAUGUAUUGAACCAGGAAAAUCCUAUAUUUUCCUAAAUGUGAGAAGCAGUCUUAAAUGUCCAAGACUGUAACUUGUAAGCAAAUAUGUCAUGCUUAAACUGAUAACAUAUAGUUUUAUUAGUGAACAAAACUAUAAGAAGCUUGUAGUUGUAUGUAAAAGCAACCGUAAUAUUACUUUUCCCGUAAAAACAUAAUACCAUAAUAAUUGUCUAUCCAGUGAGUUUUCAUCACCGUACUAUGAUGGAUUUGCCUGUAGCGACGUUCUUCAGGCAUCGAAAUGUUAUGACACUUGUCACCCUUAACCUGCCGGUCCGGUUGUAGCUAACAGCCAGGGUACGAGAUCAUCAAUCCCAUAUAGAUCUAUACACACUUAUCACAUUCUCCGGACGGGAGACUCUGGUUAUAAAACAUCACUUUCUAGUGGUACCUUGAUAGGUAUAAUGAAGACGAAUGUCGCACGGAUUCUCAAUUAAGUCUAGUAUUUCAAAUUGAAUGUGUUAUAGUUGAAAUGGUUACCCUUGAUAUGAUGUAAUAUGUAAAUAUAUAAAUAAAGCAUAUUUGUAUUUAUAAAACAUAAUGUAUCCCAAGAGGGUAAAGUUGUGUUGUGAGAUGUUUUGCAUGUUCACAUCUUCAUAUGAUAGUUUUAACAACAAUAUGAAAAGUAUAGCAAAAGAUUGAUGUUUUCACACGAUUUUAGUCAUGUGUUUACUUGUAUUCCCCCCUCCCCCCCCCUCCCGUAAAAGUGUUUAAAAGCAUUUAAAAUCGUAGUGAUAGGGGUAUGAACUCACUUGGUAGAAAUUACGUUUUGAUGGAAACGAUGCUUUAUUCGGGCAACACUUCGACCGGAAACAAGUCGAUUUCUCGAGAAUCUCGAGGCUUUGAACUUCCGUCAAAGCUUGGAUAUGAAGUCAUGGAGUCGGGGUAGUCUCCAAAGGGUAGAAAGUGAAAAAGUAGUGGAGAGAGAUUGGAAAAUUAGCCCAUAAACCGGAGCCUUCGCAUCCUUUAUAUAGGGCUAGAAGAGGCCUCGAACGCGGAGCGUUCUUGCGAAGAACGCUUUUUCCAAAUGGAUUAUUUGUGAAUAAUGAUUAACACAACUUUUUAUCUGUUUUCAGUAAAAAAAAAGGAAGAAUGUUGGUUCAAGCUUUAUCCUAAAGGAAGCCUAACAUAAAUGGUCGUGCACAUAAGGUAUACUUUUUGACACCCAAACAUUUUCUCUCUUCGCGUGAACAAAAGGCACACACAACCGAAUAUUAGGAAUCAAAGUUCUCAAUCUGUUUAGGGUGUAACAAAAUAAGAGGAGUUAUAACCUUUCAUUGAAUGCAUUAAAGUGGAAAUAUUAAAAUUUUAAAUCAUUGAAUACUACAAAUAUAUGUUCAUACCAUGUCUAAACACUAAGUGUCAAAAUCUAGGAUUGAAUUGUCACCAUUCCCUGUACUUGUCACAGUGUAAUAUGCAAUUGGGACAAUUCAUAGAUUAAUCAUCUUCCGUAGAUGUUCUUAGGUAAAUUCUAUGUUAAUAACAAACUAUUGCAUUUUGGAAAACACUAUGAAUUUGUUUAAGCAUAUUGCUUAAUUUUAAGGAAUCUUAUUGAUUGAUUCAUUCUUUGGAUAGAACCAAGCAACAUAUUGAGAAUGUUUAAAUUGCUUCAAGAGUUCGGAGGAGAUGUGUCACUAGGAAUCAUUAAUAUUGUUGAAUCAAGAGAAUGUAACAUAAACUUUUACUAUUUUCUUACUUUUCCUUCUUAUGUAGGGUGAGGGGGAAUCGUCAAGGUCUCAUCCUUCAUUCACAGGAACAGGGUUGAGAAAGAGAGGCUACAUGGCUGGCAUGAAUAGAAAAUAGAUGCAUUCGGCGAAUUGGGGAAUCUUCAAGGUCAAUCGUGUGCAAGUCAAUGAGCUAUAUCCUAGUUUUCCAGAAGAAUUAAGAUAAUAUAUACCAGCCUCUACUGCAAAAUUAAACACAUUUGGAAUUGUAUAUUUAUCAAAAUUAAAUACUUUUCCAUGUGUGCUGUUUCCCCAUGAUUCUUUUAAGCAUAGUUAUCAAAAUUAAACACUUCUCGAAUUGUGUGCUAUUUCCUUAUACCGGUAUCUAGAUUGGAGAUAAAAGGAGUAGAGGCUUUAAUUAUCUCAUAUGCAACAACUAUAGUAGCCAACCUAAUUUGAAUACAACAAAAUGUCACCAUAAACAAAAACUAAGAAGCAACACCCAAAUGAUGAGAGAAGAAGCAGCUCCAAUAACUUUUUCACUCUUGCAAUACUCUCAAUGUAGAAAAUACUUGACCCUCUCAUUCCUAAACACUAUACAAAACAUUAAAUGUAAUUAAGUCGCCUGUUUAAGUCAAAAGCUAGAUUGCCCAAAAAAUUAUUCUAUUUAACUUCUUUGUGGGCAAUUGAGGAGAUCAAGAAACACAAUGCCUUCGAUCCUACAUCAACAACCUACAAAACAAAGCAACCUCCAUCUUCCUCAUAAUCACCAUUUUUUCAUCACUGUUAAUAGUCGUUGAAGUUCUUUACUUUCUUUACUACAUAUGUUAUUCGUUGGUAGUCAAAUUCAUGUUCUUGAACCCAAAGAACACCACAGCUAUCAGAACUUUUAUCGAACACUUGGCGUGUGUUCUUACAAACUCCACCUCAACCCAAAAUCUCUUUGUUGAGGGACCCCAUUUUCGAUUCAAAUCACCAAAACAAAUACAAUCCAAUAAAAUCAAUAUGAAUUAUGAUUUGAGAUUUAAAAAAAAUCACGUAAAAUAUGCACCCAAAAACAGUAUGGUUUUCACUUACGACAGAAAUAUCCAUUGAUUAUCCACUAUGAAGUUAUAACUGAAACACCAUUCUUACAUCUCCAUCCUCCACAAUAUGUAUGUGUUUAUGCGUAAAGAUACAAAGAAGAAUUAGACCCGGGAAUUCAAACCUUUGUACGUACAUUAUCUAAGGGGGUGUUUGGAUAGGAAAAAAAGAGGUGCUUAUUGCUUAUUCCCACAAUAAGCUAAUUUAAGUGUUUGGAUAAAAUCCAGCUUAUUAGGCUAAAUAAGCUAAUUUUAAUAAGCAUUUCUUUCCAUGCUUAUUGCUUAUUGCUUAUUUCCACCACAAAUAAGCUAUAAGCAAUAAGCUAAAAAUCUAAUCCAAACACCCCCUAAAUGGGUUAUACACAUUUCCCCAUAUUUACAUUAACAGUCCCUAGAAAUAUGUGUGUAUGUCUACUUUAGCCCUAGACUUUUAUUUUUAAGCCACAUGGUCCUACAUCAACAUUUGAGCAUAAAUUUCAAGUACUUACAUGGCAUAUAAAACUGGCUAUAUCAGUUAUGGACGAUCAAAAAAACAGGUCAGCAUCCACUCUAAGCCUCUAUUAAGCCGAAAAAUAACUUCAGGGACCUUUUAAACUAAUUCGAAAAACAUUGUUACCCAUAAGUGACAUUAACCCUUGCAAAAAUUGUAUAUUACUUUGUAUGCAUAUGGUCAUUUCCAUGGAUUUAAUAGGUGGGCCACCAAGGACUAAAAAUGUGAUCAAAUCGUUGGUUUAGGGAUGGAAAAAGGUAAAUGAUGAAACUAUUCGACCAUAUCCAUGACAACAUAAACCAUAUGGUUUAUUUUUUUAGUGAACGUAGAGCUAGUUGUAUGAGUAUUUAACAGUUGAGCAAUCUAGUUAGAUGACCCAAUUGACAAACAGUGUGACCAAAUGUUUUUUUUUUUCGGCCUGAACAAGUAAAGUACCAAACUGUUGGACCAAAUUUAUAAAAGACAAAACACAGGGAUGAUUUUUGUAAUUUACUCAACAAAUAAUUACUUGCAGAAGUAAAGGGAAAGUACCUCUACACCAAAACACCCGCUUUCAAAAAAAAAUAAAUAAAAAAAAAUUUCAAAAGAAAGCAAAACGGUGUUUCUUUUUUUCUUUUUCGGGAAAGAACCUUGAAAGCCUCCGAUCCCAACGCGUAAGAAAACCCCAACAUUUUCGUUGUUUGUUUAUAGUCUCUCGCCCUCUCCCUUCUUUUCAUCGUGGACUCACCGUUUCCCUGUUGACUUACUGCUCAUCUUUCUUGGUCUUUGUCUCUGUUCAUUUUUCCUCUGUUAUCGUUACUUCAGGUUUAUGUAAACUCUCCUCAUCCUUACAAGCUAUUUUUGCUUGUCUAAGAAUUUCACUUAUCAAUCACAGAUCAUUUGAAUUUUCAUAAACAGGUGAUUAAAAUUUUGUCUAUUUCAGCUAAUUUUUUUUAGUUUACAUAUCAGUUAUAUUGUUACAGUCCAUUACGUUCUUGCUUGAAGUCAAGAAUGAUGUACAAAACUUUGCGCAGACUGGGAAAUUCUCCGAUUCUCAAAAAUUCCUUCGUUAAUCACUUUAUAUUUUGAGUUCAUAAACACCAUUUUUUUUACAUUUGAUUCUUUUUUUGAAUGAUGUUAUCUGCUCCUUAAUUGUACGCUAAACACUCAAAGCUUUAAUAUUCGAUUCACAUAAUUCUAGAUUGGCUGCUGAUGUUCCCUUUGUUCAAAACCUGCUGAUCUGUCAAAGCCAGAGUGUAAGACAUCCAGGUGUUAUUUUGCUUGAAUCAAUAUUAGGAUUUUGGUAGUGCAUAGUCUAGAUUCUGAAACAAAUAAGUAAUGCUCUCUCUGUUUGAAAAUAAGCUGGAUUAGGUUUGUGUUUGGAGGUACAAAACUGAUAAGAGAUUUCUUUGUAGAUUUAAGUCAUAUGAAUAACAUUUGUCAGCUAAGCUUAUGUCAUUUGUUACUUAAAUCAUUCAUACCUUCCGGUUUUGAGUGUUUCAACUUCUUCCACAAGUGCUUCUACUUCUGAUACAGAAAAUGGUCUUCUAAUUCUACGUUGUGAAACUUCACAUUUCUUGGUCAACUGAUAGUGCUUCAGUUUUCACUUACAAGGAUAGCAUCAGAGCUUUGGAAUCAGCCAUUCCAUCUUAUGGCGAUUCCGUUUGUAAGGGUAUAAUUUCUUGAUUCUUAUCAACUUGGUUUUAAGGGCAUUUCAGUUAUCAGGAUCAUUAGGGCAUUUACGUCUUUUUCAUAGACGAGAGAUCGAGAGAUCAAAAGUUGCAAUUUUGUCAGGGUAUAAUGUCUUGCAUAACAAACAGGGCCUUAAAGCAUUAGAAUUUCCACUCAAUAGUUUUGUUAGGGAGUUCAUAAUCUUUCUUUAAAGUUACUUUACAGUAUCUAGACGCCAUCAUCUUCCUUAUUCUUCUGUAUCCAGCCAGCACGUGACUGUGCCUGAAAUGCCCUCAUUUUGGUUCCAUGGUGAUUGAAUUUUCAUCAUCAUCAUCAUCAUCAUCAUCUCUAAUACCCAUCAUUACAUAUACCUUAUGUCUUACGAAAGGGUAGAUUUACACUACUAUGUAAGUGAACUUCAGAUGAAUUUUAUUUAGACAGUAAUAGGAUACUUAUGUGGGUUUACCAAAAUAAAAUAGAGAUGUUGUGCAACAAAUGAACAGAUUGGUUAGAUAUUUUCUUGCACCCCUGAAAAAAAAAAGAAAAAAAAACUCAAUUCAGUUAAGUGAGCAGCUACUCUUUAAAUAACUAAAUAACUCACAUGGCAAUGUAAUUUUUAUUUUACAUCAAUACUUUGCUAUUAGCAGAUGAGAUUUAAGUUGCAUAUUGUAAUCGGUAAUUUGCUAUUGUGCAGAGGCAUUUUGUAUGGGUCCUGACAUUUAAGCACCAGCACAAGUGAAGAAAGCCGGUGAAACCAACUUUCAUAAUUAAUAACAUGUGGAAGAGUUUGAGAGCUUACUGAGAAGUGUCAUCAACCCGUAAUUUAUUAUGGUCGUUCUAUCUGAUCUUCCAGAAGGAUCUUCAUCUUCUUCAUCAACUCAUGGUUAUAGUUCAUCAGCUCGUGUUCAUACUCCAUCCACUCAUGGUCAUAAUUCAUCAACUCAUAAUCAUAGAUAUGAUGUAUUUUUAAGUUUUAGAGGUGUUGACACUCGUCAUAGCUUCACUGAUCACCUUCAUAAGGCCCUCAUUGAUGCCAAUAUCAGUACCUUCUUGGAUGAUGAAGAGAUUGAAACAGGGGAAGAUCUGAAACCGGAACUGGAGAGUGCGAUUAAGGCAUCUCGGGCUUCUAUUAUCAUCUUGUCUAAGAAUUAUGCUUCUUCAACAUGGUGCCUGGAUGAAUUGGUGUUGAUCCUUGAGCAGCGUAUGACAUCCAACCAUAUCAUUGUCCCAAUAUUUUAUCAUGUGGAGCCCACCCAUGUCAGGAAGCAACAAAGUAGCUUUGGAGAUGCAAUGGCUAAGCAUAAACGGACAAUGGAGGCAGAGAUAAAUGCGGAUAAAAGAAGUCAAUUAGCUCAAAAGAUGAACCGAUGGAAUAAAGCGCUUACACAAGUUGCUGAUUUAAAAGGGAAUGACAUAAAUGGCAGGUAACCACUUUCUUACCCUUAUUCAUCUCCCAAUGCAUUUCAAUAAGUUUUUUCUAAAUCAUUAAAUAGACAUAUAUCUGAUGUAUUAUGAUAUAUAGAAGAUGCACAUAAUUGAAGAUAAGUUUCCAAAUAUGUGAUCUCCUAAACCAGUUCAUAUAGAUGGGUUAGCCAUUCUCAUAAUUUUCACAUGUUUGUUAUGCAUUUUGUAUUUUAGAUGAAGUUAGUGCAUUUAGAUGAACCAUCUCCUGGAUUUUUACAUGCUUUUUAUUUAAAAACCAAAGUUUGAUGAGUUUGCUAUGCAUUUACCGUUAAUUAUACCAUACUACCUUCAAAUCCCGGCUUUUAUGAUAAAUAAUUGCUUUUAGGUGUAUGUAGUAAAAGAUAGCCUAUAACUAUUUCAUGGCAUUUUGUUCAAAUCUAUGUAAACACCCACAUCGAUGGUUAAGUUUGAUAGUCUUGUAGAAACAUAGUGAAUUUUGGUGGCCUGUUAGUGGAAUCUUGUAUUUCAUUGGUUGCUUUGGUUAUACCAUAAUCAAAUCUUUAUGACCAAUCAUUAGCAAAAUCUUGUAUUUCAUGUCAUUUUGUUCAGAUUGAUGCAAACCAAUUAAUAAUAACAGCUAUGAUAUAAUCUUAGUUUGGAUCUUUGAAUAAGUUAAAUCUCACAAUCUGGUUCAUUAGUUUUGUAGAUUGUGUUUUGAAGUUCUUAUAUAAUCAAGUUUCAGGUUAGAGACGGAGUUUAUUGAAGAAAUUGUGAAGGACAUCCACUGUAGAUUACAUGUGCACUUAAGGAGUGUUGGACCACAACUUAUUGGGAUGAAUUAUCAUAUUAACUUUGUAACUUCAUGGUUAAAAGAUGGAUCCUCACAUACAGUAGACAUACUUACUAUUUAUGGUAUAGGUGGGAUCGGGAAGACAUCUUUAGCCAGACAUGUAUAUGGGCUAUAUUCUCAUGAAUUCCACAGAAGCAGCUAUAUUGAAGAUAUCACUAGAAAAUGUGGGGGAAAGUUUAAUGGGUUACUUGAUUUACAAGAAAAACUCUGCAAUGACAUUUCAAAAACAAGUUCAAUUAAAGUUCAUGAUGUUUCGGUAUACACCACAAAGAUACAGAAUGCACUAGCCCUUAAAAGGGUGUUUCUAUUUCUUGAUGAUAUCAAUACUCUUGUUCAGUUGGAUGCAUUACUUGGAAGCAAAGGUUUUCAUCCUGGAAGCAAAAUUAUAAUUACAACAAAAGACAGUUGGUUGACUGAGAGUUGUGCUUUAUUCAAAACAAACAUUAAACCCAAGCAUGAAAGGCAUUUACUUCAAGGCUUAGGUUAUAGUGCAUCGCUACAACUUUUGAGUUCUCAUGCAUUCGUGUGCAACCAACCCAAGGCGGGAUAUGAAGAGGUGUCUGAUAAACUUGUUAAGUAUUGUGAAGGACAUCCAUUGGCUCUUGAAGUUUUGGGAAAGUCUCUGCAUAAUCGAGAUGUAGCUUAUUGGGAAGGGUGCAUCGAAGGGUUAAAGAAAGAAAUUAGUUCCCCUAUAAAUAAUGUUUUAAAAAUGAGUUUCGACACCUUACCAUCCAAAAAUAAUAAGGACUUGUUUAAGUAUAUUGCUUGUUUUUUGUUGGAAUAGAUAGAGAUGUCACCGAAACAAUACUAGAGGCAUGUGAUAUAAACACAAGAUCCGGGAUCAUGAAUCUCAUUGACAGAUGUCUUCUUAGUAUUGGAUGGAAUAGUGAAUUGAAGAUGCAUCAGUUGGUUCAAGAGCUGGGAAGAUUCGAAGUACGUCAAGAGUCACUUGACAAACCAUGGAAGCGAAGUCAAAUAUGGUGUCAUAAGGAGUCAUUCAAAGUGUUGAAACAAAAAAAGGUGAGAGCUUAUGUAUACUUGUUGGUAGUGUGCAUAUUCAAAUUACAUUUUAUUAUUCAUUUUUAUUUUUGGCCAUCUGUUUCUUCUUAGGGUAAGGGAAAUCUUCUAGGCCUUACCCUUGACAUGCGCAUGCUUGAGAAAGAGAAGUUGGGUAUAUCAUAUGAGCUAAAAACAGAUGCAUUAAGUAACAUGGAUAAUUUGAUGCUACUGCAACUCAAUUAUGUGCACAUGAAUGGGUCUUUUGCAAACUUCCCAGAGGAAUUAAGAGGUUUGUGUAUGCAUGGUUCCAUUUAAAGUCUAUACCUUUAGACUUACCGAUGAUGAAUUUGGUUGCUCUUGACAUGUCAUAUAGCAAUAUCGAAUCAUUUGUCGGUUGUUAUAAUAAUCCACAACGGCUUGAAAAGAGGCAAAAGGUAACUUAUCUUCAUUUAUUAUUCGUCUGUGCUGAGUUGAUGGAAUUCUCAACUGUUCUAUCUUAUUUCCAUUUCUGUAGUUGGAUGGAUCGUGCUUAAAAGACAAAAGGUUGCUUGGAUCAUUAAAGAUUCUUAAUUUAAGCUUCUGUAAACAACUCCGUAGUCUUGGUGAUUUUGACCAACUUCCUGCACUUGAGAAGUUAAUAGUUAGAAACUGCAUUGGUUUGCUCGAUGUUUGUGAAUCAAUUGAGCAAUGUGCUGAACUUGUCUUCAUCGAUCUGAGCUACUGCAAGAAGCUUGAAAAACUUCCAAGAAAUGUAGGCAUGUUGAAGAAUGUUAAAACAAUGUUGCUAGAUGGUUGUAGUCCUGGUGGAUCUCGAAUCCAGAGGGCUAGCAACAUUGACAUAAAUACAAGAACCUCUUCCUCUUCCUUUAUGGUUGGUAUACCAAGUGAUUUGAAGUUCUUUGUAAUUUAUUUACCAAGGUCUUUAGUAAGUUUGUCAGUUGCAAAUAGUAAUAUGUCCACUAAAUCCUUUCCCAUGGACUUGAGUUGCCUAUCCAUGUUAAAGGAAUUAUAUUUAGAUGGCAAUCCUAUGAAUUCCAUGCCCAGUUGUGUGAGAACCCUUCCUAGGCUUGAGAUACUUAGUAUGGAGAAUUGUAGAAAGUUAAAGUCAGUUGAGCAUCCUCCACGAACACUAAAAAGGUUGCUCUUUUAUGUUAAUGGGGAUCUUCAAGGAAAAGUCGUAUUUGAUCCAGAGAUGUCCCCACUACAGUUAUCAUCAACGGUGUCGGUUUCUGCAGCUUUCUCAUAUGAAAUUGAAGGCAUUGUGAAAAUCCAACCAAUGGUAUGUGUUGAGGAAGAGGUAUUACGUAGCUUGGGCUGGAGUAAUUUAGACUUUCUUAACCAAAGGCACUUGGGAGCUUAUUCUUGGGAAUCUGGAACCCAGGUUUUUUUAGUUAAUUGUUUGUCUCUAUAUGAAUAUGUAUAAUAUAAUUAUUAUGGUGAUUAAUUAAGGUGAUUGUAUUUUGCAGAUGAUUUAUGAAUUUGGAAUAUUCAGCACAAUGUAUGAGGCGCAGGAGAUGCCGAGUUGGUUUAGGCAUAGAAGUGUGGGGCCAUCAAUAUCAUUUACCAUGCCAUCAUCAUCAUCAUCAUCAUCAUCAUCAUCAUUGUCAUCAUCUCCAAACAACCUCCUAAAAGGACUCAACUUCUGCUUCUCUGCUGACAAAUUGAGACCUGCAGUUCCAUAUGGUUGGUUCCAUUGGUCACCGGUGAUGGCAAUUACUAAUAUAACAAAGAACCACACGUGGAUAUACAAACGUUACAAAGACAGUUAUUGUUUUGAUCGAAAGUGUUGGGUGUUGUUAAGUCAUUGGAUGUUUGGGAUGAAUGAGAUGGAGGCUGGUGAUCAUGUUACUAUUUUUGUUACACUGCCAUAUAAUGAAUGUGUAAAGGAGUGUGGGGUGAGUCUUGUGUAUGAUGAUGGAGAGAAGAAGGAUGAGGAAGAAGAUGUGUUGGGUUAUUACAAGUCAUGGAAUCAUAUAAUUGGUGGAGAUCUCUCUCCUUUUAAGACAACUACAGGACAAUACGUCUUAUACUACUGGCGGUUUUUUGAUUAUGGCGUUACAUUGUAUCAAUAUUAUCGUAAAUUUGUUCCGGACGGCCCCCACUUUCAAGGUAGAUGUGAUUUUUGUUAAAUAGAUGGAUAACGACCCAUUUAUUUUAGCAGAUGGAUCAUAACUUAAAUCUUUUAAACAAAUGGAUCAUAUGACCAAAAUCCUCUCAUUUUAUUGAUCUAUAAGAUAGUAUUUUUUUUAUAAAAUAUAAAAAAUAAAAGUUGCACUUUUAAUUUAUGAAAUGAAUAAACCCAAAACAUCGAUUAGUCUAGUCUACACCAGGAGGUCCAGGAAGCCCAUCAAAUUAGUUGGGAUCAAGUCCAGUGCUUUUUGGUUGGGUAUGGUGUGCUGGCAUCCAUUUUACCCUACCCUAAGGAGUAUUUAAGCUUUUCAUUUUCUAGAAGAUUGUUAGCUAAGAAAAUUGUAGUAGCAAACAUGACUGGAGAGGCCCUUAAUUCCUCUGAAAGAAUGGGAAAACCCUAAUAAAUCAUUCAAUCAGUUAGUUGUUUCUGGUUGUGAAUUUCCUGCUUAUUCUCUUUACUUUGUGUGGGAGCUUAUAAGUACAAUCAAUUGAUCUAGGCUUUUGAUCUGUUGUAUCACAUAAAUACAUACGACUACUUUGUCCAGGUGGAUUGUUUGUGAAUAAUGAUUAACACGACUUUUUUUUUUUUUUUUUAUCUAUUUUCAGCACAAACAGAAAAGUGUUGGUUCAGAGCUUUCUCCCAGGGAAUCCUUGCAUAAUUGGAGGUGCAAAUGAGGUAUACCUUUUGACACCCAAACCCUUUCUCGCUUCACAUGACCAAAAGGCAUACAAAAUAAAAUAUUAGGAAUCAAAGUUCUCAAUUGGAUUAGGAUCUAAUAAUAAUAAGAGGAGUUAUAACAUUGCAAUGAACGCUUGAAAAUGCAAACAUUAAAAUUUAUAAUCAUUGAGUACUGUUAUGAAUUUCAGUUCAUACCAUGUCUAGACACAAUGGGUCAAAAUCUAGCUAGGAUCAAAUUCUCACCAUUCCCUGUACUUGUUAUGCAAUCGAGUUUAGUAGAUGUUGUUCUUGGGCAAAUUCUAUGUUAAUAACAAACUAUUGAACUUUGGAAAACAAUAUGAAAUUGUUUAAGAAUAUUGCUUGAUUUUAAGGAAUCUUCUUGAUAGAUGCCUUUUUUUAGGAUAGGACCAAGCAACGUGUUCAGAAUGCAUAAAUUCCUUCAAGAGUUUGGAAGAGAUGUAUCACUAGGAGUCAUUAAUUCUGUUGAAUCAAGAAAAUGUAACAUAAUAUUUACACUUCCAGGUAACUAUCUGUUUUCAUAGCAUUUUGUAUUAUAUCUUGUAUACUUACAUAACUUUUAUUUUUGUUUUUUUACUUUUCCUUUAUUUGUAGGGUGAGAAGGAAUCUUCAAGGUCUCGUCCUUCACAUGAAAAUGCUUGAAAAAUAGUUUGAUUCAUUUGAAAAUAGAUUCAUUCGGAAAAUGGGUAACCUAAUGCUAUUGCAACUCAAUGGUCUGCAAUUGAAUGAGUUAUAUCCUACUGCAGCUCAAUCGUGUGCACCUCAAUGACUUACUUUUAUCCAUACCUUUCCAGAAGUGUUAACAUAAUAUAUACUAGCCUCUGUUGAAAAGACUAAACAAAUUUCAAAUUGUAUGUUAUUUCCCCAUAAUUCUUUUAAGCAUAGUUGUCAAAAUUAAGCACUUCUCGAUUGUGUGCUAUUUCCUCAUAAUUUGAACUGAAAUCUUGGUAUCAAUCAUUCCCUAAUCAACAAUUUCCAUCAGUCUAUGGGCUAAAAAUCUCAAAUCCUUUUUGGGAUUCUAUAAUUUAUUUUGGUACUAUCUAAAAAUUCGCACACUACACCAUAAUAUCCUUUUUAGGCUCCGAUUCUGAAAGAUGAGAAUUCUCUUAUCAUUUGUUUUUUGAUUUUAGAAGCAACAUCUUUAGGUCACCCCUUUUUCUUCACAACACGGAACAGGAUACUAUCACAGAUUAAUUUAUAUUUCUUUUAUUUACUAUCCUAUUUAUCUUCAUAUUUACAUUAUGUUGUUGCCUAAAGAAUAUCAUAUUCUCAUUUGUUUUUAUUUUCCAUCCCAUCUUGAUAACCUAUGAAGUAUCAGUAGUGUUUUUGCACCACUCUCAUUUACAGGUUUUUACAUCUUGAUAUCUCAUCUUGAUUCCGCCUCAUUUGAGCUAAAAAACCGUUCAUCUCCUUACGAACAACUUGAUUACCAUUGAAGUCAUUCAGUUGGCCAUAAUUAACCUUGUUUUCCAUACCCACAUUGGAGAUACAAAUAAGGUUCUUUUUAACAGUCCUUAUGCAUACUUUGCUCCCUACCCUGUAAUUUUUCAAUCUCUAACAAUUCCAACCUGUCAUCCACCACGAUGCUUGGUGACCGUUGCUCAAGAGAAGCAAACAAAGAAACAAAGAAGACUAAAUUACAAAAAUCGUCUCUAUGGAAUAUUACCUUUUAUCCUUAUGGUCAUUUUGAUGAAUUUAAUAGGUCGGCCGCCAAGGACCGAAGGUGUGACCAAACGUUGGUUUAGUGAUGGAAAAGGUAAAUGGUGAAACUAUUAGACAAUAUCCAUGACAACAUAAACCAUAUGCUCAAUUUUUGUAGUCAACAUAAAACUAGUUACAUGAGUAUUUAAUAGUUUGAUCGAUCUAGUUACACGACCCAACUGAUUAACAGUGUGAACAAAUCUUGUUUUUGGGCUGAACAAGCAAAUAUGAAACUACUGGACCAAUUUAUAAAAAGAUGAAACACAGGUAUGGUUUCUGUAAUUUAGUAAACAAAUAAUUACUUGAAUUUUUGAUGUUAUUAACUAUUUUUCCCAAUUUUUAAGCCUCCAUGACAAUAUAAAUUCGUGAAAAAUAGUAUCCAGAUGAUAAAAAAUUCAUCAUACUUCCACUAAACAAACUUAAGCUGGGAAAAAUAUAAAAUGGGUUUCUAAAUAGUUACCUGGACUUUAUUAUUUUUUGUGUAUUUAUUCUAACAAAAAUGGAAAUAAAUAGAAUACAGUUUCCAAAAUCGCCCAAACUUUUUUUAACUCUGAUUUUAUACAUAUAUAAGCUGUGAAAAAUAUAAAAAAAUAUUUUUCAAUUAGAUUUUCUAUUUUUCUUUGUUUUAUUCUCUUGAAUAAUCAUUAAUUGGUGAAUAAUUAUCAAACUAUUAAAUUAAAUUACCAAAAUAUUUGAAAACUUCGUUUACAGUGUACAUAAUCUGGGAAAAAUAUCAAUGGUGAUUUUUACAUAUUGUAAUAUGAUUUUGUGGAUUUAAGUGUAUUUAAUCUUAGAAAUAGGGGAAAAAUAGUAUACCGAAUAGAAAAAUCAUCAAAAAUUUUAGUUACAGUUCUAAUAUAUAUGAGAGUCCUCUGGUACAUUUUCAUGAAUUUUGAAUGAAUAAAACUAUUUUUCUCAUUAUUAGUCCAUUAUAAAUACAAAAAUCGGGGAAAAUAGAUAUGCAUCAUAAAAAAUUCUGAAAAUAUUUUUCUGAGUCUUCCACAUAGGGUAGGAGCUGCGAAAAUUGUUAGAUAGACUUUUCAAAUUUAUUAAGGUGGUUUUAUGAUUUAUUUGAAUUAAACAAAAAAAAAUUCAAAACCAUAGCAAAAAGUAACAAAAAUCGAUGAAACUCACUGAGAAGUCAUCAUUCACUUUAGGGUCAUCCACGAAUUUACCUAUGAUUUAUAGACAUCAGAAAAUAUUUUAUAUGAAUUGUUUCCCUAUUUUAUUGCAAUAAUUAUAAUAAUUCGAGAAAAAUGAAUUAUUUUCUGAAAAUUUGUAGAACAUCUCAUUUUGUUGAUGGAAUUCUAGGUAAAAUCGGAUUUUGUCAUAAAAGAAGUUUAACAUAUUUAUUUGGGAAUAAAUCUUUUAUGAACCUAUUUGAAUGCUUUUUAACAACAAACUUUGAUGAUCAAGCCUCUAAGCUUGAAGAUCAUCACAUGCAUGUUGGUUUUUGGGUGAAAUAAUAUCACCAUAAUCAUAAAAAUCAUGGUUAUGAACAUGCAUGUGAAUAAUCCAUCUAUAGAAUGGUGUAGAAAAAGAAGAUAUGCAAGAAAACUUGAGAUUUUGAAGGAAGAUUGAACGAUUUUCGUGAUUACCUUGAAGAACCACCCUAGAUGAUGAAGAUUUCAUGAUUAUAGGUGUUGUUUGAUCUUAUUUUUCCAAAAAUUUCAUGGGUUAGGAAGAGGGGGAAAGAAUGGGGGUUUUAGAGAGAAGAAAAGAGAGAUUAUAUCUCUCUGGAUAGAUCAUCUCUCUCGUCAUCUCUUUGGGGUUCCCCUUAACCAAAAGCGACCACAAAAAUACAGAGAUGCAUCAGGACUCAUGAAGAAUGGACUGGCUAAAUCUCUGCCACAGAUUCGGCUCCUAUGUUCGUCAGUUUUAAAGAGAAGUGAAAGAUAAGUUUUUAGAGAGAGAAAGAAAAAGGCGGAGUGUGGGAAAUGAGGGAUGUGAUUAUGAUUUUGGGGAAGAGAGGUAUGGGGGAGGAGAGAUCCGACUUUUGAAUGGAGAUAGAGGUUCCCUCUUUUAAAUUUUAUAAAAUUUAAAGCAAAUUUUAUAAAAAUAUCAAGGUUUUAUUCACAAUACGUUGAGUUUUGGCUUAUAAAUUAAGGGUAAUUGGUAAUGACCUAAAUUUUUUUUCCUUAAAUAAAUUUUCAUAAUUUUAAUUAUUAUAAGAUCAUAUUAUAAGUUUCAUAAUUAUUUUUAUAGAAUUUUUAAGUUUAAAGUUUAUAAAUACGAGUUUUUAUGGCUUUUAGGGUUUUGGAGUUUAUUAAACUUUGAAUAUCAAAAUAGAUUGAAUCUUUGAGACUUUAAAUUAUUUUUGUGUUUCCUAACUCUUAUUCAGGUUAGAAAUAAUGUUUGUAAUUUAUUUUUAACGGUUUAUUGGCAUUCUAUGUAGUGUUUCCGAGAUUCAAACGAAAUUGAGGAAUCAAGUAUACAAGUCAUAGUUUUCAACAUUGACUUAAGUUUCUAUGAGACAUUGACCUAAUUUCUACUUCUAGGUCAAGUGCAUGAUGUGUGUAUAUGAUUCUUAAAAAGGUUUUCGAGUCAAAGAGUGACCCAAAUAUGGAUAGUCUCUAUAGUUAAGUAGUUACAGAAUUCACAUAUUAAUGUGAAAUCUAAGUACACCAUCCAUUGUUUCUAUCUGUUUUCAAGUUUCUAGUAGGCUAUAACUUUGUUUCUAGCUACCAAUUCUAGUAUGUUUCAUGCUUAUAUGUGGAACUAAAUUUAGUCAAAUCUAGAACCGACUCGAAUUUUGACGGUUGUCACAGGAAGGGUGCUUAGAAGGGCUAAAGAAAGAAAUAGAUUCUCGUGUAAAUAAUGUCUUGAGAAUGAGCUUUGAUUCUUUGCCAUAUAAAAAUGAUAAGUACUUGUUUAAGUAUAUUGUUUUUUUUUGUUGGAAUUGAUAGAGAUGUUACUGAAACAAUAUUAAAAGCAUGUAAUAUAAAUACAAUAUAUGGAAUCCCGAAUCUCCUUGACCGAUUCCUUCUUACUAUUAGAGGGAAAAAUGAAUUGAAGAUGCAUUAGUUCGUUCAAGAGAUGGGAAGAUUCGAAGUAUCUCAAGAAUCACUUGAUAUGCCAUGGAAGCGAAGUCGAUUAUGGUGCCAUAAAGAGUCAUUCAGAGUGUUGAAACGAAAAAAGGUAAGAUGUCAUGUAUACUUUUUGUAAUGUGCAUGUCUGAAGCCCUUUUUAUUUUCUAAUACUCUAAUUUUUAAAAUUUAAAUUGUAUUUCUUCUUAGGGUAGGGGAAAUCUUCUAGGCCUUUCCCUUGACAUGCGCAUGCUUGAGAAAGAGAAGUUAGGUGCAUCAUUUGAGCUAAACACAGAUGCAUUGAGUAACAUGGAUAGUCUGAUGCUACUGCAACUCAAUUACAUUCACUUGAAUGGGUCUUAUGAAAGCUUUCCUUAGGAAUUAAGAGGGUUGUGUAUGCAUGGGUUUCGUUUAAAGUUUGUACCUUUAGACUUACCUAUGGAGAAUCUUGUUGCUCUUGAUAUGUCAUAUAGUAAUAUUGAAUCAUUUGUCAGUUGUUAUAGCAAUUCACAACGACUUGAGAAGAGGCAAAAGGUAAAUUAUAUUAAUUUUUUGUUCUUUCAUGUUCACUAUACAAUGUGUUUAUUAUGUUUAAAAAGGAGAGAGAUCUUUCAUUAAACUUUCCAUUAUAUUCAUUUUUUGUUCUUUCUUGUUCACUAUACAAUGUGUUUUGUAACACCCGUAGAUCUGGGCUAGUCAAUUUAGAGGCAAUAAGUGUCGAAAACGACUUUUUGGCAAAAGAUUAUUUAGAAUAAAUAAUCUUAACCAAGUUGUAGAAUAUGUCUCAAGGAUUCUGUACAUAUAAAGAACGCCGAAAUCCGAGUUAUAACGAAGAAGUUGUGGCCUGUCGAAGUUUUACGGCAAAACCGGCACGACACCGGGAGACGUAAAUAGUGAAUUUACGAAGGAGGACCUUUUAGUCUUGAUGAUCUAAACGAAAGUCGUAUAACAUGUUACACUGAGAGCGUCCAUAAAAAGAACGUCCAAAUCUGACUCCGUAUAAGGAAGUUAUGAAUUUUCUAAUAUUCAGCAUAGCAGUGCACGACCCGAAAUUCGAAUUUUAGUUUAAGCGGUUUUUGGCCAACACAACCUAAAUGAGAAUUGAAUAUCUUAUUAAUAUUAAUACAACGGUAAAAAGACAGACGAAAACGGACGUCGGAUGAAGAAGUUAUGUAUUUUGAACGGACUUUUCCUGUCCUGUUAAAAAUAUAAUUUUAAACAUAAAGUCAAAAUUAGCUGACGAAGUCUAAACGAAAGUUUUAGAGUACGUCUCCACCUGCGUGUGGAUAUAAAGAAGGUCAAAAACAGAGUUCGUAUGAACGAGUUACAAAUUAUAAUAACAUGUUUACAUAUUAAAAUAAAGNUAAACUUGAUAAGAUAUACAUUCAAUACUCAUUCCAGAUAAACAGAUCAUGUAUAUAUAUAUAUAUAUAGACACACACACACAUAUGUAUAUAUAUCAUUAGAAAGGUAUCAACGAUGUGGUCAUUAUAAGACUAAUGUUGAGUUCUUUCGACAUUAGUUUAAUACAAAUAUCGUUAAAUGUAUUUAAAAUAGUAUUAUAAAGGGGUGUUUAGUUGUUUAUAUAACUAUAAGGCCAUUAAGUAAUUAUGGAGGGUAGUUUUUGAAAAUUCAAUUACUAUAAAUAAGAGCCUUGGGCUCUCAUAUUUUUUGCAUCAUUCUCUUGAUUCAAAAGUCUUUCUCUUCUUAUCCCCCGAGCAUUUCGGUCCCUCGUGAUUCGACUUCUCUUUCUUUAGUUUUAGUAUAGUAAGGUUAGCGUUGCAUGAAUCUUUCUUAGAAAGAUUCAGUGGCGAAGUUCUGUCCCUGCAGAGCUCGGCUCCUAGCUAAAGCCCCUUUGCAAGUUCUGUCCGAGGGAAAUUAUUUUGAGAUAACGAAGUGCUGCCCAAUUGCAGAGUCACCACCUUUUCAAGUGAGUGCAUAGUUACUUUCAUCUUAAACAUAGAUAUGAAGUAUUUAAUAUAAAUUACGUGCUAUGUGUGCAAAUUGUCAGAAUACUUGUUGUCUAUGUUGAUGAAAGAUUUUUAUACAUGUUUUAAAUGAUUUAAAUUGUAUACUUAUUUUAUAUCUACAAAUAUGUUGGGUAUAACAUGGGUAGAUGAAUGAUGAGAGAUAAAAGAUGAUGUUAGUAAACAUUGGAAGCUAUAAAUUUAGUGUCCAGUAAAUAACACCGGCAUCUAUGGGCUUAGUGCAUAUUGGACAAACGAGGGUAGCUAUUGACUUAGUACCUAUUAGGUAAACACGAGUAGCUAUGGACUUAGUACAUGUUAGGUGUUGGUAGCUAUGGACUUAGUACUUGGUAGCUAUGGACUUAGUACCUGUUAGAUAAACGUUGGUAGCUAUGGAUUUAGUACCUAUAAUGGUAGCUAUGGAUUAAGUACCCGAUGAAUGAACUUUGGCAGCUAUGGAAUUAGUGCAUUGGCAGCUAUGGACUUAGUGCCUAUCUUAUAGCCCUGGAAGUAAGGGACUUCGGAAUGAACGAAUAGAUGACUCUUAGGGUAGACCCUUGAGAGUAAGGAAGAUAUGGGGAUGGGUAAUUGGGUUGAUUGUUUGAUGUUUAAACAAAAUAAUUAUAUUAUUGUGGGUUGAAAACCCUAUGUACUCACCAGGUUUCCCAACCUGACCCACUCAAGCUUAUUUGUAUCACAGGUGUCGAUAUGAAGUUACAUUACACUGAGAGAUUAAAGAGAUGUAGAUCACUAGUGUAAAUAAAUGUAAGUUCUGUUUAUGCUUAUGUUUCUGUAUUAAUGAUGACAUCCCACAUGUUUUAAAAUGAACAAAAAUACAUUUAUUCGGAAAUUCUUUGAUAACGUAUUUAUCAUGUUUUUUUCUGGGAACAAAUUCCGCAACACUUUUAUUAAAAGAUGUACUCUAAUUUUUAUAAAACAUAAACAAAAUCGGUCUUUUCUAGCCGUGAAAAUGGGGAUGUCACAGUUGAUAUCAGAGCAUUAGUUUAAACGAACUAGGAAUAAAGAUUUAUUUCAAGACUUAAACUUAGAAUGCUAAGCGACGAUUGUGAGGAGUGUGUCUAAUAAAUUUAGGUAAUACACCUGAGUAGACACAAGCACUAGCUUAUUUAGGGAAAAUGCCUAACAUACUUUUAUGUGCUAAAUGAUUUAUGAUAUGCAUUAUAAGAUCAGAUCUAUGGUCUGUUGACGACCGAAUCUGGAAACAUUAUGUGUUUAGGUUUUUAAAUGUUUAGUUACGGUAUUAGAGUUGGCACGUAACUUUUCAGAGUAAUAAGGAGUGUUACACGUCUAAAAUCUUCUCUAUCUAUAUUCUCGUCUUGAUGCGAUGAAUGCAUGCUUUAGUGAAAAUAACAUCAUGGUGAAGACUUAUAGAAAAUUGAGUAAAUAGAUGAAAUAAAAAAGGCUUAUGAUAGUGAAUGACACCUAUCAGAAGAUAUCGUAAGAGAAGUAUUUUGCCUUUAGAAUAUGUUAGAAGGUACGUUUAGAGGAGUACGGUACGUCCAAAGUACACCGUCGAUUGACGGGAUGAUGGAAUGUGGUGGUUGUCGAGGCCAACAAAAAUAAUAACCCUAAAUAUUACACACUAAAAUAGUGUAUAGCGGUAAAGGGGUCGAAUCCACAGAGAUUGGUUCAAUUUAUAACUCUAUGAAAAAUCUCUUUGUAAAAAUACUUGUAAAAUUACAAUAAAAAUAAAAUGGGGGGUUUUGGUGUUUUGAAAUACUUUAAACAAACUAGAAUUAACUAUGAUUUAAAUAGACAAUUUCAAGAAAAAUAAGGGUUUGAUGUAAAAUCAAUAAGGGUGAGAUGGUUGACUUAAAGUUUCCUCACUUUGACUUUUGAUGAACAUAUCAUUAGAAUCCAAUGGUGCAAUACUUUGAUUUAAAUCCUUAAUUUGGCUAUAGUAAUCCAAGGAGCUUGAGAUUACCUAGACUUUUCUUAAUUGUUGAAAUGGCUAGAGAAGCUCAUAAUAAUUUCCUUAGUCAAAGUCACUAAUUCCAAAUAGCAUGCAAUUAAUGAAAGUCAACUAGCAUUAAGAACCAAAAAGUCACCAAAUCCAAGAGGAGUCAAUUGCUUUCAUUACCAUGUUGGAGAUUUUUUUUAUGUGGUGUGAAGCAGAAACAACACAAAAAUCAUUUGUUGCUUGCUAAUUUGAGGAUCCUUUACUUAAUCAAGAAAUUAGCCAACUAAUCACCACAAACACAUUUAAACUCAUGAAUAAAAACAUAUUAGUAGUGAUAAUAUGAUAAAACACAAAACAUUUCCAUAAAGAUUUAAGAACAAGUUCAUGGAUUUUCAACAUUCAACAAAAGUUCAAAGGAUUCAACAAAAAGUCAACCAAGAUUAGUUUAGCCAAGCAUGACUAAACUUAAAGAAGCAAAAUUAGUUAAGAUUGUACCAAACAUUUGACAAGAAUCAAGAGAUGAAAGAAGAUAUUCUUGAAGUGUUCUUGGCCUUCAAAAGUACUCCAAACUCCAAAGAGAAUGUGUCAAACUCGGACCUCCAAGAUAAGGCUGAGAAGGAACGCCAACCUUCCCAAUAUAGAGCUUUAAGUAAAAUUCCAAAAUUGCCCUUGUCAGGAAUCCACGCGGACCGCGGGUAAUCUUACGCGGGCCGCGUUACUGCGAUGAAAUUUUUGGGCUUCUUCAAGUCUUGGGCCCCCACAGCUAAUCCAUUGGCCCAGUUCCAAUCCAAUCAUCUUCUAGCCCAUUUUUCUUCAAUAUUUCUUCAAUUAGAGCCCAAUUUGUCUCUCCACAUCACUCAAAACUUCCGCAAACUCCUAGACAUCGAUCUUGCACACUCAAGAAUUCUCCCGCGCCCUUUGAUAUUUAAUGUUCAAAACUUUCGCGCCUUCAAGCAGUUGACAAGCCUACUCCCUGAAUCACCUCCACAUCCAUCAAGCACGAAAUACCCACUACUCUUCAAGUGCAAUCGCCUUCCAAAAGAUCCCGCACACUCCCACUCCUCUAGUUUCCUUAAAAUCUGCAAUAAUGCUCAAGAAACUAGAAAGUACCCGAAUUGGUCAUAAAAAUAACAAAAAGGAAAAAAUACAUGGAAAUUAACUAAAAUGUGAAUGGAAUGUGCUAAAAAAACUAUAAAAAGAAGUAAAUAAAACGAAGCUAUCAGAACGAUUGGUUUAAUUCCUAAAGUUGUCCUAUCGUAUGGCAUUUCCACCACCAACCGAGUUGAAGCAGAAUUAAUGAUUGAAGAUACAUGUGGAAGAAGUCCUAGUAGAGUCUAGGGGAGAAUUUUGUGAUUGUAUGGACACAUUUGUAUGUGUUAAAUUUUUUUUUUUGUGAUAAAGACUUGGAAAACUACGACAUAAUACUUGGGACGGGUAUGAGUAGGUGUGGAUGGUAGUAGAGGCCUAUACUAUCGGAAGCACAACACUCUCACUUGGAUUAGGGAAAGUCACAAGGUUACCAAGAAGCUAGUAAUUGAUUUUGUUUUGUUCAUGUGUGUCAUUAUCAUUGUUUCGGUAAUAAUUAAGAAGAUGAUUGUUAUUCCGCCCCUAGUGUUCAUAUCAUAUUGAGUCCGACUAAGACGAGUAUGUUACGUGGUUCAGAGAACCAAGUUUGAUGUAACAUCUGACUUAAGCCAGAAGAUUGAAGUGAGAGAUAAUUGAAGUGAUCAACAGAAGUAUCGUUCUCGUUGUUAAAGCUUGUAGCUAGAAGUGCUACAUGCUAUGACAUGAUUAUAUCACAUUAGAACAUGAAGGAAGACAUAGUAUGUUCUGGAGUUUGACUCUAAGAGACCUGAGUCUAAGCGUUGCAAUAUACGAUGAUAGGUCAUUAGAAUAUGACACAUCGGUCCAUUGUAGUAAUAAAAGAACUUAUCUUAAGUUGAGUGUCCAGUAAGGAUCAAGAUUGCGAAUCGAAGGUCUAACAUGGGACAGAGCGAGAUCAAGCACUACUUGUAGUAAAGAAGACCAUGACUUAGAUAUUCAUUCAAAGAAACAUAGAAUUUAUGAUUAUUACCUUGGAUGAAGAGAUAAAGUAUGGAGUCAUUAUACAACCCUGUUUCGUUCAUGAUUCCAGGACGUAAUCAUCCUAAGGGGGAGAUAAUUGUAACACCCGACUAGUCAAUAUAAAGGCAGUAAGUGUCGAAAACGACUUUUUGGCAAAAGAUUAUUUAGAAUAAAUAAUCUUAACCAAGUUGUAGAAUAUGUCUCAAGGUUCUGUACAUAUAAAGAAUGCCAAAAUCCAAGUUAUAACGAAGAAGUUAUGGUCUGUCGAAGUUUUACGGCAAAACAGGCACGACACCAGGAGACGUAAAUAGUGAAUUUAUGAUGGAGGACUUUUUACCCUUGGUGAUCUAAACGAAAGUCGUAUAAUAUGUUACACCAAGAGCGUCCAUAAAAAGAACGCCAAAAUCUAACUUCGUAUGAGGAAGUUAUGAAUUUUCUAGUAUUCGAUAUAGCAGUGCAUGACCCGAAACUCAAAUUUUAGUUUGAGCGGUUUUUGGCCAACGCAACCUAAAUGAGAAUUGAAUAUCUUAUUAAUAUUAGCACAACAGUAAAAAGACAGGCGAAAACGGACGUCGGAUGAAGAAAUUAUAAAUUUUUAACGGACUUUUCCUGUCUUGGCUUGUUAAAAAUAUAACUUUAAAAAUAAAGUCAAAAUUAGCCGACGAAGUCUAAACGAAGGUUGUAGAGUACGUCUCCACCUGCGCGUGGAUAUAACGAACGUCAAAAACAGAGUUCGUAUGAACGAGUUACAAGUUAUAAUAACAUAUUUACAUAUUAAAAUAAAGUAUAAAUCAUAUAUACGUAAGCAUAUAUAUAUAUAUAUANUCAUUAGAAAGGUAUCGACGAUGCGGUCAUUAUAAGACUAAUGUUGAAUUCUUUCGACAUUAGUUUAGUACAAAUAUCGUUAGAUGUAUUUAAAAUAGUAUUAUAAAGGGGUGUUUAGUUGUAUAUUAUUGUGGGUUGAAAACCCUAUGUACUCACCAGGUUUCCCAACCUGACCCACUCAAGCUUAUUUGUAUCACAGGUGUCGAUACGAAGUUACAUUUGUUGGAAUAGUGUCUAAGGCUGCAACUAUAUUAGGCAAGUAUUUGACCCGAUUGUGCAUGGUCCUUUUGGGUUGCCUUCACCAUAGCAACUUGAUAGGAUGAUUUAUUAUGAGAGAAUAAAUAUUAUUAAUAUAUUAUGAGAAUAGUAUAAGGAAUAAUAAUAUUGUUAUUUGAUUAAUAUACGUCAAAGAUUAAUUAAUAUUAAUUUGGUGACUUAAAGAGAUUAAUUAAAUAAGAGGGUAUAAACUGUCAAUUGUUUGAUAGUUACACUUUGGGCUAUAAAUCCUUAUAGGAUAUAGGGUGGAUGAUUUCUAGAGCUAGGAUAAGCCUAAAAUCAUCCAGGCAUAUCCAAGGAAAGGAUUAGGAUUACUUAGAGUCUAAGUUAUCCAAUUAGGGUUUAAGGGUAAAACCUUAGGAGCCUUACAAGUAUAAAUAGACCCCUUGGGAUAGGGAAAUCGGCAUCUCCUCUACAACAAGGAUACCCUGACCGAUUUACUCCUCUCUCCUCUCUCUCAAAUCAUUCUCUUUGCUAGUUGGUGUUUGUAAGCCAUUAGAGGAGUGACAAUUGUGACUUUAAAGCUCCAAGAACAAGAAGAUCAAACAAGUGUUUCAAGGUAUGCUUCUAACUCUGGUUUUGUAUUGUUCUUAUACCUAAUUAGUCAUUAGAAGUCUUGGAUUCAUUGCAUGUUUAAUUAGAGAAACCUAGAUCCAAGCAUUAAGGUUUGUAUGUGCACAUAGGAAUGUUCAUAUGACCAAAACCCAUCAGUGGUAUCAGAGCCUAGAUUGGUUUCUAUUAAAUUGUUGCUUGAUUGUUUGAAUCUUACCUGCAAAAUUCAAAUUUUGUGAUUAUGAGUCAUGGACUCGACGAGUCCCAUAGUGGACUUGGCGAGUUGGCCUGAAUCGGCGAGUCCAGUUUGGGUACUUGGCGAGUCCGAGCGUCAGGAAGAGCCAAAAUCGGGAUUUUUUUCAUAUUUAUCUUAUGGAAACUUACGUUUAUCAUAUUAGAUCAACCCAAAUCCGAUUUCAUGAUAUAUAUGACUAUAUUUUUGAUCUAAUUGAAGAUAUUUAUCAAUUAAUAAAAUAUUUAAUUUCCUUAUAUGAUAAUUAUUAAUUAUUUUGAUUAAAUUGGUAAAUUGUUCAAAUAUGGAUAAUUAUGUGAUUAAUUGUUAAUUUAAAUUAUUUUUUAUUUGAUCCUUUAUGUUUUAAAUGUUUAAAACUUGUCCUCAAGUUUUGAAAUUUAUGUUUUGUAAUUAAAAGUUUAAUUUAGACAAUUUAAUUUUCAAACCCUAGAAUUUUACAAGUUUAAAAUCCAACCCUAUACUAAUAUAAUAUUACAAGAUUAAUAUCUAUAUAUGUAUAACUUAUAUGCUAGUCUUACCGUUAGUAGGCCUCAUUCACGAAGCUGGUCUAUAAGGUGGGUAUAAGGUUGCGGCCUAUAAAAUGGCGCUUAAUGGGUGUACACUUACACCCACCGCUUCCUUGAUCGGUGGAGGGUAGUUAGUCGAACGGGUAGGAUAGGGCAACCUCAUCCUCUCAUUAAAAGUAUAAUAUGAAAUACAAAGUAACUACAUGUUUUCUUAAAACUUCCCAAUCUUAGUUACUUUAGGAAAAGUGAAUUGAUGCAAUCCCAUGAAAUUACACUUUGCACCUUGCUAAGAUGUUAGUGGCGCGUGUGUGGUUUACCGGCACACUAAUUGGUUCUAAGCGAAGGUGGCAAAGGGUGAUUCAUUGUUUAUCAUAUUUCGAUGGAGCGUGUGUGGUUUACCGGCACAUCGAAUAGGCGAUCGUUACAAUGAAGGCACCAUGUGAAUUUGCAUGGUAAUUCACACCCGCUUUGUGAUCCUCGGUAUCCCAGUCACAAACUAGAGGGGCAUAUCGAGAUUUAAACAUGUCAUUGAAAAGUUUCAAUGAAUCUCAUUCGAACCUAGGAAUUCUCAAUACAUUUAGGACAUAAAGUUAUGUUUUUCAUGGUGGAGAAUUAGUGAAUCGUCAUUCACUUACCUUCAAAUUGUUUGCAUAUUAGAUUACGGCAUCCCUCUUCUAAUGUGUAAAUAUUGUUGUUGGAUCCUAGCCCUAAUUUUUCUUAUUGGGUGAUAAUUAGGGAUUCAUAUUCUAAUCUAUCUUUGUCCUUUCUAUUUGUAGAUGUCGAACGCAAACAACGCUGCUGCUAGUUCNNNNNNNNNNNNNNNNNNNNNNNNNNNNNNNNNNNNNNNNNNNNNNNNNNNNNNNNNNNNNNNNNNNNNNNNNNNNNNNNNNNNNNNNNNNNNNNNNNNNNNNNNNNNNNNNNNNNNNNNNNNNNNNNNNNNNNNNNNNNNNNNNNNNNNNNNNNNNNNNNNNNNNNNNNNNNNNNNNNNNNNNNNNNNNNNNNNNNNNNNNNNNNNNNNNNNNNNNNNNNNNNNNNNNNNNNNNNNNNNNNNNNNNNNNNNNNNNNNNNNNNNNNNNNNNNNNNNNNNNNNNNNNNNNNNNNNNNNNNNNNNNNNNNNNNNNNNNNNNNNNNNNNNNNNNNNNNNNNNNNNNNNNNNNNNNNNNNNNNNNNNNNNNNNNNNNNNNNNNNNNNNNNNNNNNNNNNNNNNNNNNNNNNNNNNNNNNNNNNNNNNNNNNNNNNNNNNNNNNNNNNNNNNNNNNNNNNNNNNNNNNNNNNNNNNNNNNNNNNNNNNNNNNNNNNNNNNNNNNNNNNNNNNNNNNNNNNNNNNNNNNNNNNNNNNNNNNNNNNNNNNNNNNNNNNNNNNNNNNNNNNNNNNNNNNNNNNNNNNNNNNNNNNNNNNNNNNNNNNNNNNNNNNNNNNNNNNNNNNNNNNNNNNNNNNNNNNNNNNNNNNNNNNNNNNNNNNNNNNNNNNNNNNNNNNNNNNNNNNNNNNNNNNNNNNNNNNNNNNNNNNNNNNNNNNNNNNNNNNNNNNNNNNNNNNNNNNNNNNNNNNNNNNNNNNNNNNNNNNNNNNNNNNNNNNNNNNNNNNNNNNNNNNNNNNNNNNNNNNNNNNNNNNNNNNNNNNNNNNNNNNNNNNNNNNNNNNNNNNNNNNNNNNNNNNNNNNNNNNNNNNNNNNNNNNNNNNNNNNNNNNNNNNNNNNNNNNNNNNNNNNNNNNNNNNNNNNNNNNNNNNNNNNNNNNNNNNNNNNNNNNNNNNNNNNNNNNNNNNNNNNNNNNNNNNNNNNNNNNNNNNNNNNNNNNNNNNNNNNNNNNNNNNNNNNNNNNNNNNNNNNNNNNNNNNNNNNNNNNNNNNNNNNNNNNNNNNNNNNNNNNNNNNNNNNNNNNNNNNNNNNNNNNNNNNNNNNNNNNNNNNNNNNNNNNNNNNNNNNNNNNNNNNNNNNNNNNNNNNNNNNNNNNNNNNNNNNNNNNNNNNNNNNNNNNNNNNNNNNNNNNNNNNNNNNNNNNNNNNNNNNNNNNNNNNNNNNNNNNNNNNNNNNNNNNNNNNNNNNNNNNNNNNNNNNNNNNNNNNNNNNNNNNNNNNNNNNNNNNNNNNNNNNNNNNNNNNNNNNNNNNNNNNNNNNNNNNNNNNNNNNNNNNNNNNNNNNNNNNNNNNNNNNNNNNNNNNNNNNNNNNNNNNNNNNNNNNNNNNNNNNNNNNNNNNNNNNNNNNNNNNNNNNNNNNNNNNNNNNNNNNNNNNNNNNNNNNNNNNNNNNNNNNNNNNNNNNNNNNNNNNNNNNNNNNNNNNNNNNNNNNNNNNNNNNNNNNNNNNNNNNNNNNNNNNNNNNNNNNNNNNNNNNNNNNNNNNNNNNNNNNNNNNNNNNNNNNNNNNNNNNNNNNNNNNNNNNNNNNNNNNNNNNNNNNNNNNNNNNNNNNNNNNNNNNNNNNNNNNNNNNNNNNNNNNNNNNNNNNNNNNNNNNNNNNNNNNNNNNNNNNNNNNNNNNNNNNNNNNNNNNNNNNNNNNNNNNNNNNNNNNNNNNNNNNNNNNNNNNNNNNNNNNNNNNNNNNNNNNNNNNNNNNNNNNNNNNNNNNNNNNNNNNNNNNNNNNNNNNNNNNNNNNNNNNNNNNNNNNNNNNNNNNNNNNNNNNNNNNNNNNNNNNNNNNNNNNNNNNNNNNNNNNNNNNNNNNNNNNNNNNNNNNNNNNNNNNNNNNNNNNNNNNNNNNNNNNNNNNNNNNNNNNNNNNNNNNNNNNNNNNNNNNNNNNNNNNNNNNNNNNNNNNNNNNNNNNNNNNNNNNNNNNNNNNNNNNNNNNNNNNNNNNNNNNNNNNNNNNNNNNNNNNNNNNNNNNNNNNNNNNNNNNNNNNNNNNNNNNNNNNNNNNNNNNNNNNNNNNNNNNNNNNNNNNNNNNNNNNNNNNNNNNNNNNNNNNNNNNNNNNNNNNNNNNNNNNNNNNNNNNNNNNNNNNNNNNNNNNNNNNNNNNNNNNNNNNNNNNNNNNNNNNNNNNNNNNNNNNNNNNNNNNNNNNNNNNNNNNNNNNNNNNNNNNNNNNNNNNNNNNNNNNNNNNNNNNNNNNNNNNNNNNNNNNNNNNNNNNNNNNNNNNNNNNNNNNNNNNNNNNNNNNNNNNNNNNNNNNNNNNNNNNNNNNNNNNNNNNNNNNNNNNNNNNNNNNNNNNNNNNNNNNNNNNNNNNNNNNNNNNNNNNNNNNNNNNNNNNNNNNNNNNNNNNNNNNNNNNNNNNNNNNNNNNNNNNNNNNNNNNNNNNNNNNNNNNNNNNNNNNNNNNNNNNNNNNNNNNNNNNNNNNNNNNNNNNNNNNNNNNNNNNNNNNNNNNNNNNNNNNNNNNNNNNNNNNNNNNNNNNNNNNNNNNNNNNNNNNNNNNNNNNNNNNNNNNNNNNNNNNNNNNNNNNNNNNNNNNNNNNNNNNNNNNNNNNNNNNNNNNNNNNNNNNNNNNNNNNNNNNNNNNNNNNNNNNNNNNNNNNNNNNNNNNNNNNNNNNNNNNNNNNNNNNNNNNNNNNNNNNNNNNNNNNNNNNNNNNNNNNNNNNNNNNNNNNNNNNNNNNNNNNNNNNNNNNNNNNNNNNNNNNNNNNNNNNNNNNNNNNNNNNNNNNNNNNNNNNNNNNNNNNNNNNNNNNNNNNNNNNNNNNNNNNNNNNNNNNNNNNNNNNNNNNNNNNNNNNNNNNNNNNNNNNNNNNNNNNNNNNNNNNNNNNNNNNNNNNNNNNNNNNNNNNNNNNNNNNNNNNNNNNNNNNNNNNNNNNNNNNNNNNNNNNNNNNNNNNNNNNNNNNNNNNNNNNNNNNNNNNNNNNNNNNNNNNNNNNNNNNNNNNNNNNNNNNNNNNNNNNNNNNNNNNNNNNNNNNNNNNNNNNNNNNNNNNNNNNNNNNNNNNNNNNNNNNNNNNNNNNNNNNNNNNNNNNNNNNNNNNNNNNNNNNNNNNNNNNNNNNNNNNNNNNNNNNNNNNNNNNNNNNNNNNNNNNNNNNNNNNNNNNNNNNNNNNNNNNNNNNNNNNNNNNNNNNNNNNNNNNNNNNNNNNNNNNNNNNNNNNNNNNNNNNNNNNNNNNNNNNNNNNNNNNNNNNNNNNNNNNNNNNNNNNNNNNNNNNNNNNNNNNNNNNNNNNNNNNNNNNNNNNNNNNNNNNNNNNNNNNNNNNNNNNNNNNNNNNNNNNNNNNNNNNNNNNNNNNNNNNNNNNNNNNNNNNNNNNNNNNNNNNNNNNNNNNNNNNNNNNNNNNNNNNNNNNNNNNNNNNNNNNNNNNNNNNNNNNNNNNNNNNNNNNNNNNNNNNNNNNNNNNNNNNNNNNNNNNNNNNNNNNNNNNNNNNNNNNNNNNNNNNNNNNNNNNNNNNNNNNNNNNNNNNNNNNNNNNNNNNNNNNNNNNNNNNNNNNNNNNNNNNNNNNNNNNNNNNNNNNNNNNNNNNNNNNNNNNNNNNNNNNNNNNNNNNNNNNNNNNNNNNNNNNNNNNNNNNNNNNNNNNNNNNNNNNNNNNNNNNNNNNNNNNNNNNNNNNNNNNNNNNNNNNNNNNNNNNNNNNNNNNNNNNNNNNNNNNNNNNNNNNNNNNNNNNNNNNNNNNNNNNNNNNNNNNNNNNNNNNNNNNNNNNNNNNNNNNNNNNNNNNNNNNNNNNNNNNNNNNNNNNNNNNNNNNNNNNNNNNNNNNNNNNNNNNNNNNNNNNNNNNNNNNNNNNNNNNNNNNNNNNNNNNNNNNNNNNNNNNNNNNNNNNNNNNNNNNNNNNNNNNNNNNNNNNNNNNNNNNNNNNNNNNNNNNNNNNNNNNNNNNNNNNNNNNNNNNNNNNNNNNNNNNNNNNNNNNNNNNNNNNNNNNNNNNNNNNNNNNNNNNNNNNNNNNNNNNNNNNNNNNNNNNNNNNNNNNNNNNNNNNNNNNNNNNNNNNNNNNNNNNNNNNNNNNNNNNNNNNNNNNNNNNNNNNNNNNNNNNNNNNNNNNNNNNNNNNNNNNNNNNNNNNNNNNNNNNNNNNNNNNNNNNNNNNNNNNNNNNNNNNNNNNNNNNNNNNNNNNNNNNNNNNNNNNNNNNNNNNNNNNNNNNNNNNNNNNNNNNNNNNNNNNNNNNNNNNNNNNNNNNNNNNNNNNNNNNNNNNNNNNNNNNNNNNNNNNNNNNNNNNNNNNNNNNNNNNNNNNNNNNNNNNNNNNNNNNNNNNNNNNNNNNNNNNNNNNNNNNNNNNNNNNNNNNNNNNNNNNNNNNNNNNNNNNNNNNNNNNNNNNNNNNNNNNNNNNNNNNNNNNNNNNNNNNNNNNNNNNNNNNNNNNNNNNNNNNNNNNNNNNNNNNNNNNNNNNNNNNNNNNNNNNNNNNNNNNNNNNNNNNNNNNNNNNNNNNNNNNNNNNNNNNNNNNNNNNNNNNNNNNNNNNNNNNNNNNNNNNNNNNNNNNNNNNNNNNNNNNNNNNNNNNNNNNNNNNNNNNNNNNNNNNNNNNNNNNNNNNNNNNNNNNNNNNNNNNNNNNNNNNNNNNNNNNNNNNNNNNNNNNNNNNNNNNNNNNNNNNNNNNNNNNNNNNNNNNNNNNNNNNNNNNNNNNNNNNNNNNNNNNNNNNNNNNNNNNNNNNNNNNNNNNNNNNNNNNNNNNNNNNNNNNNNNNNNNNNNNNNNNNNNNNNNNNNNNNNNNNNNNNNNNNNNNNNNNNNNNNNNNNNNNNNNNNNNNNNNNNNNNUGCAACUAUAUUAGGCAAGUAUUUGACCCGAUUGUGCAUGGUCCUUUUGGGUUGCCUUCACCAUAGCAACUUGAUAGGAUGAUUUAUUAUGAGAGAAUAGAUAUUAUUAAUAUAUUAUGAGAAUAAUAUAAGGAAUAAUCAUAUUGUUAUUUGAUUAAUAUAAGUCAUAGAUUAAUUAGUAUUAAUUUGGUGACUUAAAGAGAUUAAUUAAAUAAGAGGGUAUAAACUGUCAAUUGUUUGAUAGUUAUACUUUGGGCUAUAAAUCCUUUUAGGAUAUAGGGUGGACGAUUUCUAGGGCUAAGAUAAGCCUAAAAUCGUCUAGGGCAUAUCCAAGGAAAGGAUUAGGAUUACUUAGAGUCUAAGUUAUCCAAUUAGGGUUUAAGGGUAAAACCCUAGGAGCCUUACAAGUAUAAAUAGACCCCUUGGGAUAGGGAAAUCGGCAUCUCCUCUACAGCAAGGAUACCCUGGCCGAUUUCCUCCUCUCUCCUCUCUCUCAAAUCAUUCUCUUUGCUAGUUGGUGUUUGUAAGCCAUUAGAGGAGUGACAAUUGUGACUUUAAAGCUCCAAGAACAAGAAGAUCAAACAAGUGUUUCAAGGUAUGCUUCUAACUCUGGUUGUGUAUUGUUCUUAUACAUAAUUAGUCAUUAGAAGUCUUGGAUUCAUUGCAUGUUUAAUUAGAGAAACCUAGAUCCAAGCAUUAGGGUUUGUAUGUGCACAUAGGAAUGUUCAUAUGACCAAAACCCAUUAGUGGUAUUAGAGCCUAGAUUGGUUUCUAUUAAAUUGUUGCUUGAUUGUUUGAAUCUUACCUGCAAAAUUCGAAUUUUGUGAUUAUGAGUCAUGGACUCGGCGAGUCCCAUAGUGGACUCGGCGAGUUGGCCUGACUCGGCGAGUCCAGUUUGGGUACUUGGCGACUCCGAGCGUCUGGAAGAGCCAAAAUCAGGAUUUUUUUUCAUAUUUAUCUUAUGGAAACUUACCUUUAUCAUAUUAGAUCAACCCAAAUCCAAUUUUAUGAUAUAUAUGACUAUAUUUUUGAUCUAAUUGAAGAUAUUUAUCAAUUAAUAAAAUAUUUAAUUUCCUUAUAUGAUAAUUAUUAAUUAUUUCGAUUAAAUUGGUAAAUUGUUCAAAUAUGGAUAAUUAUGUGAUUAAUUGUUAAUUUAAAUUAUUUAUUAUUUGAUCCUUUAUGUUUUAAAUGUUUAAAACUUGUCCUCAUGUUUUGAAAUUUAUGUUUUGUAAUUAAAAGUUUAAUUUAGACAAUUUAAAUUUCAAACCCUAGAAUUUUACAUGUUUAAAAUCCAACCCUAUACUAAUAUAAUAUUACAAGAUUAAUAUCUAUAUAUGUAUACCUUAUAUGCAAGUCUUACCGUUAGUAGGCCUCAUUCACGAAGCUGGUCUAUAAGGUGGGUAUAAGGUUGCGGCCUAUAAAAUGGCGCUUAAUGGGUGUACACUCACACCCACCGCUUGCUUGAUCGGUCGAGGGUCGUUAGUCGAACGGGUAGGAUAGGGCAACCUCAUCCUCUCAUUAAAAGUAUAAUAUGAAAUACAAAGUAACUACAUGUUUUCUUAAAAUUUCCCAAUCUUAGUUACUUUAGGAAAAGUGAAUUGAUGCAAUCCCAUGAAAUUACACUUUGCACCUUGCUAAGAAGUUAGUGGAGCGUGUGUGGUUUACCGGCACACUAAUUGGUUCUAAGCGAAGGUGGCAAAGGGUGAUUCAUUGUUUAUCAUAGUUCGAUGGAGCGUGUGUGGUUUACCGGCACAUCGAAUAGGUGAUCGUUACAAUGAAGGCACCAUGUGAAUUUGCAUGGUAAUUCACACCCGCUUUGUGAUCCUCGGUAUCCCAGUCACAAACGAGAGGGGCAUAUCGAGAUUUAAACAUGUCAUUGAAAAGUUUCAAUGAAUCUCAUCCGAACCUAGGAAUUCUCAAUACAUUUAGGACUUAAAGUUAUGUUUUUCUUGUGGAGAAUUAGUGAAUCGUCAUUCACUUACCUUCAAAUUAUUUGCAUGUUAGAUUACGGCAUCCCUUUUCUAAUAUGUAAAUGUUAUUGUUGGAUCCUAGCCCUAAUUUUUCUUAUUGGGUGAUAAUUAGGGAUUCUUAUUCUAAUCUAUCUUUGUCCUUUUCUAAUUGUAGAUGUCGAACGCAAACAACGCUGCUGCUAGUUCUUUCACGUUGAUGAGCCUUUGCCAAAAGGUCACCUUCGAUGGAACGAACUUUAGCGAAUGGAUAAGAUACAUUCGCACCAUUGCUCGCUAUGAGGAUAAGGAGUAUGUCCUCGAUGAGAAGCUCGAGAAAAUCAACCCUGAAAUCGCUACUCCGGCUGAAAUGACCGCUUUUGAAACUCAUGAGCGAGAUGCAACGAAGGUACAUUGCAUCAUGAUAGCCACCAUGAACUCCGAAUUCCAAAAGUCCUACGAGGACAUGUACCCGUACGAGAUGCAUCAAGACUUAUUGGAGAGAUACCACCAAAACGCGAGACAAGAGCGUUAUGAGAUUUUCACUAACAUGAUUUCCGCUAAGAUGGGUCAUGGAGAAUCUCUUACCGUGCACCUGCAAAAGAUGCAAAGGUAUGUCGACCGUCUUCGCAAGUUGAAUGUUGACUUUGGGGAAGACUUGGCGAUCGACAUGGUGCUUCACUCUUUGCCUCCGAGCUACAAUCAAUUUAGGAUGACCUACCACAUGAACAAAGAGGAGGUCACCCUAAGCAAACUCCAAGGUCUCUUGAGGGUCGCUGAGAGCAACUUCAAGGACAAGUCUGUUGCACCAACUCCCAAUCCGCCCGCCGCUCCUGUCUUGGCUAUUGGACAAGGAAAGGGAAAGAAGAGGAAGGCUUCGUCGAAGAACUAUCGUAAGGUUAAAGCCCGAGAUGGUGCCUCUUCUAGUGGGACCAAAGUUGAUCCCGCUAAGCCCUGCCCUAACCCGAAGGAGGCAGAGUGCCACCACUGCCACAAGAUAGGACAUUGGGAAAGAAGCUGCCCUAAGUACCUGCAAGCCAUCAAGGAAGGAAAGAUCAAGCCAUCUUUCGCAGGUAUAUACACAAUUAAAUCUAACGAUUCAUCUCAUGAUAUUUCUUGGGUUCUUGAUACCGGUUAUGGUUACCACAUUUGUUCUAAUGUGCAGGGACUAAGAAGAAAUAGAAACGUGGAGCAUGGAAGAAUAAAUCUAAUCAUGGGGAACAAAAUAUCGUCGCUUGUGACCAAGAUUGGAGUGUAUUCUUUAGUGCUUAGGAAUGGUUUAUCUUUAGAUUUGAACAAUUAUUGCUAUUCGCCAGAAAUGGCUAGAAACAUCAUUUCCUUUCAUGGUUUGUUUAGACAAGGUUUUAGAUUUUCUUUUAAUAAUGAGAAUGGUUCUAUUUUAGCUUAUCUGAAUGGUGUUUUUUAUUUUGAAGCUAUACCAUGUAACGGAAUUUAUGAAACUGUUAUGAUUGUUGAUAACUUAGGAAAUGAUGUUUUAUGCAUGGAUUCUUCCAAUAGUAUGGAUAAGGUGUCCUUAUGGCAUUGUCGUCUUGGACAUGUCAACAAGAAACGCAUAGCCCAACUCCAAAAGGAUGGAGUGUUGGAGUCAUUCGACCUUAGGGAAGAUGACACAUAUGAGUCUUGUUACUUGGAAAGAUGACUAAGUCACAAUUCGCUGGUACGUACGAAAGGGGUGAGGGUCUAUUGGACCUCAUACAUACUGAUAUGUGUGGACCGCAUAUAAAGAAAAAAUAAUUAGGGUACAAACAUAAAAGAUUUGUAAAUUUUUAUUUUUAUUUUUUUAAAUUUUAGUUAUGGUGAAUUGGAAACCCAUUAUCAAAGACAACAAUCACAAAAAAUAAAAAUAAAUAAAUAAAUAAAAUACAAAUUUCGAAGACCAAGGAACAAAAGUCAUAAAAUGAGACAAAAACCUGCAAAAUUUUCCAAAUAUUAUCGUUGUUAAAGUCUUUGACGUUGACUUAUAUAAUUUCUUAGAAUUUUCCCCAAUUUACCAUUAAAUUUCUUGGAAUUCUCCAUAUCUCCAGAAAAUAAUAAAAAGAGAACACCAUCGAUUUUUAAGGCAAAGGAGAACCAUCCCCAUCUUAUCCUCUUUAGCUGUCUAUCUUCCUUCCUCGUUGGUUCGUCAUUUCCAUGCCGACAAACAAACCUCUGUAAUUUUCAGUCGUCAUCUUUCUCAGGCUCGAGACUCGUCACUGGUUGUUCGUUCUAUGUCAUCGCUGCUUCAAGUCUGCUUGUCUUCCUGUCGGUAGGUAACUAUGAAGUAUAAAGGGACAUUCUUAUAGUUUAGCUUCACAUGUUGUUAGAUAAUUUCAUAUCAUAAAUUACAUCAUAAUCCUUUUUUAUUUUGUUCACAAAUGAUUGAAUUUUUUUUCUAUUCAAUUGCUGUUGCUCAAUUAAUUCUAGAGAGUUUGAAAUUGAAACCAUAGAAAGGUCAUGGCUUGUUAGUUUCAAAAGCAUAUCAUUUGGAUCAAGCCCAUGAAUGAAAGUCGAAAUCCUUUAGAUGUAUGCUAAUACUAGAUCCAGUGAUAGUAGAUAUUAAUAGUUUCGAAUUUAUGUAGAGGCAUUAUGUACUAGAUCCCUACAUUGGAACACAAGGGAGGAAAGCCGGUGAAACCAACUUUCAUAACCGAUAAGGUGAGGAAGAGUUUCAGAACUUACUAAGAUACACCCUGUAUAUAAGGAGAAACUUUAAAUAAAUAAACAAAAUUGUGGGAAAGGUGAAGAGUCAUCAACUCAUUACUAAUAAUGGUUGUUCUAUCUGAACUUCCAGAAGGAUCUUCAUCUUCUUCAUUAACUCAUGGCCAUAGUUCACCAACUUGUGGUCGUAGUUCAUCAACUGAUGGCCAUAGAUACGAUGUAUUUUUAAGUUUUAGAGGUGUUGACACUCGUCAUAGUUUCACUGAUCACCUUCAUAAGGCCCUCAUUCAUGCCAAUAUCACUACCUUCUUGGACAAUGAAGAGAUUGAAACAGGAGAAGAUCUGAAACCAGAAUUGGAGAGUGCGAUUAAGGCAUCUCGGGCUUCUAUUAUAGUGUUGUCUAAGAAUUACGUGUCUUCAACAUGGUGCCUUGAUGAAUUGGUGUUGAUCCUUGAGCAGCGUAUGACAUCCAACCAUAUUGUCAUCCCAAUCUUCUAUCAUGUGGAGCCCACCCAUGUCAGGAAGCAGCAAAGUAGCUUUGGAGAUGCAAUGGCUAAGCAUAAACAAACAAUGGAGGCAGAGACAAAUGUAAAUAAAAGAAGUCAAUGGGCUCAAAAGAUGGACCGAUGGAAUAAAGCGCUUAUAGAAGCUGCUAAUUUAAAAGGAUAUGAUGUUCAUGGAAGGUAACAACUUUAAUUAUAUUUUCAUGCACUUUUGAUUUCUUUUUUAUUAAACGCAUGAAAUGUCAAUAGAAUCUUUUGCCUAUGCUUUUCAAUAUCAUCAAAUAGCUCGGUGAUCUCCUUAAUUAAUACAUAUACAUAGAUUAACAUCAUGAUAAAUUUGACAUGUUUCUGUGCAUUUAGUAUUUUAUUAUCAGGUAGUUCUUUAAGAUAACCUAUUUUAAGUUAUUUUAAUAUGUUUUGAACCAAAUUUUGAACAGUUUGAUAUGCAUCUACUAUCAAUUAUGUUAAUAUGUUCUUACCUGUGAGUAGUAGAGGAUAACCUAAAACUGGCAUAUAUUUUUCAGACACAUACAAAACCACAUUGAUAGUUAAGUUUGAUGGUCCUAUAGAAACAUGGUACAAGUUAGUUGGCCCAUUAGUGAAAUUGUAACAUGUUGGUGGAUUUGGCUUUAUCAUACAUAAAUAUUUACGACCUUAUACAUUAGGUGCUAAUCCUAUAUGGUGUUGAUGUGAAGAAUUUAAUUAAAAAUACAGCUAUGAUAUACUUCUGAUUUAGAUCUUUGGAUAAACUACAUCUCCAAAUCUAGUUUGUUAGUUUUGUGUAUUGUGUUUUGUAACUCUUAUUAAAUCAAGUUUCAGGCUAGAGACGGAAUUUAUUGAAGAGAUUGUGAAGGACAUCCACCGUAGGUUACAUGUACGCUCAAGGAGUGUUCGGCAACAACUUAUUGGGAUGGAAUAUCAUAUUAAGUUCAUCACUUCAUGGUUGAAAUAUGGAUCCUCACAUACGGCAGACAUACUCACUAUUACGGGAAUCGACUGGAUCGGGAAGACAUACUCACUAUUACGGGAAUCGGCUGGAUCGGGAAGACAUCGUUAGCCAAACAUAUCUAUGACCUAUAUUGGCAUGAAUUCAGCACAAGCAGUUGUAUUGAAGAUAUCAGUAGGAGAUGUGAUGGAAAGUUUAAUGGGCUGCUUGAUAUACAAAAGCAACUUUGGGAUGACAUUUCAAAAAAAAAAGUUCAAUUCAAAUUCAUAAUGUUUCAGCAUACACCUCAAAGAUAGAGAAUGCAUUAGCCCGCAAACGGGUCUUUAUAGUUCUUGAUGAUAUCAAUACUAUUGAUCAGUUGGAUGCAUUACUCGGAAACAAAGGUUUUCAUCCCGGAAGCAAAAUUAUAUUAACAACAAAGGAAAGAUGGAUAACACAGAGUUUUGCACUAUUCAAAACAAAUAUUAAACCUAAGCAUGUAGAACGCUUCCGUAAAGGCUUAUGUAGGACUGAAUCAUGCCAGCUUUUGUGUUCCCAUGCAUUCAUGUGCAACCAUCCCAAGGCAGGUUAUGAAGAGGUGUUAGAGAAGCUUGUGAAGUAUUGCCAAGGACAUCCAUUGGCUCUCAAAGUUUUGGGCAAGUCGUUACAUAAUCGAGAUGUAGCUUACUGGGAAGGGUGCAUACAUGGGCUAAAAAAAGAAACAAAUUCAUACAUAAAUAAUGUCUUGAGAAUGAGCUUUGAAUCUUUGCCAUCUAACAAUGAUAAGGAAUUGUUUAAGCAUAUUGCUUGUUUUUUUGUUGGAAUGGAUAGAGAUGUUACCGAAACAAUAUUAGAGGCAUGCAAUAUAAACACGAGAUACGGAAUCAUUAAUCUCAUUAACAGAUGCCUUCUUAGUAUAGGACGGAAAAUGAAUUUAAGAUGCAUCAGUUGGUUCAAGAGAUGGGAAGAUUCGAAGUACUUCAAGAAUCACUUGACAAGCCAUGGAAGCGCAGUCGAUUAUGGUGUCAUGAGGAGUCGUUCAAAGUAUCAAAGAAAGAAAAGGUAAGAGCCUUUGUAACCCUGUAUAGUUGUUAGUAAUGUGCAUAUUUAAAGUAUUUUGUAUUGUCUAAUUUUUGUUGGAUUUUGGUUCUUCUUAGGGUAAGGGAAAUAUUCUAGGCCUUGCCUUGGACAUGCGAAUGGUUGAGAAAGAGAAGUCAGGUGCAUCAUUUGAGUUAGAUACGUUGAGUAACAUGGAUAAUCUGAUGCUCCUACAACUCAAUUAUGUGCACAUGAAUGGUUCUUAUGAAAACUUUCCGGAAGAAUUAAGAUGCUUAUGUAUGCAUGGGUACCAUUUAAAUUCUAUACCUUUAAAUUUACCAAUGGAGAAUCUGGUUGCUCUUGACAUGUCAUAUAGUAAUAUUGAAUCCUUUGUCUUUUGUGAUAGUAAUCCACAACGACAUGAAAAGAGACAAAAGGUAACUUAUCUUCCAUUGUUAUUAUUCCAUGUUGAUUGGGUGAAAUUCACUAUUACUCUAACUUAUCCCUAUUUCAACAGUUAAGCGGAUCAUGCUUAAAACAAAAAAGGGUACUUGGAUCAUUGAAGAUUCUUAAUUUAAGUUUUUGUAAACAACUUCGUAGUCUUGGUGACUUUGACCAACUCCCUGCUCUUGAGAGGUUAAUAGUUAGGAAUUGCAUUGGUUUGAAUGAGGUUUGUGAAUCAAUUGGGCAAUGUGUUAAACUUGUCUUAAUCGAUCUGAGCUACUGCAACAAGCUUGAAAAAAUUCAAAAAAUCACAAGCAUGUUAGCGAAUGUUAAAAUAAUGUUCCUAGAGGGUUGUAAUCUUGGGGAAUCACGAAUCAAGAUUAGGGAUAUUGAUUUACAAGAAAGGCUCAAGGCUAACGACAUUGACGUAAAUACAAUAACCUCUUCCUCUGCCUUUGGGGGUGCUAUACCAAGUGAUUUGAAGUUCUCUGCAUUUUCUUUACCUAGGUCUUUAGUAAGUUCUCUGCACUUCAGUUGCCUAUCCAUGCUAAAGCAUUUAUAUUUAGACGGAAAUCUUAUCGAUUCCAUGCCCAUUUGUGUGAGAACCCUUCCUAGGCUUGAGAUACUUAGCAUGACAGUACAAAAAAAAUGUCAAUUAGUAACCAAAACGAUAUGGUCACUAACAAUAGAAUGCAUCGUCACUAAAUGAUUUAGUGACGAAAAUUCCGGUCGACACUUUUCGUCACUAUAGGUCCGUCACAAAACCGAUUUAGUGACCAAAUAUAAAUAUGGUCACUAAAUAGUGACUAAAAUAUACUCGUCACUAAAUCUGUGACAACCCACUUCGUCACUAAAUGUUGUCACUAUUUUAUCUACUUAGUGACCAAUAAAAGUCGUCACUGUUUAAUCCGAUUAGUGACCAGAGAAAAUGGUCACUAUUUAAUAUGAUUGGUGACCAUAGAAAGUGGUCACUGUUUAAUCCGAUUAGUGACCAUAGUAGGUGGUCACUGUUUAAUCCGAUUAGUGACCAUACCAAGUCAUCACUGAUUUAUCCUAUGAGACACAAAAAGGGGUCAAUAAUUAAGAAAUUAUUGAAAUAUUAAAUUUCAUUUUUAAUAUGAAAUAUAACAAUAUCCAAUUAGAUAAAAGAAAAAACAAUCCUAUAAAUUUUUACAAUACAACAAAAACCAAAUAAAUCUUCACAUUUAUAAUAUGAAAAUUAAAUGUCAAUUUUUAAAAAAAUCCAUACAUUUUAUCCAAUAUUUCAAACAACAAAAUAUAAAGAUCAACCGGGUGAAGUUCAUUUAAUAAGAAAAGUAAGUUCAAUUGAUCAAUGCAAUUGAGAUAAACGUGAAAGCUCACUCAUCAUAAAUUCCAUUUUCUUAUUUUGCUCCUCUCGAUAUUUGAUCUGCUCUUCUUGAAAUUGUAGUUGCUCUUCUUUAAUUACAGGAAUUUCCUCCUCCACGGCUUUUGAUUUUUCCUUUUCCAGUUCCAGAUCCAUUUGUAACUUUUCUGUGCCUAAAACUUGUUUUGUCGAAACAGAACGCCCUUUUAUAUAUCCCGGUAUACGAUGUAGUUUUUUCAUACAUAUUUCAGCCGGCGAACAAGAAGAAGAAGCUUCCUCAUUUAGUAAUUCAUUCUGCAUAACAAAACAAUUUAGAUUAAAAGUAAAACAAAUAUUAUUCAUAAAUACGUCAAGAUAUUAAAAAUACCCAAAUUUCUCCGGCCAUCUCAUUGACCAUUUGAUUUUUCUUUUUCGAAAAAUGCCCAAUCUUGUAACGUUCAAUGAAUGAUACUUCUUCUCCUUCUUUCUUUUUUAUGUUUUCAAAAGGAAGAAAACUUUGACAAUGCAAUGAAAGAUUUAAGUUAAAAAAGUAGCUUACCAUGUCAACAAUCCUUGCAAUUGAAAUUGUGUCAACCGCGGGUGGAACUUGAUUAAAUGAUUUGUUCUUCUUGUUUCUAAUGCUAACUUUCUACAACAAUUAAACAAGGGUUGUUUCUGUCAUAUUUGCAAACCAAAAAAAACAGGGACCGUUUAUGUCAUUUGUCCACACUAUUACAUAGGGACCAUUCCUGUAAUUCUACAAAGUAAAACAUAGGGACCAUUUCUGUAAAUUUUGAAAAAUAAAAAACACAAUGGUUGUUUCUAUCAUUUUCUCAAACCAAAAAACACAUGGACCAAUUUUAAAAUUCUGCAAAUUGAAUAGACAGGGACCAAUUAUGUAAUUAUGCAAAGUAAAAACUCAAUAACCAUUUAUGUCAUUUUACCAUUUCUUGAUAUAAUUUGGAAAAGAAGUAAAAACCUGAAAUUCUUCGCUUGCAAAUUUUUGAUAUAGUUUUACCCAAUCAACAUUGAUUACACCAUUUGGAGGAUGAUUGAUUGCUUCCUCUUUUGUAGAGAACUUUUUGAAAUGAAGGUGCAACCUAUAUUGCCUGUUUUUAUGUUGGUUCGCCAGUUGUGUAUCGAUAGCACGCACCAUCGAGCGACAACUUGGAUCGUAAGUUGAAUUUUCCUACAUAUAGGUAUAGCAAUGUAUUCUUAUUUAUAUGUUUAAGAAAUAGCAAUGUAUUCUCAUUUAUUGUUUCUAUAAAGAGAGUUGAUAACAUCAUACCGUGCAUUUAGUGAUAAUAUCAUACUUCAACAAAUCUGGUUGGUUUUUCCAAGUGGUUCCAUCAAAUUUUGCAUGAUCUCUAACUACACAUCCACCCUUAGUGAUGAAUUGUUGACUAUCUUCCCCAACUAUACGACCAACACAUUCAUCAACUUCAAAAACUAAAUUUGCCUUUAUUCGAGCGCCUCUUUUUAGUUUCAUUCAAAGCUCUAGAUUCUUUUUGAGUAUUAGACAUGCCUACAUAGAUUUAGUCAACAAGAAAAAUGACUGAUUAUAUAAUCAUAUACAUUAAUCACAUACUAUUUUACUUCUAAUCAACGUACCAUGAAAAGUUGAACCAAUGUUCUCAUCUCGAAAAGAAUCAACUUCGUGUUCCUCUUCUUCAAAAUCUUCCUCAUCGUGGUUCAAACUAGAAACUUUUCUCAUAUGACUUUGAUAGGGAGAAAGUGACUCCAUUGUUUCAUAAGUAGGCAACUCUUCAUCUUGCAACAUGAGAUUAGAUCUCUCCAAUACCCCUCUUCCAGGGCCAACUAUCUAAAUAACAAUAACACACAUUUUUAAUUUCAUGUAAAGUGGUGUUAUCAAAAGUCAAAGUUACAGAAAAUACCAUCUUUGAAAAAUUAGUAUUCUUCAACUUUUAUUGACUUGGCUUCUCUAUUCCCCGAUGUUUUUUCUGAUCCAUCAAAUGUCUAGUCAAACACUGCAUAGCAAACAAGACCAUAAAGAGUACAUAAAAGACAUUAUAUUCUUAAAUAGCAAUGUACUUUUCUGAAAUUAAUUUUUUUCAGAUUUAAAUGGUACUUUCUAGAAUUCAAAAUCACCGAUACCAUUAUACAUUGCUAUAAAAAAGUAAAAAUAAGAAAAUACAUUGAUAUAAUACAUGAAAUUAAUGUAAGUUGAUUGCUUACUUCAUCACGAAGGUUAGAUGCCUCCUUUUGGCCACCCAUAUCUUUAUUUACAUGUCCAAUAUCCUUUGUAAACCUAAAAAUGUAGACUUGUAAGGUUACAUACUAAUUUCACUAAAAACAACACUCGAGUCCUAAUAUAAACAUUAAUACAAUACAUAAAGUUAAUGUAACUUUUCUUUCUAUUACAACAUUGUACUUUCAAUUGUUUCUUAUUAACGCAUCAUAGUUUUAUUCUUUAAAAAUAUAUACUCAAUAAUACCAAUGUUAACCAAAUACAAAGCACACUUUUAUUAGAAGAAAUGAGAAUAUGAUGCUAUAAAAAACAAAGUAAAAAAAGUACAUUGUUAUGUCUUGCAUGUUAAAGAAACUAAACUUUAUCAAUGUUUUAAUAUUUUACUAGAACUAAAUUUAAUAGUAGUUUAAAACAUGGUUAAAUAAACAAGCUUCUCAUAACAUAAUGGUAAUUCAACAAGUGGGAGGUUCGCAUUGAUCCAUAACAACAUUUUACAUGGAAUGUAUGAAAAAAAUUACCAUUUUACCCUUAAGAGUUACAUUUAAUUUAAUUUUCCAUUUUAAAUGGAAAGUUAUACGAAAGAAGUUGGGUAAAUUUGUUACCUAUUUUGACUGAGUGUGUUGCCAGUAGGUGGCACAACUUGUCCUGUUCGCGUUCGAACAGAUACAAAUGGUCUUCCAGAUAAUCUUUUAGGAGUCAUUCCCGACAUAACUGCAUAGGAUUAAAAAUGAAAUAUUUUGUCUCAACAAAAAAAAAAUGAAAUCAAACUAAAUUUCAAAUAAAUACAUACUUAUUAUUAUCUUUUUAUCACACAAAUAAAAGGUUACCUUUUCACUAAAGGCAAUCUUCUUUCAACUGAUGCAACUCUGAAGAUGCUACAAGAACAAAUACUUAAAUAAAUUAGUAAAUAAAUGUGUUUAAUCAUACAUCAUCAAGGUAUGAAGAGAGAAGAUAAAGAAAUGAAAUCAAACUAAAGAUCAAAUAAAUACAUAGUUAUAUUGUAGAUAAAUUGCAUUUAUAAGAAAAGGGAAAUACAUUGUCGUUAUUCUAAUCUUGAAAAGAGCACAAAGGCUGAACUUUUAUUCUGAACUUGAAAAACAGCAAAAAGGCUGAACUUUUAUUCUGAACUUGAAAAACAACAUAAAUGUUGAACUUUUAUUUUGAACCUUUAUUCUUUUGCUACCAUUUUAUUUAUGCCUUCCAUUGCACUUGUUUAAGUAAUUGUAAAAUCUAUGAGUAAAAAUAUUUUUAUCGUAUUUCCUCAUUUUGUUGGACAAUUGAUUCAUUAUCCAUUUUAGCAUAAAAAUAUAAAUACCUUUUACUAAGAACGGGCUCUUGUCAUUGAUGUACUUGCCUUUGUACAUGUUUUUUGAGAUAUAUCAUGCAAUGCAAUGGUUAAGGCAUCCACCACUUCCAAUGGGACAUUAUCUCUUGUUAAGGAUAAUUGGUCCAUAUUCAAAUCAAUAUUUAGAUUUAGAUGUGGCUCAUGUUCUUGAUGUACUUCUUCCAUCAUUACAUGAACAUCAUACAAUGCACGAGGGGAACUACUUUGAACCACAUACCAAUUUUUGCCCAAUUUUAAAUCAGGAGCAUAAAAAACUUGUUUGGCUUGUGAUGCAAGUAUGUAUGGUUGAUCUAUGUACCAUUUUUUGGAUGUAUUCACACUUCUAACUUUGGAUUCUUUGUCAAUUCUUAGCCCUUUCUUAUCACCGACCAUAAACCAAUCACACUUGAAUACUAACACUCUUUUAUUUUCACCCAAGUAUUCAAUUUCUAACACUUCUUGUAAUAUCCCAUAAAAAUCAAUAAUGUUUUCCCCAUGAACACCUUGCACUACAACUCCGCUAUUUUGAGUUUUCCGAUUCUUCUCACGACUUUGUGUGUGGAACCUAUACCCAUUGACCAAACAUCCACUAUACUUGUUGACAUAACGUGAUGGCCCAUGCGACAAUAUAUGAGUUUCGUAUUCAAACAACUUUGGCCAAGAAUUAACCUAAAUAAAAAUGUAUACCAUAUUGGUUAACAAGAGUUUAAAACUCCCAUAUUAAAUUAAAAAAAAUAAACAUCAAAUGUAGUUCUCACACGUUGGCGAAGCCAUGAUGCAAAUUGUUUUUCAUGACGUUCAUUUACAUUGUCAGCAUUUUCUUCCUCUAGUUCAACUUUGUGUGAACUAAAAAGUUAAAAAUUAAGACUUGUUAUUAUAUGAAAAAAAAAGGAAGGUAUCAUUACAUAAAAAAAAUCACUUACGUUAUUAGUUCCUUUAUUUCAUCACAAUUGUUUAGAAUAUAUGUAUGAAUCUUCUCCAAUUCAUUUUCACUCAAAUCCUGUGAUUUUGGACUACCUAAUAGGCGCCCUUUGCAUGAAAAAAUGGAAAUUUCACCAUCACUAUCCAUCAUUUCAUUGUUGCGCUCAACCUUAUUGAAAAGCGUGUCAACAUCAUUCAAAUACAUAGAACAAAAAUUCAGGCAUUCCUUGUCUAUGUAUCUCUCAGCAAUACAUCCUUCUGGAUGAGCUUUAUUCUUGACAUAUCCUUUUAAAGUACCCAUUUUCCUCUCAAAAGGGAACAUCCAACAGUAUUGAGGUGGGCCUGCGAUCUUGGCUUCAUAUGGCAAAUGAAUCAAAAGAUGAACCAUGAUGUCAAAGAAUGAUGGAGGAAAUAUCCACUCCAACUUACAUAAUAUGAGAAUAAUUUUUUCCUCUUGUUCUUCUAAAACAUCUAGGUAUAUACUUCGUGUGCAUAAUUUUUGGAAAAACUCGCUGAGUUCGUACAACACAAGUCGAACUUCCUUUUUCAAACAACCCCUAAUUGAUAAAGGCAACAACCGUUGGAUGAAAACAUAAAAGUCAUGACUUUUCAUGCGUGACAACCGGAAGUCCCCCCCCUUUAAUGCAUCUAGAUAUAUUCGAGGCAAAUCCAUCCGGGAACUUAAGUGACUUCAAGAAAUCUAAUAUCUUUUGUUUCUCUUCCUUUGUCAAAUGGUAACAAGCCAUAGGCAUUAUAAAUGAAUUGCCAUCUGGUUGUAAAUGUAAGCUCUUUUUUAAUCCUUUAUCCAUUAAAUCCUUGCGAGAUUUCCAUGUGUCCUUUGUUUUAUUCUUAAUAUUGAACAAUGUGGCGGUCAAGCUUUCUGUCACAUUCUUAACAACAUGCAUGAUAUCAGUGUUGUGUCUCAAUUUUAGUUUAGCCCAAUAUGGAAGCUUAAAUCAUUUCCGCUAAAUCGAGGCUCCUUGCAGUCGUCAUUUGGACAGUGGGUAUGAGACGCAUAUUGUUUUCGAUAAAGAACACAGUCAUUAACACAUGCGUGAAUUUUUUCUCCUUGAAAACCCAAAUCACGUAUGUAUUUUUUUGCUUCAUAAAUUUUUUUGGGACUAAUGAUGGAGUUGGCAAGGCUUUUCUAAAUAUAUCAAGCAAAGCAUCAAAUGAUUUGAUGGACCAACCACUUGUUGUCUUUAUAUGUAAAAUUGUAACAAUAAACGAAAAUUGUGAGUAACUUUGACACCCUUCAUAAAGUUCCCGGUGCGCUUCAUCCAUCAAUCUUCAGAGGCCUUCUAAAUCCUUGUCUAUGGUACAUGAGGAAUCACCACUAGCUUGCCAAUUAUCACCCCAGUUACUUUGACCUAUGUUAUUUAACAUCUCAUCAAGGUCAUCAUCAUUUAAGUCAUCACAAGCCCCAUCAACUUCAUCCAUUGAUAUGUCAUCAUCCGAUGUAUCAUAUGACUCACCAUGAUAUAUCCACCUAACAUAACUAACAACAAUUCCUAUUUGCAUCAAAUGUGAGAAUAUAGCUGUUCGGUUAUGAUGUCGAAAAUUAUUGCAUUUUUUGCAAGGGCAUAGAACUUUUGACAACACUUCUCUAUCGCGGUAUGCAAAAUUAAGGAAUUCAUUUACACCCAACUCAUAUCUUGGGUCCUUCAUCCUUUGAACUAUAUUCAUCCAAGACUUAUCCAUAUGAUCUGGUAAAAGAAAAUUUCCUGAAAAUGGCAUAAAUGUAUAAUGACAGUGAAAUAGAAAACUCAGGUGGGGUUGUUAAAUUAAGCAAUAAGUUAAUCUAAACAUUGUAUAUGAGAUAGAAACUAAAAUGUAUUACUAACUUACAGAUCUAUUAAAGAUAACUAGCAUGCCAAUUAAUCUAAAGUAGAAUCUGAAAGUUUUCUUAAUCAUUUAGAAAGGUUUGUCACUACAAAAUAAUGCAAGAAAUAGCAACAUACUUUUUUCAUUUGUUUAUUUAUUUUACAACUUUACUUCAGUUUAUUUCUGUAAAAACUUUCAAAGUAGAAUGUUGUAAUUGUGUAAAAUUUUCAAAGCAUUAUGAGAAAAAAAUGAAAAUACAGUGUUGUAUUAGAAAGAAAGGAAAGCAAGAUGCUACUGUUAUAAUUUAUACACAAAAAUAAAUGAAAGAAAAUUGUAUUUGUAUUUUGAUGACAUUGCUCAAAUUGAUAAAUAAAUCAAUGGAAAUACGUUGCUAUUUUUAGCAUUUAACUUUUUCUUUAAAACUGUUAUAUUAUUGAUUAUAUUAUUAGUAACUUACUAGAGAUAUGAUUCUUAGGUUCAUAUGUAUGUGGAUGAUUGUGAGAAGGUUACUACUCAUUAUCAGGUAAAAAUUAUACAAAAAUUUAAUUGGAAUAAUAUGAACAUUUCAUGUAGAAUGGACCAUUUUGCCCCUAUCCUCUUCAAACCCAAGAUGCACAAACUCAGGUUUUGUUUGUAGGGAAAGAAAAGGAGAUGACAAAAAUGGAGAAGGGCAAAAUGGUCAUUUUCAUGAUAUGUGUGUCUAUAUAGUAUGCCCUACAACUAUGAAAACAUAAAUUUACCGUCACUAGGACCAUUUCUAUUACAAUUUACUGUCAAAAGGACCGUUCUAAUUGAUGUUACAAAACAAUAUCUUCAUCUCUUUAACAACAUUGUAUUAUCAUUAGUCAAAACAUAUGUUUUUCAAAACAGAGACAUAUCACAUAAUCAAAGGGUAUUAUAAUUAGAAUUGUGCAGCAACAUUGUUUUCAAAAUGACGACAUCAUUAAAACAUAUUUUUUUUCAAAACAAUGACAUAAUCAUGUACUUUGUAGAUAUGGUAUUAAUAAACCAAAAUAAUCAGUUCAUACCUGAUGCUUAUGGUUUGUAAGUGACUACAACUGAACUCAUAAGCAAUAUCACUUGAUAUUUUGUGACAGGUUCGUGGAAACCUUCUAAACAUAACCACAAGAAAAAAAACUGCACUAGAUAUAGCACAAUAUAGAUUUGGGCUUCCUUAACCAUUUCUGCAAUCUUGUUUUUGUGUUAUGAAAUGGAUGAAUUGAUUAGAUACAAAAGGGAAAGAGCUACUAGAGAAAAGACCGUUUUGCAGACACAAUUCUAAAAGCACUCCACCAGGACGAAAAAGCGGACCCCAUCAACUUGAAAACCAAAAAAGGAAAUGAAUCAAGAAAAUGAAACUUAAAGAAAACGAAGAGGAAGUGUUGUCAUUGUUAGACCCUUUUGUUGGAUUGUUAUGCAGUUGCUUAAGCUCAAAGUAUGAAGAUAAUAGAAAAACUACACUUUUUGUUAUGAUGUACGAAUGUUCAAGCAUAAUGUCUGGUGAAAUACGAAAAUUCCCUGAAGUUCUUCAUUUAUCUUCUAAUGGCAUCAUAUAUCUAUCAAAUGAAGUAAUGGCAAAAGAAAAAUCCUUACAUUCACUCAUUACAUUUGAAGGCUUUUCAAGAAUUCCUACCCCUGAUUACAUAUUCGAACAGAGGUAUCUCAGGGUUUUGCAUUUAGGAAUCAGGUAAAUGAGAAAUCUGUCUAAGUUACCUGAAGAAAUCAGGUACAUGAGAAAUCUUAGACAUUUGAAUAUCCAUGGGUGUUGCUCUUUUUAUCAUAUGCCACUUGGCAUGGGUCAGUUAUGCCACCUAAGAAGACUCAACACGUUUCUUGUGGGCCAGGGAGUCCAAGUAAGCGAGUUACAAGAGUUGAAUCUUUUAGGAGGAGAGUUUAGCAUAAAGGGUCUUACAAAUAUGAAAGAUUCAUUUCAAGCUCAGAGUGCAAACUUGAAAAAGAAACAUAAUAUAAACUGUUUAAAUCACUGAGUAAAGAGCUUAACAAGAGGGAAGCUCUAACAGAAAGGAAGAAACAAAAGCCAAAGCCUUCCGUGAUAUGGUCCAAAAGCAGAAAAUCUCAACUUAUCAAGAAAACUGAAUUGAUUCCAUAUUAUUAUAUUAUCCAAAAAAGUAACACAAGAACAAGAAAUAGUAGGAAAAAUAUGGCAUCACAUCAUAUUGUAGGGCUGGUGGAAAAUUCAUGGGAAAGGAAGGUUAGUAACUUUGUCAAAUAGAACAAAUCAUGGCAUACAAGUGUAUAUAUGAGAAGGUGAUUCAAUUUAAUUCAAUGUGAUUGUAAAACUCAGUUAAGCCUAGAAAAAGAAGUUGAUAGUCACUCAAUCGAUUGACUUAUCUAAUCAUGCGAGUUUGGAGUACCUGUUUGGCUUCAACUUUGACUCCGAGUAGAGAACAGAAGUGCGUCAAUAGGAGGGCGUGGAGGACGAUGGACCGCCGACCAAGAAAAAGAAGUUUUAGUCACUCAAUCGAUUGACUUAUCUGAUCAUGCGAGUAUGGAUUACCUGUUUGGCUUCGAGUUUGACUUCGAGUGGAGAACAGAGGUGCAUCAAUGGGACGGUGUGGAGCGACAAUGGAACGGAGGAGAUGGACCGGCGACGAUGGGUAGGCAGCGAUGGACUGGAGAUCUAACAAGGUCUGGUCGCGCAGGCGAUCGGAGAUCGGAGGUGGGAGAGAAAUUAACUGUGGAGUUAUCGUGAAAAAGUGUGGAGGAUGCUUUGAACGAGUGGGGAGCUGUGAACUGAGGUAUCGAUUCGGGGCAAAAAAAUGUGUUGAGUCGAUUUAGGGCACAGUACCCUUUAUCGGUAGUUAAAUUAGUUAGCUUGUUUAUCCUCUUUAUAUAUAUAAUUAAUUUGGUCAAAUUAGUGGUCAAAAUUAAUCAAGUCAAUUUGUAAACCUAUUUUUCCGACAAUAUUAGACAAUUUUUUCUAAAUCAGGUACAAUUUUAGUCGAUAUGGUAUUAUUUUUUCUUCAUUUUGAGGUAAGCUUCCAACAAUUUCCAGCAUACAAUUUUUUUAUUAUAUAUAUUUUGAGGAUUCAAUUUUGGACCUGAUUUUGAAGUUCCAUAUCAUGACUUUGAGAAGCCUUAGCAAUUUUAUCAUAAAUUUACGAUAGUGUUCUUUUGAUUCUCAUUUUAAUUGUAACUUCAUUUACCAAUUAAUCUAGAAUCCAUUUAUUGCAAGAAUACCAAUUUUGUUCUUUUUUUUUAGAUUGUGACAUACAAUAUAUGUUAUUGAUCUUUUGGUACUGCGGUGGUCUCCUUAUUUAGUCAAAAUAUAAAUACAACUAGUACUUUUUCUAAUGUGUUUUUUUUUUUUUCAAAUAUAUGUAGUCAGUGACCACUACUUAUUGGUUACUAAUUGUUUUUUUUCUUGUAAUUCAUCAGUGACCACUAUUGAGUGGUCAUUAAUUGUUUUUCCACAUUACAUUUACUUAGUGACUGCUAUUUUUGGUCACUAAACCUUCAAUACAGUGACCACUUUUUUGUCACUAAAUUUCUAACAUAUUGACCAUUGUUCUUAAUCACUAUAUAGUUAACAUAGUGAUCAUUAUUUUUAGUCACUAAAUAGUUGUUAUUAUAUGAAGCAAAAACAGUUAAAUUUUUUUGCAUUUUAGUGACUGAGUUAGUGACCACCACAUAUAAUUCGUCAUUAAAUUUGUAGGAUUACCAAAAUUUAAUGACCACUUAAUUUCUAGUGACUAAUAGAUGCUUUCGGUGACCAAAUUUUAGGUGGUCACUUAAAAAUAGUCACUAAUAAGGACUUUUCUUGUAGUGUGAAUAAUUGUAAAAAUUUGAAGUCAAUCGAGCAUCCUCCACAUACACUAAGAGUGUUGUUCGUCGUUUCUCAUAGGCCCUCUAUAGAAAAAUUGGUAUUAAAUCGAACAACAUCAUACACCAAUUAUCAUAUAACGAUAUAGAUUACGGACGUUGGUCAUAUGAAAUAGAAGGCAUGAUCAAAAUCCAAGCAAUGGUGGGUGUUGACGAAGAGGUAUUGCGUAGCUUGGGCUGGACUAAUCUAGACUUCCUUAAUGACACGCGUGUGGGAACUAAUUCUGUUUUGUCUAGUUAAAUGUUUGUCUUUAUGUAAAUACAUUUAAUAUAAUUAUUACGGUGAUUAAUUAAGGUGGUUUGUAUUUGGGAGACGAUGCAUUAUGAAUUUGGAAUACUUAGCACAAUGUAUGAGGCGGAGGAGAUGCCGAGUUGGUUUAGGCAUAGAAGCGUGGGGCCAUCAAUAUUAUUUACCAUCCCAUCGUCUCUAAACUGCCUUAGAGGGUUCAACUUCUGCUCUGUGCAGACAUUGCGAGUUCCAGAUGAGGAUUCAGGAAUCCAUCUUUCGCCAAAGAUCACAAUUAGUAAUAUAACAAAGAAUCGCACAUGGAUAUACCAACGUCGCUUGACCAGAUCUAGUGUAUGUCGAGAGUGUUGCGUGAUGUUAAGUCAUUGGAUGUUUGGAAUGAAUGACAUGGAAGGUGGUGACCAGGUUACUAUUACUGUUACAGGGCCAUAUAAUGAACUUAUAAAGGAGUGUGGGGUGAGAGUCAUGUAUGUUGAUGAUGAUGAUGGUGCGUUAGGUUAUUACAAGUCAUGGAAUCUCAUAAUUGGUGGAGAUCUCUCUCCUUUUCAAAUGACAACAGGAGAAUACAUCCUAAACAACUGGGAUUUUGGAAUCCACUUUAUGAAUUUUUUCAUGCAGUUAUUCUAAAUGCAUUAGAGAAGGCGCCAGCUAUCAAGGUUGAUGUCAUUCUUAUUAAAUAUUUUGUUAUCAUAGCCUAAUUCGUCUAAAUAAGUACAUCAUAUGACCCAAAUCCACCCAUUUAUUAUUGAUUUUGUUUGCCCUCUAAGCUAAAAGUUUAUUUUUAAUGUAUCGAUCCAGAUGCACGAUGGGUCGACCUAAGUAUUGAUCCGUCUAAAUGGGUUGAUCUGCUACAUCAAUUGAUUAAGUUUUUUGAUAUGUUGGGUCACAUAAUUAUAAUAUACCAGGACCAAUACAACUACUUUGUCCAAAUGGAUGUAUGUGAAUAGUGAUUGACACAAUGCUUUUUUUUCUCUGUAUUUUCAACACAAAAGGAAGUGUGGUUCAAAGAUUUUUCGCAAAGGAAGCCUGACAUAAUUGGUCAUGCACGUGAGGUAUAUUUUUAUACCUGAACAUUUCUCUCGUCACAUAAAUAAAGGGAAAAUGACUUAGGUUUUGUCCACAUUUGGUCACUUUCAUUUUUUUUGACAACAUUAACCAUUAAAUUCUCAUUUUCUGUUCAAGUUAUAGUAGGUUAAUGCCCAAUUGGCAUAUACUUGGCAUCUACAUGGUGGCAUUUGAGAUUAGCUGAUACGUGAUAUAAGGUAUUUCUUCACCCUCUUGCUCUUUUGUGCCCUAGAAUAACAAAAUCGACACGUCUUCUUCUUCUUCUUAAUCUGCCAGUAAAAAUCAAGAAUUCCAAGUUGAAAAUCCUUGAAAAUGUGGGUUACCUUCUCGAUUGAGGACAUCACUGAUGACAACCCUGAAGAAAGUUUAGAGUGUGCCCUAACUCGAUGGUAAAUCAAAUUAUGUUUUUUAUUUAACACUUCUUUUUUAUGUUCUUGUUUUAACAUUUCUAUUUAUUCAAGACUAAAAGGAAAAGUUGCAAUUUCUAGGAGUGGUCGAUGAAGAUUUUCAAUAUGAAGAUUUAAACAUCAAGUUGAAGUCGAAGAAUAUGGGUGUAAUGCAAGCUUAUGAACUAAUGCUGAAAAUUUGCUACAUCAGAGCAUGAGAUGAAGAUGGACCACGAAAUGGAGGCACUGAAAUGGAAGGUGUCCACUCACAAAAUAGUGCUCUUGUGUUGUUUGUUAUGCUUGUAGUUAAUCUACUUUAGGUUAGGGAUUAUAUUUGUUUAGGAUACAUUAUUUUUGUUGUAAGUUACAAUACAUUAUUUUUUGUUUAGGAUACUAUAUUUGUAGUUCUUCCCAUACUCUCCCUCUAUUUUCCUCUUUAUAGUGGGCCUCCCACGUAACCUUCUUUUUAAGGGGGGUUAAUGGAUUGUGAGCAUCAACAUGAGGCUACAUGACACAAUUAAAAGUCAUAAGUUCAAUCAUUAACUUUUUUACUUGAUUUUUGGAUGUUGCUUUUUCAAAUGAAGCAAUCAUUGAUGGGGAUUAUAUUAGAUGUCCUUGUUCUAAAUGCAAGAACAAGUCUUAUAAAACAAGAGGUGAUGUAGAGCUUCAAUUGUUACAAAACGGUUUCACUCCUAAUUUCAUAACUUGGCAGGCCAAUGGUGAAAGAAAUACGAUAUCUCAGCAUGAGGAAUAAUCUUCUAAUCUGAUGCAGGAUCCGAUGGAAGAUGAUGAUGAUGAUGAUGAUGAUGUUAAUGGGUGUACACAAAUGUUGAUGGAUGUAAUGGAAGGACUCCUGCAUCCAACCGCCAAGGGGUUCUAUGAUAUGUUAGAAGACGCUGAUGAACCUUUGUGGCAUGGAUGUGAAAAUUAUUCAAAAUUAGAAGUUGCAACAGAAAUGUUGCAUUGGAAGUCUGAAUACAAUAUAUCUAAGGCUACUUAUGAUCACAUACUUCCUAUAAUUAAGCGGAUGCUACCCAAAGGUAAGAAACUAGUUGAGAACUUCUACGAGACGAAGAAGCUUUUGCAAAGAAUUAGACUCCCAGAAAAAAAAAGAUUCAUGCUUGCAAAAACCAUUGCAUGAUAUUCUAUGGGGCUGAUUCUGAUUUGACUAAGUGUCGAGUGUGUGAUCAUGAUCGGUACAAGAGUGGCAGAUAUCUGGUUAUGAGGUACUUUCCGAUUGCUCCUAGACUCCAAAGGUUGUAUUUGACAAAAAGAUGGCAAAGCAAAUGACAUGGCACUAUGAACAUCAAACAUAAUCGGGUUUGAUGGUCCAUCCAAGUGAUGGUCAGGCUUGGAAGCAUUUCGACUCAAUGCAUCCAGAAUUUUCAAGUGAACCACAGAAUGUUCGCCUUGGGCUAUGCACUAUGGUUUCAGUCCAAAUAACUCAAAUAUAACCUCGUAUUCAUGUUGGCCUAUUUUCCUUUCAAUUUAUAACUUGCCUUCUUGGAUGUGCUUAAAAGAACCAUAUGUUCAAUUAAGCAUAGUUAUUCCUGGAAAAAAGAGCCCAGGUCAAAAUAUAGAUGUGUUUCUCAGGUCAUUAAUUGAUGAGUUAAAGAUGCUAUAUACAGAUGGCAUUGUCACUUAUGAUGCUUCGAGUAAAUGCAAUUUCACAAUGAAAGCUAUACUUCUUUGGACAGUUAGUGACUUUCCUACCUAUGCAAUGUUAUCGGGAUGGAUCACACAUGACAAGUUAGCAUGUCUGUAUUGUAUGGGUGAGUCGGGGUCGUUUUGUUUACACCAUGGUAGUAAACCAUGUUGGUUUGACUGCCAUCAAAAUUUUUUACCUGAACAACACACAUAUAGGGGUGACAAAAUAGGAUUUUUGGCUAAUAAGGUUGAUCGAUCUAGCUCCCCACCAAUAUUAACCGGUGAUCAGAUUUGGGAGCAAGUACGACACUUUCCAACGGUUUAUGAAGGCAAACCUUUUAAGAGAAGAAUGCAAAAUUGCCUGGUUUCGGGAUUACUCAUAAUUGGGUUAAGAGGAGCAUCUUUUGGGAGCUACCAUAUUGGCAGAAGUUGUUAAUACGACACAACCUUGAUCCCAUGCACUUUGAAACAAAUGUGUUUGAAAAUAUUUUCAACACCGUGAUGGACACUCCAAAAAACAAAGACAACAUGAAUGCAAGAAACGAUAUAUGUCACACCCCAAAACCGAUAACGGCGGAAUGUGUUUCAGGGUGGAUGACGUAGUGUACGGUAUCAUCAUAAUUGUAUAAUAGUAAAAGCAAGAAACAUACAACCAUUUCAUUUACAUAGUAAGUGUAAUUACAAGUGUGUUUUGUAAUGUUUGACAAACACCAAAAGUAAACAAAAAUAAGAUAUGGGUCUUGCAUGCUCCAUCUUCUCCGAAAAUGCUGCAGUUUUACCUGUCUAUCUUUGACCUAAAGAUACAAGUUAUUUUGAAAAGAAUAUCAGCAUAAAGCUGGUGAGUUCAUAAGAGUUUAGUGUGAGUUCUUAUAUAAAAAGCAUUAGAAUCAUUAGUAUGAAAGCUGAAUGUUUGUUGUCAUGAGUAGUAGUAAAACCUAGAAAAUCCUAUAUUUUCCAGAACUGAAUAGUAAGUGAAAACCAUUAUGAAAUAUGAUAUUUCCAUCUUUGAAAACCAUUUAUCGUAGAAGUAUAAUAGUGACUCACCAAUAAGUAAAGCAAUAUAGUGAGUUAUACUUGAAGUAAAUAAUAGUGGUGCAGCUUCCUUUAGUAUUAGAUACUUAUUUACUUCGGGAUAUUAACUUCAUCUUUCGUUUAGUGUUUUAGUGCGGUUAUAGUGUAUUUCUUGUAUGUUACCAAUGGUGUGAGUAAUAGCGGACCCCCAUGACCUUCCCAGUCAUGUAUAGUGUAGUGGAGUAAAGGCAUCCCUGGACCUGUGCGGCUCGGACUGAAAUUAUCAGUCGGGAUGUAAUAGCGUCUGCCCCGUAUAGAUCUAUACAUAUAGUGUCGUCUUCCUAUCAGAAAACUUCGGGCGUAGUGUGUAGUGAAUAGAGUAUCUCGUAGUGGGUAAAUGAGUUAUAUUAUGAUUUGUACUUUCUCUUGUGUUGUAGUGGGGUAGUCUUUUGUAUAACUUGUAUUGUACUCUCUUAAUAGUGUAUAGUUUUCAUAAUAGAGAGAAUUAUAGUAGUGUAGAGUAGUAGUUAAAACAAGAGAUAGAGACCUUAACUAUACCUAUUAUAGUUAACUUAGUGUAUAUGGUUCUAGUCAAGUUAGUGAUUUAGGCAUCUACUGAAAUAAGAAGUACUCGUAAUCCAUACUAAUAUACGAGAUAUAUAACUAAGAAAUCAACGACAGUCAGACGGAUAACCACUACCCUAAGUCCACAAUCAGACAAGAACAGGAAAUAAGGCGAGCUAUCGGUCCUAAGUCCUUCAAGUCUUACUUAUAUAAAUAUAUCAGUGUGAUUACAUUUUUAUGAAGAGAUUUAUUAAAUAAAAGUAUUGUACAAAAGAGACAUUUAAAACUUGUUUGUCCAUUCAAAAUAGUUUUGAAAAUAAAUGAUUGAUUUAUAAGGCAUAGUGAUAAAUCACAUGUGAUUUGAACUACAGGUAGUGAAUCACAUGUGAUUAAUUCUGUAAUAUGUAAAAUUUUCUUGUAUAACUUUCCAUAAACAUGUAUAUUGAACUUGUAUCUCCCCCCUAAAACAUAUAAAACAUUUGAAAGGUUCAUUAAAGGGGUAUGAACUCACCUGAAUUCGCGUAAAUCGGGUGAAUCGGGUAAAUCGGGUAAAAGUGUCGGUUGAGCGUUUUGUUCCAAACAAUGACUUGUACACCUUUUAGGACCCUAAUGUCAUAUGAAAAUAUGUAUUUUACAAGAAAUUAAUCAUUUUAUGCUUUCCGUUUAAGUAUUGAGGCAUUCUAGCAUCAAUUCGGGGUUUUAGGGCCUAGAAGGGGUUCCCGGGAGUGGUUUAAGGCUAAGAAGGAUUUACGGGAGGUUCCAUGAGCUCACUCCCUUGGAGUUUACGGCCCAAAGGCCACUCCUUGGGAGUUUACGGCCGUAAGCCCCCUAGGCUUGGCCGUAAACUCAUGUGGUCCUCCAAAUUGUAUGUUUAAGGCCUUAUUUCACUUCCUUACUUUAAUGGUAUGAGUCUUGGACCAAUAUGGAGGGAUUAAACUCUUAUUUUUGUGUCAUUUUGGGGAGUUUAUGGCCAAGGCUUGUUCUUGGGCCGUAAACUCCAUUUAAUCCAUCAAAAUGGGUGUUUAAAUGGUACAACAUGUUCUCAUUCACCUUAGGUAAAUCCUAGAAGGCCUUAAAAUGAGUUUUGGGACAAUUUGGCAUGAAAAUUGGGGAGUUUACGGCCCAAGAAUAUCCUUGGCCGUAAACUCUUCAUUUGGCCUCAAAAUGGGAAGUUUAAUGGUACAACACACAUCCAAGGGCCUUAGCUAAAUUCCUUACAUGCAUUAGAGAAGUUUUGGGACUUGUUUGACACAAAAACUUGGGUGUUUACGGACCAAGCUUAGCCUUGGCCGUAAACUCCUCUUUUUGUCCUCAAAUGAUGUUGUUUGAUGCAUUUAAACCUUCCUUAGUGUCAAGUAUAAAUUACCAAACACCUUAGAUGAGUUUUUGGGGUGUUUACGGCCUAAGCACAAGCUUGGGCCGUAAACUCCUUUUUAAGCUUCAAUUCCUUGUGUUUUAGUGUCCAAACUCUCCUAGGUAUAUGCCUUAAUUAGUCCAUAAGCUUAAAGGAAGGAAAAAUGAGGUUUUUGGCAAGUUUCUAGGGGUUUACGGCCUAAGGGGCUUCUUAGGCCGUAAACUCCUUUUUGGUCCUUGAUUUCUAUGAUUUUGGCCCCUAAAUACAGUGAAGUAUGUCUAGAUUAAGAUAGGGAAUGAGUCCUUACGUUUGGAAGCCGGAAAUUCGCGGAUUUAGGGUCGAUUUCGGGUCUAGAGAGAGAAAGUAGUGAGACAGAGGUGAGGGUGUGGUAAAAGAGUUCAAUUGUAGUGUCCCUUUGUUUAUAUAUGUCUCGGGUAUUGCACCCGAUACACGGCUACCCGAUGCUAACGUUUAACGGGGUUAAAACUUUUUACCCGGGUGAAGUGGUUGAAAAGUAAUAUAACUCUAUUUAGUUAAACGGGGUUAACAUUUACAAGUUAUAAUUACUUAUGAUAAUAUCGUGACAUAUGAAUAACUAGAUAUUUGUUUAUUGACGACUCCCAACCAUUACCGAAAAUAAUAUAUAGUGACGCAUUCCGUUAGUGAAAGUAGGGUUUGUAACGGCAAUAUAUUUGGGGUUGUCACAUUAUCCCCCCGUUAGGGGAAUUUCGUCCCGAAAUUUAGAAUUUAUACAGAUCAGAAUUACAGUACUACUACGCGAAGAGAUGGUGGUAUUUGAGUUUCAUUUGGUCUUCGCGCUCCCAAGUGAAUUCCGGUCCUCGUUUGGCGUUCCACCGAACUUUCACAAUUGGGAUACGGCUUUGUUUCGUUCGUUUUACUUCUCGAUCCAUGAUCUCCGCAGGCUCUUCCACGAAGUUGAGGCUCUCAUUGACCUCAAUCUCGUCAAGGGGAAUUACGAGUGUCUCGUCUGACAGGCAUUUCUUCAAGUUACAGACGUGAAAGGUAGGGUGUAUGUUGCUUAGUUCGUGAGGUAGGUUGAGUUUAUAAGCUACGGGGCCGACUCUAACGAGAAUCUCAAAAGGCCCUAUGUACCUUGGGUUCAGCUUUCCAUGCUUUCCAAAGCGUAUCGUGCCCUUCCAGGGUGAGACCUUCAACAGGACUCGAUCUCCCACCUGGAAUUCCAAGGGUUUUCUUCGUUUGUCGGCGUAACUUUUCUGUCGAUCCCUAGCGGCUUUUAGUCGUUCACGUAUCUGUACAAUCUUCUCGGUCGUCUCUCGAAUGAUCUCCGGACCAGUGAGAGAGCUGUCAGGAACUCUUCCUCUAGCUAGCUGAGUGUCACCCACCUCAGCCCAGCACAGAAGGGAUCUGCACUUACGCCCGUAGAGGGCUUCGAAUGGGGCUGUCUUGAUGCUCGUAUGAUAACUAUUAUUAUAUUACAAAACUCCACAAGAGGUAAGUGUGUGUCCCAUGAUUUGCCAAAGUCAAUCACACAAGCUCGCAACAUAUCUUCUAAGGUUUGAAUCGUCCUCUCACUUUGUCCGUCGGUCUACGGAUGGUAGGCUGUACUCAUGUCCAGUCUCGUUCCUAGUGCCUUUUGCAAUGAUUGCCAAAAUCUAGAGGUGAAUCUACUAUCUCUGUCUGAUAUAAUAGAUAUAGGGACGCCAUGCAGUCGCACUAUUUCUUUUAUAUAUGUUCUAGUGAGCUUCUCCAUCUUGUCCGUCUCCUUGAUGGGUAGAAAGUGUGCAGACUUGGUCAACCUGUCAACGAUGACCCAAAUGGUAUCUAAUCCACCUGCUGUCUUGGGCAGUUUGGUGAUAAAGUCCAUUGUGAUUCGCUCCCACUUCCAUUCUGGUACCUCCGGUUGUUGGAGGAGUCCUGAUGGCUUUUGAUAUUCGACUUUGACCUUCGCGCAAGUAAGGCACUUACUUACAAAUGUAGCGAUCUCCUCUUUCAUGUUCGGCCACCAGUAUCGGUUUUUGAGAUCCAGAUACAUCUUAUCUGAACCCGGGUAAACGGAGUAACGAGUGUUGUGUGCUUCCCUCAUAACCAAGUCUCUGAAACCUCCAUGGCGUGGAGUCCAGAUUCGGUCCAUGAAGUAGUAGGCUCCGACACCCUUAACCUCCAGAUUUUUAUCCAUUCCGCGCAGGGAUUCUCCUAUCACGUUCUCGGGCUUUAAGGCUUCUAGCUGAGCCUCUUUGAUCUGUGCGGAUAGAUGCGAAUGGAUAGUCAUUGUCAACGACUUGGUCCUUCGACCGGAAUAUUCCUUUCUACUCAGGGCGUCAGCUACUAUGUUGGCUUUCCCCGGAUGAUAUCUAAUUUCACAGUCGUAAUCGUUAAGUAGCUCGACCCAUCGACGCUGUCUCAUGUUGAGUUCUUUUUGGUUCAGUAUAUGUUGGAGGCUUUUAUGAUCAGUGUACACCACGCUCUUCGUCCCAUACAAGUAGUGUCUCCAGAUUUUUAGUGCGAAGACGACCGCUCCUAACUCGAGGUCGUGAGUAGUGUAGUUCACUUCAUGGUUCUUUAGCUGUCUCGAGGCAUAGGCGAUAACCUUGCCUCGUUGCAUCAAGACACAACCGAGCCCCUGAUUGGAUGCAUCACAGUAUACGACGAAAUCUUCUGUCCCUUCGGGAAGGGAUAAUACUGGUGCGGUGCAUAGGGCUCGCUUCAGGGUCUGAAAUGCCUUCUCCUGUUUCUCUUCCCAGUCGAAUGAUACACCCUUCUGAGUUAGCAUAGUGAGAGGCUUCGCAAUUCGAGAGAAAUUUUGGAUGAAUCUGCGGUAGUAGCCAGCGAGGCCUAGAAAUUGACGAAUUUCUGUAGGCGUCUUCGGUGCUGACCAGUUCUCAAUAGCUUUAAUUUUGGAGGGGUCCACGUGGAUUCCGUCUUCACUGACCACGUGCCCUAAGAAUUCAACUCUUCGGAUCCAAAACUCGCACUUAGAGAACUUCGCAUACAACUUCUCGGAUCGCAGGGUUUCCAGGACUAAUCGUAAAUGAUUUCUGUGCUCUUCCUCGCUCCGAGAGUAGACGAGUAUGUCAUCAAUAAAGACGAUGACGAACUGAUCUAGAUAUGGACGACAUACCCUAUUCAUCAAGUCCAUGAAUACUGCGGGGGCGUUAGUCAGUCCAAAGGGCAUCACUACGAACUCAAAAUGCCCGUAGCGGGUUCGGAAGGCUGUCUUUGGAACAUCUUCCUCAAGCACCCGUAACUGAUGAUACCCCGAUCUAAGAUCAAUCUUGGAGAAGUAACUUGCUCCUUGGAGUUGGUCGAAUAGAUCGUCGAUACGAGGGAGAGGAUAGCGAUUUUUGAUCGUGAGUUUAUUGAGUUCCCUAUAAUCGAUGCACAUCCGAAACGACCCAUCCUUUUUCUUCACGAACAAGACCGGAGCUCCCCAAGGUGAGAAGCUCGGUCUUAUAAAGCCCUUGCUGAGCAGUUCGUUGAGUUGACCGGAUAGUUCUUGCAUUUCGGCGGGCGCUAGACGGUAGGGCGACUUAGCUACGGGGGUAGCUCCUGGGAUUAGGUCGAUUCUGAAUUCAACCUGUCGUUUGGGAGGUAGGCCUGGAAGAUCCUCCGGGAAGACAUCAGGAAAAUCGCAUACUACAGGAAUGUCUUUUGGAUCUUUCGAUUUCUGGUUAGUGUCGACAACGUGAGCAAGAAAGGCGCGAUAUUCCUUGCGCAAGUAUUUCUGAGCCUGAAUACUAGAGAUGAUACGAAGGUUUGUACUUGGCUUAUCUCCGUAUAUCAAUAGGGUCUCUCGAUUCGGAAAGUUCAGGCGAAUGGCUUUCUCGGAGCAUAGGAUGUCGGCGUAGUGAAGGCUUAGCCAAUCCAUACCAACAAUGACAUCGAAAUUUUUGAUUGAGACUGGUAUAAGAUCGAUUAAAAAGGGGUGAUCAUCUAACGUGAGAGUACAACCUAUAUAGAUUUCAUUAGAGCUUUCUGUCUUCCCAUUAGCCAUUUCUACAACGAAUGUUUCUUUUAGUGGUUGAGGGGUUUGUUUGAGUAAGUGUUUAAAGUUUUGAUUUAUGAAGCUUCUUUCUGCACCACUAUCGAAUAAGACACAGGCAUAAGAGUUGUUGAGAAGAAACGUACCCGUGACCACCGUGGGAUCGGCUACCGCUUCAUUGUGACCGAUAGCAAGUAACCUUCCAGUUCCCCCAGCAUUUGCAGCCUUCGGACAGUUCUUCUUAAAAUGGCCCGCUUCACCGCAGCCAUAACAAGUUGGGGUCACUCCCGUACCAGGAACCUGUGUGAUAGGUUUGGGAGGGGCCUUGCAAAAUCGGACAGUAUGGCCCUUUCGUCCGCAGUUGGAACACUGCAAUUCACGGCAAGGACCGUUGUGGUGAAAAGGGCACUUGGGACACUUAGGCAAGUUUCCACUGUAAGCCUUCGGUGGGGCUGGAGCAGCUGGUGUGGCUGGGGUGGUGGCAGCAUGGACCGCCACAAUUUGCUGGUCCUUAGAGGCGGUUUGAGUCUUCUUGCCCUUCUUCUUAUCCCAUCGUUUCCUUUUUCUGUCAGAUGAUCCGGAUGGUGCAGUGGUUGUUGUGGUUGUUGUUGCUGGAGUGGAGGAGAUUUCGUGGUUGAUCAGACUCUGGGCCAAUUCCUUGGCGCUGUCGAAAGUGGUAGGGCGUGAAGCCAGAACAUUUCCUCGAUACGGGGGCACUAAACCCCAGAUGUAACGUUCAAUCUUCUUGCUUUCAGAGGGGAUCAUGUUGGGACACAUAGCCGCCAAGUCGCAAAACCUGGCCGUAUAAGCCGUUAUGUCGGUCCCCUUCAUCUUGAGGUUCCAGAGUUCUUCCUCAAGCUUCUGAACUUCGCCCCUAGGGCAGUACUCUCCUCUCAUAAGAUCUUUUAGAGUGUCCCAGCCCAUGGCAUUGGCUGUGACCAAGGAGAGUGCGUUGACAUGGCCGUUCCACCAUGACAAAGCCCUGUUAGUGAGGGUAGCAGUAGCGAACUUGAUUUUGCUCUCUUCGGGACAAGAGCACAUUUCGAAUACAGCUUCGGUUCUUUCGAACCAUUGGGACAAUGCCAGAAUUCCUCCGGUCCCAUCAAAGAAAGUAGGUUUACAAUUCAUGAAGUCUUUAUAAGUGCAUCCCUGCACUCGUUGGUGGACUUCACCAAAUCUAGAAUUUCCACCGCUCGCAUCACCCGAGUUCAUUUGGGCCAUGGCUGCUGUUACAGCCGCAGUCACAGCCGCUUGGAACAACACCGGAUCGAACUGCGGAGGAGGAGGUGGUGGAGGAGGGGUUUGAGUUUCAGGUCUUCCUCUGCUGGGACGCUUUCGUGGAGGCAUCCUUCACUGGAAGAUCAUAGAAAUGAUAGCAAUAGUAAGAGCCUAUUGCGAAUAUGAAUAGUGUGUUUCAUGGAUUAAAUCAACAUAAUCCAAGAUCAGGGUAAGAGUUAUAGCAAUAGAGAAAUCAUCUGCCAAUAUACUGGUAUUAAUGAUGCAACAGAAGUUCAUGAAAAUUGACCUAGCAGUAGGUCUUACAUCAUACCAUAGAGAAAUUGUUGGCAGUUUAGAGGUUCAACUAGAGUACUUUUAAACUAGGAAUGUUUACAGACAAGAGACCUACGGAACAUAGAGAUAAAAAGGCUAGUCCUUUAAACAAAAGAGUGAGGUAACUAGACGUCUUCUACUGGCGACGGUUGCUUGUUGGGCGAAUCCUCAGAUCCACUAGUUGACGCAUAACUUCUUGAAGGUGUCGAUCAUGAGUCCUUUGGCGUGCUCGGAGUUCCCUAACUUCAGCUCGGGAUGCAGCCAGCUGAUGCUGCAGAGCCUCAUUGGUCCUCCUUAUCCUGUCCACAGCUUCUUCGAGUUGACGAAUGCGAACAGUGUUGAGGUUUGAGUUGACAUCCACUUCUACAACUCGACCAAUAGCAGCCUGACUUUGCUCAACAUUCCUGGCAAUCCUUCGGAUCAUGAUGGGCAGAACCCGAUCCGCUGAUCCUCCUUCGCUUAUGUUGUAGAAGCUGCAGUCUCCAUUGUAAGGCAAGGGCUGACCCUGCUCCUCGCUCCGUCGAUACAAGGAUAUUGCCCACAUAGGAGNAGGAGUGGGGCCCUGAAAUGCCGGACGGGGGCUAGGGUUCGGGGCUUCAGGAGGUUGGUUGUUGACUUCUGGCUCGGAGCUCGAGCUAUCCGAGAAGCCUUCAGCAUGAUGAUCAUCCAAAGGAAUCGGGUGAUCGUCGUCUGACUCCUCUUCGAGCCAUCCUCCAUUGCCCUGGUUCGGAAAGUACGGAUCGCCGGGUAGGUGGAAGCCAGCCACUAUCUACGCGAGAAAGGGGGAAAAGAAGAUUAAUAAAUGUACUAUUCUAAGAUCCUUAUAGGAUAAAUCAUUAUUAGUCGACCAAAUACUUGCAUAGUGCAUACCGAUUACAUGUAACCAAAGCAAGAUAGUCCUUAGAAUAAACCACCCUAACUUCAGACCCCCAAUCAAACAAGAACAGUGAAUGAAGCAAAGGCUGCAGAUUCUGAGUCUAUAACGCCCUAAUCACAUGUAAUCGUGGUGUAUCAACUUAGCAACUAUUGUCCCACUAGUAACGACCCCUUUUUGUUAUCACAUACGUAUAAUCUAGAGAUACGGAAUACUCCUAUAGUAUUCUUAUGGCAGCGUUAUGAUGAUAUUUGUGGUAAGUUUUAGACUUGUUGCAACAUCACAACCAAACUUAGGCACAUGCUAGUCACUCUCAGGAAAGACGUAGUUGAUCAGGCUACAUCACCCUGAAUGUGACUAUAUGUCUCUAAACCCAAUUGUGCUAUCCAACAAUCUUAAUACUUUCAUUUUGUUCUAGGAUGAUACAGACUUCGGUGUUUUAUAGUGAUGUGUGUAUAUAUAUAUAUAUACUUAGUUAGAUCUUUUAGAUACUUAACAGUAUAUAUUCUUGUACAGAGUGUUUUAGUCCCGAAGUGUUUAUAGUUCGUAUAUCUCUUAUAGGUUGAUAUACUUGAUUCACUAUAAAGAAUGCUCUGAUACCAAUCUGUCACACCCCAAAACCGAUAACGGCGGAAUGUGUUUCAGGGUGGAUGACGUAGUGUAUGGUAUCAUCACAAUUGUAUAAUAGUAAAAGAAAGAAACAUACAACCAUUUCAUUUACAUAGUAAGUGUAAUUACAAGUGUGUUUUGUAACGUUUGACAAAAACCAAAAGUAAACAAAAAUAAGAGAUGGGUCUUGCAUGCUCCAUCUUCCCUAAAAAUGCUGCAGUUGUACCUGUCUAUCUUUGACCUGAAGAUACAAGUUAUUUUGAAAAGAAUAUCAGCAUAAAGCUGGUGAGUUCAUAAGAGUUUAGUGUGAGUUCUUAUAUAAAAAGCAUUAGAAUCAUUAGUAUGAAAGCUGAAUGUUUGUUGUCAUGAGUAGUAGUAAAACCUAGAAAAUCCUAUAUUUUCCAGAACUGAAUAGUAAGUGAAAGCCAUUAUGAAAUAUGAUAUUUCCAUCUUUGAAAACCAUUUAUCGUAGAAGUAUAAUAGUGACUCACCAAUAAGUAAAGCAAUAUAGGAAGUAAAUAAUAGUGGUGCAGCUUCCUUUAGUAUUAGAUACUUAUUUACUUCGGGAUAUUAACUUCAUCUUUCGUUUAGUGUUUUAGUGCGGUUAUAGUGUAUUUCUUGUAUGUUACCAAUGGUGUGAGUAAUAGCGGACCCCCAUGACCUUCCCAGUCAUGUAUAGUGUAGUGGAGUAAAGGCAUCCCUGGACCUGUGCGGCUCGGACUGAAAUUAUCAGUUGGGAUGUAAUAGCGUCUGCCCCGUAUAGAUCUAUACAUAUAGUGUCGUCUUCCUAUCAGAAAACUUCGGGCGUAGUGUGUAGCGAAUAGAGUAUCUCGUAGUGGGUAAAUGAGUUAUAUUAUGAUUUGUACUUUCUAUUGUGUUGUAGUGGGGUAGUAUUUUGUAUAACUUGUAUUGUAUUCUCUUAAUAGUGUAUAGUUUUCAUAAUAGAGAGAAUUAUAGUAGGGUAGAGUAGUAGUUAAAACAAGAGAUAGAGACCUUAACUAUACCUAUUAUAGUUAACUUAGUGUAUAUGGUUCUAGUCAAGUUAGUGAUUUAGGCAUCUACUGAAAUAAGAAGUACUCGUAAUCCAUACUAAUAUACGAGAUAUAUAACUAAGAAAUCAACGACAGUCGGACGGAUAACCACUACCCUAAGUCCACAAUCAGACAAGAACAGGAAAUAAGGCGAGCUAUCGGUCCUAAGUCCUUCAAGUCUUACUUAUAUAAAUAUAUCAGUGUGAUUACAUUUUUAUGAAGAGAUUUAUUAAAUAAAAGUAUUGUACAAAAGAGACAUUUAAAACUUGUUUGUCCAUUCAAAAUAGUUUUGAAAAUAAAUGAUUGAUUUAUAAGGCAUAGUGAUAAAUCACAUGUGAUUUGAACUACAGGUAGUGAAUCACAUGUGAUUAAUUCUGUAAUAUGUAAAAUUUUCCUGUAUAACUUUCCAUAAACAUGUAUAUUGAACUUGUAUCUCCCCCCUAAAACAUAUAAAACAUUUGAAAGGUUCAUUAAAGGGGUAUGAACUCACCUGAAUUCGCGUAAAUCGGGUGAAUCGGGUAAAUCAGGUAAAAGUGUCGGUUGAGCGUUUUGUUCCAAACAAUGACUUGUACACCUUUUAGGACCCUAAUGUCAUAUGAAAAUAUGUAUUUUACAAGAAAUUAGUCAUUUUAUGCUUUCCGUUUAAGUAUUGAGGCAUUCUAGCAUCAAUUCGGGGUUUUAGGGCCUAGAAGGGGUUCCCGGGAGUGGUUUACGGCUAAGAAGGAUUUAUGGGAGGUUCCAUGAGCUCACUCCCUCAGAGUUUACGGCAUAAAGUCCACUCCUUGGGAGUUUACGGCCGGAAGCUCCCUAGGCUUGGCCGUAAGCUCAUGUGGUCUUCCAAAUUGCAUGUUUAAGGCCUUAUUUCACUUCCUUACUUUAAUGGUAUGUGUCUUGGACCAAUAUGGAGGGAUUAAACUCUUAUUUUGUGACAUUUUGGGGAGUUUACGGCCAAGGCUUGUUCUUAGGCCGUAAACUCCAUUUAAUCCAUCAAAAUGGUUGUUUAAAUGGUACAACAUGUUCUCAUUCACCUUAGGUAAAUUCUAGAAGGCCUUAAAAUGAGUUUUGGGACAAUUUGGCAUGAAAAUUGGGGAGUUUACGGCCCAAGAAUAUCCUUGGCCGUAAACUCUUCAUUUGGCCUCAAAAUGGGAAGUUUAAUGGUACAACACACAUCCAAGGGCCUUAGCUAAAUUCCUUACAUGCAUUAGAGAAGUUUUGGCACUUGUUUGACACAAAAACUUGGGUGUUUACAGGCCAAGCUUAGCCUUGGCCGUAAACUCCUCUUUUUGUCCUCAAAUGAUGUUGUUUGAUGCAUUUAAACCUUCCUUAGUGUCAAGUCUAAAUUACCAAACACCUUAGAUGAGUUUUUGGGACUUUAAACAAGGGUUUUUAGGGUGUUUACGGCCUAAGCACAAGCUUGGGCCGUAAACUCCUUUUUAAGCUUCAAUUCCUUGUGUUUUAGUGUCCAAACUCUCCUAGGUAUAUGCCUUAAUUAGUCCAUAAGCUUAAAGGAAGGAAAAAUGAGGUUUUUGGCAAGUUUCUAGGGGUUUACGGCCUAAGGGGCUUCUUAGGCCGUAAACUCCUUUUUGGUCCUUGAUUUCUAUGAUUUUGGCCUCUAAAUACAGUGAAGUAUGUCUAGAUUAAGAUAGGGAAUGAGUCCUUACGUUUGGAAGCCGGAAAUUCACGGAUUUGGGGUCGAUUUCGGGUCUAGAGAGAGAAAGUAGUGAGAGAGAGGUGAGGGUGUGGUAAAAGNCUAGAGAGAGAAAGUAGUGAGAGAGAGUGAAUGAGUGGUAAAAGAGUGUUCAAAUGGUGUUCACUCUCAUUUCAUAUGCCUCGGGUGUUGCACCCGAUACACGGCUACCCGAUGCUAAAGUUUAACGGGGUUAAAACUUUUUACCCGGGUGAAGUGUUUGAAAAGUAAUAUAACUCUAUUUAGUUAAACGGGGUUAAUAUUUACAAGUUAUAAUUACUUAUGAUAAUAUCGUGACAUAUGAAUAACUAGAUAUUUGUUUAUUGACGACACACAACCAUUACCGAAAAUAAUAUAUAGUGACGCAUUCCGUUAGUGAAAGUAGGGUUUGUAACGACAAUAUAUUUGUGGUUGUCACAAUAUAGAAAUGUAUUGCAAUCGAGUGCAAUGGCAUACAUGGAAGAAGCGAAAUAAGGAUAUGAAAAAGAGAGCAUCGUUUUCUUUGAGCAAAGAACAAUUAAGUAACUAAAAUAUGCCAAUGGUUGAUUAAACUUAAAUUCCCGGACGGAUACGCCUCAAACUUGGGGGGUGCGUUAAUGUAGAUGAUAAUAGCUUUUACAAAUUCAAGAGUCACGAGUUCCAUGUAUUUCUUCAAAAAUUGUUGCCUAUUUCUCUAAGAGGUAUGGUGCCAAAUUCAAGAUGGGAUGCAAAAUAUGUUCAAAGGUGUUACGUGCGCGUAGAUGGCUUACAGCGCUUGCAAACUACUAUUGUUGAAACCAUUUGCAUGUUGGAAAAAAUAUUUCCACCUGGAUUCUUUGACUCAAUGGAGCAUCUUGUUAUCCACUUAGCUCGUGAAGCUAAGCUUGGUGGUCCGGUUCAAUAUAGGUGGAUGUAUCUUUAUGAAAGGUAUAUUUUUUACCAUACAAAAGAUUUUACCAUAAAACCUAUGGAAUUUCUAAUAAGCCUUUUCCAACAUCUUUUUAGGAAGUUGGGAUCAAUGAAAAGAAAGAUAAAAAACCAUGUGAAGGUUGAGAGGUCCAUUGUUGAGGUUUGCAUGAUUGGAGAAAUAUCGACUUUUUGCUCACAAUACUUUUUGCCUACAAUCGAAGCCCAGUUGAAUCGUGAGUCGUGUAAUUUUGCACCAAACAUUCCUAAUUAUACCAUGGUUGACUCUCGAUUAAGCAUUUUCAAAGUUCCAUCUCGAAGAUUAUUCGAAAAAAGUGGUCAACGGAGGCCUUUAACAGAUGAUGAGAUGCGUAUUGCUCAUAAUUACAUAUUGAUCAAUUGUGUUGAGGUUCUACCUUUUUUAAGGUAUGUUAAGUUAUCUACUUUUACUUGAUGUCAUGAAUCUCUAAAAUGUUUUUUAUUUUUUAAGGUUGUUUGAUAAUUAUGUGAUCCAAAGAAAACCUAAUAUCGAUGAUGGAGCAUUUGAAAGGUUUAGGGAUCAACAUUUUGCUAAGUGGUUUUAAAGAUCAUGUAAGUAUGAUACAAGCAAAAUUUGUAUUCUCAAAAAGUCUUGCCCCAUGAAUUAAUUAACAAAUGACUUUAUCAAUGUAGGUUUCACAACAAUCAAAUGAUAUUAGUUAACAUCGUAAAUGCCUUGCACGAGGACCAUUGCAAAAUGUUAGGUCCAAUAAAUGAUACUUUGUCAAUGAUUACAAGUUUCAUACUAAAAAAUAUGGUGAUGGACGGGUCACACACAAUAGUGGUGUAUUCGUAAGAGGAACUUGUUACAAUGAGACUGAGUGUGACUAUUAUGGGUUGUUGGAUGAGGUCUUGGAAGUAGAAUAUCAAGGCAUAUGGCGUUGCGUUGUAGUAUUGUUCAGGAGUACAUGGUUUCACCCUACUGAAGGGGUACGUGUGGAUCGAAAGAAUAAUUUGGUUGAUAUUAAAUACAAAUCAAGGCUAAGAAAUGAAGAUCGGUUUAUCCUAACGUCACAAGCAGAACAAGUGUAUUACUCACCAUAUCCUGCAAUCAAGGAUUUGAAAGAUUGGUGGGCUGUCGCCAAGACGAAGCCAAGGGGUGUAUAUGAUCUACGACAAUGUAUUACCAAAGAAGAUGAUGAUGAGGAUGAAGAGGAUCAAUUCAUUCAAGAAAGUGAAGCGACUUUACCUUCUACAAGUAGCGGUAAAAAUGAGGUGGCAGAACCCCUUUCUCAUGUAAUUGAAGGAGAAAUAGAAGAAGUUAAUGACAAUGACGUUGAGAGAGAAGAGGAUGAAGAAGUUGAUGAUAACUCGGAUGAUUCAUCCAAAGAUGAUAUUGAAGACGAAGACAACAUAUGUGAUGAUAAUUUUGAUGAUGAGUAAUUACUAAAAAUGUAGAAUGAAACAAUGUAUUUGGAACAAUAUAUUGCCUAAUGGACCUUAUUAAUAACUUUUUAGCUAAAAUGAUUGUUUUCUUUUUCUAUAUACAUUGUACUUCCAUUUAUUCGUGUAUUAUAUAGCAUGUUACCUUCUUUUACUUCAAGAAUUUUCUAUUAUAAUACAUACUUGUUCUAACCAAUCGUUUAUUAAUUCUUGAUUUUAAGGGUUUUUUUUAUUUACUAAUGGCGCUACGAGGAGCCCAUGGUGGUGAUCGCAGUGGUAGUCAUAUUGGUGGUCAUGAUGUUGGAGAUAGAAAUGCAUCUCAAUCAUACAAUAAUGCAGAAAGUUAACCUUCUUCAGUUAGAGGAUCAAACAUCUUGGAACAAGUUCCAACUAACCCAUCAAAAAGGAAGUUCAUUGAAGUCGAUUCUGAAAACGAGUACUAAUGUUAAUUUUAUAAUUAUUUAUGAAAAUGAAUUUACUUGUUAAUAAUAAUACUAAUGCUAAUUUUUUUAAUUAUUUAUUUUUUCAAGAGGGGUAAUUUAGGCAUUUUACUUGUUUAACUUGUUAAGAGGAGAGUGAAGGUAACUUUUUAUUUUUUGUGUUGUUUCUAGUGUUUUAAUUCAAACAAAACAAAACAUUUGUCUUUGGUUCUUUUUUAGAAACUAUACAAUAUUCUUUGAUGGAGAUGCAACUAUCUUGGGGCAAGCAACCCCAAUCUCUGGAUACGAAGGAGGAACCAACCGGAGAAUCAAGAAGCUAGAGAUACCGCUAUUUAAUGGAAAUAAUCCGAAUGACUAGGUUCUUGAGGCAGAGAGCCGGUUUCUAGAUUAUCGAUUAUCAUCGGCCAAUUAGCGAUUAACUAGAAGGCGACGACGCUCACUGGUAUAACGAGGAACACUAUCACCGGCCAAUUAGCGAUUGGGAAGAGAUAAAAUUCCUAAUCAGCCGGUGAUUCGGACCUUCCAUGGUGGGGGGUUUCAGUCGGAGCGAGAACGUAGUCUUAUGCAGAUAACGGCUCCGUUAAAUGACGGACGGCAAAAAGAAGACCAAGGUCAUCACAAAGUUGGGCUUAAAAACAACAUGUGGGCCAAAAUUGGAUUAUUGGACCCCGAGAAGUUGGAUCAGACAAUGGACUCGGAAAUUAAAGUGGAAGAUAAAUUAAGCCCAGUGUAAAUAAACCUAAUAGCCCUAAAACGAUGGAAACGUCAGUAAGGAGAUCAUAAACAAUCUUUGUGUAAGGUGGGUGGUGUUAACCCAGCUCAGAAUAUGCAGGAGUUUAAUUCUUCGGUGCAUUAUGAUCAUCAGGUAGGUUGGUUUUAUAUGAGUCGUCAAUCUCAGCUUCCCUUAUCCUCAAUCGGUUUCAUCCCUGGCAUGUGGUUGGUGUGGAGGGGCCUGGUUUGAACUAAGCUGUGUUUUGGACAAACACAUUAUUGGUCAAAGGUAUCAUAUCAAGAGAUGAAUUGCCCCAAAAAUAUAGAGAAUUCGGGAUGCAUUUUGAGAUCCCAAAUUCUCUAUAUUUUAGGUAAUACUUGUUUAUUUUGCUAGUGUGAAAAAAAGCCUAACUUUUGAGAGGAGUGAGCAAGUAGGAGAAGACGCCAAACUUUUGUUAUUUGUGGUGUCGACUUUCAGUGAAGGAGGGGCAGGAGAACCCAUUUUUUCCCUUUUGCUAUUGAAGUAUGUCGUAUGCGUUUUGAGUAGCUGAUUUACGCAAUGGUCUAAUUGGCUAAUUGAUUCACAUAAUGGGCUGUUUAUUUGUAUUUUUUUAUUUAGCCAAUAGUGGACGUUUACUUGGAGUUACACCCGGUGCACAUUAGAUCAAAGAUAUAAAAUCCAAUUUUUUUUUUUGAAACUUCUAAGUGCUAUCCCUACCAACUAACUAUAUCCGCCACAAGAAGUAUGUGGUGGUGGAUUGUAGGUGGGAUGGGGUUGCGGGUUCAUAGAGAAAAAAAGGAGACAUGACAAAAGAAUGUUAAAAAAGUCUUUUUAGAAUUGAACUUAAAUGAAAAGGUUAAGAGUUUUGGUAAAAAGGACUACCGAUGCAAGAAAUGAGACCAUAAGGAUUUGUGAUGUAUUGUUUUUUAAAUUUGUUCUCAAAGUGAAAAUUUCACUAAACUGCAAGGAUCAUAUUUGUAAUUUAGUCUUCAAUUCUAGAAAAAGAAUAAAAAAAGAAAUUCAAAAGUAGCAAAACCGUAUUCCUUUUGGGAAAGAACCCUGAAAACCUCGGAUACCAAAAAAUAAAAAGAAAGAAAAAAAAAAGAAAAACCCGAACAUUUUCAUUGUUUGUUUAUACUCUCUCACCGUCUCUGUUCGUUCAUCGUCGACUCACCGUUUGCCUGCUUGCUCAUCUUUCUUGGCCUUUGUCUCUGUUCAUUUUUCAUCUGUUAUCACCGCUUCAGGUUUAUAUAAAAUCUGCUCAUUCUUACAAGUUACUUUUGCUUGUCUAAAAAUUCCACAUAGCAAUCGCAGAUCACAUCAUAAUCAUUUGAAAUUUCAUAAACAGGUGAUUAAAACUUUGUUUAUUUCAGCUACUUUUGUUUAGUUUACAUAUCAGUUAUAAUCCAACACGUUCUUGCUUGAAGUCCAGAAUGAUGAACAAAACUUUGCGCAGACGGGAAGAUUCUCCAAUUCUCAAAUUUUUUUUUCCCUUAAUCACUUUAUAUUUUGAGUUCAUAACCACCAUUUUUUACAUUUGAUUCUUUAUUGAAUGAUUUUAUCUGCUCCAUAAUUGUAAGCUAAACACUCAAAAUCAACAAGCUUCAAUAUUCGAUUGUCAUAAUUCUAGAUUGCCUGUUGAUGUUCCCCUUGUUCAAAACUUGUAGAUCUGUCAAAGCCAGAUUGUAAGACAACCGGGUGUUAUUCUGCUUGAAUCAAAAUUAGGAUUUUGCUAGUGCAUAAUCUAGGUCUUGAACCAAAUAAGUAAUGCCCUUAAUUUCUGUUUGAAAAUAAGCUGGAUUUGGUUUAUGUUUCGAGGCACAAAACUGAUAAGAGAUUUCUUGCAUAAUGAACGGGGCCUUAAAGCAUUAGUAGACAAAAAGAUUCAAAGCACUAGAAUCCCCACUCAAUAGUUUUGUUAGGGAGUUCAUAAUCUUCAUUUAAAGUUACUUCUUAAUAAGUAAUAACUCCCCUGCACUACUAGAAAAACACCCUUUUACGACGCUCAUUGCGCGUCGUAAAAUGCUCAGACGACGCGCAAAUGCACGUCAAGAAAGGCCCUGUCAUAAAGAGAGACGACGCGCUUUUGUGCGUCAUCUAUAGACGACGCGCAUUUAUGACGCGCGGUUAUGACACGCAAUGCGUAUCAAGGAAGGCCCUGUCAUAAAGGAAGACGACAUGCAUUUGUGUGUCGUAAUCUUAUGACGCGCGCGUUCAUGACACGCAAUGCGUAUCAAGGAAGCCCCUGUCAAGAAAGGUCAUGUCAUAAAUGAAGAUGACGCACAUUUUUGCGUAUCAUAAUUUUGAUAUGCUCUAAAAAAAUAUAUUUAUAUAUUUAUUAAUUUUUAAAUUAAAUUUGCAUUUAAUAUCUUAUAAUACAAAUAAAAUAUCAUAUACAAAAAAUACAACCCAUUGCAUAAAAUUUAAUGUCAUACAAUUCAAUUUCUUACAAUAUCUAAAUUUGCAUCUAAUCUACUCUGUACAUCAAAUUCCAACUAAGUAAAGUUGCAUUUUGUCUUUCAUAAUUCUCUAAGACUAAUGCUCCAAGCAGCUGAUUAUAUGGAUAAGCAGUUGUACAUUGGCCCAAAUCAUCAAUUGCAGUGAUACGAGCUUGGUUUAGGAUAUGAAUAUCUAAAAAACAAUUAGACAAAAAAAAAAGAAUUACAGGAAAAUACCAUCUAUUUUUUAAUACUAAAUAGAAUUUAUACCCAGAGAGGAAAAAGGUUGUACUUUUAUCUACAUUACAUGUCAUUCCUAUUACGUCCUGAAGACUUACAGUUGUAAGCUCACCCAAUUUAUCUGCACCAAUAGACUGUUAAGAUGAAAAAUCAGAUUAUUAAUAAUAGAAACACAUGCAAUUAAGUUCGUUUCUAGUUCUUUAUCACAUCAGGUUUCUGGCCUAUAUACUCUGUUUAAACCCUUUAUUCAGAUCAAUAAAGCAAGUAUUCAGCUUCACCAAAACUACAACAUUCAACUUUGAAAAGCUCAAAAUAGUUGGAGACAGAUGUAACAACAAUACCUAGGAUAAAACUGUCAUAUAUGAAUAUUAUUGAGGUUGUGGUUAAAUAUCUACCUUUCCCCAUGUUUGUUUCUACUAAUUCCAACAUAUAGCUAUCCUACCCAAAAUAAGUAGAUAAUGAUUUAAAAGAUUGAUUUCAUAAAUAAUAUCUUGGCUGGUUGUCCAAGUUUCAGGUUUUCCAAGUUUCAUUCACAAGUUUUCGAAGUUUCAGGUUGGGAAGAAACACAAACAACAACACAUAGUAUGUAUCAAAAGUUGGAUCAUAGUUGUAAUUUUCCAGCAGAAAAGUAGUAGCAAUAGAAAAAAAUACACUCACACACAUGAAAUGAAAGGGUUGGUUGGGUCUAACCACAGUAACAUUUGGCCCUAGCACAUGGUGCUCCUUGUCCCACCACCAGCACCAGCAACAACAACAACAUGUAGACCCGUACAUGAAAGGUAGCCAAAUGAGCACCUUGCAUACCUGUCUAAACAUAAUUCAAAUAAUUAAAACAAAUCUUACUUAAUUCAAGGGAAAAUUAUGUUUAUAACCUUAUAAAGUUUAAAUAUUACUUAUAUAUACUUAUAAAUUUUAUACUUACAUAUAUGUAUAUAUAUAUAUAUAUAUAUAUAUACAUAUAUAUAUAUAUAUAUCCUUCUCAAAUUAUAAAACUCACAUCUAUAUCCAAAGUGAUAAUUUAAAUAGGCUUAAUUAAUCAAAUAUUAAAAAACUUAUCCAAAAAUUAAAAUCCUUUAUGUUUGUACUAAAAUAUCCUUCCAAAAUAAAUGUAGGAAGUUACCAUUUUACCCUUAUACUUUAAUAAAUCAUUUUUACCAUAUACAUAUUAGAGUAGAAUUUAAUAACUUGAAUCAUUGAUAACAUAUACCGUAAAACAUAGUGUUGACAUGUGAAGCCUUUUGUUAGGGUCCCACUUCCCUCAGGUUUGGAGGCAAGAUUAACCAUUUCAAGAGCAUAAAACAGUUCUUCCUUGCUGUAAAUGGAUUAAACCAAGAGCAUAAAGUGCAACUCCUUCUGAAUAGGGACUACCACCUCCACUACCACCAGCCGUUGCACUGAACUUAACCCAAUUUCUCGCCCUGAUUAGCCAAUGCUAAAAUCGUAUCCAAACAUAAUCCAAAAUGCUAAGGGGAGGAAUUUGUGUCAAAGUAAUUUGUUCUUAUGUGUUUUGCAAGAGUUCGAACACACUCCAAUUCCAACUUACAUUUACUUGAUUCUAAAGAUGAUGAAGACUUGUUGACAUCAAAAGAAAAGCAUAAGCAGCGAAUCACAUCUUUUCCAGCAUAUUUUGCUUGAAGUAUUCAAUAAUUGGAGGUCGUUGAACAUUGAAAACAUAAACUGUGAACACUCUUCAGGGUCUAUAAGUGCAUCAAUGGCAAAAAGAACACCUUCUUUAACAAAAGGCCCCAUGAAAACAUCGGUAUUCUUUUGUAGGAUAGUGUCAGAAAUAUUAAGAGCUAGCAUUAGUACACGUAUAUCCUUCCUAGUGAACACUCCAGCCAAAAACCUGAGAAAUUACCAACAUGAAACAAUUAAAAUUUAAGAGAAAUUUGAUAGAAUAAAGUAUAGUUGAGUAUCAAGAAUUCAACAUUAUGUCCCCUUGAAAUGUUGGUGCUUUUAAGCAAAUCAAGAAGCAUAUCAGAGUUGAUGUAAUAAAGUAACUUGUCAACAACAGAUAGACACCCAUAACAGAUAUAUAAAUCCACCCUAGAAUCAACAACCUGUUCAGAAAUAAGAAGAAAAGAAAGGGUAUAUCAGGGAAAUUGUAAAAGUUAGCAAGAAAUCAGUACAACAUGAUUGACAAAUGAUAACCAACCUGGAUCAAGACAGGUAAUAAAUCAUUCCCAAAUUUCUCUACAAGAUUAGGAUGAGUCACCAAGAAAGCUUCUUUUUCUGCAGCUAAUGGAACUUCUUGAUUUCUGGAUACAACGGGUAGAAGCUGAAUCAACAACUUCAAAACUUCAUGCAUUUGAUUAUAAUGUCCAUCAAUUGUUCGAGGGGAAGGGACUCCAUGUGAAAGGUCAUAUAUUGACAAGAUCUCUUUCAAAAUGCUACUUAUAUUAAGAUCAAAAAGUGUCUUCACAGCCACCAUAGAACCAGAAGCAAGUUUAACAAGUAGUCCAAUUAAACCCUACAUAAAAAUACACAAGAGUUCUUCAAAAAAGAUUGAAAAAAAAAACAAAAAUUGCUAAAAAUAGAAGAAGAUGGACAUACAGUAUGAACAUAAUAAGAUAGAGUGGUAUGGUUGAUCAGGUCUAUAAUAUGUGCCACUUGAUGAAUCAAUCCAUGUUUAGAAAGUUCAUCAAGCAUUUCACUGGAUUCUUGUACUCUUUCUGCUAUUUUAAUUAAGCAUGUAGCAACAUGUUCAACAAGCUGCAAUCGCAAGAAUAUGUCAGUAAAGUACAAAAGAUUAUAAGAAAGACCAUAAUUAUAUUUAUACCUGAUUGUCUUAGCUACAAUCACAAGAAUCAGAAGAUGUUGAAAUCAAUGAGGUUUUUGAAGUUUCUAGAGCGAUCUGUCUUAGCUGGUGUAAAGCCGGUCACAUAUUCAAUUUUUUAUUAAUUAAGUAAAAUGACAUAAGGGUAUAUUUGGAAACAUUAUGGAUUUAAAAUGUCGUAUUACCAUCAUUGUUGUUUUUUUGAGCGAGAACAGUUGGAGAUCAUAUAAAGGAUGCAAGACUUUAGGUACCCUCCAUGCCUAAUGAAUGAUAUAAUAGAGUAAUUUAGAAUAUAAAUGGAGUUUAAAUAUGAAUAUAUUUGAAUCUAGAUAUAGUAUAUAGUAAAAUGACAUAAUGAUAUAAUAAAGUAAUUUAGAAUAUAAAUGGCUGCUUACCUCUACAUUAACUUUGUCAAAAAGCUCAAGCUUAAGAUCAUACUCAUGCUGACCAGCUGAAGCAGAUAAUGUAAAAACACCUUCUGGAGCAAGAUUCACUUUUGCAUCUUUUGUAUCCGCCAAUAAAAUUGUGAUAUAAACUUUAUCCUCUCUCUGAGCCCACUUAAUUUCUUGAUGACGACUACAAAGCUCAAUAUUUUUUUGAAUUUAUUAGGAUACACCAAUCAUUGAACCAAGCACAAGCAAGCAUAAAUAUGUAAAACUAAUAAAUCAACUGUUUUCUAAUUCUCACCAUUGCAACACAAAGAACCCAAUUCUUGUGCCCUGAAUAGAUAUGUAAAAAUAUAACAAUUUGUUUGGCUUUUGUGAUUAUGAAGUUAUGAUAACAACCAUUAUAUUCACUACAUGGAACUUGGCUUCAGUGAAACUGUAUACCACUUACGAUUGUUAGCUGAAAGAGCAGAAUUUGUAACUGCAAAUUGAGUAGAAAGAAUAAUAGAUAUUUUAUGAAUCAAAAUUGUGUUUACAAAAUACAGAGCAGUAUAAGAAGAUGAAAUCAGAAUAAAAUUGUACCUAAGUGUUAAGGAGUGAGCCACUGACCGGAGAAACCGCCUGAAGGGGCUACCAACGCUGUGAGAUGAUAGAAUCGACAGAUGACAUGAUUCUCUCAUCUGUAUGAACUCAAAAAAGAAAAAAAUAUUACCUCUGUUUUACAUUUUCCAAACCAAACAUUGUGGAUUCGUCAUUGGAGCAGUCGAAGUGCACAUACACAACUUUUAUGAAAAAACCCUAAGUCGUCGGUGUCUUAGUCGAUAACUUGUACCAAAAAACCCUAAAUCGCUAUGAGAGAGGAGUGAGGCCUGAAUCACUUUCAUUAAGAUGUGAUAUCUUGAAGCAGAGAUGUAUAGCGGUCCGAUAGGGUGGGGAUACUUUACUCAUGCGGCACAACCGAACGAAUCAAGGGUAUCGAGCUAAUCCACAGGAAAUCGAUUGAAGCAAUUGCUUUCGAAUUUCGAUAUGGUUGAAAUUGAAAUUUUGGAAAUUGGAAGAACUUUGAAAGAAAUUGAGAAAUUAGCAUUGGAUUCCGGUUUAUUUGGGAUUUUUACAAGCAAAUCAAAGGCUUAUUUGGGCUAGAGGAUCGACGGGAGGGAACAGAGGAAGGAAAAGGGGAAAUACAACAAUUAGGGGUUUUAUAGGGUUACUGCAUCAUUCUUUGCUCUCCGCAUUUUUCAUAUUUAGAAGAAUGCUUUGGAGUAGAAUCCUUGGAGUUCAUUUUUUGAGUGUUAGGGUUUACUGCAUCGUUCAUUUUUUUAGUGUUAGGGUAUCUAGAGGUUGGUCGAGAGGGCCUGAACAUCAUCGUCGUGUGAGGCCUGAAGAGUCGGUGUGGGUUGGAGGUAGUGGAGGUGGGUGAGGGGUGGAGACGAAGGAGAGGAGAUGUUAGAGAACAGAUUGAUACGAAUGUAGGAGAAGAAAGAGGUUUAAAAUUUUUGGGGAUUUCAUUUCCCUCUAAGAAGAGAGAUGCGCGUUUCAUAACAAAAAUAUAAAACGACAUUCACAAAGAACGCACAUUUUAGAUAAAGUGCCCUCCGUGUUUUUAAUUUUUUUUACAUGAGACACUAAUUUAAGGGCACGCAAUAAUGCGUGUCCACUAUCCUUAAAUUUUUUGAAGAUAUGACACUUUUUUAAUGUCACUCUCUUUUACGUAACAUAAAUCAACGAGUGUCGUGGUUUGCGCAUCGUAAAAGGGUCUUUUUCUUGUAGUGAUGGCAAUAUAAUUUUAUUUUACAUCAAUACUUUGCUAUUAGCAGAUGAGAUUUAAGUUGCAUACUGUAAUCAAUAAUUUGCUAUUAUGUAGAGGCAUUUGUACAGGGUCCUAAAAUUAAAGAACAAGUGAAGAAAGCCAGUGAAAAAAACUUUCAUAACUAAUAACAUAAUUUAUUAUGGUGGUUCUAUCUAAACUUCCAGAAGGAUCUUCAUCUUCUUCAUCACUUCAUGGUUAUAGUUCAUCAGCUCGUGUUCAUACUCCAUCCACUCAUGGUCAUAAUUCAUCAACUCAUAAUCAUAGAUAUGAUGUAUUUUUAAGUUUUAGAGGUGUUGACACUCGUCAUAGUUUCACUGAUCACCUUCAUAAGGCCCUCAUUGAUGCCAAUAUCAAUACCUUCUUGGAUGAUGAAGAGAUUGAAACAGGGGAAGAUCUGAAACCGGAACUAGAGAGUGCGCUUAAGGCAUCUCAGGCUUCUAUUAUUGUGUUGUCUAAGAAUUAUGCUUCUUCAACAUGGUGCCUGGAUGAAUUGGUGCUGAUCCUUGAGCAACGGAUGACAUCCAACCAUAUCGUCAUCCCAAUCUUUUAUCAUGUGGAGCCCACACAUGUCAGGAAGCAACAAAGUAGCUUUGGAGAUGCAAUGGAUAAGUAUAAACAGACAAUGGAGGCAGAGACAAAUGCAAAUAAAAGAAGUCAAUGGGCUCAAAAGAUGGACCGAUGGAAUAAAGCGCUUACACAAGUUGCUGAUUUAAAAGGGAAUGACAUAAAUGGCAGGUCACCACUUUCUUACCCUUAUUCAUAUCCCUAUGCAUUUCAAUAAGUUUUUCUAAAUCAUUAAAUAUACAUAUAUCUGAUGUUUUAGGAUAUAUAGAAAAUGAACAUAAUUGAAAAUAAGUUCUCAAGUAUGUGUUCUCAUAAACCAGUUCGUAUAGAUGGAUUAGCCAUUCUGAUAAUUUUUACAUGUUUGUUAUGUAUUUUGUAUUUUAUCAUAAGUUAGUACAUUUAGAUAAACCUUCUCCACGAUUUUUACAUGCUUUUUAUUUAAAACCAAAGUUUGAUGGGUUUGCUAUGCUUUUACUAUUAUUUAUAUCAUACUGCCUUCAAAUCAUAGCGGUUUUAAUGAUAAAUAACUACUUUUAGUUGUAUUUAUUAAAAGAUAACCCAUAACUAUUUCAUGGCAUUUUGUUCAAAUCCAUGUAAAGCCACAUCGAUGGUUAAGUUUGAUGGUCUUGUAGAAACAUAGUGAAAUCUUGUAUUUCGUUGGUUGCUUUGGUCUUAUCAUAAACUAAUAUUUAUGACCUUCUCCAUUAGCAAAAUCUUGUAUUUCAUGGUAUUUUGUUCAAAUUGAUGUGAGAACUCAAUUAAUAAUAACAGAAGUGAUAUAAUCUUAGUUAGGAUCUUUGAAUAAAUUAAAUCUCCCAAUCUGGUUCAUUAGUUUUGUAGAUUUGUUCUGAAAUUCUUAUAUAAUCAAGUUUCAGGUUGGAGACAGUGUUUAUUGAAGAAAUUGUGAAGGACAUCCACCGUAGAUUACAUUUACACUUAAGGAGCAUUCGACCACAACUUAUUGGGAUGAAUUAUCAUAUUAACUUUGUAACUUCAUGGUUGAAAGAUGGAUCAUCGCAUACAGCAUACAUACUUACUAUUUAUGGUAUAGGUGGGAUCGGGAAGACAUCUUUAGCCAAACAUGUCUAUGGGCUAUAUUCUCAUGAAUUCCACACAAGCAGCUAUAUUGAAGAUAUCACUAGGAAAUGCGAUGGGAAGUUUAAUGGGUUGCUUGAUUUACAAGAACAACUCUGCUAUGACAUUUCAAAAACAAGUUCAAUUAAAGAUCAUGAUGUUUCAGUAUACACCACAAAGAUAGAGAAUGCACUAGCACGUAAAAGGGUGUUUCUAGUUCUUGAUGAUAUUAGUACUCAUGUUAUAAACAAUUAUUUAUGACCAUCCAUUAGCGAAAUCUUGUAUUUCAUAGCAUUUUGUUGAGAUUGAUGCAAACUACAAUAUGGUUUUGAUGUGAGAACUAAAUUAGUAAUUUAAAGCUAUGAUAUAAUCUUAGUUUGCAUCUUUAAAUAAAUUAAGUCUUCCAGUCUGGUUCAUUAGUUUUGUAGAUUGUGUUUUGAAGUUCUUAUAUAAUCAAGUUUUAGGUCCGAGACACAGUUUAUUGAAGAAAUUGUGAAGGAUAUCCACCGUAGAUUACAUCUACACUUAUGGAGCGUUCGGCCAUAACUUAUUGGGAUGGAAAAUCAUAUUAACUUUGUAACUUCAUGGUUGAAAGAUGGAUCCUCACAUACGGUAGACGUACUUACUAUUUAUGGUAUAGGUGGGAUCGGGAAGACAUCUUUAGCAAAAUAUGUCAAUGGGCUAUAUUCUCAUGAAUUCAACACAAGCAACUAUAUUGAAAAUAUCACUACGAAAUGUGAUGGAAAGUUUAAUGGGUUGCUUGUUUUACAAGAACAACUCUGUAAGGACAUUUCAAAAACAAGUUCAAUUAAAGUUCAUGAUGUUUUAGUAUACACCGCAAAGAUAGAUAAUGCAUUAGCACGUAAAAGGGUGUUUCUAGUUCUUGAUGAUAUCAGUACCCUUGUUCAGUUGGAUGCACUACUUGGAAGCAAAGGCUUUCAUCCUGGAAGCAAAGUUAUAAUUACAACAAAGGACAAUUGGUUGAGUGAGAGUUGUUCUUUAUUUAAAACAAACAUUAAACCCAAGCAUGAAAGGCAUUUGCUUCGAGGCUUAGAUUAUUUUCCAUCGCAACGACUUUUGUGCUCCCAUGUAUUCAUGUGCAACCAACCCAAGGCGGGAUAUGAAGAGAUGUUUGAUAAGCUUGUGUAGUAUUGUGAAGGACAUCCAUUGGCUCUUGAAAUUUUGGGAAAGUAUCUACAUAAUCGAGAUGUAGCUUAUUGGGAAGGGUGCAUCAAAGGGCUAAGGAAUGAAAUUAGUUCCCCUAUCAAUAAUGCCUUGAAAAUGAGCUUCGGUUCCUUGCCAUCAAAAAACGAUAAGGAGUUGUUUAAGCAUAUUGCUUGUUUUUUUUGUUGGACUAGACAAAGAUGUUACCGAAACAAUAUUAGAGGCAUGUGAUAUAAACACAAGAUCUGGGAUCACGAAUCUCAUUGACAGAUGCCUUCUUAGUAUAGGACGGAAUAAUGAAUUGAAGAUGCAUCAGUUGGUUCAAGAGAUGGGAAGAUUCGAAGUACGCCAAGAAUCACUUGACAAGCCAUAGAAGCGAAUUUGAUUAUGGUGUCAUAAGGAGUCAUUCAAAGUGUUGAAACAAAAGAAAGUAAGAGGUCAUGCAUGCUUUUAGUAGUGUGUGUGUGUGUGUAUGUCUGAUAUUUUGUAUUGCCUAAUUUAUUUAUUUGCAUUAUGCUUCUUAUUAGGGUAAGGGAAAUCUUCUAGGCCUCACCAUUGACAUGUGCAUGCUUGAGAAAGAGAAGUUAGGUGUAUCAUAUGAGCUGUAAACAGAUGCAUUAAGUAACAUGGAUAAUUUGAUGCUACUACAACUCAAUUAUGUGCGAAUGGAUGGGUCUUAAAAGAAUUUUCCAGAAGAAAUAAGAUGGUUGUGUAUGCAUGGGUUUCGUUUAAAGUCUAUACCUUUAGACUCACCAAUGAUGAAUUUGGUUGCUCUUGGCAUGUCAUAUAGCAAUAUUGAAUCAUUUGUCGGUUGUUAUAAUAAUCCACAACGGUUUGAGAAGAGGCAAAAUGUAAGCUAUCUUCAUUUAUUAUUCAUCCAUAUUGAGUUAAAGUAGUUCUCUACUGUUCUAACUUAUUUCCAUUUUUUUAGUUUGAUGGAUCGUUCUUAAAAGAGAAAAGGUUGCUUGGAUCAUUGAAGAUUCUUAAUUUAAGUUUUUGUAAACAACUCCAUAGUCUUGAUGAUUUUGACCAACUUCUUGCACUUGAGAGGUUAACAGUUAGAAAUUGCAUUGGUUUGCUCGAGAUAUGUGAAUCAAUCGAGCAAUGUGUUGAACUUGUCUUCAUCAAUUUGAGCUAUUGCAACAAGCUUGAAAAACUUCCAAGAAACAUAGGCAUGUUGAAGAAUGUUAAAACAAUGUUGCUAGAUCAUUGCAGUCCUAGUGGAUCUCCAAUCCAGAAUUGGGAUAUGGAAUUGCGCAAGGCUAACAAAAUUGACAUAAAUACAAAAACCUCUUCCCCUGCCUUUUUGGGUGUCAUACCAAGUGAUUUGAUGUUGUAUGCAAGUUCUUUACCGAGUUCUCUAGUAAGUUUGUCAAUUGCAAAUAGUAAUUUGUCCACUAAAUCCUUUCCCAUGGACUGGAUGUAACACCUAAAGUCAGGAAGGCCAAGAAAGGAAAGAAAACCCUAAUUUUAAAGGGCGACUCGACGCGUCCAAGGAUGAACUCGGCGAGUCCGAGCGGGAUCCGGGUCGAGGAGUAAGUGACCGACUCGGCGAGUCGGCCAAAGGGACUCGGCGAGUCUGGUCUGUGCGGAGAAAACCCUAAAAUCGGGACUUGGAGCCUAUUUAAGCGCCUCAUUCUCCUCCCUAGGGUUCCUUUACUGCCUCUUUUACCCAGAACAUCAAACCCUAGCCGCCAUAUCAAUUGAUUGAGCCAUUUGUUGCCUUGGAAGGUGCAUAAAAGUGUGGAGAAGGAAGAAGGAACUUGGAGGAGCAAGAAAGGACUAUAGAUCUGGGAUUGUGAGUUCAUUUCUGAGCAUUUGGAGGUAAUAAACUAGUUCUUGGACCCAUUUUGCACCUAUAUCUAUGUGUGGUUGUUGGGACUUUUUAGCUCAUUUGAGUUAGAAGCCAGAUCUGAAGUUGCUACUUCAGAUCUAAGCAUUUUAUGGUCUUGGGAAGCAUAAAGUAUCAGCCCUUGAGUUGUUUAUGGAGCCUCUUUGCCUUAAACCCUAGUUUAAGGUGUAUUUUGCCUAGAUCUCCUUCUCUACACUUAAAGUUUACAAAUUUACGUGAGGAAUAGGCUUGGGAAGGAUAGAUCUACAGUUUGGAGUCCAUGCAUGACUCAAAAGUUCUCUACAUGUAAGGAGAUCUGAAUGGACUCGGCGAGUCCUUUGAGUGGACUCGGUGAGUAGCAUGAAGAGGAGGAGCAACUCGACGAGUGGGAUGAACAGCUCGUCGAGUCAGAUGAAGAUUGCCUUGUACUCGGUGAGUCUGUUGUUGGACUCGGCGAGUCAGGUUGCGAUACCCCAAACCCUUCGAGUUGAGACUCGAAUUAGUGAGUCAGGUGGAGACUCGAUGAGUUGGACAGAUCAGGACUCAGAAAUCGGUAGACUCGGCGGGUCAUGGACUGACUCGGCGAGUCGAAAAGCAAAAGGAAGGAUUCUGAAUAUAUGAACUUGGCGAGUCAGUAGGGUGACUCGGCGAGUAGGGUUGACCUGGAAGGUUGACCUUGACCAAGACUUUGACUUGGACUAGGGUUGACUCGGUUGUCUUUCAGGGGUCAGUUAGACUCAGUGUUGCAUUGAUAUUGGGAGUUCGAGGAGCAAGGGAAGCAGGAGCUCGGUGAGUUGCCGGGUAGCAGCUAGUGAGUUCAUCAACAAGUUCAGCCAGUGCAGGUGAGUUUCCCUUUGUGUGAAUGGGUCUAAGGCCACAAUGUCAACCCAUGUAGUUAUGAGAAGAAAGCCUGGGGGUUAGCCCUAGGCACAGUAUGCUAGCAUGCUAUUCAGGACGAGGUCCAUUAUUAGCGGGCGGGUGCCCAAGGAUUUGUUUAUAUGAUAGUUUAUACUUUUUGUCUGUGUGAUACAUGAAUGUGCCUGGUAGGGAGGUGAGUGUGGGCGAGGUCUCGUAUCUCACCAAUAGCAGAGUGUGGAUGGGGUUCCAUGUCUCAUUAGUAGCAUAACAGGAGCGAGGCCCAAGUUAGGGAAGGAGUGAGGGUGGGCUGGGCCCGUAUCUCACUACCAGUAGGAGCGUGGACGGGGUUCCAUGACUCAUCAGUAGCAGGACCUGAGUGAGGCCCAGGACCGGUGAGGCCUUAGGACAGGAUCAGUCGUAUGAGUUUAGCUUAUGUGUUGUGAUAUGUUUAUGUCUUAUUAUUUGUUGGCGGGCGAGGCCUUGUGACAGGCGAGGCCUAAGUGAAACAUAUUUGUAACCGAGCGCGGCUCGAAGCCAGGCGGGGCCUGGAGCGGCGGAGCCAUUGUAGCGGGCGAGGCCCGAGGCAGGGGGUGAGGCCCAAGAUAGCGGGCGUGGCCCAGUAUGUAUAGUAUGUGAUUAUGCAUGGUAUGUGGUAGGGUGGGGAACUCACUAAGCUUCGUGCUUACGGUUUUCAGUUUUGGUUUCAGGUACUUCCGGUAGCGGAGGGACGAGCUCGGGGUGAUCGCAUGGCACACACCAUAGAAUAGACAGCCUGGGAAUGUUUACUCUGAUAAUGAACAUGUGUUUUGAAAAUUAAUUCUCUGAUUAUGUUUUGGAAUGAUGACUUUGCUUAAAGUAAUGUUUUAUUAAAAGAAAUUUUUGGUCUUUAAUUUUGGGUCGUUACAAGUUGGUAUCAGAGCCUUGGUUUGAGGGAUUCGGACAUGCUCACGGGUGUCUUUGAACUCAAACUGAGGAAUUGGUAUUGAAGUUUUCAAAAUGAAAAGACAGUUUUGUAAAAAGAGAGUUUUGAGAAAGAAAACAGUAAAGAAUUCAGAAAGAAAAGAACUUUGAAAAGAGAAAAGAGGUGUGGUGCAUGCAAUCAACUGAGCUCAAGUAAGUACCCCAAAAUACCCAUACAAGUCUAUGUUUUGAUUAUCAGUUAAUAGAACAGCAUGCUAGAUUAGGACUAAGGAUCUAGGGAUGAUGCCUUAUGUGCCUAUUAUAUGUGCUUUUGAUCUGCAUGAUAGUGCUGAAUAGAUAGUAGUAGGAUAGCUUGUUUAGGUUAUGCCUAAGUUUAUGAAUUUGUGUUGCAUGCUAGUUCAAAUUCUUGCUAUGUGGAUAUGAUUGCUUGAGUAUGUUAUGGUUAGAUUUUCCCUUUUGCAUGAAUGCUGCUUGCUUUGUGCAUUGUGGGAUUCUGAGUGAUGGGAGUUAGCCAUUAGGUGGAUACGCCACGUCACAUGUGAUCAGGGUUGAAUAAUCUCAGAGUGUUGGAUUUGGUCCUAUUGCGCAACUCUUGUUUGAGUCCAACCGUUGUAGGAACGAGUCUUUUACUUGAAGGAUUAUCUAAGACUCGUCACAUGUGAUGGUAUCCAGGUGAUGGCUAGUUGGCAUCACAAGGAAACCUUCAGUAACUGAGGGCUAGUUUGAGUUGAGUCAUAGGUUUCCCUAGUGUAAGCCUAGGAUGAGGAGUAGUAGUAGAAAAGGGACCUGGUGGAGUCGAAGCAGUUCUUGAGGAAAGUAAGGAUAGAUGUGGAAGGUAGUAUGGGCCCGUACUACUGAAAGCAAAGAAUCCGUACUCGAUUCGGGAAAGGUCGAGACAAGACCAGGAACCUGGUAGUGAGUAUGUUUGGUCUCGUAGUAGUGAGGAGUAUUCUGAUAGUGGUUAUGUUAUAUGUUUCAGUAUGGUGACGUUGCGAGAGAGACCAGCGGGCGAAUCAGGCGCCGGAGAGGAAUCAAGCUCGGGUUCAGGGGCCGAGCAGCUCGAGGAGCGGAUGAGAGAGUUGAUAUCAGCUGAGGUUACGCACAAUAUUCUAGCUCAGACUCCUGUGAUCUUUGGCACGGUCAAGGAGGGUAUAUUGGAGAUUUUGGAUGAGAGGCUGGGAGCCUUCCGUACUGAGAUGAUGGCUUUGAUGGGAGCGCGUACCUUGACAUUCGGGAGUUUAGGGCUUGCGGGGCACCAGAUUAUCAUGGGGCUAGGGACCCCAUCGCUAGCAGCAGAUAGUUGGCUGAUGUUGUCAACGCGUUCCGUACGAGCCGGUGUCCUGAGGAGGACAAGGUCAGACUCGCUUCCUGUCUUUUGAAGGACAGAGCGAGGGAUUGGUGGGAAGAGAUUGGUCAUGCUUUGGGUGAUGAUGUCGCGUUGAACGCGAUGACUUGGAGCGAUUUCUCAGCUAGGUUCAGGGUGGAGUUUUCGCCAAUUAUUGAGGUGUAGUAGUUGGCCCGGGAGUUUCAGGAUUUGACGCAGAACACUGAGACUGUGGCGGAGAUCACAACCAAGUUCAGGGAGAGGGCUCUUCUUGUUCCGCAGUAUGUCGCGGAUGAGGAGAUGAAGAAGGCCCGAUAUCACGAGAUGCUGAGGGCUGAUAUCAGGGAGUUCGUGAGCAGGUCUGGCUGUAAGACGCUGGAAGAUAUGAUUUCUCGGGCCAGGGAAAGGGAAAUUGAUUUGGAGCAGAUCCGGAAGAAGAAGUCGGAUGAGGUUCAGGUAGCCGCGAGUUCGGGCAAAAGGCUCAAGGGAUCGGAUUCGAGAUCGAGGGAUUAUCAGGACCGCAGUCGAUGCGGGAAGUGUGGCAGGGCGCACGGGGGCGCGUGCAGGAGUGGUAGUGGUGGUGAGUCUGGCUGCUUCAAGUGCGGUCGGACUGGUCAUUUUAGCGGGGACUGUACUGUUACCACCACUCAGGGAUCAUACUUGAUAUGUUUUCAUUGCAAUCAGUGGGGCCACAAGAAGGCCCAGUGCCCCAGUUUGUUUUCAGUAGGACGGGUGAUGGCACCUGCCCCUGCAACCUUGAGGAUCACAGACGGCCGUUAGGGCCGUGAAGAGGCGCCUGCGAUAGGAGGCAGGGCUUUUCAGAUGGCUACCUUGGAGACGCGAGCAGCACCGGACGUUGCAGGUAUGUGACUUUUGUUUUCAGUUCUUUUAUUUAUGGAUGAUUAUAUUGUUAUGGUUUUGCAUCAUUAUCAGUAGGAGUAUUUUAUUUUUGAGCGGUUUGAUUGUGAUCGAGUUAUAUGUCAUCUGCAUACCUUGGAUAUUUAGAUAGUAGUUAAGGAUUGGGUUCUGUUGGAAAAGAUUACUUAGGGUGCAGUAAUUGUAGUAUGCCUUGGAGGGACUUGGUAUGUCUCGCUAGUUCAGAGCAGUAUAAGUUUUAGAAUCGACAGGUUAGAUCCCUAGCUAUGGUAAGCUUGGGAUUCCUCAGCAGAUUGAUUAUGGAAUGGUAGCAAGGAUUGGGAUUUCUAAUCAUUGAGCUGUGAGGUGUAAGCAGGAUCGAAGUGGGGGAGAAUCCUCCGAGUGUACAAGGGUGAGAGCACACAAAUCCAGAACGAGUACGCGACUUCUGAGAAGGAAAAGAGGUAGUUCAGCGUCUGAUGAUUGAGGAGUUCAGGGAUAGGAGUUUGAGAAACUCCCCCUCAGCCAGUGCGUGUACUGGUGAUGGUUAGUAUGUGGUUGAGAAUUCAGGUUGAAGGAUCGUCUGUAGGACUCGUGUGAGUCGGAACGAAGAUCUUGAGGUCAGAUAGCAUGAGAUGCUUUCGUGCUAGUAGAUCGUGGCAGAGACGGCAGGUAGAGCAUGGAAGAGCGGCGGGAGAGCCUCAGCCUUCUUCAGCAGCAGUCAGUGGUGGAAAGUAUUGUAAGACUACGGGGCAGCAGUAGCAUUCACUAACCGUUAGUGGUGGAAAGUGUUGUAAGACUACGGGGCAGCAGUAGCAUUCACUAACAGUCAGUGGUGGAAAGUGUUGUCAGACUACGGGGCAGCCGUAGCAUUCACUAGUAGAUGGCGAUAGAAGGUGAUGGAAGACUGUGGGGCAGUCGUAGCAUUCCGUAGUAGUUUCGUUGGCGGAGUCCGGGCGAGGCCCUUAUCUCCUAGCAUUCAGAUAGGGGUCAGGAAUGGGUAAUGAAUGAGAAUGGUAAGGAGUUUGACUGUACAGCCCUGGACAGGUAAGGCCUUGGAAGAGGCCGUUCUAGGAUAUAAUUGGGUGAGACCCGUGGGCGAGGCCCAUAUGAGAAUAGCAGUGUAGGUGAGACUUGAGAGUAGGGUGCUUAGUAUUAUGGUUGGGUGAGACCCGUGGGCGAGGCCCGUGAGUUUUAGCAGCACAGGUGGGACCUGGUAGGGAUCUUUGUGUCUAGAUAGGGGAUCGGGGAUCCCAGGAAGUUGAAGUGCCAGCAUGGUGGAAUAGAUUGAGCAGUAUAGGUGGUUGAAGUUUCUUCGUAUGUCGCUGGGAGCGACUAGUGGUUGUGUUGGGUCAGCGAUCGGUGGGACCCGGUAAUCCAGAUAUUGAUAGGUUGGUAGGGACCAGGGUGGUCUCAGUUCAUUUGGAAGCCAGAUGAGGAAUAGCAAAAUUUCCAGUCAGUAACAGUGCGAGUAUGCAGCGUAUGGUAGAAUUCAGUUAGUUGAUCGUGGGGUGCUCGACACCAAAUGAUAGUAGAAAGAAUGCCAAGUGGAUACUGGCGAUGAGGACACGUACUGGGAGUAGCGGGAGUAAUAGAUUUGGUGAAGACAGGAUGUUCAUAGUGGCAGAGGAGAUAGAUGGUUAUAGAACAUUGCCUUAGGAGGUCAAGGAAAUCGUGCAAGGAAAGAAGGGGUGAACCCUAUGAGUUCAGUUGCAGUACUCGGAGAGUACCAGAAGGACUGUCGGGUGAGUAAGUUGUGUUUCCAGAAUGUUCAGGGUCAGGAUGGACCUGAGAUUAUUAUUCACAAGGAUUGGUGUCAGUCUGAAUGACUGAGCGGAAGGCCAGCGAAGUUAGGAAGCUGGUGUUAGACUAAUUCGUGGGGAUUUGGAGGCAGAUCGCAGGCGGUGUAUCAUAGCAAACUUCGAGGACGAAGUUUAGUUUAAGUGGGGGAGAGUUGUAACACCCAAAGUCUGGAAGGACAAGAAAGGAAAGAAAACCCUAAUUUUAAAGGGCGACUCGACGCGUCCAAGGAUGAACUCGGCGAGUCCGAGCGGGAUCCGGGUCGAGGAGUAAGUGACCGACUCGGCGAGUCGGCCAAAGGGACUCGGCGAGUCUGGUCUGUGCGGAGAAAACCCUAAAAUCGGGACUUGGAGCCUAUUUAAGUGCCUGAUUCUCCUCCCUAGGGUUCCUUUACUGCCCCUUUCACCCAGAACAUCAAACCCUAGCCGCCAUAUCAAUUGAUUGAGCCAUUUGUUGCCUUGGAAGGUGCAUAAAAGUUUGGAGAAGGAAGAAGGAACUUGGAGGAGCAAGAAAGGACUAUAGAUCUGGGAUUGUGAGUUCAUUUCUGAGCAUUUGGAGGUAAUAAACUAGUUCUUGGACCCUUUUUGCACCUAGAUCUAUGUGUGGUUGUUGGGACUUUUUAGCCAUAAUGUUAUUCAUUUGAGUUAGAAGCCAGAUCUGAAGUUGCUACUUCAGAUCUAAGCAUUUUAUGGUCUUGGGAAGCAUAAAGUAUCAGCCCUUGAGUUGUUUAUGGAGCCUCUUUUCCUUAAACCCUAGUUUAUGGUGUAUUUUGCCUAGAUCUCCUUCUCUACACUUAAAGUUUGCAAAUUUACGUGAGGAAUAGGCUUGGGAAGGGUAGAUCUACAGUUUGGAGUCCAUGCAUGACUCAAAAGUCCUCUGCAUGUAAGGAGAUCUAAAUGGACUCGGCGAGUCCUUUGAGUGGACUCGGCGAGUAGCAUGAAAAUGAGGAGCAACUCGACGAGUGGGAUGAACAGCUCGUUGAGUCAGAUGAAGAUUGCCUUGUACUCGGUGAGUCUGUUCUUGGACUCGGCGAGUCAGGUUGCGAAACCCCAAACCCUUCGAGUUGAGACUCGAAUCAGUGAGUCGGGUGGAGACUCGGUGUGUUGGACAGGUCAGGACUCAGAAAUCGGUACACUCGGCGAGUCAUGGACUGACUCGGCGAGUCGAAACGCGAAAGGAAGGAUUCUAAAUAUAUGAACUCGGCGAGUCAGUAGGGUAACUCGGCGAGUAGGGUUGACCUGGAAGGUUGACCUUGACUAGGACUUUGACUUAGACCAUGGUUGAGUUGGUUGUCUUUCGGGGGUCAGUUAGACUCAGUGUUGCAUUGAUAUUGGUAGUUCGAGGAGCAAGGGAAGCAGGAGUUCAGUGAGUUGCCGGGCAGCAGCUAGUGAGUUCAUCAACAAGUUCAGCCAGUGCAGGUGAGUUUCCCUUUGUGUGAAUGGGUCUAAGGCCACAAUGUCAACCCAUGUAGUUAUGAGAAGAAAGCCCGGGGGUUAGCCCUAGGCACAGUAUGCUAGCAUGCUAUUCAGGACGAGGUCCAUUAUUAGCGGGCGGGUGCCCAAGGAUUUGUUUAUAUGAUAGUUUAUACUUGUUGUCUGUGUGAUACAUGAAUGUGCCUGGUAGGGAGGUGAGUGUGGGCGAGGUCUCGUAUCUCACCAAUAGCAGAGUGUGGAUGGGGUUCCAUGUCUCAUUAGUAGCAAAACAGGGGCAAGGACCAAGUUAGGGAAGGAGUGAGGGUGGGUUGGGCCCAUAUCUCACUACCAGUAGGUGCGUGGACGGGGUUCCAUAACUCAUCAGUAGCAGGACAGGGGCGAGGCCCAGGACAGGCGAGGCCUUAAGACAGGAUCAGUCGUAUGAGUUUAGCUUAUGUGUUGUGAUAUGUUUAUGUGUUAUUAUUUGUUGGCGGGUGAGGCCCUAUGACAGGCGAGGCCCGAGGCAGGGGCAAGGCCCAAGAUAGCGGGCGUGGCCCAGUAUGUGUAGUAUGUGAUUAUGCAUGGUAUGUGGUAGGGUGGGGAACUCACUAAGCUUUGUGCUUAUGGUUUUUCAGUUUUCGUUUCAGGUACUUCCGGUAGCGGAAGGACGAGCUCGGGGUGAUCGCAUGGCACACACCAUAGAAUAGACAGCCUGGCAAUGUUUACUCUGAUAAUGAACAUGUGUUUUGAAAAUUAAUACUCUGAUUAUGUUUUGGAAUGAUGACUUUGCUUAAAGUAAUGUUUUAUUAAAAGAAAUUUUUGGUCUUGAAUUUUGGGUCGUUACACUAGAGUUGCCUAUCCAUGUUAAUGGAAUUAUAUUUAUAUGGCAAUCCUAUAAAUUCCAUGCCUAGUUGUGUGAGAACCCUUCCUAGGCUUGAGAUACUUGCUAUGAGGGACUGCAAUAAAUUGAAGUUAAUUGAGCAUCCUCCACGUACACUAAGCAGGUUACUCUUUCCUGUUAAUGGGCAUCUUCUAGGAAAAGUCGUAUUUGAUCCAGAGAUGUCCCCACUAGAGUUAUCAAUACCCCUGAUGCUUCCUACAUUUUUGUCAUGUGAAAUUGAAGGCAUUGUGAAAAUCCAACCAAUGGUAUGUGUUGAGGAAAAGGUAUUAUGUAGCUUGGGCUGGAGUUAUUUAGACUUCCUUAACCAAAGGCACUUGGGAACUAAUUAUCGGGAAUCUGAAACCCAGGUUUUUUUAGUUUAUUUUUUUGUCUGUAUGUGAAUAUGUAUAAUAUGCUUCUUAUGUUGAUUAAUUAAGGUGGUUGUAUUUGGCAGAUGACGAUUUAUGAAUUUGGAAUAUUCAGCACAAUGUAUGAGGCGGAGGAGAUGCCGAGUUGGUUUAGGGAUAGAAGCGUGGGGCCAUCAAUAUCAUUUACCAUUCCAUCAUCAUUGUCUCCAAACAAGCUCCUUACAGGACUCAACUUCUGCUUCUCUGCUGACACAUCAAUAUAUCCUGGUGAGCGUUUUCCAGUUUCAUUUGGUCAGUUUUCUUUGUCACCAAUGAUGACAAUUAUUAAUAUAACAAAGAACCGUACGUGGAUAUAUAAACGUUACUUCGACAGAUUUAAUGUAUGUGGAAAGUGUUGGGUGUUGUUAAGUCAUUGGAUGUUUGGGAUGAAUGAGAUGGAGGCUGGUGACCAUGUUACUGGUACUAUUACAUAGCCAGAUGAUGAACUUGUAAAGGAGUGUGGGGUGAUUCUUAUGUACGAUGAUGGAGAGAAGAAGGAUGAAGAAGAAGAUGUGUUGGGAUAUUACAAGUCAUGGAAUCACAUAAUUGGUGGAGACCUCUCUCCUUUUGAAACAACAACCACCGGAGAAUACAUCCUACACAACGAACAAUUUUUUUAUGUAUGGCAUUAGAUUGUUUCCCUAUCAUGGUAAAUUCGUUCCAGACAACCCCGACUUUCAUGGUAGAUGUCAUUUUUAUUAUUGUCAUGUAUAUAUUACAUGAACCAUCACCCAACUUCUUUAAAUAGAUGGAUAAUAACUCCAUUAAAUUUUAAUACAUGGAUCAUAACCUAAUUCUUUUAAACAAAUGGAUCAUAUGACCUAAAUCCACCCAUUUAUUAUUGAUUUUAUUAACCUCUAAAAUAAGAGUUUCUUUUUAUAAAAUAUAGAAAAUAAAACCACUACUUUUAUUUUUGAUGAAUUAACCCAAACAUUGGUCAAUCUAAAUGGAUCAAUGUGUUAUAUCAAUUGAUAAGUCUUUCGAGAUGUUGGAAUUUGGAUCACAUAAAUAUAUCGAGACCAAAUACAGCUACUAUUUUCAAGUGGAUGUGUGUUAAUAAUGAUUAACACGUUACUUUUUUUAUAUGUUUUCAGAAAAAAAGCAACCAUGGUUUAGAGCUUUAUCCCGAAGGAGACCUUAAAUUAUUGGUCACACACAUGAGGUAUACUUUUUGAAACCGAAACCUUACUCUAGUCACAUGUAUAAAAUGCAUAUACAACCAAACAUGUAAUCAUGAAAGUUCUUGAUUGGUCUAUGAUGUAAUAAAAUAAAGGGUGUUAUGACCUUGCAAUGGAUGCUUGAAAAUGGCAACAUCAGAAUGUAGUUGGAGCAUGAAAUUUGUCUAAUGUUCUUUUAAAUAUUUACAUGCACAACUCUAAUCUUUAAUCAUGUGGACCUAUGGAGCCCUAAUGUCUUCAUUUAGGGCUUCAAAUUCAGUGUUUUUUGGUUGUUAUUACUUUUGUUUAUUUUUAUGUCAAAUACAUGAUAUUUAUUAGGCAAUUAUUAUCAAUUAUUUUUAGUUGAUUUCAAAUUUCAAAUUAUUGGCCAUACCUGCGUUAAUAGAACCCUUCUUAUAAGACAUUAGGGUGCCUGUGUGUUUUGACUUAAUGCCCUUAAUAUGGACAACGUUUAACCCUUCCAGAUAUAUAGGUUUUUCUCUUUCUAACUUGAUGCAUAACGGAUAGCUUAAUGGGCAAAGUGUGGGAAGGGAUGAUUUAUGUAUUGAGAUUUGAGUUUUUAUCCCCAGUAUCCUUUACCCAAAAUUUUAACAUAAAAUAAAUAUACCAGCUGAAUUUCCCUCACCUUUUUGUUUUGUACAUUUCUAGAUAUUUUUUAUGGUAUCAAAAUCUAUAUAUUUUUUUAGAACUUUUUCAUAACAUUAAAAUCUAUUUUUUUUUCUUGUAUUAUACGAUAGUUAUAUUUGGUGUGUUAUUAAAUAUUAUGUUUACUUUAAGUUAUUAAUCAUGUUAGUAAUAUUUUUAUUUUAAUUCUUUUAAUAUGAUUAUUUGUGAUUUCUGUUUUAAAUGAAUACUUAUUUGUUAUUUGAGCUUAUUUAUAGGGUUUUAUGCAAAAAAAAGUCCCCAUUAUUUUGAAUUUUUUUUUGAUAAAGUCAUAAUUUUUUUUGAACAGACGAGUCCCGAUUAUUUAACAUUUUACCCAAAUUAACGAAAAAUUCCUUUUUUAUUUUAAAAGGAAAUGACAUAUUAUGUGAUUUCCCAAAAUCAUGAAACUUUUCUGUUAAAAAAAACAUUUAGGAAUUUAUUGAUAAAUUUUCUCAAAAUAAUGGGAUUUUUGUGCGUAAAACCCUUAUUUAUAUACAAAAGGGUAAAUAUAGUCAUUUAUUCAUAUUCAAGAUAGUUUAUUUAGUUCAAAAAAGGAACAGUCUUUAUGUGUAUACAAAUGCUUUAUUAUCCAGACAAACACUAAUACCUAUUCAUCCGCUUUAUCAAUAGAGGACUUGUUGAGGAAAAAAGAAAAUCUCUAAGCGUGUAGAUUCAAGAAAAUGUAUCCUAACAUGUAUAUACUUCCAAGUGAUUAUCUAUUUUCAUAGUAUUUUGUAUUUUGUCUCUGUAUAUUUAUGUUAUGUUUAAAAUGUUCUUACUUUUCUUUUAUUCGUUGGGCAAGGAGGAAUUUUCCAGAAGAAUUUAAUUAGAAGGUUUGGUCAUUGCCAUCUCUAGUAUUGAUUCAUCUUUUCAGUUUUUGUUUAAUAGUUGUAUCUUUAUUUUCAAAAACAGGGGGAAAUCCUUAUGAAUGGUUUUUGAGUUGGUUAAUAUAAGCAUGUAAGGAGUAUUAUAGAAAUGGUCAUGUUGUCUUGAUUACUUAAUAUAUUUGUUAUUUUGGUGAGUUUACAUGAAUUAAUCUCACAGUUGUUGCAAUAUCUCCAAGAAUCCCUAUCUUGAACAACCACCCAACCUCACUGUUUGUUGAGUUGCAUUGAAUUUAUGUUUGAGAGUAUAUAUUUGUGUUUAUGUUUUAUCAUUGGUUCAACUUCCAAGUGUAUAUUUCAUCUGGUAUAUGUUUGAUUGCACAUGAAGGUGCUAAUAUGUACUUGUGUUAAAUCGUGGUAUGGAUAUUAAAUGGUUUCUCAUAUUGAGGACUUUAAUUAGCUUGCUCUUCUGUAGCUAUAAAUUGCAAUGAUUUGACUAUACUCGUUAAACAUUUGAGAAGUUAUAUAUUCACUUGGUGACAUGUUUUGCUACGAUUAGAACUUGGUUAAAAAAGAUAACCGCAACUUGCAUGAAUUUUCUAGAUUAGCUACUAGCUUCCGUUGCAAAAUGAAACACUUCUUGAAUUAUAUGUUAUUUCCCCAAUGAUUCNNNNNNNNNNNNNNNNNNNNNNNNNNNNNUAUAUAUAUAUAUAUAUAUAUAACCCGCGUUAAACGCGGGGAACAUAUAAAAAACAUACAUAUAUCUACAGAUAUUGCAUAAUAAUUAUUAAAAAAAAAUUAUGGUUAUUGGUAUUAUUGAAAUAUGUAGAAGAUACAUUGAAAUCGAUAAAUAUUUAUAAUCGUUGAAAUACCUCUUUGUAUACAACAUUUUUUGUUUUAUUAGUUGAAUGACCUUCUUCAUCACAUAUGGUUAUAAUAUUGUUAUAUAAGCAUAAGUAUUCUAAUUAGACGUUCAUUCCAUAAUAAGAUUACUUAAUUUGAGCUUAUAUUGACAACCAAUAUACCCUUUUUUUCACUGCAUUAAAUAUUGACAACUAUUUCAUUUAUUCAAAUAAAGUCAUAAAGUAUAAUUUAUGGAAUGUUAAAUGUUAUAUGGAUUUAAUUUUAGUAUAUUAUCAAUGGAAAUUCUUUUCUAAAUCAUGAUUGGUUUAUUUUAUAUUGAUUAUGAAUAUAAGUGCUAGCUUUUAUAUUUGUUCUUAUUUAUUUGGUGUUCACAAGAACUAUGCAUUAGUCUUGGCGCAACUUUGAAUAAUUUUAGUAUAUCAUCAAUGUAAUUUAGUAUAUCUUUUAAUUAUAUGAAAUAUCAAAUAUUGACAUUUCAUUACUAUUGUGAUAAUUUAGUUUAUAUAUUGCAUUUUUACUAAUCUUAACGAUCUUAUUUUUUUUCUAAUAACCGUAGAGUUUUUACUAAUUGUACUUACAAAUCUCCUAAUAUAUUAUAAUUUUUAUCUUACUUUAUAAUUUUUCAUAUCUUUAUUAUUUUCAAGAUUUGUUGUCUUAAUAGUUUCUUUUUAGUCUAUUCAAUUUUAUAUUGCAUUGUACAACAUUAUCGUUUCUAUGUAUUCUGAAAUUUUAUUUUAAAAAUGUUUAAUGUAUACAUCUUGAUAUUUUUUAAUAAACUCGUGUAAUAAUUAUGGAAUAUAUAUCUAGUUUGAAUUAGCAUUUACUUCAUUCACUAAAUUAAAUUCCUCAUUAAUCGGAUAUAUUUUGAAAAAUAAUAAUUAUAAUGUGGCAACAUUAUCUAAGACAUAAAUGCUUGGUAUACUUUUAGAGGGAAAAAUCGGGAUCAUUAAAAAGAUUUAUAUAAAGAAAAAGACAAAUUUAAAUUGGAUGAAAUUACUGGCGAAAAUUAUUUUGGAGGGAAUUGUAUUUUGUAAAGUAUAAUACUAUGACAAAAUUCGAAAUAUGUGUAUUGUUCUGUAAUUUUAUAAAUUUUAUUGUUAUUAUAUAAAGAUAAAACAAAAUAGGUUGAUAUGUUAAACAAAAAAAUAAUAAUAAUUUCAAUGUAUGUAACUAAAAAAUAGAAUUUGAAGAUGAAAAUUUAAAAAUUAGAAGUAUGAAGACACGUGAUAAAAAAUAUAUUUGAAAGAGCUCUAACCACAUUUGACCAAUUUGUUAGUGAGAAGUGAUGGGUUUUGGUCAUAAGACAUCCUAUGUGCUCAUACAAACCCUAAUGCUUGGAUCUAGGUUUCUCUAUUGUACAUGCAAGUUAUCUAAGACUACAAACCCUAAUUCUAGUAUACAAGUAAUCAUAUUAACAUAAAAAUAGGUUUAUAAUGUUACCUUGAUUGUUAUGUAGCAAUAACAAUCCCAAAUCUCCUUGAAUUGACUUUGGAAGGCUUAGAGUCACAAGUGUCACUCCUCUAAUGGUUCACAAACACCAUAAGCAAGAGGAUGAAGUGGAGAGAGGUUGGAGGCUGCCCAAAAACGUGUGAAACCCUAGAAAGAUCAUUUGCCACGUUUUUUUAGCCUUAAGGGGUCUUUAUAUAGUUGGGCUAUUAGGGUUAUCUAACAAGGAAACCCUAAAUUGGAUGCUUAAGCCCUAAGCAACCCAUGGAGCCCUUUACUCAAGGCCUUGGACGAUUUCAUAUGGGCUUCACCCAUAGAAUUCGUCCACCUUAUAAUAUAAGGCAAUCCAUGGCCCAAAUUGCAAUUAUCUUAUAAUUACAAUUCCAGUCCCUUAAGUUUAAUUAAUCUCUUUUAGUCACAAAACUAAUUACCAAUUAAUUAUUGACUAAUAUUAAUUAAACAAUAUGAUUUCUCCUUUAAUAUAUUAUUCCCAUAAUAUAUUAAUAAAUCAUAUUUAAUCCUUUCUCUCCAUAAUUCAUCCUAUCAAGUUGCUUUGGUGAAGGCAACCCAAAAGGACCAUGCACCAUCGGGUCAAGUACAUACCAAAAUAGUUAUGGACUUAGACACUAAUCCAACAGUCUCCCACUUGGAUAAGUCUAAUAACUAUUCUGCGUAUGACUUCAGAUCCUGAUCUGCAAUCGUAGCUUUCCAAAGCCGCUGUCAACUCUGAUCCUAUCAGAUACGCGUGUCCUUNNNNNNNNNNNNNNNNNNNNNNNNNNNNNNNNNNNNNNNNNNNNNNNNNNNNNNNNNNNNNNNNNNNNNNNNNNNNNNNNNNNNNNNNNNNNNNNNNNNNNNNNNNNNNNNNNNNNNNNNNNNNNNNNNNNNNNNNNNNNNNNNNNNNNNNNNNNNNNNNNNNNNNNNNNNNNNNNNNNNNNNNNNNNNNNNNNNNNNNNNNNNNNNNNNNNNNNNNNNNNNNNNNNNNNNNNNNNNNNNNNNNNNNNNNNNNNNNNNNNNNNNNNNNNNNNNNNNNNNNNNNNNNNNNNNNNNNNNNNNNNNNNNNNNNNNNNNNNNNNNNNNNNNNNNNNNNNNNNNNNNNNNNNNNNNNNNNNNNNNNNNNNNNNNNNNNNNNNNNNNNNNNNNNNNNNNNNNNNNNNNNNNNNNNNNNNNNNNNNNNNNNNNNNNNNNNNNNNNNNNNNNNNNNNNNNNNNNNNNNNNNNNNNNNNNNNNNNNNNNNNNNNNNNNNNNNNNNNNNNNNNNNNNNNNNNNNNNNNNNNNNNNNNNNNNNNNNNNNNNNNNNNNNNNNNNNNNNNNNNNNNNNNNNNNNNNNNNNNNNNNNNNNNNNNNNNNNNNNNNNNNNNNNNNNNNNNNNNNNNNNNNNNNNNNNNNNNNNNNNNNNNNNNNNNNNNNNNNNNNNNNNNNNNNNNNNNNNNNNNNNNNNNNNNNNNNNNNNNNNNNNNNNNNNNNNNNNNNNNNNNNNNNNNNNNNNNNNNNNNNNNNNNNNNNNNNNNNNNNNNNNNNNNNNNNNNNNNNNNNNNNNNNNNNNNNNNNNNNNNNNNNNNNNNNNNNNNNNNNNNNNNNNNNNNNNNNNNNNNGCUAGAUUCUAACAUUCUAUGCAAUGAUUCUUUCGUAAUGUCACUCACCAAAAUCACAAAGACUAUUGCCAAUGAUAUUACAAAAUCUUCUAUCGGAGAUUGUUACAAGACAAUUCCAUAGACGUGAUGUCUCUCACUCAAAGUACAUUCUUUGAACAUCCUUUUGCAUAGAAGUUUCUAAUCUAGUCAUAGAUUUCUCAAUAUUCAAUUCCCAAUAUGGACACACUUCCAUAUGUUCCAUAUGACAACUCAUUCUUAAUAGAAUCUUAUCUAUUCGUAAUGAUGUCGAUAUGGUCCAUCCAAUAUGGAAACAUUUCCAUAUUUUCCAAUACUAUACUUCCAACUACUCACAAGCGACCAAUCCUCGUCGAACUUUGGAUUGUCCUUUGAUAGUUGUUUAAUUAUUUUAGUCAAAACCAAUUCUAGUCCCUUUUCCCUCUAAAUGCGCUCGACAUUUGGAAAAUUUUAGAAUGGUCAAACAUUAAAGCAUUUGCAAUCGAUCCUAUACCCGAAGCGUAUGGGACACGACGCAUAAUGUUUUAUUUGCUAUGUUCUCAAAAUUCGAAUUGUGAAGAGGGAUGCCGUAAUCAUAAUCGAAAUUUUAAGAACACACUAUGUACCUUUGACUAAAUUUAUUAACAUUUCUCAACCUAAUCCUUUAGAUUUGAAAUGAAGCAUAAUAUUCUCUCCCUUAAUUAUAGCAAAACAACUUUACAACCCUUACGACUUUGCAAGGUAUAACUCUUGUUUUCUAUAAUUAAUAUUGCCAACUUGCAAUACGUGCCUUAAUAAUCAUACAAUCAUAACAUUUAUGCUCCCACUAUCAUGAUGAUUAUUAUAAAACAUAACACUUAUGCUCCCACUAGCUUCGACAUGUAUUCAUAAACAUCUUAACUUUCAGAAAAACAAUACUUAUUGAAUUUCUUAAGUUCAUGUUUCUAAUACUUAGUGCUUUGAUAAUCUUUUAUCAAGGCUUCUUGAACUUAUACACCUUUGCCUUCGAUAGUUCAUAUGUGUGUCUAAACAAUUAAGACUAAUUGCCAAACCUCACAAUUCAAAUUAUGGAAAGGGAUACCGUAACCAUAAUCGAAUUCGAGAAUGCAAUUUUACAAUCACUAUCUUCUUAAAAUCUUUCUUAGUGAAAGCAUUUCCUCACAAUCAUUUUCAUGAAGGAGGAAAUCUUAUGACACUUAGAUUUAAACGGUGUAUGUGUUCCUAUCCAUGUGAAUUUGUUAAAACCAAAGUUUACGACAAAUUCAAACUCAUAUGGACCGAACUUUCUUAAUCUUGAUUUCUUGCCUUAUGGUAGCACAGCUGCCCACCAUGUCUUCCAAGUAGUUAAGCAGCUCACCCUUUCCUAUCAAUGUACCUUUCAUUGAUUAAGGUGCUUUGCCUUUUAUGCGUUCAAAAUGAGAACUCAUAGAACUCACAUGCAUAAUUAACUCGAUUGGAUUGGCACAGAAACAAAAUAAUGUCAACACGAUAGGUUGUAAACCUCAACUCGUGUGCUAGUGAUGAUCGAUAAGGUUUAUUUGAUUUGUUCUUGAAACCUUUCAAGACCAUUAAGACUCCCACUGACUCCUUGACAUAUAAGAUUCUCUUGUCAAUAAACAUUUCUUGACAAACAAAUAUUCAAGAGUUAGUGUAGCUUUUAUCAAAACACUUCAUAAAUUGGUCCUAGUUGGUCUUUGUCUUAUCCAAGACAUCACAACUUUCCACAUUUGAUGAAUGUUAUAAACCUUCUUAAUACUUAUCACUCAAUGUCACAAUCUUAACUCUAAGACUUGUUUUGGAACGAAGUAUGAUUGACUUCUUGAUUUAACCAUUUCUUCAAUUCUUGAUUCCUCUUCUUAGACAUACAAUUGUACUAAGACUCACUUAGAGGAUCAAUUGAGAUAUGGUUCUUAAUCAUUAAGACCUAUCAUAAAGCAUAAAAGGUACUCUCCCUUCUUCUUAGAAUGGAGAAACUUUUAUCUUUCUGCCUACUUGAUUCUUCUUAUUCGUUCUGCUAUUGAUUUAAACUUUUUCAAUCAAUUCAGAAUUACACUUAAUCUUGUAAGUAUAAUCAUAUUUACUAAACCUUUAGUAAAUCAUGACGAAUAUCUUUGUUACUCUUAUGGUGGACUUGAUCAACACGCAACUUUGUGUACUCGAUCUCCUAGUCCUUCACUUGACACUUUGUCAAUGAAUUAGUCUAAUUUCCAAAUAUGAAAUUUCUCAUUCAUCGUGCAACCAAGUUGCAUGAUUCCAAGUUUCUGUCCAAUUGAAACUUGGGCGAUGAGAAACUCUCCCUAUUUGGUAAAUUCUCGACUUUCCAUAAAUAACAUAAUAAGAACCAAAUCCAUUAUUGCUAAUAAUAGAAACAUUCAAACAUCAAUUUUUCAUAUACGCCAUUGCAAGGAUAAAUAAAUAAUAUAAAAUCAAAAUUUAUUUUAUUGCGGAAAAAAUUUGUCCUUACAAUGCAAUUCAUUGAAAAACUAUGCUAAUACAUCUUUCUUAGCAAUCUAAUUCUAACUCUAAGUAGUAGCUCAAGAAUCUAAUCUUCGAGAAAUGCGAUCGAAAUCCAUUCCUUCACGGUUAGAUUCUGCUCACUUCUUCCCUUAAGCUUCCUUUCUUUUCUUCGAUCCUACAAAACAUCAAUUGUAAUCUUAUCACAUUAUGUAUUAAGAAUCUAGAAUAGAAGCUUAAAAGAGUUAGUUAAUGGAUUUUACCUAUAUUAGAGCCAUACGUUUCGACUCUCCCAUCUCUUAGAUCUCUUAGGUAAAUGGGGCAGCUUCGUCUCCAAUGCCCUUUCUCUUGGCAAUAAAAGCAAAUUGACUCUUUUGGAACAUGACAUGGAACUACUUCAGACAUUGCCUUUCUCUUAUGAUCAAACUUUUCGAUCAUAGCAUGUCUUUCGUUGCCAUUGUCUAUAUCCAUAGAGGUCUUGAAGGCAGAUUCACCAAUCAACUUUGCUUUUCUAUUGCGCCAAACCAUUGCUGAUUCAGCAGCAAUAAGCAUAUAGGUGAGAUCUAUAAGGGUCACGUCGCGGUUCAUCAUAUAGUACUCUCUUACGAACUCACUAUAUGAGUUAGGAAGUGACUGAAGAACCCAAUCAACAGCCAUUUCCUCACAGACAACGGAUCCCAACAUUCUUAACCUAUCAAUGUGUGACUUCAUCCCUAGGACGUGUGCACACACCGACUUUCCUUCUUUAUGUUUACUUGCCAAAAGGGCUUGAGUGAUCUUGAACUUUUCAAGCCUUUGAACUUGUGGGUUAGGGAGAAUAAUUGGAGGAGGAGGAGGAAGUGAAGCAUGAUUUCUUGUUCCUCGAUCGAAUCGUGGAAUAUCAUCUUCAUGUGGAAUGCUUGUUCCACGGGAUUUGGGAAGACCAUAGUUGUCGAACUUUGACAUCUACAAAACGGGAGAAAACGAAUUCAAGUUAGUUGAUUGAUUGAGUCCUUAGUAAAUCACCCAAAUGAGAUACUAAGGCUAGGACCCAACACAAUAUUCUACAACUCGGGAGAGGGAUGCCGUAACCCUAAUUGCAGAAUAUUUGAAGGUAAGUGAAUGACGAUUCACUAAUUUCCACCAUGAAAAACGAAAAAGAAAUUUAAGUUUUAAAUCUAUGAAAACUCCUAGAUCCUUUGAGAUUCAUUGAACUUUCAAUGGCAUGUUUAAAUCUCGAUAUGCCCCUCUUGUUUGUGACUGGGAUGCCGAGGAUCACAAAGCGGGUGUGAAUAACCAUGCAAACUUACAUGGUGCCCUCACAUGUUACAGUCACCUAUUCGAUGUGCCGGUAAACCACACACGCUCCACCGAACUAUGACAAACAUUGAGUCACCCUUUGCUACCUUUGCUUAGAACCAUUUAGUGUGCCGGUAAACCACACACGCUCCACUAACGUCUUCGCAAGGGCACAAAGUGUAAUUUCAUGGAAUUGCAUCAAUUCACUUUUGCCUAAGUAACUAAGAUUGGGAAUUUUAUGAAAACAUUUAGUUACUUUAAUAAUUCAUUAUACUUAUAAUGGAAGGUUUCGUCCUAUCCUACCCGUUCGGCUAACGACCCUCCACUAGUCAAGAGUGCGGUGGGUAAGAGUGGAUACCCAUUCAAUCGCCAUUUUAUAGGCAAUUUCCUUAAACACCCCUUAUAGACCAGCUUCGUGAAUGAGGCCUACUAACGGUAAGACUGACUUUUACUCAUACAUAUAUAUAAUGUUAGACUUUUAAUGUUAUAUAUAGUAUAGGGUGUAUUUUACACUUUUAAAAUACUAGGUGGUCAAAUUUAACAAUUAUACUUUUAAUUCAAUUAAAUUGUAAACCAAAACUUUUAUGGAUUUAUUAAACCUCUUUUAAUUAUACACCUUAAUUAAUUAAUAAAACCAUAAGGGUGUGAUUUGAACUUUUUCAAAACUAUACUAGAGUUUUAGAAUUUAACAUUCCUAAUUAAACUUUUAAUCAACUUUUAAAUUCCAAAACUUGAGGGCAAGUUUUGAAACAUUUCAACACAUUAGGGUUUAGAAUUUAAAUAUACAUCAAAAUUAAACCAUUUAAUCAAAAUUUAAAUUCCAAAACUUGAGGGCAAGUUUUGAAACCUUUUUCAAAACAUUAGGGUUUCAACUAUUUAAAUUUCAAAACAACAAAACUUUUGGGUUCAAAUUUAAACUAUAAAACCUAAAGGGCAAAACAUGAAACUUUUCAUAACAACAAGGAUCAAAUAACAAAUAAUCUAAAUUAACAUUUAAUCACAUAAUUAUCCAUAUUUGAUUUAUUUAAUGAUUUCUUGCAAAACAAUUUAUCAAUUUACUCAAAAUAAUUAAUCAAUUAUCACAUAAGGAAACAAUUAUCUUUUUAAUUGAUAAAUAUCUUCAAUUAGAUCAAAAUUAUAGUCAAAUAUAUCAUAUAAUCGGAUUAAUAUUGAUCUAACAUGAUAAGGUAACUAUCUAUAAGCAAAAACAGCAAGAAAACCCGAGAUACCCUCCAUCUGACGAGUUGACUCGUCGAGUCAGCAUGGACUCAGCGAGUUUAGCUAUGGACUCGGCGAGUCCAGCCACCAAAAACCCAAAAAACAAUUUUUUCUAGUUAUACAAUGCAUCAUUACAAUUGAAACCAAGCUAGUCUUAUACCACUGAUGGGUUUUGGUCAUAAGACAUCCUAUGUGCUCAUACAAACCCUAAUGCUUGGAUCUAGGUUUCUCUAUUGUACAUGCUUUGAAUCCAAGACUAUAAACCCUAAUUCUAGCAUAUAAAAAUCAAUAUUAACAUAUNAGAAUAGGUUUAUAAUGUUACCUUGAUUGUUAUGUAGCAAUAACAAUCCCAAAUCUCCUUGAAUUGACUUUGGAAGGCUUAGAGUCACAAGUGUCACUCCUCUAAUGGUUCACAAACACCAUAAGCAAGAGGAUGAAGAGGAGAGAGGUUGGAGGCUGCCCAAAAACGUGUGAAACCCUAGAAAGAUCAUUAGCCACGUUUUUUAGCCUUAAGGGGUCNCCUUAUAAUAUAAGGCAAUCCAUGGCCCAAAUUGCAAUUAUCUUAUAAUUACAAUUCCAGUCCCUUAAGUUUAAUUAAUCUCUUUUAGUCACAAAACUAAUUACCAAUUAAUUAUUGACUAAUAUUAAUUAAACAAUAUGAUUUCUCCUUUAAUAUAUUAUUCCCAUAAUAUAUUAAUAAAUCAUAUUUAAUCCUUUCUCUCCAUAAUUCAUCCUAUCAAGUUGCUUUGGUGAAGGAAACCCAAAAGGACCAUGCACCAUCGGGUCAAGUACAUACCAAAAUAGUUAUGGACUUAGACACUAAUCCAACAAGAAGAUCAUAAAUGGAUCCUUUGAUAAUGAUCAACGAAUUAUUUCUUGUAUGAAUAAAAGUGGAUUCUAUAAUUAGUGGAUUCAUAAUGUUUUAAGUAAUGCUAAAAUAAACAUGUAUAUUGAAGUGUAGAUGAACAUGUCAUUUUCAUGCAAACGACAUGUUUUAUGGUAUCAUGUAGAAAAAUACUUUAGAAAAUAUUUUUUUUUAAACACAUAUACUUAACUUAUAUCCUGAUCAACCAGGUUCAUCAAUCGUUUCUCCCUUGAACUUUCAAUAAUCACUUUCAUGAGAUUAGUCGACACAACUCGACUAAGAAAAUUUGGAACAAAAAAAUAAAUAGUUGUUGUAUUAUAAAUGUGUAAUACAAUAAAUAUUUACGUAUAGAUAAGGUAGAAUGUUAAAAUAAAAUCUUACCAAAUGCAACACAAGUGUCGAUUCCUAGCUGUCAAAUCCUGGAAAGUCAAAAAAUUACAAGGAUCAACCAUAGUUGUCAACAAAAUUAUUUCCAUACUUAAUUUCAAAUGAUGCAUAAAUAGAUUAUAUAUUAUUUCCUAUUAAAUCAACUUAAAAGUGUAAUAUGAUCAUACUAAAAUAUUUUAAAAUCAUACCAAAGUUAACCGGAUUCUUAUUAUAUAAUAAUAAUAAAAAUCAUUAUCACCUCUAAUAUAUAAAAAUAACAUUUUCCUAAUUAGUGUCAAUUUCAAAGAUAGUGAAUUUCUAUUUUGUUAAAGGUGUGUAAUAUCUUUUCCUGUUUAUAUGAAAAGUUUCAGAAAAGUAGUUAACCGAUUUCAUGUAAUUUGUGAUAAAGAAAAUCGAAAUAUAUGAAUACAUAUAUAUAUUUGAUAUAGGAACAAAAAAAUAAUCGAAAAAAAUAUAGAAAGCAAAAGAAGGUACUAACCUUCUACUGCACAACAACGAAACUUUGAAGCAAAAAAUGAUGACGGAAGUUAUAAACAAUAAGAAUGAUGUUGUAGGAGAAGGUUUGAAGAAAAGAAACGAUUGAAAAUAAGUGUGAGUCGCGGAUUCAAUGAUGAAUCGUAUAUGUAUGUGCUAAUUUGAAUCUGAUUUUUUGGUAAUAAUGGUUUCCUAAUAAAAAUGGAUUUUUUAUAUUAAUGGGUUACUAAUAUAAACAUAUUUAUAUUAAUGGUUGAUAUUAAUGUCUUAAUUGAAAUGGUUUGUUACUAAUAUGUUUUUAAAGCUGUCCAUAUUAAAACCUUUAUAAUCAGAAAUUCAGGAUUUAAAAUAUGGAAAGAUUUUAUUGGAAUUAUAUACAUUCCAUUUCAACGGAUGUAAAUUAAUUUUGUUUGACAAUUGAAAAGUUUUAAUUGGAAUUAAAUACAUUCCAUUUGGGAAGAUGAUGUCAGCAAUUUGAUCUAAUGGUAGAAAACAUAGAAUUAAAAUACAAUCAAUGGCCCAGAUUGUUUAAGAUGAUGUCAUAAGGUUUCUCUUUUAAUAAUAUUUAGAGAUUAAAGUUACGAAGAAAAUGAAUAGUAAACUUGCAAUUUUUUUGGCAGAAUUGGUCCUUGUACUAUUUUACUUAUUUUGACACUUUUGGUCCUUGCAAUCAAUAUUUUUACACUUUUUAGGAACCUUUUAAUAUUUAAAGUUUGGCCACAAAACUUUAACGGUUUGACAACUUUGAUCCUUUUUCUAAAAAGUUGCUAAUUCCUACCUCUUUAAUUCUUUAGCCAUUUUGACACUUCUGGUUCUUGCAAUCCAAACUUUUACAUUUUUCACUUUUGUUCCUUGUAAUCAAUAUUUUUACACUUUUUAGGAAUCUUUUAAUAUUUAAAGUUUGGCCACAAAACUUUUACGGUUUGACAACUUUGAUCCUUUUUCUAAAAAGUUGCUAUUUCCUACCCCUUUAAUUCUUUAGCCAUUUUGACACUUCUGGUCCUUACAGUCAAAACUUUUACAUUUUUUCAUGAAAAUGAAAAAAAAAACGGUCUGGAGCAAAGCCCAGGCUUUUCAUUCUUGCACUUUCUACGUUUGUCAUUUUAUCGAUUUGGAAACAAUAUUGAAAUCUUCUGGCCCCCGCGUAGCGGGGGUAACCUUUCUAGUUGUCAUAAAGACCCAAAAAGGUUUUGUGAUUGGUUUUAAAUGGUCCUCAAACUAAUUUUUGUUCCUUCUAUAGGUAUAAACUCAAAAAUGACAUGUUAAUAAACGGAAGGUAACCUCUUGUUCCCUGUUAACAUAUAAAUUCAACCAAACCUUAAAUGACAUGGCAUAUUUUAUGCCACAUCGAUCCCACGUGUGAUGUGUACACCCAUCCUCCAAAACCUCACCUGAAACUAAUAAAACUCUCUUUAGAUUAGCACAACCUUUUUUCAUCUUCUUUAUAGGUGAUUCGGUUCUAACAUAGAUAAUAUAUAUUUUUCUCUCUCACAAAAUCAAAACAAAACUAAUAAAACUCUCUUUAGAUUAGCACAACCUUUUUUCAUCUUCUUUAUAGGUGAUUUGGUUCUAACAUAGAUAAUAUAUAUUUUUCUCUCUCACAAAAUCAAAACAAAAUCCUCCUAAAGAAAUCCAGUUACCGCCAUUUAUGUCUCUGUCCUAGAAACUACAGUGCACCAUCAACCUUUUUGGCGACCAUCUACGGGAAAAGGAAUCGAAGCUUCAUCUUGUUCAUUCACCUUUAAACAUAUCAAUGUUUGUGUGUUUGUUUUAGUUGCAGGUAAGUGUGUGUGUGUGUGUGUGUGUGUUUGUUUUAGUUGUAAAUAUGUGUGUAUUUUAGUUGCAAGUAGAUGAAUAGAUCUUAUUCUAGUGAUCAAUCAGGGAUUAUAAUGGUAAACUUAUUCUGGAAGUUUGAUACAGAAGAGUUCUUUUUUCCACCGUUAUUUCAUAUACAGAGAGGGGGGGUAAAGAGGUGUGUAGUUUGCCAACACCGACCGAUGAUGGGAAAAAGAUUACAGAUGAGUCGUUCUACAAGUGCGUUUCGUUUCAUUUUGGCUAAAUCAUUGUUUUCCAUCUUCAUUCCAGGUUUGAUUUAUAUCAAAAUCUGUUCUCCAGGUUUAAGUUUGUUGAAUCACCAUCGGUCAGUGCCGAUUUCUGCAGCUGCCAAUCCGUAGGUUACGAGCUUCAGCCUCCAAUUUUUUUUGCAACUAACGAUAUACGCCGAUUAGAAUUGUGAGGUGGUUAAGAAAAGUGAGGUUGAAGUCGUCGGGAAUAGAGAAGACAUCAUAGACACGAAUCUAAACUAGUCGACGAGUUGGGUGUCGGCCGAGAGUGGCCUCGGAGAAGCUGAUUGGAACGGUGGAUGUCUGGAUGGAAGAAACGCCACCGCCUGUCCGCUACUAGUGUUAUCGAUCUUCGGUUUGAAGAUGGAGAUGUGUUUUUAGUCGGCGGGGAUGAUGAAAUUUGCAGACCUAAAUGCCAACAUGGAUUAUCUUUUAAUUUUUUAUUUUUAUAAAAUAAAAAUAAAUCCACAUGGACUGUAGGUAACCUGUGAAACCGGAACUAAAUGAAAUAAGUAUAGUUUCUUAUCCAUAUUUAUUUUAAUGGCAUAAAAGACAUAAAAAAGUUUAAUGAUUUUUUAAAACUAAACGAAAACUUCAUUAGUUUUUAUGUCAAUAAUCCUUCUUUUGAACACAAUUAUCAAUGUUGAACACUUUUAGAAAUGUGUGCUAUAUAAUUUCUACCUAUUUCCCCAUGAUUAAAUUGGAAUCUUGGUCUCUACCAUUACGCAUCAUUCAUCAACAAUCUCCAUCUUAUAUGAUUGGGCUCAAAAUCUCAAAACUUUUAUAGGAUAUUUAACUAAGUAAAAUUCGCAUACUUCACCUUAGUAUUGAAGGCUCUGAUUCCAAAUAUGAGAAUUCUCUAACAAUUGUUUUUUGAAUUUUAAACGCACCAUGUUUAGGCCUUCCUUUUUUUCUUCACAUCACGAGACAAAAUAACAGGACAUUAAUCGAUAUUUUUUCUAUCCACCACCUCUAUAUCUAUAUUUUAUUAUUGUUGUUAACAAAAGGAUACCAUUUUCAUUUUCCCAUGCUAUUUUUGCACCAAUAAUAGACUCCCAAAAUUGGUCCAUUUAGGCUGAAAAUAAAUUAGGUACAUCAGGACCUUGAUGAGACCCACACAAUUCUUCACAACUUACCAUGCAUUAGGCAUAAGCUCAUGCACAAGCCCAUCUUGACUUACUCCUCCAAAGGCCCAUAUCUUGAUUACCUUUAAGGCUAUAACCUAUAGCCUUUUUCCAUGUAUUUCCAACACUUAAACAACCUUUUUAGUCAAAUAAUUAUGUAAAUCAUAUAUAGUAUACCCAUAUGAUGGGUUUUGGUCAUAAGACAUCCUAUGUGCUCAUACAAACCCUAAAGCUCGGAUCUAGGUUUCUCUAUUGUACAUACUUUGAAUCCAACACUAUAAACCCUAAUUCUAGCAUAUGGAAAUCAGAAUUCACAUGUAAAUAGGUUUAAGAACAUACCUUGAUUGUUAUGUAGCAAUAACAAUCCAAUUCCUCCUUGAAUUGACCUUGGAAAGCAGAGAGUCACAAGUUUCACUCCUCUAAUGGCUUAUAAACACCAUAAGCAAGUGGAGAAGGUAUAAAGAGAGAGGAGGGAGGUUAGAAUUCGUCUCUAAGACUUCUUGGGAAGGGAUACACGAAUUCAUGACCUUGGGGUUGUUUAUAUAGGUGUAGAGAUAGGGUUUCAGUCAUUAUCCUUAUCUAGUUGAUUAUCCAUUAAGCAACCAAUAAGAUAAUCCUUGAAUCCUUAUCAUACUCGAAUUCUAAGACUUUCCAACCUUAAAUUCGUCCACCAUAUUUAUAAGAUAAUCCUUACCUUAUUUUGUAACUAUCACAUAAUCACAAAUCAGCCCCUCUAGUUUAAUUAAUUACACUUGAUCACAAAAUUAAUUAUUAAUUAAUUAUUGACCAAUAUUAAUUAAACAAAUAUGAUUUCUCCUUUAAUAUAUUAUUCUUAUAACAUAUUAAUAAAUCAUAAUAACCUCUCUCUCUAUUUAUUUCUCCAAUCAAGUUGCUUUGGUGAAGGCAACCCAAAAGGACCAUGCACCAUCGGGUCAAGUACAUACCAAAAUAGUUAUGGACUUAGACACUAAUCCAACAGUCUCCCACUUGGAUAAGUCUAACAACUAUUCUGCGUAUGACUUCGGAUCCCGAUCUGCAAUCGUAGCUUUCCAAAGCCGCUGUCAACUCUGAUCAUAUCAGAUACGCGUGUCCUUAGAUAAGGGAUCAUAUAUUCCUCCAUUCUAGAUAUCAUAUGAGAUAUGAUUUCAAAUCAUUCUCUUUGUACUAUAUCUCGAUUUCCGAUUUAUGACGACUGACUAAUUGAACAAAUCAAAUUAGCCCUAGCCCGGCCGAGCAUUUACGUUUGUCAUCACUAAACCAUCGAGGGGCCCAAAGAUAUCGCUUUUAUCCUACUUUGGAUAAAAGGAACGGAUAAACUUUGAUACAAUGCUUGCUUGCACUCACUCACCGAAUCACACACAACAAUAUGUUUUAUAACACCAAGUUACUAGUGCGUUUACAUAUUAUCAAUGUGCAACCGAUUUGCAAGAUACAACUCACACAUCUCGGUUUCAAGAAUAUAAGAUGUUAUCGUCUCACCAAUCACUCGUGAUACAAUUCAUGGAGUGAUCCAAGUGAGCGUGGGUUUAAUCCAAUGCUCAAAUCACAUUCAUAAGCACUCAUGAACGUUGCAGCAAACAUUUGCUUAUGUCUAAUACUCUUUUAGACAAUCCACACACCAAUUCACGACAGUCUUCAUUCAUAUCUACUUCCAACAUAUGAACGACUGUGGCCCGUUUGAAUAAUUCGAUUAUUCUUAAUAAACUCAAUUAUUCUGGAAGUCAAAACAUGCAAAUGUGAAACACAAGAAUAAUACUAAUCCCAUAUGGCCUCAAACCUUUGAGUAUAAAUAAAACACCUUUUAUUUAUCACCAUAUUGAUUACUCAUUAUUUGUCGUUUCGGGUAAUCAACUUCUUACUUGAAUUCCAACACUUGUCCCAUGCUCCUAGCAUGCACACAAUGUUUACCUAUGGUUCUUACUUUGUGAAAUAGAUCACAUUGAACACAUUUCCAAUCCUUCUCAUUUCACAACUCCAAAUCCGUUUUUCAUAAGUCAAAGAAUAUCAAAUUCUUGCUACUUAUAGAAUAUGCUAGAUUCUAACAUUCUAUGCAACUAUCCUUUCGUAAUGUCACUGCACCAAAGUCACAAAGACUAUUGCCAAUGAUAUUACAAAGUCCUCUAUCGGAGAUUGUUACAAGACAAUUCCAUAGACGUGAUGUCUCUCACUCAAAGUACAUUCUUUGAACAUCCUUUUGCAUAGAAGUUUCUAAUCUAGUCAUAGAUUUCUCAAUAUUCAAUUCCCAAUAUGGACACACUUCCAUAUGUUCCAUAUGACAACUCAUUCUUAAUAGAAUCUUAUCUAUUCGUAAUGAUGUCGAUAUGGUCCAUCCAAUAUGGAAACAUUUCCAUAUUUUCCAAUACUAUACUUCCAACUACUCACAAGCGACCAAUCCUCGUCGAACUUUGGAUUGUCCUUUGAUAGUUGUUUAAUUAUUUUAGUCAAAACCAAUUCUAGUCCCUUUUCCCUCUAAAUGCGCUCGACAUUUGGAAAAUUUUAGAAUGGUCAAACAUUAAAGCAUUUGCAAUCGAUCCUAUACCCGAAGCGUAUGGGACACGACGCAUAAUGUUUUAUUUGCUAUGUUCUCAAAAUUCGAAUUGUGAAGAGGGAUGCCGUAAUCAUAAUCGAAAUUUUAAGAACACACUAUGUACCUUUGACUAAAUUUAUUAACAUUUCUCAACCUAAUCCUUUAGAUUUGAAAUGAAGCAUAAUAUUCUCUCCCUUAAUUAUAGCAAAACAACCUUUCAACUCUUACAACUUUGCAAAGUAUGACUCUUGUUUUCUAUAAUUAAUAUUGCUAACCUUGCAAUACUUUCCUUAAUAAUCAUACAAUCAUAACAUUUAUGCUCCCACUAUCAUGAUGAUUAUUAUAAAACAUAACACUUAUGCUCCCACUAGCUUCGACAUGUAUUCAUAAACAUCUUAACUUUCAGAAAACAAUACUUAUUGAAUUUCUUAAGUUCAUGUUUCUAAUACUUAGUGCUUUGAUAAUCCUUUAUCAAUGCUUCUUGAACUUAUACACCUUUGCCUUCGAUAGUUCAUAUGUGUGUCUAAACAAUUAAGACUAAUUGCCAAACCUCACAAUUCAAAUUAUGGAAAGGGAUGCCGUAACCAUAAUUGAAUUCGAGAAUGCAAUUUUACAAUCACUAUCUUCUUAAAAUCUUUCUUAGUGAAAGCAUUUCCUCACAAUCAUUUUCAUGAAGGAGGAAAUCUUAUGACACUUAGAUUUAAACGGUGUAUUUGUUCCUAUCCAUGUGAAUUUGUCAAAACCAAAGUUUACGACAAAUUCAAACUCAUAUGGACCGAACUUUCUUAAUCUUGAUUUCUUGCCUUAUGGUAGCACAGCUGCCCACCAUGUCUUCCAAGUAGUUAAGCAGCUCACCCUUUCCUAUCAAUGUACCUUUCAUUGAUUAAGGUGCUUUGCCUUUUAUGCGUUCAAAAUGAGAACUCAUAGAACUCACAUGCAUAAUUAACUCGAUUGGAUUGGCACAGAAACAAAAUAAUGUCAACACGAUAGGUUGUAAACCUCAACUCGUGUGCUAGUGAUGAUCGAUAAGGUUUAUUUGAUUUGUUCUUGAAACCUUUCAAGACCAUUAAGACUCCCACUGACUCCUUGACAUAUAAGAUUCUCUUGUCAAAAACCAUUUCUUGACAAACAAAUAUUCAAGAGUUAGUGUAGCUUUUAUCAAAACACUUCAUAAAUUGGUCCUAGUUGGUCUUUGUCUUAUCCAAGACAUCACAACUUUCCACAUUUAAUGAAAGUUACAAACCUUCUUAAUACUUUUCACUCAAUGUCACAAUCUUAACUUUAAGACUUGUUAUUGGAACGAAGUAUGAUUGACUUCUUGAUUUAACCAUUUCUUCAAUUCUUGAUUCCUCUUCUUAGACAUACAAUUGUACUAAGACUCACUUAGAGGAUCAAUUGAGAUAUGGUUCUUAAUCACUAAGACAUAUCAUAAAGCAUAAAAGCUACUCUCCCUUCUUCUUAGAAUGGAGAAACUUUUAUCUUUCUGCCUACUUGAUUCUUCUUAUUCGUUCUGCUAUUGAUCUAAACCCUUUAAUCAAUUCAGAAUUACACUUAAUCUUGUAAGUAUAAUCAUAUUUACUAAACCUUUAGUAAAUCAUGACGAAUAUCUUUGUUACUCUUAUGGUGGACUUGAUCAACACGCAACUUUGUGUAUUCGAUCUCCAAGUCCUUCACUUGACACUUUGUCAAUGAAUUAGUCUAAUUUCCAAAUAUGAAAUUUCUCAUUCAUCAUGCAACCAAGUUGCAUGAUUCCAAAUUUCUGUCCAAUUGAAACUUGGGCGAUGAGAAACUCUCCCUAUUUGGUAAAUUCUCGACUUUUCCAUAAACACCAUAAAUAAGAAUCAUAUCCAUUUGUUGUAGAAAUAUGCAAACACCAAUUUUCAUAACGAUUUCAUUGCAAGGAAAUAAAUAAAUAAAUAAGUCAAAUGAAAAUUUAUUUUAUUUAUAAAAGCAGCGGAAAAAUUUGUCCUUACAAUGCAAAAUCCAUUGAAAACUAUGUACAAAAGAAAAUUUCUAACAACUCUAUCAUAACUUUUUAAGUUCAAAAUCUAAUCUUCAAGUCCAUGCGACCGAGAUCCAUCUCUUGUGAUUAGAUUCAUCAUGCUCUCCUAUCAAGCUUCCUUUCUUUUCACCGACUCUACAAAACACUCAAAUGUAAUCUUAUUACAUCAUGUAUUAAGAAUCAAUGAAUAGGAACUUAAUGGAGUUAGAUAGUGGAUUUUUACCUAAAGCGCAGUCAUACCUUUGACUCUCCCAUCUCUUAGAUCUCUUAGGUAAUUAGGGCAACUUCGUCUCCAAUGCCCCUUCUCUUGGCAAUAAAAGCAAAUUGACUCUUUUGGAACAACACAUGGAACUACUUCAGACAUCGCCUUUCUCUUAUGAUCAAACUUUUCGAUCAUUGCAUGUCUUUCAUUGCCAUUGUCUAUAUCCAUAGAGGUCUUGAAGGCAGAUUCACCAAUCAACUUUGCUUUUCUAUUGCGCCAAACCAUUGCUGAUUCGGCAGCAAUAAGCAUAUAGGUGAGAUCUAUAAGGGUCACGUUGUGGUUCGUCAUAUAGUACUCUCUUACGAACUCACUAUAUGAGUUGGGAAGUGACUGAAGAACCCAAUCAACAGCCAUCUCUUCACUAACAACGGAUCCCAUCAUUCUUAGUCUAUCAAUGCGCGACUUCAUCCCUAGGACGUGUGCACACACCGACUUUCCUUCUUUAUGUUUACUUGCCAAAAGGGCUUGAGUGAUAUUGAACCUUUCAAUUUUACAAUCUUGUGGGUUAGGGAGAAUAAUUGGAGGAGGAGGAGGAAGUGAAGCAUGAUUUCUUGAUCCUCGAUCGAAUCGUGGAAUAUCAUCUUCAUGUGGAAUGCUUGUUCCACGGGAUUUGGGAAGACCAUAGUUGUCGAACUUUGACAUCUACAAAACGGGAGAAAACGAAUUCAAGUUAGUUGAUUGAUUGAGUCCUUAGUAAAUCACCCAAAUGAAAUACUAAGGCUAGGACCCAACACAAUAUUCUACAACUCGGGAGAGGGAUGCCGUAACCCUAAUUGCAGAAUAUUUGAAGGUAAGUGAAUGACGAUUCACUAAUUUCCACCAUGAAAAACGAAAAAGAAAUUUAAGUUUUAAAUCUAUGAAAACUCCUAGAUCCUUUGAGAUUCAUUGAACUUUCAAUGGCAUGUUUAAAUCUCGAUAUGCCCCUCUUGUUUGUGACUGGGAUGCCGAGGAUCACAAAGCGGGUGUGAAUAACCAUGCAAACUUACAUGGUGCCCUCACAUGUUACAGUCACCUAUUCGAUGUGCCGGUAAACCACACACGCUCCACCGAACUAUGACAAACAUUGAGUCACCCUUUGCUACCUUUGCUUAGAACCAUUUAGUGUGCCGGUUAACCACACACGCUCCACUAACGUCUUCGCAAGGGCACAAAGUGUAAUUUCAUGGAAUUGCAUCAAUUCACUUUUGCCUAAGUAACUAAGAUUGGGAAUUUUAUGAAAACAUUUAGUUACUUUUAUACUUCAUUAUACUUAUAAUGGAAGGUUUCGUCCUAUCCUACCCGUUCGGCUAACGACCCUCCACUAGUCAAGAGUGCGGUGGGUAAGAGUGGAUACCCAUUCAAUCGCCAUUUUAUAGGCAAUUUCCUUAAACACCCCUUAUAGACCAGCUUCGUGAAUGAGGCCUACUAACGGUAAGACUGACUUUUACUCAUACAUAUAUAUAAUGUUAGACUUUUAAUGUUAUAUAUAGUAUAGGGUGUAUUUUACACUUUUAAAAUACUAGGUGGUCAAAUUUAACAAUUAUACUUUUAAUUCAAUUAAAUUGUAAACCUAAACUUUUAUGGAUUUAUUAAACCUCUUUUAAUUAUACACCUUAAUUAAUUAAUAAAACCAUAAGGGUGUGAUUUGAACUUUUUCAAAACUAUACUAGAGUUUUAGAAUUUAACAUUCCUAAUUAAACUUUUAAUCAACUUUUAAAUUCCAAAACUUGAGGGCAAGUUUUGAAACAUUUCAACACAUUAGGGUUUAGAAUUUAAAUAUACAUCAAAAUUAAACCAUUUAAUCAAAAUUUAAAUUCCAAAACUUGAGGGCAAGUUUUGAAACCUUUUUCAAAACAUUAGGGUUUCAACUAUUUAAAUUUCAAAACAACAAAACUUUUGGGUUCAAAUUUAAACUAUAAAACCUAAAGGGGAAAAUAUGAAACUUUUCAUAACAACAAGGAUCAAAUAACAAAUAAUCUAAAUUAACAUUUAAUCACAUAAUUAUCCAUAUUUGAUUUAUUUAAUGAUUUCUUGCAAAACAAUUUAUCAAUUUAGUCAAAAUAAUUAAUCAAUUAUCACAUAAGGAAACAAUUAUCUUAUUAAUUGAUAAAUAUCUUCAAUUAGAUCAAAAAUAUAGUCAAAUAUAUCAUAAAAUCGGAUUUAUAUUGAUCUAAUAUGAUAAGGUAACUAUCCCAAAGCAAAAACAGCAAGAAAUCCCGAGAUAUACUCCAUCUGACGAGUUGACUCGUCGAGUCAAGCUUGGACUCGUCGAGUCUGCAUGGACUCGGCGAGUUCAGCUAUGGACUCGGCGAGUCCAGCCUCCAGAAACCAAAAAAUCGAAUUUUUCAAACAUAUCAAGCAUCAAUACAAUAGAAACCAGUCUAGGCUCUGAUACCACUGAUGGGUUUUGGUCAUAAGACAUCCUAUGUGCUCAUACAAACCCUAAAGCUCGGAUCUAGGUUUCUCUAUUGUACAUACUUUGAAUCCAAGACUUUGAACCCUAAUUCUAGCAUAUGGAAAUCAGAAUUCACAUGUAAAUAGGUUUAAGAACAUACCUUGAUUGUUAUGUAGCAAUAACAAUCCAAUUCCUCCUUGAAUUGACCUUGGAAAGCAGAGAGUCACAAGUGUCACUCCUCUAAUGGCUUACAAACACCAUAAGCAAGUGGAGAAGGUAUAAAGAGAGAGGAGGGAGGUUAGAAUUCGUCUCUAAGACUUCUUGGGAAGGGAUACACGAAUUCAUGACCUUGGGGUUGUUUAUAUAGGUGUAGAGAUAGGGUUUCAGUCAUUAUCCUUAUCUAGUUGAUUAUCCAUUAAGCAACCAAUAAGAUAAUCCUUGAAUCCUUAUCAUACUCGAAUUCUAAGGCUUUCCAACCUUAAAUUCGUCCACCAUAUUUAUAAGAUAAUCCUUACCUUAUUUUGUAACUAUCACAUAAUUACAAAUCAGCCUCUCUAGUUUAAUUAAUUACACUUGAUCACAAAAUUAAUUAUUAAUUAAUUAUUUACCAAUAUUUAUUAAGCAAAUAUGAUUUCUCCUUUAAUAUAUUAUUCUUAUAACAUAUUAAUAAAUCAUAUUAUCCUCUCUCUCUUUAUUUAUUUCUCCAAUCAAGUUGCUUUGGUGAAGGCAACCCAAAAGGACCAUGCACCAUCGGGUCAAGUACAUACCAAAAUAGUUAUGGACUUAGACACUAAUCCAACACCAUACGCACACACUCUUUCUUCCAUCAGGUCCAUCUCAUUACCAACAUCUUGGUCACCACCAAAAUUAUCCGAUUGGCUCUAACUAUCGUUGGCAGUAGUAAUCUUGUUUCCAAUAAUUCCAUUGCGAGAUAGAAUGAGCAGAGACUUUAAUUUCCUAUCAUUUGAUACAUGCCACUUUAUAUAAUAGGAGAAAAAACAACAUUCCUUUACCUAAAUUUUCAAAACAAUCUCAUUCACUUCUAUCUCUUUAUGUUACUGAUUAUUUUUCCAUGAAACGUAACUUGCAUNAUAUAUAUAUAAAAUAUAAAGGUAAAAAGGGUAUACAUAAGUGGGCUAGGAUACAAAAAACAAAGGUAAAAGGGCUAUACAUGUGUGGGCUAGGAUACAAUAGGCCACACAUAUUAAAAUGAAACUAAACUAAAUAUAAUAUAUAAUACAACAUAAAUAUACAUCUAACAUCCUCCCGCAGUCGGAAUAGGAGAUCUGGAACAGAUGCUCAGUCUAGAUUUGAAAUCAAGAAAUAAAGAAUAUGGAAGCCGUUUAGUGAAGAUAUCAACAUACUGGGACGAAGGUGGAAUGUGAAGAACACGAAUCUUACCCAUGGCCACCUUGUCACGCACAAAACGAAUAUCAAUCUCUAUAUGUUUGGUGCGUUGAUGCUGAACAGGAUUGGUGGACAUAUAGAUUGCACUUACGUUAAUACAAUAUACAAGAGUAGCGGAACGUGGUGGGUAAAGCAGUUCACGAAGUAUGUUGCAAAGCCAACAUGUCUCAAUAACAACAUUGGCAACUCCCAUGUACUAAAGCUUUAGAACUGGAUCGUGAUAUUGUACCUUGUCUUUUGGAAGACUAAGAGAGAAGGUUGUUGCCAAGGAAGACACAAUAACCAGAAGUGGAUCGUCACAAAAAGGGGGCAGUCUACCCAAUCGGUGUCAAAGUAAGCUAUGGUCAACAGUAAGAUAGCAGUCCCUAUGAGGGGGAGACAUAACGGUAAACAAGAAUAGAUUGAGGGUGAAAAUACUUUGUUGAUUGUCUACUUUACGAGGAAGCGGUACAAGACUAUAAAUAGAGGUAGGAUCCCUAGACAAAGGAAAACCUACGGCCCAUAGGCUAACUAGGCCAAAACCAAUAUAUGUAAUAUUUACAUUCUAAAAUUUACAUUCUAAUAAUAACAAUGUAAGCAAUGAUCAAGAGUGUCAUAAAUGUAUCUGAGAAUGUGCUUGAGAGCUAUAAAGUGGGGCUCUGGUGGAUCGUUCAUGUAUAGGCAAACCUGUUAGACGUUGUAAGUAAUGUCACGUCUAGUAAUGUUGGACGUCGUAAGUAAUGUCAUGUCUAGUAAAAUCAGAUACUAUAAUGAUCCAGUAAGACUCCUAUAGAGAGUAGGAUCAGUAACGGGUGGACCGGAACCAUCAAACUUAGCAGACGUGUCUGCUAGUGUGUGAGCUAGUUUGCAACUAAGCAUAUGUGAUCUCUCAAGUAUCUCACAACAUACUUUGGUUGUGAAAGGAACAUGGCAUGUCUAUCUCUAGUAACAGAGAUGCCAAGGAAAUAUUGAAAGGGCCUAGAUCGAUCAUAGCAAAUUCUGAACAUAACAAGUUAAUAACAUGCUAAAGAAGAAUUGUAUAUGAGGCAGUCAAUACAAUGUCAUCAACACAAAUCAUCGACUCGCACCCGAGUCAAAUAACACUAAGGCAGGUAUAGAAUUCACAAGAAAAGUACCUACGCAUAUCAUCAUAUAAGCACAAUAUCUCAACUCAGCAUGACAUAAAUAUGAAUACAUACCAGCCACUACAUCAGGCGCUGCGCGGACCUCCUCCGAUGUCAAUUGGAAAUCUCUCUCGCGAGCCUUAGUGCCUCGUCCUUCACUGGCCGAACCUCAGUAACCUUAGCAGCAGGUGCAAACCCCUGUGUUGAUCCCUGAUGUAACUGCGGGCACUCGACCUUCCGAUGGCCAGUCUGGUUGCAAUGAAAGCAAACCAUAAAUCCCUGGGGGCAAUCCUUGACGAUAUGCCCCUCCUUGACACAUUUGUAGCAAGCACUUGAUCGACAGACCCCAUCAUGUCCCUUGCCACACUUUCUGCGAGUGCGGCCCUUCUGGCCUCCAGAUCUCGUAUCAGCGGACUUAGCCCGCUUGGCUGUCGGCUGAUACUAUGCCGGCCGCCGAUCCAUCCUCUGAGACUCGGCCUCCUCCCUGGCCUAAGUCUCCAACUCAAUCUCCCUCUUCUAGUCAUUUGACUGGAGCUCAGCAAAUUUCCGGUAAGUCAAGUUCGACACGAACUCCCGAAUGUUUCUCCUCAAAACGCCCAAAUACCGGCUCAUCCAUGCCUUUUCAGAAGACACCUGCUCAGGGCAGAACAUCGCCCUCUCAUGGAACUUCCUGGUAACCACAGUAACAGAAUCAGUACCCUUCUUAAGGGUCAAAAACUCCUAAACCAACCAUUCCCUCUCCACCGGUUGAACAUACUCAUCUCUGAACAUCAUGGUGAACCUCUCCCAUGUCACCUCUGAAAUCUCUACAACAGUGAAGCUCGCCGUCACGAACUUCCACCAGUCCUUCGCUCCCAAGCGAAGCUGGUUCAGCACGAACCGAACCCUCAGAUGCUCCAGACAUGAACACGUGUAGAAGCAUCCCUCAAUAUUAGCAAUGCAUCUCAUCACAGCGAUCGGGUCCUGCGUCCCAUCAAACUCGGGUGGCUUCGUGUUGCUGAACUCCCGAAACAACAACGAGUCACCUCCCUGNNNNNNNNNNNNNNNNNNNNNNNNNNNNNNNNNCAGCGACAGCUGCGGUGGUUAUAGCAGCAGCAGCUUCAGUCACCGCGGUGUACCGCUCAUCGAAAGUCUCAAUCAGUGUGGUCUUGAUAGACCCAAACAUCUCCGAAAUCUCAACUCGGAUCGCUGCUGCCACCACAUCGUGGAUCAGCUGAUGAAGCUCCUCGUCACUCACACCGUUCGCCCCAGGUCUGUGGUGUGUUCCAACCAUGAUGUCUCUAAAAUACAACAUAAUAAUAUCAGAGACUCGCUCGAGCAUACUUGCACUCGAUAACUCGACCCUACGUGUUCCUUAGUACCCAAAGGAUUCUUACUUAGAGUGCGCACUGCUCCGAUGUCUUCAGUAGUAUGGGCCCUUAUACUACCAUCUACACCGCAUCAUUAUUCACCCUAAGUCCUCCUCCUUGGAUCCCAGAUCACAAGUACUCUAUAUCUCACUGGCAUAGGCUACCCUUCGGUAAACCUCUUAUCAACUCCUCACUAUUACCUACUCGCUCUCAAGCAUCACACAGCAGCAAAAUCCUUCCUAGGCUAAGGCAUCACAAAAUCAGGGCACUCUAGUCCUAAUAUAAAUACCUAGCCAAUUCUAGCAUGCAUAUCAUAUCAUAACAUUUCUCAUAACACAUAAUGUAAGGGUAUUUUGGGAAAUCACCGUUCAGGCGCUGGCUGAUCGUACACACUGCUUCCUUCUGCUUUUCUCAAAAUCUUUUACUCCCUUAGAAAAAUUGUUUAUUUUGUGAAAAACUUUCUCAAUUCCUCAUUUUGAGUUCAUAUUCAUCCGAAGAUGCACCCGAAUCCCUCAAACCAAGGCUCUGAUACCAACUUGUAACGUCGUAAAUUCUCAAAACAAUUUUUUCAUUAUUAAAACAUACUUUCAAUCAUCAAAAACAAUAUCAAAACAUAAUGUAUCCAAUGUUAUCAUAACAAAACAAUUCCCAGAAUCUCAAAAAUAAUCUCUAUGAGUGUGUACGGAUCAUGCCGACGCCUUCCCGCAUUCCUCGCUAGUACCUGAAACACAUACCAUAACAACUGUAAGCAUAAAUACCUAGUGAGUUCCCCAAAAUACCACAUACCAUACAUACGCCUGUCCAGGCCAUAACUCUAUAGGAUCUUCUGAUCCAUGUGUCUUAGGGGACUUCCAUCCCAAAUCCCGGUAGACCUUCCAGUCCGUACACUCUUGACCUUCCGGUCCGUAUCAUCUUGACCUUCCGUUCCUUACCAUAUGUAACAUACAUAGCACAUACAUAAAUAUCAUCUUGACCUUCCGGUCCUUAUCAUACAUAACAUAUAUAGCACAUACAUAUCACAUAACCGCAUAUAUCACAUACAUCAUAGCAUUCAAGACCUUCCGGUCACACAUAGGUACCCUUCUAGGUACAGUAUAGUGAGAAGACUCACCUCAAUGAAGUCGGAUAAACUCUCGUGCUCAACGUCCCGACUUAGCCUCCUCCUAUUUUUCAAAUAACAUUCCCGAUCAAUACACUCUCAUGAUCUCUUCUCUACAGACUGGGUAGAAGGCCAUUCUACCCUUCCUUGAACUCUCCUGAAUUAGUCUUGACCAGAAUCCUAAAGUCAACGAAAUUCGACGGUCAACUUUGACCUGACUCGUCGAGUGCACAUGGGCGACUCGGCGAGUCCAUGCGGGUCCUCUGAAUCCUUUCAGCCUCGCAUGGCUCGNCGAGUCAUCCUUCCACUCGACGAGUUACACCUGUCACGAAUCACGGGUCAACCCCGACUCGACUCGUCGAGUCCACUUAUGGAUUCGGCGAGUUGCUCCCAUAACAACUCUCAAAUUACCUUCUGAGGUCAGAUCUGCUUUACCAAACUAUAGAUCUGGCCUUCCAGUGCUUAAAGGUCACGUAAAGGUGCAACCUUUACGUGCUCGCAACCCAUAACAAGCCAUAAAUGGAGAAAUAACUCUAAAAAUGGCAACCUAGUCUCUAAUCCUCUAAGAACAAGCAUAAAGCAUAAUGGGAAAGGUUCUCUGGACCUCUAUGGGUCCAGAUCUGAGGUCUAACCCAGCAAAGGACCAUAUACUGAACCUUUCAAGCCUUAAAAGGUUUGUAGAAAACCCUAGAUCAUAGAUUUUAACCCAAAACAAAAGGGAAGUUCGAUUUGAUACCUCAAUAGUGUAGAUCUAAACUAGACAACCUUAGAUCUGCAGCCCCCUUGACCUCCUCUUGAUGGAACCACCUUUCUUUUGCUAAAACACUCAAGAAAUGGUGAGUUAGCCUCCCUCAAGCACCACAAACACACACACUCUCUCUCUCUAGGGUUCUCAAGGGUGAAAUGGACGCAAGCCCGCUAUGGAGGCUAUAAAGGCCUUUAAAUAAGCCGCAAGCCCUGAGAAUUAGGGUUUUCUCUUAAUAGCGCGUACUCGCCGAGUCCAUCCAUCGAAUCGCCGAGUCCUUCAUUAAAUCAGACCAGAAAUGUGUGAUCCCACUCGGCGAGUCUAAGCGCCUACUCACCGAGUUCCUCUCUAAAUUUCAAUAUGAAUACUCAAAAUACGAUACCUGGAAAUCCGGAUGUUACAAGCGUGGUCAAACAUUACUCGAAAUGGGAAGAUUUCACGAGAAACAACAAAGUGGACCGAAACCACCUUCGGUCCGGAUUCACUUUCGGCCUAAGACCCCUUUCGGCCCAGGCUACUACGUUUUGAGCCUACUUUCGGUUGUGAACCUAAUUUCAGUCCAAGGCCAUGUUUGGUUUAUUCCCCUAUGGCACAAACUGCUCUCGGUUAUGACUACCUUCGGGUCCUUACUACUCAUAGUUCAAUCCAGUUUCAGUCAAAGUCUCAUGAACUAAGACCCCACACCACAUUUCCCCUCCACCUCACAAUUCAAAAACCAAGGUAGAAAACCCAAAAAGUGACCCUCUUGGUCCGGAGCCCUCUGAGUCCGGAACGUGACCCUCAAAAUGAACCGGACAAUUCCGUAUACACCCUCCUUCUUUUGGAACCUCCUCAUCCGGAACCAACUCGCCUCGAAAGGAUCCGUACCAGAUGAGCUUCACGGUCUUGGAAGACCAAGGCCACUACGGAAGUUUAUAAUCCCGCACCUCCACUCCGGAACCAUGGAUGAACUCCGGACGGACGUUCCUGACUCCGGAAGGACGUUCCUAACUCCGUACACUCUAUCUCAUUUACCAACUUUGUAGAGAAGAACCCGUUCUUAUAAUAUCUAGGACUCAUUAUUAAAUCAUGGUCUGGGGAAAUCCUUAUUAUAAGAAAUAUCUAUUAUACAAGAUACUCUCUAAGAAUUGGUUGACUUUUUCCAAAAAGUUAUGACACCAACCCACUCCCCAUACACACUUUAUGACAACUUUAUGGCACUAUUCUCAUAGUACCUACUCAAAUCGAUAUCUUUUCUCCAACACUCCACCAGAUUUUCCUAUUCUAAAUCCACUAAUUGGAUUCUCAACCUCCAUCUAUAAAACCUCAAUUCCAUCUUUCAAAGACAAGCUUUACUUCCUCUUUCACUAUUCUUCAAUCUGGAACACGAGAAUUCCCUAGGAAGCAUCUGCCCUCAUUUCACCCUUGGUAAGCUCUUUACCUUCACUCUUUAAUAUUGCACAAUCCCUCACACAUAUUAUGGUUUUCUUAUGCAAUAUCGUCAUAAUUACUCUUAGGAUCUCCAAAUCCUUAAGCUUUCUCCAAGUGUUCUCGACUUGGAAACCUUUUUCCUUCGACAUCCAUUUCUAGGAAUCACUCAAGGUGAAUUCAUACCCCUGCAUUUUCAUUUUUUCUUCAAGUGUUAGGGGGGGGAUACAAGUUAUAACAUCAAAAACUUAACUAAACUCAAACAUUAGCUUUCCAUAGGAAAGUUGUAACAUCCCGAAAUAUCAAGAGUAGAGUUGAAGGGCUAAAAGAGUAAGUUGUGGAAGAGUGACUCGGCGAGUCCAUGGAUGGACUCGGCGAGUAGAGUCGCGACUGGGUCGCGUGUUAAGUAGCCGACUCGGCAAGUCAGUAAGGAGGACUCGGCGAGUAGGCGUUGGCUAGAGAAAACCCUAAUUCUCGGGGUUGAGCCCUAUAUAAAGAACAUAACAGCCCACUCUCAGCCUCUUUGUUCAUCUCCAAGUCCUAAAACCCUUAGCCUUCGUGUGUGAGUGAUCCUAUCUCAAUCGGGAGCUUGAAGGAGAUGAUUAUUGAAGGAAUUUUGGGAGAUUGAAGGCUUGGAGCAAGGGGCUUUGCUUGGAUUUGAAUUUCAUUUCAGUUAGGGCGUCCAUUGGAGGUAAUAUCUUGUUCUUGGUCUGAUUGUAUGUUGUUUAUUCAUUUUGGGGUUGUGGGAACUUGUCUAUGGAUGUAAUUGGAAGUCUAGAGGUUAGAUCUGAGGUUGCUACCUCAGAUCUGGAAUGGAGAAGAAUCAGAGAGCAUGAAAGUCCCUGUGUUGGAGUGUUUAGUGAAGCUUACAUGUCCCAAACCCUAAACCAAUGUGCAAAAGGCCUAGAUCUCUUUGGAUUCACGUAAAGUCUGCCACUUUACGUGAUGGAUGAGUUGUAGGAGGCUAGAUCUAUGUUUUGGAUCAAUUGCAUGGUCUGGAAUGCUUCUGUAUGGAUUCAGAUCGGUGGUACUCGGCGAGUCACAUGGGUGAACUCGACGAGUUGUUUGAAGAUGAGCUGGGACUCGGCGAGUUGGAAGAACAACUCGGCGAGUCGGAUGAAGAUGGCCUUGGACUCGGCGAGUUGUAUGAACAACUCGGCGAGUAGGUUGAAGAUAGCCAUAGACUCGGCGAGUCUGUUCUUGGACUCGGCGAGUCUUGUCGAAGAGUUCCGAUAUUCUCUGGUUGAGUCGAGAAUCGGUGAGUCAAGGGAUGACUCGGUGAGUUGUGUGCGAGAGGACUCAGAAGUUGUGGGACUCGGCGAGUCUCGGGGUGACUCGGCGAGUUAGGUCGCGGAUUGAGUGANNNNNNNNNNNNNNNNNNNNNNNNNNNNNNNNNNNNNNNNNNNNNNNNNNNNNNNNNNNNNNNNNNNNNNNNNNNNNNNNNNNNNNNNNNNNNNNNNNNNNNNNNNNNNNNNNNNNNNNNNNNNNNNNNNNNNNNNNNNNNNNNNNNNNNNNNNNNNNNNNNNNNNNNNNNNNNNNNNNNNNNNNNNNNNNNNNNNNNNNNNNNNNNNNNNNNNNNNNNNNNNNNNNNNNNNNNNNNNNNNNNNNNNNNNNNNNNNNNNNNNNNNNNNNNNNNNNNNNNNNNNNNNNNNNNNNNNNNNNNNNNNNNNNNNNNNNNNNNNNNNNNNNNNNNNNNNNNNNNNNNNNNNNNNNNNNNNNNNNNNNNNNNNNNNNNNNNNNNNNNNNNNNNNNNNNNNNNNNNNNNNNNNNNNNNNNNNNNNNNNNNNNNNNNNNNNNNNNNNNNNNNNNNNNNNNNNNNNNNNNNNNNNNNNNNNNNNNNNNNNNNNNNNNNNNNNNNNNNNNNNNNNNNNNNNNNNNNNNNNNNNNNNNNNNNNNNNNNNNNNNNNNNNNNNNNNNNNNNNNNNNNNNNNNNNNNNNNNNNNNNNNNNNNNNNNNNNNNNNNNNNNNNNNNNNNNNNNNNNNNNNNNNNNNNNNNNNNNNNNNNNNNNNNNNNNNNNNNNNNNNNNNNNNNNNNNNNNNNNNNNNNNNNNNNNNNNNNNNNNNNNNNNNNNNNNNNNNNNNNNNNNNNNNNNNNNNNNNNNNNNNNNNNNNNNNNNNNNNNNNNNNNNNNNNNNNNNNNNNNNNNNNNNNNNNNNNNNNNNNNNNNNNNNNNNNNNNNNNNNNNNNNNNNNNNNNNNNNNNNNNNNNNNNNNNNNNNNNNNNNNNNNNNNNNNNNNNNNNNNNNNNNNNNNNNNNNNNNNNNNNNNNNNNNNNNNNNNNNNNNNNNNNNNNNNNNNNNNNNNNNNNNNNNNNNNNNNNNNNNNNNNNNNNNNNNNNNNNNNNNNNNNNNNNNNNNNNNNNNNNNNNNNNNNNNNNNNNNNNNNNNNNNNNNNNNNNNNNNNNNNNNNNNNNNNNNNNNNNNNNNNNNNNNNNNNNNNNNNNNNNNNNNNNNNNNNNNNNNNNNNNNNNNNNNNNNNNNNNNNNNNNNNNNNNNNNNNNNNNNNNNNNNNNNNNNNNNNNNNNNNNNNNNNNNNNNNNNNNNNNNNNNNNNNNNNNNNNNNNNNNNNNNNNNNNNNNNNNNNNNNNNNNNNNNNNNNNNNNNNNNNNNNNNNNNNNNNNNNNNNNNNNNNNNNNNNNNNNNNNNNNNNNNNNNNNNNNNNNNNNNNNNNNNNNNNNNNNNNNNNNNNNNNNNNNNNNNNNNNNNNNNNNNNNNNNNNNNNNNNNNNNNNNNNNNNNNNNNNNNNNNNNNNNNNNNNNNNNNNNNNNNNNNNNNNNNNNNNNNNNNNNNNNNNNNNNNNNNNNNNNNNNNNNNNNNNNNNNNNNNNNNNNNNNNNNNNNNNNNNNNNNNNNNNNNNNNNNNNNNNNNNNNNNNNNNNNNNNNNNNNNNNNNNNNNNNNNNNNNNNNNNNNNNNNNNNNNNNNNNNNNNNNNNNNNNNNNNNNNNNNNNNNNNNNNNNNNNNNNNNNNNNNNNNNNNNNNNNNNNNNNNNNNNNNNNNNNNNNNNNNNNNNNNNNNNNNNNNNNNNNNNNNNNNNNNNNNNNNNNNNNNNNNNNNNNNNNNNNNNNNNNNNNNNNNNNNNNNNNNNNNNNNNNNNNNNNNNNNNNNNNNNNNNNNNNNNNNNNNNNNNNNNNNNNNNNNNNNNNNNNNNNNNNNNNNNNNNNNNNNNNNNNNNNNNNNNNNNNNNNNNNNNNNNNNNNNNNNNNNNNNNNNNNNNNNNNNNNNNNNNNNNNNNNNNNNNNNNNNNNNNNNNNNNNNNNNNNNNNNNNNNNNNNNNNNNNNNNNNNNNNNNNNNNNNNNNNNNNNNNNNNNNNNNNNNNNNNNNNNNNNNNNNNNNNNNNNNNNNNNNNNNNNNNNNNNNNNNNNNNNNNNNNNNNNNNNNNNNNNNNNNNNNNNNNNNNNNNNNNNNNNNNNNNNNNNNNNNNNNNNNNNNNNNNNNNNNNNNNNNNNNNNNNNNNNNNNNNNNNNNNNNNNNNNNCGGCUGCCGCGGCGGCUACAGUGGCUGUAGCAACGGCAAGGGGAGGAGCUGAUAGAGAUUUUCAGUAUCGGGACUUCGAUAAUGCGGAGCCUCCCGCCUUCGAUGGAUUUCAGGACCCGAUUGUUGCUAUGAGAUGGUUAUCGGACGGGGAGGGGUGUUUCUUCACGUGUUCAUGCCCUGCUGAUCUGAGGGUGAGGUAUGCUCUGAGCCUGUUGAGACUCGGGGUGAAGGAUUGGUGGAGAUUGACCACGGGGUCAUACUCGGAUGCGCAGAGGGCUGCGGUUUCAUGGGAUCAGUUCAGAGAGAUGUUCAGCACUCGAUAUGUUCCGCAAGUUGCGAGGGAGAGAUUGUCUUAGGAGUUCCUUGAGUUGAAGCAGGAUUCGGAGUCGGUGACUGAGAUCGCCAGGAUGUUCUUUGUGAGGGAGAUGUUUUGCCCUGAGUUCGCUUCGGAGCAGGCUCAGAUGUCCCGAUAUCUGAGUAUGUUCAGGGGGGAUAUCAGACAGUUCAUGUCUGCGCAGAGGUGUGAAACUUUGUUGGAGUUGUAGGAGGCCGCCAGGCGGCGUGAGUUAGAGGUUGAGUUGCAGUUGCGUGAGCUGAGGCAGGCUCCGAUGUAGUCGCAGCCGGUGCUGAAACGGUCCAGGACCGUUGAUGUUAGAAUGGGGAAUCUGAGUGGCCACACUUGUGGGAAGUGUGGGAGGGGUCAUACCAGAGUUUGUUGGUCCGGUGGUGCAUGCCGCAAGUGCGGAAAGGAGGAGCACUAUGCGCGGGUUUGUCGGCAGUCAGUGCCGGUUCGGGAUUUGAGGAUUUGUUAUCAUUGUUGUCAGGUUGGACAUUUGAGGGUCAACUGUCCACAGCUUUCUGCAGGACCGGUGCAGGCUCCAGCACCGACCACUUUGAGGAUUCCAGGAGGAGGUCAAGAUGGAGCGGAGCCCCCAAGGGCUCAGGGUCGUGCUUAUCAGCUUGCGGCNGAUCAGUGCCGGAGGCAGCUGCGGGUAUGUUUCUUUCUUGAUGUUUUGUUAUCUUGCGAUUAUGGUGGUGUAUUGUUUGUGCUCGUAUCUUUGUGUGGAUUUCGAUGCGGUAUUUGUCGUUUUGCGGGUUGAGGUUUGGCAUGGUUAUGGAUUUAUGUUUCGGGUUUUCGUCUUAGUAUCCGUUGUCCCUUGAGGGUUUGGCAUGGUUAUGGAUUUGUGUUUCGGGUUGGUAUCCGUUGUUCCCUGAGGGUUUGGUAUGAUUAUAGUUUGGUGUUUGUGCUAUCGUUGGUUAUCGUUCAUGAGGGUUAUUAGUGGAGAUGCGGCAUUGGGUUGAAUGUCGGGUAGCAUCCACAUUCGUGGAAGGGAUAAUUGGAGAUCGGAUUCUUUUGAGCGGAUUGAUCAGUGAGGAGAUGUGUUUUGCUGAGGGUUGCUUAUGCUUGUGGGAAGCAAUCAGUGUNGGGGUUGUUCUGGAAGGUCGUUAAUGGCGACCGGUGGUUGUUAGUCAGUGCUUUAAGUGGGGGAGAAUUGGAGAAUUCUCCGGGAGAUCGAUGAGUAUUUGAGGGUGCUUAGCUGUUGGGAUUCAGCAGUGUUCUGUCAGCCCAGAGUAUAGGCUGAUAGGAGCGAGUGUCGGGCAUGCGGGGCGAGAUACAGACCUAGAGCAUUUGAUUGUGGAGGCCUGGGAGCAGGCCGGGAUCAAGUUUGAGUAGGCAACCGGGGUUAUGUGAUCAGAGUAUUUGUAUGCUUUAUGUAUGUUAUGUGUUGUAUUGCAUUAUUUCUAUGUGAUUUAUGCUGUGCAUGUUUUCAGAGUUGGAACUGGAGGGUUCCUGGAGUUAGAACCGGAAGGUUCACAGAGUUAGAACUUGAGGGUUCAUAGAGUUUGGGUGUACGGACCCACAGAGUUAUAGCCUCGAGUGGCUAAUAUGUGUUAUGUGAGUCGGUCCAGUCAUGCUGGAGACUCUGUUGGUAUUGUUGGAUCAGUUUGAGAUUGCGGAUUGUGUAUGUUGCAGUGUGAUUGCAUUGGAAGGUCUGGCCCCGGGUAGUGAUCUUGUUUAGUUGAGGUAGUGCAUGGGCUUGAGAGUCCCUGCGAGGAGAGUCAGAGUAAGUGUGUAGGAUGGAUAGCGGAGACGCUAAAGGGUGGUGUAGCGUUAGACGUGCACCGUGGCAUUUUCCGGAGUGACAUUGUGGCCAAGUGGAUUCCUUGGUAAAGGAAGAGAGAGAGGUAGGAGGUGUGUAACUCCGAGAGGGAGUGCAAGUUCACGGAAGUGAAAGCGGCAGAGCAGAGUUAUGAUUAGAGUAAUUCGAGUUUGGUUACUGAGCAACGUGUUUGCGGCAGUGGAGUAGAAGCUCAUCCGGUUUGGAAUGUCUGCUGAGGUCGCGGAGGGAAAUCCGCAAGUGUAGAGCCAAGAGGCUCGGAAGGGAUGCAGAGAGAGAGAGAGAGAGUCUUAGACUCUCAGUGUGAUUCUGAUCAGGGUAUGGGGUGUAUAUUAGUGGUUCAUCCUGUGGGGAUGUUUGAGGAUAUUAUCAGUGUAUCAGGUUUUCCCAACCUGAGGGUGUUAGAGCUGGUUCAGCUUGUGUGUGUGGUUGCAAGGGGAGAACUCAUGAGAGUUGCUUUGAGAUUAAGAAUGGGUCUCUCAGUCGUCCCGGAAUGGAUAGAGUGGGAUUCGGAUCGGGGAUCCGAUGGUUCAUGGUUUUCUAACCCUUAUGGGUCGAGCGAUUAUUGAGAUUUGGGGCAGUGAUGCAUCUUGGGUAAUUCUCGGUUGUUGAGAGUGAUGAUCAGGGGGUAGAGUCGGUGCCCGGUUCGAGACGAUGGUCAGGACACCAUGAAGGAAGGGAAACUGUGCGAGUUUAGAUAAGUAUGCCUUGAGGGAUCUGGUCUGGUUAAGGCUAGGUGGAGCGUUGUGGGAGUAUCCUUGGAGUUGAGUUGCUGUAGGCGUCGAGGGCGAAGCCUAAUUUAAGUGGGGGAGAAUUGUAACAUCCCAAAAUAUCAAGAGUAGAGUUGAAGGGCUAAAAGAGUAAGUUAUGGAAGAGUGACUCGGCGNGGACUCGGCGAGUACAGUCGCGAAUUUGGUCGCGUGUUAAGAAGCCGACUCGGCGAGUCGAUGAGAUGGACUCGGCGAGUAGGCGCUGGGUGGAGAAAACCCUAAUUCCCGGGGUUAAGCCCUAUAUAAAGAACAUAACAGCCCACUCUCAGCCUCUUUAUUCAUCUCCAAGUCCUGAAACCCUUAGCCUUCGUGUGUGAGUGAUCCUAUCUCAAUCGGGAGCUUGAAGGAGAUGAUUAUUGAAGGAAUUUUGGGAGAUUGAAGGCUUGGAGCAAGGGGCUUUGCUUGGAUUCAAAUUUCAUUUCAGUUGGGGCGUCCAUUGGAGGUAAUAUCUCGUUCUUGGUCUGAUUGUAUGUUGUUUAUUCAUUUUGGGGUUGUGGGAACUUGUCUAUGGAUGUAAUUGGAAGUCUAGAGGUUAGAUCUGAGGUUGCUACCUCAGAUCUGGAAUGGAGAAGAAUCAGAGAGCAUGAAAGUCCCUGUGUUGGAGUGUUUAGUGAAGCUUACAUGUCCCAAACCCUAAACCAAUGUGCAANNNNNNNNNNNNNNNNNNNAAUGCUUCUGAAAGGAUUCAGAUCGGUGGUACUCGGCGAGUCACAUGGGUGAACUCGACGAGUUGCUUGAAGAUGAGCUGGGACUCGACGAGUUGGAAGAACAACUCGGCGAGUCGGAUGAAGAUGGCCUUGGACUCGGCGAGUUGUAUGAACAACUCGGCGAGUAGGUUGAAGAUAGCCAUAAACUCGGCGAGUCUGUUCUUGGACUCGGCGAGUCUUGUCGAAGAGUUCCGAUAUUCUCUGGUUGAGUCGAGAAUCGGUGAGUCAAGGGAUGACUCGGUGAGUUGUGUGCGAGAGGACUCAGAAGUUGUGGGACUCGGCGAGUCUCGGGGUGACUCGGCGAGUUAGGUCGCGGAUUGAGUGAGCUCUGAGUAUGGGAACUCGGCGAGUCAUCGGGUUGACUCGGCGAGUAGGGUCAGUCAGGGGUUGACUUUGACGUUGUCUUUGACCAAGGGUUAACCAGUGGUUUCCAGGGGUAUUUUGGUAAUUGUUGUUUAUGGUUUUGAGUUCAGUGCAUUGGUGGCUGUCCAGUGGUGGAGAUCGUAUCAGUGAUCGGAGCAGCUUGAGUUACCUGUUCUGUAGGCAGUUUCAAGGUGAGUUAUCCUCACUAUAUCGAUAGGGUUUAUGGCACCAAGGCCAACCCUUUUUAUCGGAUGGAAAUCCGGAUAGUUGUCAGUUAUUAUGUUAUGGGCCGGAAGGCGUUAUAUGUUGUGGGCCGGAAGGCAUUUGCGAUGUGGACCGGAAGGUCAUGGCCUGGAAAGGCGUAUGUGUGCAUUUAGUAUGUUGUCUGAUUUGUAGGGUGAUGUUAUGCUAGUGACCGGCUAGGCUGGUAUCUUGGUUAGGGUAAUGCUAUGUUAUGUGAUCUGUUGAUCGAUUGCUGACUGUGAGUCGUUAUAUGAUUAUGUGUUAUGUGCAUGAUUGCUAGGUCUGGGGUGUGACCCGGUAUGCGGGUUCGUUCUAUGUUUUGUUAUGAUAUGUAUACUUUUUAUGUUAUGGGCCGGAAGGCAACAUGUUAUGGGGCGGAAGGCAUUGCGUUAUGGCUGGAAGGUGAUAUGUUUUGGACCGGAAGGUCGUGGCUUGGAAGGGCGUAUAUGUGUUUGGUAUAUUGGGGGUAUCUCACUAAGCUUCUGGGCAUACAGUUGUGGUUUUAUGUUUUCAGGUUCUCAGGAGUCUGUGGCAAGGCAAAGGCGUGAUCGUAUCGUUCCUCGCGUUGGUGUUUUAUGAUAUGAACCUGGGAAAAUACUCUGUAAAAUAAUGUAUUGAAAACCUUUUGUAAAGAUUUUAUGGAAUCGAGAUGUUUUUGAAAAAUUUAAAAUUGGUUGUAUUUUUCGGUCGUUACAAAAGUUUAGUUCCAUUCACGGAUUGUUUUGAACAUCUUAAACUUUUUAUUUUUCAAAACUUUACAAGGUGAAAAUAGUUCAGGUUUACACCUUUCUAAUGAGUACUUGCACAAGUUCAUACGAUUUUUCUACAAAUUAUGACGAAUUUUACAAAACUGCCUAUCAUUUCAGCAAACAGUUUUGGACCAGUCUGUUAAGUUGCACAUUUUCACACAAGUUAAAGGUCACUAAAAAUCAUUAUAAAAAUUAUGAAAAAACUAGACACAAUUUCUAAACUCUCAGAAUUUACGGAUUCUGAUUUCAACUUUCAAUGAUUUUUCUAUAGUUUUUCUAGGAACAGAUUAGAAAAGCUAAAACUAGAAAAUAGUAAACAAGUUCAUUUACACUUUGUAACCUAUUGAGCAAAGUGUGUAUUAUUGUAUAAAUACACACUUUGCUCAAACAUCAUCUUUCCACAAUAAAGUUUAGUUCUAUUCACGGACUGUUUUGAACAUCUUAAACUUUUUAGUUUUCAAAACUUUACAAGCUGAAAAUAGUUCAGGUUUACACCUUUCUAAUGACUAAUUGCACAAGUUCAUACGAUUUUUCUACAAAUUAUGACGAAUUUUACAAAACUGCCUAUCAUUUCAGCAACAGUUUCAGACUAGUCUGUGAAGUUGCACAUUUUCACACAAGUUAAAGGUCACUAAAAAUCAUAAUAAAAAUUAUGAACAAACUAGACACAAUUUCUAAACUCUCAGAAUUUACGGAUUCUGCUUUCAACUUUCAAUGAUUUUUCUAUAAUUUUUCUAGGAACAGAUUAAAAAAGCUAAAACUAGAAAAAUAGUUAACAUGUUCAUUUACACUUUGUAACAUGUUGAGCAAAGUGUGUAUUAUUGUAUAAAUACAUGUUGUUUGUAUUUCAUGUCUUAUACCUUCGUAAGAAGGUGUGCAUCAUAUACAAAGGAUUUUUAUCACUGCAAACUCACUAUAAAAAGUUCCGUUUACAUUAUAAAAAGGAUUUUCAUUAACACUACACGUAAACUCGUUAUCAUAAAUUGUGAGACAUAACUUCAUUGUACUCUUAGAGUGAUGGUAAAUUUCAUGUAGUUAUAGCCAGAGUCUCUUGUAGGGAGAGCGUGAUAGUUGUGUAUAGAUCUAUAUUGGGAUUGACAACUCACACCUUAGUUGCAUGUAACAGCCUGACCGGCCAGUCAGGGGUGACAAAUUUCAUAACAUUCCGACGCCUGAAGAAUGUCGUAGCAGGUCAUCUAUGUCAUAACAUGGUUAUAACGACUCGCACAGGGAGAUAACGAAACAUAUACUUUACGGGGAUUCUUCAUCUAAAAAGGGUUUUAUGUUGAUUUAAAACCACAUUUACUACUAUAAGUAUGGAAAUUUACUUGUACAUUUCGGUCUUUGGGUAUUAAGACUACAACUCAUUUCAUAAGGAAAAUAUUGGAUUUUUCUUGAAACAUAUACAUUCAUUUACACAGAAAGGUUUGCAAUCCUACAUGCAAAAAGCUUAUGCACUCACCAACUUAAUUGUUGACAUUCUUUCAAAAUUACUUGUAUUCUCAGGAAAUCAAUGAAAUCAGGUAACUACAAGCUUUUGUGGAAGGAACGCUUCGACGUUUGACAAACUAUUUUGAUAUUAUGUUGUAAUCGAUUUUGAAACACGUAGCAUUUGAAAACACGUAACCCUUUUGAUAAUAUUUAUGAUUGGUUGCAUUUAAUGUGAUCACAAUUAUACUCAUUUGUCAUGAUACUAUGAAUGAAGUCCUCCACCCCCAGACGUUUCCACCAUUCGAGGUUUGGGGGUGUGAAAUAAGGAAUCUGACGAUAUCAGGCUCAAGGAGCCUGUUUGAGGCCAUACAGGGAUCUCUGCAACAAGUUGACAUGAGUUGGGAGGUUCGGAUCAUCGAAACUUGGAGGCUAAUGCAUAUACAUUGUUUCCUAAAAAUGAAUGUGAAGAAAUGAAUUGUUCACACCAAGCUGAUGAACAUGCCAGUGGUGGGAUAGAGCCAAACUAAGGAUCAUCCGAAUGGUAUCCAGUUUGACGAUCGGGUUAAAGGUCUCAUCAGAAUCAAUGUCUAGCCUUUGACUGUGACCAUUGGCAACAAGUCUUGCUUCAUACCGGAAUAGAGAUCUAUCUACAUUAUGUUGCUUUUGAAUAAAAAAAAUACAAUUAACCAUGAUGGCACUAGGAGGCCAAGGCACAAGCACCUAAUUUCUGUUAGAAAUAAGUGCAUCCUAUUCUUCUUUCAUAGCGUUUAGCUAGUUAUUAUCUCAAAAAGCUUUGAAAUAAUUGUGAGGGAUAUGAUAGGAGGAGGAUUCAAUGUGAAGAUUGAGUUUUUGAAUGAGGUUGGAGAUGUCAUCAUGAGACUGAGUGACCAUUGGGUAAGACUGAGGAGGGACGGUAAAAAGAGGAUGGGAUGGAGGGUGGUGGCCAUGAUUAUUACUGUUACAGAGUGGUAUAAUAAACUUUUAAAGGAAUAUGGGGGUGAGUUUUGUGUUUGAUGAUGGAGAUAACUAGGAUGAAGAAGAAGAAGAUGCGUUAGGUUAUUACAAAUCAUGGAAUCGCAUAAUUGGUGGAGAUCUCUCUCUUUUUCAAAAAACAACAUGACAAUACAUCAUAUACAACUGGCGGGUUUUUCAGCCCCUUAUGUUACAAUGUAUCCAUAUCAUCCUAAAUUUGUUCCAAACGGCCCUAACUAUCAAGGUAGAUGUCAUUUUUAUUAUUGUUAUGUUUUUGUAUAAAAUGUCCUGAGUCACCUUACCCAUGACCUAACUUCUUUAAAUAGAUGGAUAAUGACCCCAUUAAAUUUUAAUACAUGGAUCAUAACCUAAUUCUUUUAAAUAAAUGGAUCAUAUGACCUAAGUCCGCCCAUUAAUUAUUGAUUUUAUUAACCUCAAAAUAUGUUAUUCCCUUUGAGGUUUACCUACACCAGACGAGCUAAGUCUCAAGUGUUUGACUGGUAGGGUUGACGUUUACUUGUAUUACAAUAAGUCUGAGUUGGGAAGCAUAAUUUGGUCUUUUCCUUAAGUCAGUUAGUAUAGUGUUAGCAUUGGAGGAGGAAAUUUCUUGUUCAGUUGAACCUAGUUCAUUGCGAGAGACCUGCCCUCUCAAAAGGCAGAUGUCAUAAUUGUAAUCCUUCUUUCUAGUACAUUAAUCAUUUAGUAAAGAGUAAUCAGUUCAAUCUUACAGAUCUAGAUUACUCCAAAAUGGUCUAGGAUGUAACAAAAUAAAAAUAGUUAUAACCUUGCAAUAGAUGCUUGAAAAUGGCAACAUCUAAAUGUAGUUGGGGCAUGAAAUUUGUCUAAUGUUGUUUUAACUAUUUACAUGCAAACCUCAAAUCUUUACUUAAGAGGAGCAUGUCAAGCAACUGUACAGUUAGGGCUCUAAAUUCAGAGUUAAGGCAUGCUUUCUUCAAAAGUAUAUGCAUAGCUCCUCCACAUGUUGACUUUUUUUUUUCUUAACUACAAAUCUAGCCACUUUUUUUCAUAAUUUAAUAAAAGCUUUGUUUUCUAUUUAUCAUUAUUUGUAUACACAUUGCAAGAAAAGCUUAUAACUCCAGUGGGUGCAAUCUUUGGGAUAAAGUAUUUACAUAUAAAAACAUUUUACACAUUAAUUUGAACCAAUCAUUAUAAAGUUAGAAAAAUCAUAUUACUAUAUAAAUUAAUAAAUGUUUGAAAAUCAUUAAUUAGUGAUUAUAACUACAAAGUAUUAAUAUUAUUUUAAUUUACUAACUGCGGUUACUACGAGUUAGUUUAUAAAGAAGCAAACCACUUAAAUAUACCUUUUUCACUAUUCAAAUACUAGAAAUCACUUGACCAUCUUCUUAACAAACCAUUAUUAUAACCACAAAAAAGAAGAAAUAUGAACAACAAGGUCUAAGAUGAGAGAGAGUCGAUACUCAUAAUUUUCUCAAGCCAACCCCACUUCUUAAAAUUUGGACAAUUUUACGCAUACAACUAGUCUAGGAAUGACAUUUAUUAUUAAAAAAUUGAAAUGAAAUGAGAAUGAAAUUUAAAGAGUAAAAUGGAAUAAAAUGUGUGGUUUUCAAUUGGUACGAAGAGAGUAUUUAUAAUGAUAUAAAGGAGAAAAAAAAGGAAAAAAAAUGAAAAUGUAACUGUUAGAACGCGUUCCACAAACCUUUAACCUUCUUCUAACGGUAACCAAUGCGCUCAAAUCCAUCUCCUCGGCGGUACCGCCCGUCACCCGUCGGAGCCUACUUCUGAGACCCUCCACUCUAAUAAAUAUCAUUAUUAUCUUCCAAUUUUAAGUAUCAUGAUAAGUUCUGUGUUGACUUUGGGUUGACAUAAUGAAUAUCAAUUAUUUUCUCUAAAAUUCUCCUUGCUAAUCAUUAUUUUGUUGAAAUGUACCUUUUCCUUAUGAGCAUAAUUACUUUAUUAAAUUUAGCUUGCCUUGAUAAAUAUCUUUUAUUUUCGUGAAGUUUACAUUGUCUUAAUAAAUAUCAUUACCACUUUAAUAAUUAUCAUUUCUAAUUCCACAAUAAAUAUCAUUAAAUAGUUUUCUUUAAUAAUUAUUAGACAACAUUACAAAAAUGGUCCCUGUGGUUUGCCGAAAAUCACGAAGUCAGUCUCUGUUAAUUUUUUUUUGAUGUAAAUGGUCCUUGUGGUUUGCAAAACUUGCAAAGAUGACUCUUUUUACUAACACCGCUAGUAUUCAGCCGUUAGGAACUAAACCUGUGAGGGUAUUUUCGUCUUUUCAAGUAUAAAUGAAUAUAUUCGAACUUUGGACCUCCUACCUUUCUCCCUUAAUCAACCAAAGUUUUAACCAAUUAGGCUAGAGACGCACUUGAUUUAUAUUUUCGAAAACUAACUAAUAUUAUCUACAAAUCGUAAAUAAAUUAAUAAUAAAAUAUUAAAAAAAACAUAUUUUUUAAAAAAAAAAAAAUAAAACAAAAUAUAUUUUUAGCGUAUUGUAAAAAAAAAUAAAAACAAUUAUUUGUUUUUUUACGUAUUUAAAAAAAUAAGUUUUCGUAUACUUUUAAAUACAUAAAAAAAUAACGUAAUAACAUAUUCUACAAAAACAUAAUCCUAAAAAACAUAAAAAAAAGUUUUUGUAUAUAUUUAUUUUAUGUGAAGAUUCAGUUUCUAACGGCUGAAUACUAACGUAAAAAGGGUCAUUUUUGCAAGUUUUGCAAACCACAAGGACCAUUUACAUUAAAAAAAAAAUUAGUAGGGAUUGACUUUGUGACUUUUGGCAAACCAUAGGGAUAUUUUUGUUAUUAUGUCUAAUUAUUAUUAUAGAAAAGAAUUGAAAAAAAAAAAAAAAGCGACACCAUCAAGGCAUCGAAGGAAAACCCAACACCCUCGUUGACUCUCCUCUCUGGUCGUCUCCCUUCCUCGUUGACUUGCUGUUUCCCUGCCGACUUAACGCGGUUCGCUCUGUACUUUUCACUCUUCAUCGAUCUUUCUCAGACUCGUCACUGUUGGUUCAUCCUUUAUCGCUGCUGUUUCAGUUCUCCUUGUCAUCCUGUAUGCUUCUUAAUUACAAGUUGUUAGACAAUUUCAUCUUAUGAAUCAUAAAUCACAUCAUAAUCGUUUGGUUAUUUCACUAAAAGGUGAUUGAAUAUUGUCUAUUUCCAUUAUUUUUGUUUUAUUUUAUAUAUCAAUUAGGAUAGUCCACACUCCUUCUAGCUAAAGUCAAGUACGAUGAACAAAAUUUCCUGCACGUUGAGAAUUCUUUGAUCCUUUAAAAUUUCUUCCUCAAUUCCUCUAUAUUUUCUAAUUCACAACACGAUUUUUAGAUUUGAUUCUUUUUGAAUGAUGUUUAUGAACAAGCUUCAAUAUUUGACUGUCAUAAUGAGUGUUUUGCUUGUGUAUAGACUAAAGAGUGCAUUUAGCUUUGAAGUUUCUUCUAUUAUUGAGUUUGAAAUUGAACCCUUAGAAAGGGCAAAGUGGAAGGCGUGUUUUGUUGGCUUCAGAAACAUAUCAUUUGGAACAACCCCAUCAAUAUUGUUAGUUGAAACACUUAAAAUAAGAUUUAUGCUGAUACUAGAUCCAGUUAUAUAUGAAUUUUAAAUUUGUGUAGAUUGUUGUUGCUAAUUUUGGAGAUCCAUAAUUAAACAACCUUGUCAAGCAAGUGCUGUUUUUUUUGUUUAAAACUUUACAUCUUUCAAUUGUAUGUUGAUAUCUAGUAAAAGCUUGAAAUUUCCUGUAUGUUUUGCAAUUUCCUUCAUGGGAGGUAAUAGUGGAUCUUGUAGUUAUUUCCAGAAUGGUAUUUUGGUGUAGAUUUGUUUGAGGAUUACUUUACUGAAAUUCAUAUGGAUUUUACUUAGACAAAUAAGGAUCUUCAUGUGGGCUAAUCAAAUUAAAACAGAGGCGUUGUAGUUUCAAUGCAUAAAUUGGUUUGUUUUUUUUUUUUCUUGAAUCUAAACUUAGCCAGAAAAACAGGUUAACCAAUUUAGUUUAAUUGGUAACAGCAUUUAAAAUAAAUUUCAUGGCAAUGUAAUGGUUAUUCUAUAUCCAUACUUUGUUUUUGUGGGAAAAAAUAUUCUAUAUAAAUACUUAGUUAGCUAUAUAUGUGUUGGCUAAAGGAUCCAAAAACCUGUCACAUAAUUAUUAUUGCCAUGAGAUUGCUGUUGUAGUGAUUUAACAGCCUCUCUUUGUAUUUCAAACACGGCAGCAACCGCUUAAUGCUUAUUCUUUUGUGUUCCUUUUCCAGUGUUUAUUUGAUGAGAUUUAAGUUGCAUAUUAUAAAUAUUAAUAAUUUGGAUUUUAUGUACAGGCUUUAUUUGAACCACAAGUUAAGUGUUUCUAGCUAAUUGAGAUACACAAAGGCUCAUCAACCCAAAACUCAUAAUGGUUAUUCUCUCUGAACUCCUCUCAGAAGGAUCUUCAUCUUCUUCAUCAACUCAUGGUUAUAGUCCAUCAGCUUGUGUUCCUACUUCAUCAACUCAUAAUCAUAGAUAUGAUGUAUUUUUAAGUUUUAGAGGUGUUGACACUCGUCAUAGUUUCACUGAUCACCUUCAUAAAGCCCUCAUUGAUGCCAAUAUCACUACGUUCUUGGAUGAUGAAGAGAUUGAAACAGGGGAAGAUCUGAAACCAGAACUGGAGACUGCAAUUAAGGCAUCUCGGGGUUCUAUCAUUGUGAUAUCUAAGAAUUACGCUUCUUCAACAUGGUGUCUGGAUGAAUUGGUGUUGAUCCUUGAGCAGAAUAUGACAUCUGAUCAUAUUGUUAUCCCCAUAUUUUAUCAUGUUGAGCCCACCCAUAUCAGGAAGCAACAAAGUAGCUUUGGAGAUGCAAUGGCUAAGCAUAAACAGAUGAUGGAGGCAGAGAAAAAUGCAUAUAAAAAAAGUCAAUGGGUUCAAAAGAUGGACCGAUGGAAUAAAGCUCUUAUUGAAGUAGCUAAUUUAAAAGGAAAAGACGUCAAUGGAAGGUAACCAAUAUUCUUCAAUUUUGUUUGAUUAACACAUGAAUGUUAGUAUCAUCUUCUCCCAAUGCAUUUCAAUAANACAUAUAUAUAUAUAUUUGAUGUAUUAGGAUAUAAAGUCCACACAUUUUUUUUAUGCAUUUUGUGUUUCAUCAUAAGUUAGUUCAUUUAGACAAACCGUUCCAAUUAUUUUGUAUGCUUUCUAUUAAGAAAACAAGAUUUGAAGGGUUUGCUAUGCAUCUACUAUUACUUAUACCAUACCACCUUAUAAUCAUAGUGUCUUUUAUGAUAAAUAACUUCUCUUACCUUUAAGCAGUAAAAUAUUACCUAUAACUGCAUGGCACUUUUUUCAAAACACGCCACAAUGAUAGUUAUGAUGGUCUUGUGUAAAUGCAGUGAAGUUAGGUUGUCCAUUAGUGAAAUCUGGUAUUACAUUGGCAUCUUUUACCUUAUUAUACAUAAAUAUUUAUGACCUUGCACAUUGGAACUUGUAUGGUUAGAACAUAGAAGUGUAAACACAAUAUCAUUUUUUAAUGUGAAGGACUUGAUUAAAAUUAAUAGCUAUGAUAUAAUUUUGAUUUUGGUUCUUUGGACAAAUUAAAUCUCCAAAUCCAGUUUGUUAGUUCUGUGGUUCAUAUAAAAUCUGAUUUCAGGCUAGAGACGGAAUUUAUUGAAGAAAUUGUGAAGGACAUCCACCGUAGGUUACAUGUACCCUCAAGGAGUGUUCGACAACAACUUAUUGGGAUGGACUAUGAGAUUAAGUUCAUAACUUCAUGGUUGAAAGAUGGAUCCUCACAUACGGCAGACAUACUCACUAUUUAUGGUAUAGGAGGGAUUGGGAAGACAACUUUAGCCAAACAUGUCUAUGGGCUAUAUGCUCACAAAUUCCACAAAAGCAGCUGUAUUGAAGAUGUUAGUAGGGUAUGUGAUGGAAAGUUUAAUGGGUUGCUUGAUUUACAAGAAAAACUAAGCAGUGACAUUUCAAAAACAAGUUCCGUUAAAGUUCAUGAUGCUUCGGUAUACACCUCAAAGAUAGAGAAUGCAGUAGCACGUAAAAGGGUGUUUCUUGUUCUUGAUGAUAUUAGCACGCUUGAUCAGUUGGAUGCGUUACUUGGAAGCAAAGGUUUUCAUCCCGGAAGCAAAAUAAUUAUAACCACAAAGGAAAGACGUUUGAUAGAGAGGUGUGCACUAUUCAAAACAGACAUUAAACCAAAGCAUACAAAGCUCUUGCUUCAAGGCUUACAUGAGACCGAAUCAUGGAAACUUUUGUGUCUCCAUGCAUUCAAAUGCAACUAUCCCAAGACAGGUUAUGAAGGGGUGUUAUAUAAGCUUGUGAAGUAUUGUCAAGGACAUCCAUUGGCUCUUGUAGUAUUGGGAAAAUCUCUAUAUGAUCGAGAUGUAACUUAUUGGGAAGGGUGCAUAGAAGGGCUAAAGAAAGAAACAGAUUCUCAUGUGAAUAAUGUCUUGAGAAUGAGCUUUAACUCUUUGCCAUCCAAAAAUGAUAAGGACUUGUUUAAGUAUAUUGCUUGUUUUUUUGUUGGAAUAGAUAGAGAUGUUGCUGAAACAAUAUUAAAGGCAUGCAAUAUAAACAUAAGAUCUGGAAUCCCGAAUCUCCUCGACCGAUUCCUUCUUUCGAUUGGAUGGAAAAACAAAUUGAAGAUGCAUCAGUUGGUUCAAGAGAUGGGAAGGUUCGAAGUACGUCAAGAAUCACAUGACAAGCCAUGGAAGAGAAGUCUAUUAUGGUGUCAUGAGGAGUCAUUCAGAGUAUUAAAACAAAAAAAGGUAAGAGGUCAUAUGUGGUUUUAAAAGUAUGCAUGUUAAAAAUAUUGUGUAUGGUCUCAACUUUUUAUUUACAUUAUGUUUCUUCUUAGGGUAAGGGAAAUCUUGUUGGCCUUGCCCUUGACAUGCGCAUGCUUGAGAAAGAGAUGUUGGGUGCAUCAUAUAAGUUAAAAACAGAUGCAUUAAGUAAGAUGGAUAAUUUGAUGCUACUACAACUCAAUUAUGUUCACAUGAAUGGGUCUUAUGAGAACUUUCCACCGGAACUAAGAGGUUUGUGUAUGCAUGGGUUUCAUUUGAAGUAUAUACCUUCAGAACUACCUAUGGAGAAUCUUGUUGCUCUUGACAUGUCAUAUAGCAAUAUUGAAUCAUUUAUCGGUUGUUAUAGUAAUCCACAACGACUUGAGAAGAGGCAAAAGGUAACUUAUCUUCAUUUAUUAUUUUUCCAUGUUUAGUUGAAUUUCACUCCCAUUCUAACUUCUUUCCGUUUUUAUAGUUGGAUGGAUCAUGCUUAAAAAACAAAAGGUUGCUUGGAUCAUUGAAGGNAUUUUUCCAUGUUUAGUUGAAUUUCACUCCCAUUCUAACUUCUUUCCGUUUUUAUAGUUGGAUGGAUCAUGCUUAAAAAACAAAAGGUUGCUUGGAUCAUUGAAGGUUCUUAAUUUAAGUUUCUGUAAACAACUUUGUAGUCUUGGUGACUUUGACCAAUUUCCAGCUCUGGAGAGGUUAAUAGUCAGAAAUUGCACUGGUUUGCUUGAGGUUAGUGAAUCAAUUGAGCAGUGUGUUGAACUUGCCCUCAUAGAUCUAAGCUACUGCAAGCAGCUUAAAAACCUUCCAAGAAUCAUAGGCAUGCUAAAGAAGGUUAAAACAAUGUUGCUAGAUGGUUGUAAUCUGGGUGAAUCUCAAACUGAGGAUACAAAUUUAGAUAUGGAUUCACUGGACAUGUGCAAUGCUAACAAAAACAUUAGCAUAAGCACAAGAACCUCUUCCACCACCUUUGUGGGUGCUAUGCCAAGCCAUUUGAAGUUUUUUUCAAGUUCUUUGUUGAGAUCUCUAGUAAGGCUUUCGCUUGCAAAUAAU
This 178161-nucleotide long non-coding RNA is filed under the name Lactuca sativa (garden lettuce). Its description in RNAcentral is "long non-coding RNA (LSAT_LNC000545)". Lineage: Eukaryota; Viridiplantae; Streptophyta; Magnoliopsida; Asterales; Asteraceae. The record is from RNAcentral.